ACAGGAUCAUGGCAAGAACUGAAAGGGCUGUUGCUAUUUCUCCAGAUCAUAAGAUUUGAUCCCACAAACAAAGGUUACAAGACGACAGAGUCUGAACCAACAAUUACACAGCAACAUCGAUGCAACGGGAAGAAACUGUUUAGGCAGAGGUGAACUUGGUGACGGCCUUGGUGCCCUCGGAGACGGCGUGCUUGGCGAGCUCGCCGGGGAGGACGAGGCGGACGGAGGUUUGGAUCUCCCGGGACGUGAUGGUGGGCUUCUUGUUGUACCGCGCCAGCUUGGCAGACUCGCCGGCGAGCUUCUCGAAGAUGUCGUUGAUGAAGGAGUUCAUGAUGGACAUGGCCUUGGAGGAGAUGCCGAUGUCAGGGUGCACCUGCUUGAGCACCUUGAAGAUGUAGAUCUUGUACGUCUCCACGCUCUUCUUGGACUUCUUCUUGCCCUUCUUGUCGCCGCCGCCAUCCUUGGACGCCGGCACCUUCUUCUCCGCCUUGGGCUUCUUGCCCGCCGGAGUCUUCUCCACCGGCUUCUUCUCCGCUGCCUUCGGGGCCAUGGAUGAUGAUGAUGCUGCUUCGACGGGGAGAGGGAGAGGUGGUCUGGUGUGUUUGUGUGUGGCUUCGCUGGAUGGUGGGAGGAUUGACGGCGGGGAGGGAGGCGGGUUUAUAGGAGAGGGAAGGCGGCUCUGAUUGGUGGACGGGUAGGUGCCGCGGAUCGGUAGGAUAUCUGCCGUCCGCUCUGGUGCGGGAUGGACGACCCAGAUGCGCCUUGACGCAGAUCGAUGACGUGAACGAAAGAAAGUGGGCGGGGACCACACGGGUUUCGCCCUACGCGCGCGUACUGGAGUUUCUCCAUGGCGGGAAUCUGAAUUCACCUAGCAAAAGACAAUUGCGAUGGAUGAAAAAAAAAUCACAAUUUCCUAAUUCAGUAAUCAUGACUUCGGACUUUAAUAGGUUCAUGCCUUUUAUUUCAACACAUGGCAUCUCAUAUGUAUUGCCACUUCCAGCAAUUUUAAUGGAACGAUCCAUUUCGUCCGAUCGAGUCUGUUUGGAUCGUCGCGGACACAAAAAUCGGCUCAAUGCACGGACCCAAGCGUCAGUUUUUCGUUCGCCCGCAACCCGUUUUAGGCCUAAAUUUGAGCGUCAUUUGCGUUGUCGCGGAUACGAAGCGGAUGCCCGUGUCGCCCGCCCUUCUCUUCCCCCUAGCCCGCUGGUCGGUGGCACGUACGCCAACCUCCUCUUCCUCCUUCGCCUCCAAAUCACCCACCCGCUCCCCGCCUCCCACCCCCGCCGCUAACUUUCAUCGUCGACGACGGCCAUCCGCCCGUGAACUCACCCUUCCGGCACCCUCGUCUUCCGUCGCCGCCGCCCAGCUCCGCCACUUUCUCUCGAUGGGACAUGAGGCUCCUCUCCGGCCGGAAUCUUCCACAACGCCCGCAAGGUGUUCAACGCUUUGCCCAAGGUACAAAUGGACUCCAAUGAUGAGUAUUUUUUUUCUACAACGUUUUUUUGGAGUCAGAUGAUUCUUCGUGUGAUGAUGAGAAGACGAAGGCGGAUGCAUUGGUUGUCCAUGACCACGUAACUUUAUAUAGAAUUUGGCUUACACUCGCCACAGGCUACAUCAGAGUCACAGCAGUACAAUACAUAAUCGUCAUGAAGAAGAGCAGGGUCCGACUACGAACGAAAACAAACGAUAAAAGAAGAACGACGUCCAUCGUAGCUAUCCUAAGCUGUUGGCCUGGAACCCAUCCUAGAUCGACGAAGAAGAAGAAGAAGAAGCAACUCCAAAUGAACAAUCAACGCGCUUGCGUCAAGUAACCUUUACAUGUACCUGCAACUGGUGUUGUAGUAAUCUGUGAGCCACAUGGGACUCAACAAUCUCAUUUCCAAAGGUAUCAAGACUAGCAAAGCUUAAUAGGUGAGGUAUGGGUAAGUGGUGGGGGUGCAACAGCGGCUAAGCAUAUAUUUCGUAGCUAAACUUACGAGUACAAGAAAUAAGAGGGGAAGAUCUACGCAUAGCGGACGAAACUACUGAUGAUCAAAUGAAUGAUCCUGAACACCUACCUACGUCAGACAUAACCCCACUGUGUCCUCGAUCGGAGAAGGAACUCACGAAACAGACAGUCACGGUUACGCACUCAGUUGGCAAGUUUUAGUUAAGUUAACUUCAAGUUAUCUAGAACCAGUGUUAAACAAAGUUUCCACAUUGCCACCUAACCGCGGGCACGGCUUUUCGAAAGAUUUAACCCUCAGGGGUGCUCCAACUAAUCCAUCACAAAUUACCACAACCCGCAUAGAAAUCCUCGAUCACGAAACUCGCGAUCUCGUCGGACUCCUUAGUGGAAAACCUCAACUCUGAGAUUACACAAAGCAUCACCGGAAUCCCGAUGCACAAGAUAUCUCGUCAAAGGUAAAACUAAUCCAGCAAGGCAGCCCGACGUGUCGACAAUCCCGAUAGGAGCCGCGUAUCUCGUUCUCAGGACACGACGGAUAAGCGAAGCAUACAGUGGCCUGAUAGACAUCUCCCGAGUUGCCGCGGGUUGGCCCCGCACGGUGCUCUGUUUUGGACCAGCACCAUCAGCACUGGCCCUCCCUAUAUUAUGUAAAAAUACUCAUGGGGUUCAUGACGCCCUAUGCUUUCAGUAUUAACAAAGUUAUUAUGUUGGGCAAAUGUAGUACCAAUGUUGUGCCUUGCCAGACCAUCUUUAAGCUAAAACGAAUUAUCAAGGGGGUCCCCAUAACACCCCCGAUCGUGUUAGGAGCGCUCAAUUAUGGAACAUAACACCGGUAGCCGAAACUAAGGGGGGCAAAGGUGGAACAAAACACCAGGCUAGAAAGGUCAAGCCUUCCACCUUUUACCAAGUAUAUAGGUGCAUUAAAUUAAAUAGCAUUAAUAUGGUGAUAUAACAAGGAACCCAUGUUUUCACAUGGAAGCAACUGCACCUGCAACUAGCAACGCUAACACAAGGUUAAGCAAGCGGUAACAUAGCCAUUCAGUGGUUUGCUAGGUUGUGAACAGGUUGGAGGUUUUCAUGGCAAUGUUGAGAGGUUGUUAUUUAACAAAUGGUAGGCAGCGAGACAAUGACGAUAGCAUCAAAAUAACUAGCAUGGCAAUGAUAGUAAUGUUAUCUAGGGAAAUGGUCAUCUUGCCUGAGAUCCCGCUUGGAAGAAGAAUGACUCCGCGAAGCAGACGAACCGAUGUAGUCAAACGGGUCCUCACAAUCCGACACGCUUGCGGAACUCUAUCGAGACGAAGGAAACCGGAAACAAGCAUCAACACAAGAUAUUCUCCACGACAUAUGCACGACACGAUGCAAUCCACAUAUGAUGCAUGAGCAGCUGAGUACAUGCAAGUCACGGCAUGACAAAUCUCACAAUCAACCACUACACAUUAAGUGAAGUUCAAUAUGCAACAAGUUGCAUAUUGACGAAACUCCAUAUACGAAUUAUUUAGUUCUAUCCCGAUUAGGUACUCGGCACUAUUAAAUGUUAUUAAACAUGGCAAGAGGUGAAGCUCAAUUAAACUACCUAUCUAGGCAUUUUAAAUGAGGUCGGAAAUGACAUAUAGCACCUCCGAAACGACCUCACAUGUUAAUUUACAAUGCUGUCCAGACCUGAACUAACACAUUUAAAUAGUUGUUAAACAGCAAAACAAAUAGGUUCACCUGUUUCUACGCGUCGUUACAAUCAAUUUACACAUAGAGAACAUCUCCAACGGAGCUACGGAUCAAAAGAUACGGACACCGCAAGAUAAGAUGGCAUGAAUGCAAUAUGUGUGCAACGACAUUCACAAGCUCCUCAAAACACACAAGCAGAAAGAUAAAAUGAAUCUACAUGAGAUUCUAAGCAAGUUCCAUAUAGGACACGAUCAAAACGGAGCAACGGAGCAACAACUACGAGCUAAACAAGAAAUCACUACAAUCUGACAAAAUCAGCCACAUAACAUUUUCUACACCCCACAACUACGAGCUACUCAACUCCAAUAUACUCAACCAAGGCAUGAGACGAUAGAGGGCAAGAAGCACUACAACAUACAACUAAUAACUCCUAGCAUGGAAGCAUAGAUCACUAGGAAAAGAAGUCACAAAAUGGCUUCUCACACACAGUUUCAGACUUAGUGAAAAUAACACUUCAUGAAAGUGCAGUUUUCGAUCUGAAGGCAUAUUGACAGCAGCAAAACCAUAAGCUAGAGGACUUCAAAUGGCAUGAAAAUUGACAGCAUGCUAGAGAAUCCUAAAGUCUACAACUAACUACAUUGCACCAACCUCAAAAGAGCUACAGAUCACCAGAUAAACUCAUGCAAAGACAGUAACAAAAUAUAACAGAUUCAGACUUAGAAAUAUUUCAGCAUCUCUAAAACCACACUAUUUCCUAACGACUUGAGAACAAGCAAAUCACACAUAAACAUGGAUUUCUAUUGCAACCAAAAAUACCAGGGGCUAGACUAAACAUCCAAGAGCAUAUGUCUAGUUGACAACUCCACCAAAUCACGCACGGAUUAAACCCCACAAAAUAGACAAGAGGGCAACAUGGCAAAAUAUCACGUGAACUAACUUGCUCAAAAAUCUAAAACUAAAUGCACCGUUAAAUCCUAUGGAUUUUCUACCCCGAAAACAUAUAUAACAUGAAGGGUUGCAAAGUAAAAACAACCCCACACGUAUAUGCGGUAAUAAGUCCUAAACACGGUAAAAUAAACUAGCGACGGAAUCCUACAUGCAAAAAUACCAAUGACUACUCUAAAAUACAUGGCAAAGGGGUUCUAAAACAUGAACAUUUUAUCUGCAGCAUUCGAGCAACCCGGACACGCACGAGAAAAUAAAUACGAGACGGAUCCUAUUCGAACAACACGUAAAACUAUGCGUUCGGCAACAUCAAACUACCUCAAACAAUUAUGCAAUUUGCAAAAUCGUAUUCUACGCGAAAUUCUACACAAAACCCAUAUCUAAUUCAUCGCGAUCCGACUUACGGUUAAAAAGUUACGGGCAUAUUAAUAUUUAGCUAAUUCCUGAAAUUAUCUAAAUCGAGAAAAUUCUAAUAAACCCUAUCGGGCCGAAUCUGUCUAACGGGCCUAAGCAGGCAGCGCAGUUUAGUAACAAAGCGCUCGGGAGGGGAAUAGAUCUCACCUCGGGGGGCCUCGUUGGGCCGGACUGAUGGAGCUGGUGGAGAUGGGCCGGCGGUUGGGGGCGGAGGUAGACUCGGCCGGCUGCGGGGUGGGCCUCGGGGCGGAUCGGCCGGCCUGGGCGCUGGUUGGGCGAGGCCCAGGAGCGCGGUCAACGCCAGGGAGGGGUUCCCCUCGUCUCCCUCCCGUCGCCUCCUGGGAGCGAGGCCAGGGCGGCGCUACCCCACGAGGCCACAUAGACCGAUGGAGGGGGAGUCCAGGGGCGCGAGGGCGGCGGAUCCACGCCGCGCGGUGUAGAUCCGGGCACAGUCCGGCGGCUGGCUCGGGAGGCGGCGCUCGGGAGGAGCUGCAAACCGGCGGCUUGGGGCUGAAUCGGCUGCUCUGGAUCGGGGCUCCUCCCCGAUCUGGAGCUCGGGCACGAGGCUACGGGAGGACGAGCAUCUCGGCCUCUGUUGGCUCUGUGGUCGCCGGACGUGUCCGGUUUGACCACGGACAUGUCGUGUAGGUGGAGAUUUAGGGCAAUCUGAGCCGUUAGAUGUAAAUCCAAUGGCCAGAUUUGGUCAGAGGGUUUGGGUUGUGGGAUUUAGAGGGUUAGGCCUAGAAGGUGGAGUUUUCCUAGGGGGGUGGCUGCAAAAAUGACUAGGGGGAACCCUAGUGAAGUGAGAGAGACCUCUCCAUGGGGUGGAGCUUAUAUAGGGUUGGUCUAUGGUGGGGUGGACCUCGUCCGUCCGAUCGCGAUCCGACGACCACAAACGGAGGAAGUGGCUAGGUGGCACUACUCACGUGUGUAGAUCGGCUAUGUAGGGGUGAGAGGGAAAUAGCGCGGUGAUACGUCUCAAACGUAUCUAUAAUUUUUUAUGGUUUCACGCUGUUAUCUUGUCUUCUUUGUAUGUUUUAUGUAUCGUUUUAUAUCUUUUUGAGACUAACUUAUUAAUCCAGUGCCAAGUGCGAGUUCCUGUUUUUUCCGUGUUUUUGACUCUUUUCAGAUCUGAUUUUGGAACGGAGUCCAAACGGAAUAAAAACCCCAAAAUGAUUAUUUCGAGAACGAAAGAAGACCAGGGAGCCUUUGGGCCAAGCCAGGUGGGCCCCAGGGAGCCCAAAAGCUCCCACCAUGCCACCAGGGGGGAGGCGGCGGUGGGCAAGCUUGUGGCUUCCCUGGCCGCCCCCUGACCUAGGUCUUGCGCCUAUAUAUUCCCAAAUAUUCCGCAAAAAAUCAAGGGAGCCUCGAAAAUACUUUUCCGCCGCCGCAAGCUUCCGUUUCCGCGAGAUCUCAUCUGGAGACCCUUCCCGGCGCCCUGCCGGAGGGGACUUUGGAGGUGGAGGGCUUCUUCAUCAUCAUCAUCGCCCCUCCAAUGACUCGUGAGUAGUUCACUUCAGACCUAUGGGUCCAUAGUUAGUAGCUAGAUGGCUUCUUCUCUCUCUUGGAUCUUCAACACAAAGUUCUCCAUGAUCUUCAUGGAGAUCUAUCCGAUGUAAUCUUCUUUGGCGGUGUGUUUGUUGAGAUCCGAUGAAUUGUGGACUUGUGAUCAGAUUAUCUAUGAUAUAUAUUUGAGUCUUUGUUGAUUUCUUAUAUGCAUGAUUUGAUAUCCUUGUAAGUCUCUUCGAGUCUUGGGUUUUGUUUGGCCAACUAGAUCUAUGAUUCUUGCAAUGGGAGAAGUGCUUGGUUUUGGGUUCUGCCAUGUGGUGACCUUUCCACUUAACCUUACCUCACCCAUUAAGCUUCGCUAGUCUUGAUACCUUUGGAAAUGAGAUUGCUGAGUCCCCUGUGGUUCACAGAUUACUACAACACCAGUUGCAGGUACAGGUAAAGGUUACUUGACGCGAGCGCGUUGAUUGUUCAUUUGGAGUUGCUUCUUCUUAUUCUUCUUCAUCGAUCUAGGAAGGGUUCCAGGCUGGCAGCCUGGGAUAGCAAGGAUGGACGUCGUUCUUCUUUCUCGUUUGUUUUCGUCCGUAGUCGGACCCUGCUCUUCUUCAUGAUUUUAUGUAUUGUACUAAUGUGACUCUGAUGUAGCUUGUGGCGAGUGUAAGCCAAAUCUAUAUAUAUAUAUAUAUAUCUUCUUUUCAGUACAUGUACUAGUAAUGAUAUCCAUUCUUGCGACACGACGAGAUGCGCUUCUAUCUCUGAUGAGGCCCUCGUGCCAAAUUGAGGAUAUGGUCGCAUCUUGGGCGUGACACGCACCCAAUACAAUGGUAAGUUGUAUAGGUGCACUAGUUCGGCGAAGAGAUGGUGAUACAAGUGCAAUAUGGAUGGUAGAUAUAGGUUUUUGUAAUCUGAAAUUACAAAAACAGCAAGGUAACUAGUAACAAAAGUGAGCACGAACGGUAUUGCAAUGCGUGGAAACAAGGCCUAGGGUUCAUACUUUCACUAGUGAAGUUCUCUCAAUAAUGAUAACAUAAUUGGAUCAUAUAAGUAGCCCUCAACAUGCAACAAAGAGUCACUCCAAAGUCACUAAUAUAGGAGAACAAACGAAGAGAUUAUUGUUGGGUACGAAACCACCACAAAGUUAUUCUUUCUGAUCGAUCUAUUCAAGAGUCCGUAGUAAAAUAGCACGAAGCUAUUCUUUCCGUUCAGUCUUUCAUAGAGUUCAUACUAGAAUAACACCUUAAGAUACAUAUCAACCAAGACCCUAAUGUCACCUAGAUACUCCAUUGUCACCUCAAGUAUCCGUGGGCAUGAUUAUACGAUAUGCAUCACGUAAUCUCAGAAUCAUCUAUUCAACCAACACAUAGAACUUCAAAGAGUGCCCCAAAGUUUCUACUGGAGAGUCAAAACGUGUGCCAACCCCUAUGCAUAGGUUCCCAAUGUCACGAACCCGCAAGUUGAUCACUAAAACAUACAUCGAGUACUCACAUGAAUCAAACGUGUGCCAACCCAUAUGCAUAGGUUCCCAAUGUCACAAACCAGCAAGUUGAUCACCGCAGAUAGACACGUGCAAGACAUACAUCAAGUGUUCUCAAAGACUCAAUCCGAUAAGAUAACUUCAAAGGGGAAACUCAAUUCGUUACAAGAAGGGAGAGGGGGAAGAACAUCAUAAGAUCCAACUAUAGUAGCAAAGUCCACGAUACAUCCAGAUCAAGACAUCUCAAGAACACGAGAGAGAGAGAGAUCAAACACAUAGCUACUGGUACAUACCCUCAGCCCCGAGGGAGAACUACUCCCUCCUCGUCAUGGAGAUCGCCGGGAUGAUGAAGAUGGCCACCGGAGAUGGAUUCCCCCUCCGGCAGGGUGCCGGAACGGGCUCCAGAUUGGUUUUUGGUGGGUACACAGGCUUGCGGCGGCGAAACUCCCGAUCUAGGUUUCUUUUUGGGGGUUUCUGUAUUUAUAGGAAUUUAUGGCGGUGGAAUUAUGUCGGUUGGGCCCACGAGGAGGUCACAAGCCUGGUAGGUGCGGCCUAGGGGGGUGGUCGCGCCUCCCGGGAUUGUGACUCCCUCGUGGCUCUUCUGUCCUUCUUCCAAACCUUCGGGGGUCUCUUUUGGUAAAAAAGAAAUCAUCGUAAAGUUUUAUUCCAUUUGGACUCCAUCUGAAAAAGGGUCAAAAACACGGAAAAAACAGAAACUGGCACUCGGCACUGAGUUAAUAGUUAAGUCCCAAAAAAGAUAUAAAAUAGCAUAUUCAUGCAUAUAAAACAUCCAAAGUUGACAAGAUAAUAGCAUGGAACCAUAAAAAAUUAUAGAUACGUUGGAGACGUAUCACUGGAUACUGAUCGGGAUCUUGUCCCUAAUAAGAACCCCGCACUGAUUAGCAAAUGCUUCCUUUGUCCGGUAUGGUUCAAUCGGCUUGCCAUCGCGCGCGAUUGCUAUGAUCUCAAUGAUGGGGAACGUCGCAUGGGAAACAAAAAAUUUCCUACGCGCACGAAGACCUAUCAUGGUGAUGUCCAUCUACGAGAGGGGAUGAGUGAUCUACGUACCCUUGUAGAUCGUACAGCAGAAGCGUUAGUGAACGCGGUUGAUGUAGUGGAACGUCCUCACGUCCCUCGAUCCGCCCCGCGAACAAUCCCGCGAUCAGUCCCAUGAUCUAGUACCGAACGGACGGCACCUCCGCGUUCAGCACACGUACAGCUCGACGAUGAUCUCGGCCUUCUUGAUCCAGCAAGAGAGACGGAGAGGUAGAAGAGUUCUCUGGCAGCGUGACGGCGCUCCAGAGGUUGGUGAUGACCUUGUCUCAGCAGGGCUCCGCCCGAGCUCCGCAGAAACGCGAUCUAGAGGAAAAACCGUGGAGGUAUGUGGUCGGGCUGCCGUGGAAAAGUCGUCUCAAAUCAGCCCUAAAACCUCCGUAUAUAUAGGUGGGAGGGAGGGGACCUUGCCUUGGGGCUCAAGGAGCCCCAAGGGGGUCGGCCGAGUCCAAGGGGGGAGGACUCCCCCCCCAAACCGAGUUGGACUUGGUUUGGUGGGAGGGAGUCCCCCUUCGUUCCCACCUCCUUCCCUUUUUUUUUUCCUUUUCUCUUGAUUUUAUCUUCUUGGCGCAUAGAGCCCUUUUGGGCUGUCCCACCAUCCCACUAAGGGCUGGUGUGCCACCCUCAAGGCCUAUGGGCUUCCCCGGGGUGGGUUGCCCCCCCGGAGAACUCCCGGAACCUAUUCGUCAUUCCCGGUGCAUUCCCGGUAACUCCGAAAACCUUCCGGUAAUCAAAUGAGGUCAUCCUAUAUAUCAAUCUUCAUUUCCGGACUAUUCUGGAAACCCUCGUGACGUCCGUGAUCUCAUCCGGGACUCCGAACAACAUUCGGUAACCAACCAUAUAACUCAAAUACGCAUAAAACAACGUCGAACCUUAAGUGUGCAGACCCUGCGGGUUCGAGAACUAUGCAGACAUGACCCGAGAGACUCCUCGGUCAAUAUCCAAUAGCAGGACCUGGAUGCCCAUAUUGGAUCCUACAUAUUCUACGAAGAUCUUAUCGUUUGAACCUCAGUGCCAAGGAUUCAUAUAAUCCCGUAUGUCAUUCCCUUUGUCCUUCGGUAUGUUACUUGCCCGAGAUUCGAUCGUCAGUAUCCGUAUACCUAUUUCAAUCUCGUUUACCGACAAGUCUCUUUACUCGUUCCGCAAUACAAGAUCCCGCAACUUACACUAAGUUAUAUUGCUUGCAAGGCUUGUGUGUGAUGUUGUAUUACCGAGUGGGCCCCGAGAUACCUCUUCGUCACACGGAGUGACAAACCCCAGUCUUGAUCCAUACUAACUCAGCUAACACCUUCGGAGAUACCUGUAGAGCAUCUUUAUAGUCACCCAGUUACGUUGCGACGUUUGAUACACACAAAGCAUUCCUCCGGUGUCAGUGAGUUAUAUGAUCUCAUGGUCAUAGGAAUAAAUACUUGACAAGCAGAAAACAGUAGCAACAAAAUGACACGAUCAACAUGCUACGUCUAUUAGUUUGGGUCUAGUCCAUCACGUGAUUCUCCUAAUGACGUGAUCCAGUUAUCAAGCAACAACACCUUGUUCAUAAUCAGAAGACACUGACUAUCUUUGAUCAACUGGCUAGCCAACUAGAGGCUUGCUAGGGACGGUGUUUUGUCUAUGUAUCCACACAUGUAAAUGAGUCUUCAUUCAAUACAAUUAUAGCAUGGAUAAUAAACGAUUAUCUUGAUACAGGAAUAAUAAUAAUAAAUAUAUUUAUUAUUGCCUCUAGGGCAUAAUUCCAACAGUCUCCCACUUGCACUAGAGUCAAUAAUCUAGCCCUCACAUCACCAUGUGAAUUACAUUGUAAUAAAUCUAACACCCAUACAGUUCUGGUGUUGAUCAUGCUUUGGCCGUGGAAGAGGUUUAGUCAGCGGGUCCGCUACAUUCAGAUCCGUGUGCACUUUGCAUAUAUUCACGUCCUCUGCCUCGACGUAGUCGCGGAUGAGGUUGAAGCGUCGUUUGAUGUGUCUGGUCUUCUUGUGAAACCGUGGUUCCUUUGCUAAGGCAAUGGCACCAGUGUUGUCACAGAACAAGGUUAUUGGAUUCAGUGCGCUUGGCACCACUCCAAGAUCCGUCAUGAACUGCUUCAUCCAGACACCCUCCUUAGCCGCCUCCGAGGCAGCCAUGUACUCCGCUUCACAUGUAGAAUCUGCUACGACGCUUUGCUUGGAACUGCACCAGCUUACUGCACCCCCAUUAAGAAUAAAUACGUAUCCGGUUUGCGACUUAGAGUCGUUCGGAUCUGUGUCAAAGCUUGCAUCGACGUAACCUUUUACGGCGAGCUCUUCGUCACCUCCAUACACGAGUAACAUCUCCUUAGUCCUUUUCAGGUACUUCAGGAUAUUCUUGACCGCUGUCCAGUGAUCCACUCCUGGAUUACUCUGGAACCUACCUGCCAUACUUAUGGCCAGGCUAACAUCCGGUCUAGUGCACAACAUCGCAUACAUGAUAGAACCUAUGGCUGAAGCAUAGGGGACGGAGCGCAUAUGCUCUCUAUCUUCAUCAGUUGCUGGGCACUGAGUCUUACUCAAUCUCGUACCUUGUAGAACUGGCAAGAACCCUUUCUUGGACUGUUCCAUUUUGAACCUCUUCAAAACUUUAUCAAGGUAUGUGCUUUGUGAAAGUCCUAUCAGGCGUUUUGAUCUAUCCCUAUAGAUCUUAAUGCCUAGAAUGUAAGCAGCUUCUCCUAGGUCCUUCAUAGAGAAAAUUUUAUUCAAGUAAUCCUUUAUGCUCUCUAAAAACUCUACGUUGUUUCCAAUCAGUAAUAUGUCAUCCACAUAUAAUAUUAGAAACGCCACAGAGCUCCCACUCACUUUCUUGUAAAUACAAGAUUCUCCAACCACUUGUAUAAACCCAAAUGCUUUGAUCACCUCAUCAAAGCGUUUGUUCCAACUCCGAGAUGCUUGCACCAGUCCAUAAAUGGAUCGCUGGAGCUUGCACACCUUGUUAGCAUUCUUAGGAUCGACAAAACCUUCGGGUUGUAUCAUAUACAACUCUUCCUUAAGGAAACCGUUAAGGAACGCCGUUUUGACAUCCAUCUGCCAGAUUUCAUAAUCGAAAAAUGCAGCUAUUGCUAACAUGAUUCUGACGGACUUAAGCAUCGCUACGGGUGAGAAUGUCUCAUCGUAGUCAACUCCUUGAACUUGUGAAAAACCCUUUGCCACAAGUCGAGCUUUAUAAAUGGUCACAUUGCCGUCAGCGUCCGUCUUCUUCUUAAAGAUCCAUUUGUUCUGAAUAGCCUUGCGGCCCUCAGGUAGUACCUCCAAAGUCCACACUUUGUUCUCAUACAUGGAUCCUAUCUCGGACUUCAUGGCUUCCAGCCAUUUGUUGGAAUCUGGGCCCACCAUUGCUUCUUCAUAAUUCGCAGGUUCAUUGUUGUCUAACAACAUGAUUGAUAAGACGGGAUUACCGUACUACUCUGGAGCAGCACGUGGUCUCGUCGACCUGCGUGGUUGACAGAAACUUGAACUGGAGUUUCAUGAUCAUCAUCAUUAACUUCCUCCUCAACUGGCGUCACAAUGACAGAGGUUUCCCCUUGCCCUGCGCCACCAUCCAGAGGGAUGAGAGGUUCUACAACCUCGUCAAGUUCUAUCUUCCUCCCACUCAAUUCUCUCGAGAGAAACUCCUUCUCGAGAAAAGCUCCGUUUUUAGCAACAAACACUUUGCCCUCGGAUUUGAGAUAGAAGGUGUACCCAACUGUCUCUUUUGGGUAACCUAUGAAGACGCACUUUUCCGCUUUGGGUUCCAGCUUUUCAGGCUGAAGCUUUUUGACAUAAGCAUCACAUCCCCAAACUUUAAGAAACGACAACCUUGGCCUUUUGCCAUACCACAGUUCGUAUGGUGUCGUCUCAACGGAUUUUGAUGGUGCCCUAUUUAAAGUGAAUGCAGCUGUUUCUAAUGCAUAGACUCAAAAUGAUAACGGCAAAUCAGUAAGAGACAUCAUAGAUCGCACCAUCUCUAAUAGAGUACGAUUACGACGUUCGGACACACCAUUACGCUGUGGUGUUCAAUUCCACAUUGUCUUAAGUGAGAACCAAACUCGAAACUCAGAUAUUCACCCCCACGAUCAGACCGUAGGAACUUGAUCUUCUUGUUACGAUGAUUUUACACUUCACUCUGAAACUGCUUGAACUUUUCAAAUGUUUCAGACUUGUGUUUCAUCAAGUAGACAUAACCAUAUCUACUUAAAUCGUCAGUGAAGGUGAGAAAAUAACGAUAUCCGCCGCGUGCCUCCACGCUCAUCGGACCACACACAUCAGUAUGUAUGAUUUCCAACAAGUCACUUGCACGCUCCAUUGUUCCUGAGAACGGAGUCUUAGUCAUCUUGCCCAUGAGGCAUGGUUCGCACGUGUCAAGUGAAUCAAAGUCAAGUGACUCCAAAAGUCCAUCAGCAUGGAGUUUCUUCAUGCGCUUUACACCAAUAUGAUGUAAGCGGCAGUGCCACAAAAAUAUGGCGCUAUCAUUGUUAACUCUAACUCUUUUGGUCUCAGUGUUAUGUAUAUGCGUAUCACUAUCAAGAUUCAAUAUGAAAAAUCCUCUCACAUUCGGUGCAUGACCAUAAAAGAUGUUACUCAUAGAAAUAGAACAACCAUUAUUCUCUGACUUAAAAGAGUAACCGUCUCGCAAUAAACAAGAUCCAGAUAUAAUGUUCAUGCUCAACGCAGGCACUAAAUAACAAUGAUUUAAGUUCAUCACUAAUCCUGAUGGUAACUGAAGUGACACUAUGCCGACGGCGAUUGCAUCAACCUUGGAACCAUUUCCUACGCGCAUCGUCACUUCAUCUUUCGCCAGCCUUCGCCUAUUCCGCAGUUCCUGUUUCGAGUUGUAAAUAUGAGCAACAAAACCGGUAUCGAAUACCCAGGCACUACUACGAGAGCCGGUUAAGUACACAUCAAUAACAUGUAUAUCAAAUAUACCUGAUUUUUCUUUGCCCGCCUUCUUAUCUGCCAGAUACUUGGGGCAAUUGCGCUUCCAGUGACCCAUACCCUUGCAAUAGUAACACUCUGUUUCCGGCUUAGGUCCAGCUUUGGGUUUCUUCGUCGGAUUGGCAACAGGCUUGCCGCUCUUCUUCGAAUUGCCCUUCUUGCCUUUGCCGUUUCUCUUGAAACUAGUGGUCUUAUUCACCAUCAACACUUGAUGCUCUUUACGGAGUUCAGACUCUGCGACUUUCAGCAUCGCAAACAACUCGCCGGGAGACUUGUUCAUCCCUUGCAUGUUGUAGUUCAACACAAAGCCUUUAUAGCUUGGCGGCAGUGAUUGAAGGAUUCUGUCAGUGAUAGCUUCUUGCGGGAGUUCAAUCCCCAGCUCAGCUAGACGGUUUGAGUACCCAGACAUUUUGAUCACAUGUUCACUGACAGAUGAGUUUUCCUCCAUCUUGCAAGCAUAGAAUUUAUCGGAGGUCUCAUACCUCUCGAUCCGGGCGUUCUUCUGAAAGAUAAACUCCAACUCCUGGAACAUCUCAAAUGCUCCAUGACGCUCAAAGCGACGUUGAAGUCACGGUUCUAAGCCAUACAAGACUGCACAUUGAACUAUUGAGUAGUCCUCCUUACGUGCUAACCAAGCGUUCUUAACAUCCUGAUCAGCCGUAGCGGGUGUUCAUCUCCUAACGCAUCAUUAAGGACAUAAUCCUUCUUCCCAGCUUGUAAGAUUAGCUUAAGAUUACGAGCCCAGUCUACAAAGUUGCUUCCAUCAUCUUUCAACUUAGCUUUCUCUAGGAACGUAUUAAAAUUCAGGAUGACUGUCGCGUGAGCCAUGAUCUACAACACAAAUAUAUUCAAAGUGGACUUAGACUAUGUUCAAGAUAAUUAGAGUUUAACUUAAUCAAACUAUUCGCUAAACUCCCACUCAAAAAGUACAUCUCUCUAGUCAUUUGAGUGGUUCAUGAUCCACUUACACUAGCUCAAGUCCGAUCAUCACGUGAGUUGAGUAUAGUUUCAGUGGUAAGCAUCCCUAUGCUAAUCAUAUCAUCUAUAUGAUUCAUGAUCGACCUUUCGGUCUCAUGUGUUCCGAGGCCAUGUCUGCACAUGCUAGGCUCGUCAAGCUUAACCCGAGUGUUCCACGUGCGCAACUGUUUUGCACCCGUUGUAUGUGAACGUUGAGUCUAUCACACCCGAUCAUCACGUGGUGUCUCGAAACGACGAACUGUAGCAACGGUGCACAUUCGGGGAGAACACAAUUUCGUCUUGAAAUUUUAGUGAGAGAUCACCUCAUAAUGCUACCGUCGUUCUAAGCAAAAUAAGGUGCAUAAAAGGAUUAACAUCACAUGCAAUUCAUAAGUGACAUGAUAUGGCCAUCAUCACGUGCUUCUUGAUCUCCAUCACCAAAGCACCGACACGAUCUUCUUGUCACCGGCGCCACACCAUGAUCUCCAUCUACGUGUUGACAUCGGGGUUGUCGUGCUACUCACGCUAUUACUACUAAAGCUACUUCCUAGCAAAAUAGUAAACGCAUCUGCAAGCACACACGUUAGUAUAAAGACAACCCUAUGGCUCCUGCCGGUUGCCGUACCAUCGACGUGCAAGUCGAUAUUUCUAUUACAACAUGAUCAUCUCAUACAUCCAAUAUAUCACAUCACAUCAUUGGCCAUAUCACAUCACAAGCAUACCCUGCAAAAACAAGUUAGACGUCCUCUAAUUUUGUUGUUGCAUGUUUUACGUGGUGACCAUGGGUAUCUAGUAGGAUCGCAUCUUACUUACGCAAACACCACAACGGAGAUAUAUGAGUUGCUAUUUAAUCUCAUCCAAGGACCUCCUCGGUCAAAUCCGAUUCAACUAAAGUUGGAGAAACCGACACUUGCCAGUCAUCUUUGAGCAAUGGAGUUACUCGUAACGAUGAAACCAGUCUCUCGUAAGCGUACGAGUAAUGUCGGUCCAAGCCGCUUCAAUCCAACAAUACCGCGGAAUCAAGAAAAGACUAAGGAGGGCAGCAAAACGCACAUCACCGCCCACAAAAACUUUUGUGUUCUACUCGAGAAGACAUCUACGCAUGAACCUAGCUCAUGAUGCCACUGAUGGGGAACGUCGCAUGGGAAACAAAAAUUUUCCUACGCGCACGAAGACCUAUCAUGGUGAUGUCCAUCUACGAGACGGGAUGAGUGAUCUACGUACCCUUGUAGAUCGUACAGCAGAAGCGUUAGUGAACGCGGUUGAUGUAGUGGAACGUCCUCACGUCCCUCGAUCCGCCCCGCGAACAAUCCCGCGAUCAGUCCCACGAUCUAGUACCGAACGGACGGCACCUCCGCGUUCAGCACACGUACAGCUCGACGAUGAUCUCGGCCUUCUUGAUCCAGUAAGAGAGACGGAGAGGUAGAAGAGUUCUCCGGCAGCGUGACGGCGCUCCGGAGGUUGGUGAUGACCUUGUCUCAGCAGGGCUCCGCCCGAGCUCCGCAGAAACGCGAUCUAGAGGAAAAACCGUGGAGGUAUGUGGUCGGGCUGCCGUGGAAAAGUCGUCUCAAAUCAGCCCUAAAACCUCCGUAUAUAUAGGUGGGAGGGAGGGGACCUUGCCUUGGGGCUCAAGGAGCCCCAAGGGGGUCGGCCGAGUCCAAGGGGGGAGGACUCCCCCCCCAAACCGAGUUGGACUUGGUUUGGUGGGAGGGAAUCCCCCUUCCUUCCCACCUCCUCCUUUUUUUUUCCUUUUCUCUUGAUUUUCUCUUCUUGGCGCAUAGAGCCCUUUUGGGCUGUCCCACCAGCCCACUAAGGGCUGGUGUGCCACCCUCAAGGCCUAUGGGCUUCCUCGGGGUGGGUUGCCCCCCCGGUGAACUCCCGGAACCUAUUCGUCAUUCCCGGUACAUUCCCGGUAACUCCGAAAACCUUCCGGUAAUCAAAUGAGGUCAUCCUAUAUAUCAAUCUUUGUUUCCGGACUAUUCCGGAAACCCUCGCGACGUCCGUGAUCUCAUCCGGGACUCCGAACAACAUUCAGUAACCAAAUAUAUAACUCAAAUACGCAUAAAACAACGUCGAACCUUAAGUGUGCAGACCCUGCGGGUUCGAGAACUAUGCAGACAUGACCCGACAGACUCCUCGGUCAAUAUCCAAUAGCGGGACCUGGAUGCCCAUAUUGGAUCCUACAUAUUCUACGAAGAUCUUAUCGUUUGAACCUCAGUGCGAAGGAUUCAUAUAAUCCCGUAUGUCAUUCCCUUUGUCCUUCGGUAUGUUACUUGCCCGAGAUUCGAUCGUCAGUAUCCGUAUACCUAUUUCAAUCUCGUUUACCGGCAAGUCUCUUUACUCGUUACGCAAUACAAGAUCCCGCAACUUACACUAAGUUAUAUUGCUUGCAAGGCUUGUGUGUGAUGUUGUAUUACCGAGUGGGCCCCGAGAUACCUCUCCGUCACACGGAGUGACAAAUCCAAGUCUUGAUCCAUACUAACUCAACUAACACCUUCGGAGAUACCUGUAGAGCAUCUUUAUAGUCACCCAGUUACGUUGCGACGUUUGAUACACACAAAGCAUUCCUCCGGUGUCAGUGAGUUAUAUGAUCUCAUGGUCAUAGGAAUAAAUACUUGACAUGCAGAAAACAGUAGCAACAAAAUGACACGACCAACAUGCUAUGUCUAUUAGUUUGGGUCUAGUCCAUCACGUGAUUCUCCUAACGACGUGAUCCAGUUAUCAAGCAACAACACCUUGUUCAUAAUCAGAAGACACUGACUAUCUUUGAUCAACUGGCUAGCCAACUAGAGGCUUGCUAGGGACGGUGUUUUGUCUAUGUAUCCACACAUGUAAAUGAGUCUUCAUUCAAUACAAUUAUAGCAUGGAUAAUAAACGAUUAUCUUGAUACAUGAAUUAUAAUAAUAAAUAUAUUUAUUAUUGCCUCUAGGGCAUAAUUCCAACACUCAAACCUUUCAUCCGAGCGCAACUUUUUCUUCGGGCCUCGUCUCUUUACCGAAGUUGUGCUCGAUCCAGAGGGCUAGAAAAAGAAGAAAGACGAGAGUUAAUUAAUAUGUGUACAUACGAAAACAAUGAAUGCAUCAAUUAGCUAGUCAGCACAGGCUUAACUAAUAUAUAUACCUGGCCGAACUCGGUUCGGUCACCGGAGCCAUCAUAAUCAUAACCUUCUUCUUGUGCCGGCAUUAAUGGGUCACCUGAGCCAUCAUAAUCGUAGCCUUCUUAUUCACCCUGUCCUUCUAGACCAUCGGUGUCUUUGAGAAACGACAAGACGACAUCACUUCCUUUUGCGAUUAUUUCCCCCAACAUCUCUUCUGUUGCUUCGUCUCGGGGGUGCUCCAAAGUUUCUGCAAAUAUUUACAACAUGGCAAUUAUUAUUCAAACAUGAAAGAUGGAUAUAUUAGUGGCAAACGUAGAACUAGCUAGCUAAUCACAAUAAGGAAUCAUAUUAGUGGCCUUGACGCUGCUUCUCUAGGGUUUGGGGUGGCCUUGGCAACGCUUCAAGGGUUUGGGUUGGCCUCGAGAACACUUCAAGGGUUUGGGGUGGCCUCGACGACAAUGCUCUUUUAACUUGGUUAAUUUUGGUGGCCUCAAGAGAGUUUGUCGGGUAGGGGCGCGAUGGGAGGGGUUAGGAAACCAACAUCGUUUUUUCRAGGGUUUGGGUAUAUCGGGAGGGGGUAUAUCGACCCCCCCCGUGUUGAAGUUAUCGGGAGGGGGUAUAUCGACAACGACAUACCCGAUAAAAAAUAAGAAGACAAAAGAAGAAAUAAAAAGAGGAGAAGAAGAAAGGAAUAGAAGAGAAGCGAUCGAAGAAAAAAAAGAAGAAGAAAAGGAGAAGAAGAAAGGAAUAGAGAAGAAGAAGNNNNNNNNNNNNNNNNNNNNNNNNNNNNNNNNNNNNNNNNNNNNNNNNNNNNNNNNNNNNNNNNNNNNNNNNNNNNNNNNNNNNNNNNNNNNNNNNNNNNNNNNNNNNNNNNNNNNNNNNNNNNNNNNNNNNNNNNNNNNNNNNNNNNNNNNNNNNNNNNNNNNNNNNNNNNNNNNNNNNNNNNNNNNNNNNNNNNNNNNNNNNNNNNNNNNNNNNNNNNNNNNNNNNNNNNNNNNNNNNNNNNNNNNNNNNNNNNNNNNNNNNNNNNNNNNNNNNNNNNNNNNNNNNNNNNNNNNNNNNNNNNNNNNNNNNNNNNNNNNNNNNNNNNNNNNNNNNNNNNNNNNNNNNNNNNNNNNNNNNNNNNNNNNNNNNNNNNNNNNNNNNNNNNNNNNNNNNNNNNNNNNNNNNNNNNNNNNNNNNNNNNNNNNNNNNNNNNNNNNNNNNNNNNNNNNNNNNNNNNNNNNNNNNNNNNNNNNNNNNNNNNNNNNNNNNNNNNNNNNNNNNNNNNNNNNNNNNNNNNNNNNNNNNNNNNNNNNNNNNNNNNNNNNNNNNNNNNNNNNNNNNNNNNNNNNNNNNNNNNNNNNNNNNNNNNNNNNNNNNNNNNNNNNNNNNNNNNNNNNNNNNNNNNNNNNNNNNNNNNNNNNNNNNNNNNNNNNNNNNNNNNNNNNNNNNNNNNNNNNNNNNNNNNNNNNNNNNNNNNNNNNNNNNNNNNNNNNNNNNNNNNNNNNNNNNNNNNNNNNNNNNNNNNNNNNNNNNNNNNNNNNNNNNNNNNNNNNNNNNNNNNNNNNNNNNNNNNNNNNNNNNNNNNNNNNNNNNNNNNNNNNNNNNNNNNNNNNNNNNNNNNNNNNNNNNNNNNNNNNNNNNNNNNNNNNNNNNNNNNNNNNNNNNNNNNNNNNNNNNNNNNNNNNNNNNNNNNNNNNNNNNNNNNNNNNNNNNNNNNNNNNNNNNNNNNNNNNNNNNNNNNNNNNNNNNNNNNNNNNNNNNNNNNNNNNNNNNNNNNNNNNNNNNNNNNNNNNNNNNNNNNNNNNNNNNNNNNNNNNNNNNNNNNNNNNNNNNNNNNNNNNNNNNNNNNNNNNNNNNNNNNNNNNNNNNNNNNNNNNNNNNNNNNNNNNNNNNNNNNNNNNNNNNNNNNNNNNNNNNNNNNNNNNNNNNNNNNNNNNNNNNNNNNNNNNNNNNNNNNNNNNNNNNNNNNNNNNNNNNNNNNNNNNNNNNNNNNNNNNNNNNNNNNNNNNNNNNNNNNNNNNNNNNNNNNNNNNNNNNNNNNNNNNNNNNNNNNNNNNNNNNNNNNNNNNNNNNNNNNNNNNNNNNNNNNNNNNNNNNNNNNNNNNNNNNNNNNNNNNNNNNNNNNNNNNNNNNNNNNNNNNNNNNNNNNNNNNNNNNNNNNNNNNNNNNNNNNNNNNNNNNNNNNNNNNNNNNNNNNNNNNNNNNNNNNNNNNNNNNNNNNNNNNNNNNNNNNNNNNNNNNNNNNNNNNNNNNNNNNNNNNNNNNNNNNNNNNNNNNNNNNNNNNNNNNNNNNNNNNNNNNNNNNNNNNNNNNNNNNNNNNNNNNNNNNNNNNNNNNNNNNNNNNNNNNNNNNNNNNNNNNNNNNNNNNNNNNNNNNNNNNNNNNNNNNNNNNNNNNNNNNNNNNNNNNNNNNNNNNNNNNNNNNNNNNNNNNNNNNNNNNNNNNNNNNNNNNNNNNNNNNNNNNNNNNNNNNNNNNNNNNNNNNNNNNNNNNNNNNNNNNNNNNGUUGCCAUCAAGGGUAAAAAGAUGGGGUUUUUAUCAUUGGUUUGAGAUUAUCCCUCUACAUCAUGUCAUCUUGCCUAAGGCGUUACUCUGUUCUUAUGGACUUAAUACACUAGAUGCAUGCUGGAUAGCGGUCGACGUGUGGAGUAAUAGUAGUAGAUGCAGACAGUAUCGGUCUACUUGUUUCGGACGUGAUGCCUAUAGAAAUAAUCAUUGCAUAGAUAUCAUCACGACUCUGCACAGUUCUAUCAAUUGCUCGAUAGUAAUUUGUUCACCCAUCGUCUACUUGCUUUCAUGAGAGAAGCCACUAGUAAACACUACGGCCCCCGGGUCUAUUCACAUCCAUCGUUUACAACUCUGCUUUUACUUUGCUUUGUUACUUUGUUGCUUUCAGUUCUCACUUGGCAAACAAUCUAUAAGGGAUUGACAACCCCUUCAUAGUGUUGGGUGCAAGCUUUUGUGUUUGUGCAGGAUCUUGAGAUACUCUUCCGCCGGAUUGAUGCCUUGGUUCUCAAACUGAGGGAAAUACUUACCACCGCUACACUAAAUCACCCUUUCUGCUUCGAGGGAACACCAACUCAAGGCUCCAAGGCCACGGGGGAAAUCCUUUGCAUACUUGCCUAGGAAGUCCCUUAAGGCGUAGCCGCAACAGAAAGAUCAAGCCAAGUAUUCUCCCGUCGACGUGCCUAUUUCUGGCGCCAUUGCCAGGGAUACCCAACAAACGUCAGAAGUAUUUCUGGCGCCAUUGGAAGGUCUUUUGUUGCAGUAGCACGCGGCGCGGCAACAUGAUUUAAAACACCGAAACACGUCCGACGAUAGACCGAAUACGGUGCCACUAUGGUCGACCGUUCGGGUACCAGACGGACUCCGAUUGCGACGAAAUUCGACAGGCGGCCUAGCUAUAUUAAAAUAAGACCGCAUGUCAAAUUCCAACCCAAUUAGAGAAUGUUUUUAACACACUUUUAAAAACAAGAUUUAAACGAUGCCGCGGGCGUGUGCGUGUGUGGUCGGGCUCAGAACGGACAACGACGAGAACCGACAACUACCAACGGAUGCAAGUUUGAAAACUGGCGGCAACGGAGAUGCCUAUGCAAUGCUGAUGAUGCGCAUGAUGCGACAAAUAAAAAUAAACACACGACGAAAACGGAAUAGAAGGGGGGAAUCUUCUGGAACGUCGGUCUCGGGCUGUCACAGUGGGACCUGAGGCUCCUCUCGAGCCGGAGUCUUCCACAACGACCGCAAGGUGUUCAACGCUUUGCCCAAGGUACAAAUGGACUCCAAUGAUGAGUAUUUUUUUCUACCACGUUCUUUUGGAGUCGAAUGAUUCUUUAUUUGAUGAUGAGGAGAUGGUGGCGGCCGCAUUGGUUGUCCAUGACCACGUAAGUAUGGAGCGCUCACAGUUUAAGGGCUCUAUAUAUGCCGAUGCACAUGCCGACACAGAGUUGCAACCGGGAGAAUGGCCAUUUCCUACUGUGGAAAGACUAUUUCGAGACCCAAAAUCCGCUCAUCAAACAUCACUUGUUCCACCAUCAUUUUCGGAUGGCCAGACAUGUUUUCAACCGUAUUCGAGAGGGGGUGGUUGAGUAAGAUAACUAUUUCGAGUGCAAGACGGAUGCCCUUGGAAAGAUUGGCUUUUCUCUUGUCAGAAUGCACUACUGUCAUUCGGAUGCUUGCAUAUGGAGUCCCCGACAAUCUCAUUGAUGAGUAUGUCCGGAUGAGUGAGUCCACCUGACUUUAGUCCAUGUAUAGAUUUUGCAGGGCUGUCAUAGCUGUGUUUGGGCCGGAGAAAUUGAGAGAGCCAACAUUUGUCGAUACCGCCCGGUUCUUGUCCAUGAAUGCCACUAGAGUGGUCCACGGGAUGCUUGGUAGCAUAGAUUGUAUGCACUAGAAGUGGAAAAACUGUUCUUCUGCUUGGCAAGGGGAGUAUAAGGGUCAUGUUUGAGCUUGCACUGUCAUACUUGAGUGUUGGAAAUAUGCCCUAGAGGCAAUAAUAAAUAGUUAUUAUUAUAUUUCUUGUUUUAAGAUAAUCGUUUAUUAUUCAUGAUAUAAUUGUAUUGAGCGGAAACACAAAUACAUGUGUGGAUACAUAGACAAAAUACUGCCCCUAGUAAGCCUCUAGUUGACUAGUUUGUUGAUCAAAGAUGGUUAGUGCUUCAUAGCCAUGGACAAGUGUUGUCACUUGAUAACGGGAUCACAUCAUUAGGAGAAUGAUGUCAUGGACAAGACCCAAACUAUGAACGUAGCAUAUGAUUGUGUUAUUUUGUUGCUAUUGUUUUCUGCAUGUCAAGUAUACAUUCCUAUGACCAUGAGAUCAUGUAACUCACUAACACCGGAGGAAUGCUUUGUGUGUAUCAAACGUCGCAACGUAACUGGGUGACUAUAAAGGUGCACUAUAGGUAUCUGCGAAGGUGUCCAUUGAGUUAGCAUGGAUCAGACUGGGAUUUGUCACUCCGUAUGACAGAGAGGUAUCUUGGGGCCCACUCGGUAAUACAACAUCACAAACAAGCCUUGCAAGCAAUGUGACUAAAGAGUUAGCCACGGGAUCUUGUAUUGUGGAACAAGUAAAGAGACUUGCCGAUCAUGAGAUUGAAACAGGUAUUGGGAUACCGACGAUCGAAUCUCAGACAAGUAACAUACCGAAGGACAAAGGGAAUGAUAUACGAGAUUAUGUGAAUCCUUGACAUAGAGGUUCAACCGAUGAGAUCAUCGUAGAAUAUGUAGGAUCCGAUAUGGGCAUCUAGGUCCAGCUAUUGGAUAUUGACCGGAGAGUGUCUCAGGUCAUGUCUACAUAGUUCUUGAACCCACAGGGUCUGCACGCUUAAGGUUCGGUGAUGUUUUUGUAUAGUUGAGUUAUGUGUGCUGGUGACCGAAGUUUUGUUCGAAGUCCCGGAUGACAUCCCGGACGUCACGAGGAGUUCCGGAAUGGUUCGGAGACAAAGACUGAUAUAUAGGGAGUUGGUGUUUGUAUUCCGGAAGGAUUUCGGGCAUUACCGGUAGUGUACCGAGAGUGACGAAUGGGUUCCGGGUGCCCACCUAGUGGGCCCACCACUCCCCAAGAGGGCCACGUGGACUUGAUGGUGGCGAAUAGCUCUUAGUGGGCUGUAUAGUCAACCAAAGAAAGCCUGUGAGGUAAAAGUGGUAAAACCAAAAGAGGUGGACAACUUGGGGAAGAGUCCUACUCCAAGUAGGAUUGGAGGAGGACUCCUCCUCUCUAGCUUCGGUCGAGCCCAAGGGGGUUUCCCUUGGUGCUCAAGGCUAGCCCCUCCUUCCUCCUAUAUAUACAAGAGGUUUUGGGGGGUUUUGAGACACAAUUUCAGCCACGUGCAACCCUAUCCUCUAGUUCGUAGUUCUUCCUCUAGAUUGGAUUUCUGCAGUGCUUAGGCGAAGCCCUACAGGAAUAGAUCACCACCACCACUGGAGCGUCGUCACGCUGCUGGGGAACUCAUCUACAUCCCCGUCUCUCUUGCUGGAUCAAGAAGGCGGAGAUUGUCAUCGAGCUGUACGUGUGCGGAACGCGGAGGUGUCGUCUGUUCGGUACUUGAUCAGGACGGAUCGUGGGACGACGUUUUGCAUCGCGAAGACGUACCACUACAUCAACCACGUUUAUUAAUGCUUCCCACUUAGCGAUCUACAAGGUUAUGUGGAUCCGAUGUCCCUCUCAUAGAUGAUCAUCACCAUGAUAGGUCGUCGUGUGCGUAGGAAAUUUUUUGUUUCCCAUGCAACGUUCACCAACAUUGAGGCCAUGGCUUUCCAAGAUCUCUGGAUUUGGCACGCUUUCUUCAGCAUGGCCGGAUCUCACAACGAUAUUAAUGUGCUCCAGUGCUCUCCGGUGUUUGCUAGAAUGGCAGAAGGCAAUUGCCCAGAGGUUAAUGUUGAGAUCAACGGGCACUAGUACACCAACGGACACUAUCUAGCUGGUCGUAUCUAUCCACAUUGGUCUACUCUUGUGAAAACAAUCUCCAACCCUGUAGGAGAGAAUAGUACGAGAUUUUCCCAAGAGCAAGAGAGUGUUAGAAAGGAUGUAGAGCAUACUUUUGGCGUUCUUCAAUCUUGAUGGGGCAUCGUUCAAUAUCCUGCUAGAACUUGGAGCAUGAAAAAGUUGUGGAAGGUGAUGACAAGUUGUGUGAUCAUGCACAACAUGAUUGUAGAGGAUGAGCGCCCAAAACGUCUCUGUGAUCAAGGUUUUGAGUUUCCGGAUGACAAUGUUGUGCCUGAACUUGCAGGAGAGGCAACGUUUGCAUAGUUCGUCAAGUUUCAUCAUAAAAUGCGUGAUUGGGAUACUCACAUGCAGCUGUAAAAUGAUUUGGUUGAGCAUAUGUGGAUUCAUGUCGGCAACCAGUAGAUGUACCGACAACCAUUUUUAAAAAUGUAUUUGAGACAAUUUUGUGUUAAACAAUGAUAUAUUUUUUGUAGUUCUCGAACUAUGCAAUGUUUUGUAUUGAACAUUUAUUAAUCUAGAAACAAUUUUUAUUAAUCAAAGCGACCAAAAAAUGACCGCAAGCCAGCCGCGCGGACAAAAAAUGGGUCGCCCCGUUGGGCGCAUGGCCGACCCAUUUGCAAAAGAGGCGGACGAGCCAACCCAAUUGUAGAAAUGGCGGACAAAGCAUGUGUCCGUCUGGGUCGCGCGGUUGGAGUUGCUUUUAUCCUCCUUUCCACUCUCGCUGACGGUGGCCUCAAUGUUCAAACAAUCAUAACACAUUUGAAUGUUGUUAAUUCUAAGACGUCUCUCUUUCUCGGCAUGACAAAUAUGCUUUUUUGUGAUAUUUUGACUAGGCAUGCAUGAUUAUAGUACCUUUUCCGUCUCCCAUACCGGUUUUGUUGGAGUAUUCAAUUUUAAUUCGGAUCGACGCCGAUAUGAGAAAAAGAUGGAUCAUGCGUUAUGGUUAAGGUUGCACCUUAAAUAGCAUUUUUAAAUGGUUAACGGGUAAAAUAUCAUCGUAUUUAGAUUCUACAUAUUCUUUUAAUUAAAUUUCAUAUAUAAUACUUUCCCUAUUGUUACAGAAGCUGCAUCUUAGAUUUCCUUUCCAAUUCCGUUUUGCCAGAUUGUCUUUUGUUAGAAUAACACCUUUGUGGACAAACCAUAUGAAGAUCUUUAUUCUGAGAGGCACUUUAACUUUCCAAAUACGCACGGAUUUUGGAAUAGGCACCACUUUUGGGGAACGUUGCAUGGGAAACAAAAAAUUUUCUAUGCAAACGAAGACCUAUCAUGGUGAUGUCCAUUUACGAGUGGAGAUUAGAUCUACGUACCCUUGUAGAUCGCACAACGGGAAGCGUUAAGAAACGCGGUUGAUGUAGUGGAACGUCUUCACGUCCCUCGAACCGUCCCACGAACCGUCCCUCGAUCUGCCCCACGAACCGUCUCGCGAUCCGUCCCACGAUCCAUCCCGAUCUAGCGCCGAACGGACGGCACCUCCGUGUUCAUGUGACAGCUCGAUGCCGACGUUCCAGAAGAUUCCCCCCUUUAUUCCGUUUUCGUCGUGUGACUUAUUUUAUUUGUCGCAUCAUCACCGCAUCAUGCACAUCAUCAGCAUUGCAUCGACAUCCGUUGCCGUCCGUUUUCAAAACUUGCAUCCGUUGUUAGUUGCUGGUACCCGUCGUUGUCCGUUCUGAGCCCGACCUCACACGCCCGCGCCCGCGGCAUCGUCAAAACCCUGUUUUAAAAGUGUGCGUAAAACUUUCUCUGAUUGGGUUGAGAUUUGACGUGCGGUGUUAUUUUAAUAUAGGUAGGCCGCCUGUCGAAUUUCGUCGCGAUCGGAGUCCGUCUGGUACCCGAACGGUCGACUGUAGCGGCACCGUAUUCGGACUACCGUCGGACGUUUGUCGGUGUUUUAAAUCGCGUUGCCGCGCCGCCCGUUUUCCCUCUCGUCUCUGGAUAACCACUCUUCACAGCCCACUAGUUCCACCUAGCCACUUCCUCCGUUCGUGGUCAUCAGAUCGCGAUCGGACGGACGAGGUCCACCCCACGAGAGACCAACCCUAUAUAAGUAACACCCCCCCAGAGAGAGCCCUCUCACUUCACUAGUGUUUCCCCUAGUCAUUUUUGCAGCCACCCCCUCAAAAACUCCACCUUCUAGCCCUCACCCUUCUAAAUCCUGCAGCCCAAACCCUCUGACCAAAUCUGGCCAUUGGAUUUGCAUCUAAUGGCUCACAUAGCCCCUAAUCUCACCUACCGGACAAUGUCCACCCAAGUGGACAAUGUCCGGGCGACCACAUGAGCCUCUCGUGCAGCCCGCAGCCUCCCGUUCUCCUCCUACACGCCUGCCUCAGCCAUCUCCCUCUCCUCCCACUGGUUCUCGUCGUCCGCAGCCGCCGGAUCGGUUCCCCGGCCAGGUCCGGCUCAUCCCCGCUACCCGCCGACCUCCUGGCAGCAGGUCACCGCCGGCCCCGUUCCCCUGCGCCGCCCCGCAGCCAGAUCUGGAGCUCGCAUCCCUGCAGCCGCCCGGAUCCAUCUUUCCCGACCGGCUCCUGGUCAGAUCCCGCGGAGAAGGUCUCAGGUCGUCGCCGCGCCGGGUCCCUGGGACGGCUCGAGUCGACGCAGAGGCGAGGCAGCGCUCGCUGGCCUCCCGCCGCCCCGCUCGCGUUGACCAGCGUCUGGUCGCGCGUGGCGCCAGCGCCACCAACCGCCGCGGCCCAGGCUCCUCCGCCCCGGCCCAGGUCGACGCCCCGCAGGCCGGCCUAGCUCGGCCUGCCUGCCUCCAGCUCCACCAGACCGACCCCAGGCCCACCUCAAGCCGGCCCAAGUGGCCUUGCCCAGGUGAGAAACCCCCCUGUUGAGUCCCUCUAUUCCUCGCCCCAGAUGUGUGAUUGCCAUUUUGCGCCCUAGUUCGGCCCAUUAGGUAAUUUAGGAUAUUUUAGAAUUUAUUUAAAAUUCCAGAAAUAGACGAAUAUUAUUUUGCCCGUAGAUUUUAUUCCGUAAGUCGGAUCACGACGUGUAGCAUAUGGAUUUCGCGUAGUUUUGCGCGUAGAAUACGUUGGUGCAACUUGCAUAUUUGUUUUACAUGACGUCCAGGCAUGAAAGUCGUUUGAGUAGAUUGCACUACCGAAUGAGCAACCUUAGUCAACCUAUUAGUUCCCACCUUUGUGAAAAUCUUGAAGCUAACAUUCAACAGUCAAAUAGGACGAAAUUUUUCAAUACGCACUGCCCCUUCCUUCUUUGGUAACAACGUAAUGGUACCAAAAUUCAGGUGAAAGAGUUUUAGUCUUCCACAGAACAAGUCAUGAAACAUUGGCAUAAAGUCAUUCUUAAUUAUAUGCCAACUCUUCUUAUAAAACUCAGCUGGAAACCCAUCCGGACCAGGAGCUUUGUUGUUCUUCAUUUUUCCUAUAGCCUCAAGCACCUCUUUCUCCGUGAAAGGAGCGGAUAAAAUCUCAUUAUCAACGUCUCUGAUUUGAGGAAUAUCCGCCACCCUUUGCUCAUCCAUAGAGACAAAACUAUGGUCUCGAGCUCCAAACAGCUGUUUGUAAUAUGAUGAAAUGUAUAAUUUUAGGUUCUCAUGACCUACUAUCAUACCUUCAUCUUGUUCUAGCUGCAAAAUUUUAUUUUCCUAUGCUUGCCAUUUUCAAUUAAAUGGGAAUUUUUUGUGUUAUUGUCCCCAUGGACAAUGGCCCUUACUUUGGCUCUAAGUGCCCAUUUCAUUUCCUCCUCUCUAAGGAGUAAUCACACUCUCUAUUCAACCUCGUUUUUCGAUGCCCGUUCAUUUGCAUCUAAUAAACAAGACUCGGCUUUGCGGUCAAGAUCAUCUAUAAGUUUGAGAAGCAUGUCUUGCUCCUCCUUAUAUAAUCCAAAUUCAUUCUUAGCCCAUCCCCGUAGGAACUGUCUAAGAUGUCUGAUCUUGUUUUGCCACCUUUCAACGUUUGAUGUCCCACCUAACUCCUGGUUCCACUCCCUAGCAAUCAGAUCCAUGAAACCUUCUCUCAAGGACCAACUUGAUUCAAAAGAGAAACUGUUCUUUUUACCGUUCACCGGAAUCAAGCAAUAGCGGAGUAUGGUCAGAAAUCGCCCGUUGGAGAGCUCGUACUGUUACUAGUGGGAACUUUUGCUCCCAUUCGAUGCUAGUCAGUACCCGGUCUAGCUUUUCGAAAGUCUGGUUCUGUAAAGAAUUAGCCCAAGUAAACUUCCUCCAUGUGAGCUCAAUCUCCGUGAGGUCGAGGCUCUCGAUAAUUGUGUUAAACAUAAAUGGCCAUCUGCCAUCAAAAUUAUCGUUAUUCUUUUCAACAGACCUCCGAAUGAUAUUAACAUCACCCCAACUAAUAGAGGUAAUUUUUCAUCACAAAUCCGGACCAGAUCAGCCAGAAAAUCAGGUUUUAACUCUGUUUGGGCUGCACCAUACACAACAACUAGAGCCCAUUGAAAACCAUCAUUCUUAGUUCUAAUCCUAAAUUUUACCGCAAAAUCCCCCAACACCACUUCCCGCACCUGCAAUGAUUCACACUGAACUCCAAGUAAAAUCCCACCGGAUCUUCCUCUUGGAGGGAGACAGUGCCAAUCAAACUCCAUGCCAGCUGAAAGAGUAUUUAGGAACUGGGAAGUGAAAUUAUCUCUCCCUGUCUCCAUGAGGGCGAUAAAAUCAAGUUUGUGCUCUACCGUAGCCUCCGCUAGGAAUCUAAUUUUAGCCAAGUCUUUUAGACCUCUGCUAUUCCAAAAGAUCCCUCUCAUAUUUCAUCAUAGAAUUUUUUAGCAGUCUUAAAUCUGGCACUCGUACGCACUGCAGAAACCGGAUAUAUUUUCUGUUUCCAAGUUCGUUUUGUUUUUUCAGCACCAAACUCCUUGUCCAUAUAACCGGGUAGUUGAGUGCCCAUAUCAAUAUUUUACCCAACAGUGAAACACUCAUCCGAGACCUGAUUAUCUUCCUCCUCCUGGUCCUCUAUAGGGGCAAGAUUCUCACAAAGAGCAUUCAAACCCCCGAGAUCAUUAAUCUCAUCGUCAUUCAUUGGCUUGGCAGCAGCCAUAUUUCGUAUUUAUAUUAAGAUAUAAAGAGAAAAUUUUCUUUAUUAAUCAUUGAUCAAUUCUGUGUACAAAGGAUGCUCUCCUAUUUAUAUAGCUAGAGGUAGGGGAUAAUUGCCCGCAUUAACGUUAAGUGGGGGAAAUGAUCGGUCAAAGGAGGAUGUUGGCCGAGUCAGGCCGCAUCUGGUCCUAGGUGCCGUUGGUUUCCCAACACUCCUUUUUGGGCAGUUAUCCGUAUAACCAUGUCUCAAAACUCCGAAAAACCUAAUAAAGAAAAAUACAAAGAAAGAACACAUAGUAUACGUUGUUGUAUUGCACGAAUUGCCUCAUCAAAAACCUCAUGUGAGAAACAUCAUGAAAACUCACUCAAGGGAAAAAGACUACAAUCCACUCAACCAUCAGGUUGAGUACUCAAUCAUCGGGAUCGAGAUUUUAACGAUGAGUUUGUGAAGUUUCUUCCUCGGAACCUUACAUCUCUCUAAGUCACAUCAUACCGAUUCCACGCACACACCCCUCAAAGUAUGUUGUCGGUAAUGAUUUAGUGAAUAUAUCAACAAGAUUGCCACAUGACUUAGUAUGCAAAAUUCUCACCUCGUUCAUCUGUUGCAGCUCAUGUGCCUAGAAGAACUUGGGACUAAUAUGCUUUAUGAGGUUACUCUUCACAUAACCCAUCUGAACUUUCCCGUAGGCAUAGUCCUCGGCCAGGAGGUACGGACUAUGCCUACGGCUUUACCAUGGACAUAGAUGCAAAACUAUCCCGACGGCUUUACCAUAGGCAUAGUUCCACCAUAUGUCUCUUUGUGGUUGGUCGGACCUCGCGAUGGUGCCGUUAGCUCCCGUCUAGCGUUUUUUGUUGCCAACGGUGAAAUUAUACCGAUGGCUGUACGGAAUCCGUAGGCAUAGGCCGCUAUACCGACGACAAAACUAUGUCAACGGCCUGACAGGAAUACGCCGACGUACGAGAUGCCGACGAGGCUAUACCGACUAUUUUCCUCUCUCGUAUUGUCCUCAUUAACAUCAACAUCGAUAUCUGCAUUUAAAUACAACAAUAUAUAGUAAUUACCAAUGGUGGAUAUACAGUAAAUCAUAUGUUUGAAUCUAGCUAGUACUUAACAAAGCAAAGAUCUACUUUUGGCUGUUCUGUUCCAUUAUCGCAUCGACAACAAGUUCAACCUCUUAUAGAUGACAUCACUUUAUUUUUGAAAAAUACAUUUUUGUUUAGAAACGAAAAUGCUGAUAUGUUUUUAGCUGAUUUGCAUUGUUUUCAUGUAUGUUUUAAAAAAAUAGAGAAAGAAAGCAUUUUACAUUGUUUUUUCUGGAACAUAUCAAGAAUGUUAUAAUUUUUUACUUUUAUUUUGUGGGUGAAGAGUGUUAGAGAUUUAUACUACUGUAUAGUUUUGAAACCUCUAUGCUAUAUGUUGAAAAGAAAAUGUUCCUUUCCGUUUUCCAAUUGAUUAAGUCGCGUGACUUAACUAAUCUUAAACUUUACCAAUAGCUGAGUAGAAAAAGAAAUGUGCUUUAACAGAACAUUUUAUUUACACACACCCAUACAUACGUACAUACACUUCUUACCAUGAAAGCACACGCAUUCUACUUCUAUGAGCAUCUCUCAGAGACUGAGCUGACAUAUCAUCAUGAGAUUAACGAAGUCCAUUUCUAGUCGACGGAAACAUCUCGUCUCACUGAUCGCACAUCACGAGUAGGCCUAAAAUUGAAAAACACGAAACACCGAUGUCUUGUCUAAAACAUGAAUCAUGACGGGCUGGGAAUGUUAGAUGGGCAGCGAAUGUUAGUGUCGUUCUAACCAUUCAAAUACAGAUUUGUUCGCUCAAAACUGUUUUAGUUAUUGUCGAUUUCUCGAUGUUCGUCAUGUAUUCAUUCAGAGAGUGGAUUUUCAGCACCCGGGUGCCUAGGCAUCAUUUAUAAACAGUAACACCAAAAUAAAUAAAUAAAUAAUAAAUUUUUUUAAAACUUUGCAAGAUCAAAGAUGAUCAAACUUUCUAGGUGCUUGCAGCUUUUUAUGUCAAAAAAAAUAUUUGAGUAGCUCUACACAGGAAAAAUAUUUUUGUACUUCAAAUUUUGAUCAUUUUUAGCACUGAAAUCUGAAACUAGUUUGUACACCUUUCUCUACAUGAGAUUUUGGCAUAAAAACUUGUUAGAACCUACAAAGUUUGACCAUCUUAUAUGUGAUAGAUCCCGUGGAUCGACAAGGCUAGAUGUGUUCGGUGUGAUGUGGAGAUGUUACCUUGUGAUGAACUCGAUGAGCUCCCUCCGGUCGUCCAUCGUGAGGUGGUGACGACGGUGGGGAAGGAGAGAGAGAUCCAGUGGCGGAGGUGAUGGACUUCCCAUCACUUCAGUGCUGCCCUCUGGAUCGGAUUAGGGUUAGGAGUGAGGAACCAGUGGCGGCGGCGAACCUCGUAACCCGUGCCAUGGUCCCCACCUCCACUACAUAUAGCACUGCGCGACAGGGGUCCAUCAGCCUUACUUGGGCUGGACGCCCCCGAUCAGGGCGUGAGUCAAGGUCCAAUGGGCCGUUGGGCCCAUUGGGUAAAGAGAUCAACCUAACAUUCUCCCCCUUGAUCUCAUCAUAUACUUUUAACUUUACCCGUUUCGUAACAGAUCAAUACAUAGGGCAUGUUUCAUCGUCACGACUCAAUUGCCGAUGGAAUCAGACAGCCACAAUGUACCUCUCUAUUUUUGAGACAGGUUUUUUUAACAUUGGGCCCUUUAUUGUCCGGGAAUAUUAGACUAUACCAUAAAACCCAUGUCGACUAUGUGUUCUCCGAACACACUGGGCGGUAAGCCUUUGACAAGGAGAUCUGCAAACACUUGUUUGUUGCUUUUAUGCUUCAAGCAUUUUUCCAUAAUUCCGGACUUUCUCCUUCACAACACGUAACUCUUUGCCAGUGUGUUUGGCAUCAACACUUGACUCGUUGUGACAGGAGCGAAAGAAUUUAAAAUGGUUAUCGUUGUUGUCAACCAUUAUCAACUCCGGGUACAGGUAGCCUUAACCAUGUUGUCCGUCCCUCAACCUCAUAUCAAGCUGUAACAUAUCAUUGCAUCACAUUGAUGACAAUCGUUUUACUCAUUUUGAGAUUUUCCACACAAAACUCCGAGUAUGAAAGUUAGCGACAAUUGUGGAUUUUGCUAUACAUUUCACAAGUCCUCCUUUGUACUCACAAUGUUUUGAGAGCACUUAUUUCUUUCAGCACGAGGCCGAUAUCUUUGAAUCCAUUCCAUUGAUUUAUCUAUGGACUGGACAUUGCCAAAACAACCCGGAUAUAUACGUGAAGUGUGUCAGGGUAAUUUCUUGAGCUUCCAACAACUGAAGCAUAUGGUACCAUAUCCGUUUACAAUCUUUUCUUAUUAACUUUUGGAACACCAUAGUUUCCACUUCCAUUACCCUUGACUAUAAGAACAGGCAUAGGUUUUCUCGUAUGCAUACUUUAGAGAUCUUUCUUAGCAUGUCCAUGCGACAUUCCUAAUACCCCCUUUUAUUCUUUUGAACUUUGAGGACAAGAACUUCUUUUCUCCUCCUGCAGUAGAUUGACAUCACCACUAGCAAGUAGGACAUCAUCCACAUGCAUAGGAAUUGGGAAACGAUUUUCCCAUUCUAUAACUUUGCAAGAAUGCAAUUGUCCUCUCAUUUUCUUUGCACAAAAUAUUUCGAUUUAUGUCAUGUUUCACACAUUUACAUAUUUCCUUUGGAGUCACAUUUGCCUUGUAGACCCUUCAUAAAGUCUAUGUUAGUGAAAUUCAAAUGAUGGAAUUCCACUAACAUAGACUUUAUAGUAGUCACAAGUAUCUGAUUUUCUCAUGCCUAGAGACCAUCAAAAUCUCAGGUACUGGCACUUAUUUCAUAUGGGGUUGUCGUUGCUCUGUCAUUGCUAAGAGGCAAAUUCAUUCUAUAGUCAUCCAUUUCCAAAAGGCAAUGGGUUUUACACGGACCUGUAUCACAAGAUCCCUUGUAGAGCUAACAACAGGUGUUGUAUAGGUCAUACAACAUGCUCCCCCAGAUUACUCCGUCUUCACUCAAGAAAUGGCGUAUCUUUAAACUUUCUUCUUUAUGGCAUUUUAAGCACCAUAGUUGUAUUCCUUAGUCUGCUUUCGGAACUAUAAAAGAUUCGAAAAUACAACUGUUUCUUUUCUUUAGGGGUAUCAUAAUGUCGGUAUUCAGAUGACUGUCAUACUUCCCUUGACAAUCACAUUCUUCAUUAAUGGAUCACUUUAGAUGCAUAAUGUGCAUCACAUCAUCUAAAGUACAGAGGAGUCAUGAAAUACACUACAAUGUAUUUCAUGUCUCUAUCUCCCCCUCGAAAUGUGGCAAGAACUUUUCUACCACAAUUUCGAAACCCAUUCAUAGCUCUUGUGAUAAUGAGGAAACUUCGAUUAUCUAGCUCAUUCAUCUUAUCACUUCAUGUAAAAUGAAGUUAUAAGUUAACUAGUAUGGGAGUACUUUUUCCUCAUUUCAUUUCAGAAACUCAACAGAGUUCUUUAUCAUUGUCUCUUUUGCAAGUCACACUUGCAUAUCAUUCUUGUCUUUAGGUUCGUCUGUUACUUUUAUCCUUUCUCGAUUUAGUGAUUACAUAAUGACCGUUACACAUAAAGUGUACGGUCGAUAAUAGGUAAGCUUAAUAGCUACUCCAUACUUUUCUCCCAUAGUGGGACACAUUAACCGCACAUGAGUCAUCAUAACUUUCUCCUGUCAUACAGGAUAAGACCUUUGCCAUAAUUUCUCCCGCCAUACACGGAUUGUUGACAUAAUACAAUGUCAACUUUACCCGGUUACGCAUGCAUUCUUCUCAGACUUUUCCCGCCAUGCGGGUAAUUCCCUUUAAGGGACAUCAUAAAUGCCAUAAUUGGCUCUUUUGACUGCAUCAAAUUCAGAAAUAAAUCUGAAUUAUCUUUGACACACAUGUUUGAUCCGACGUUGGUCAAAUUAAACAUGCAUGUUGCUUCUUUCAUUUCAAUCAUGUUGACUGAAAAAGAAGACUCCAUCAUAGAGAGUACAUAAAGACAUUCGUCAACCAAGACCCUCAAUGAUCUGUCUCUUUUCUUUUCUUGAAUUAAUAUCCAAGAGUUCUUUUCUUUUGAAGCCAUUCUUUACAGAGAAUUUAUUCCCUCAAGUUAUGACCUUUCUUUUCCAUCUUUCGGGUCACUAGUACCCAAACAUUCGCUUUCAUGAGUGAAAGCUUGAAUAACUUUUAGUCUGAGAAAACUUUAGCCAAUAAACAACGGUAAUGAGCAUAAAAAUAACCCUACGUUGGUCUGAUUAAAAUCAUGCACAUUAAACCUUUUAAAACUUUCUGGAAUAUUCUAAAUCACCGUUGGGCAGAAUUAGAAUAAAACAUCAUCCUACUAUAUUAAUUCCAUAUCACCGUUGGGCAGAAAUGGAAAUAAUGCAUAUAACUUAUAAACAAUGUGAUGAUGGUAUUCUUAUUGAACAACUUUGCUAAGAAAUAACAAUCAUCAUCAUUAAUCAUAUGCGUUUCUUUAUCUGUGCUCCGAAAAUUGAUCACUUUGAUACAAAAUUUAUCAGAGAUUUAAGCUUUAAACAUAAGAUGACUCAUACAAAUAUAGUAUUGUUAUCAUCAACGUUGGUCAGAAAACAACAAUACCAUAUUUUAACUUUAAAACAAACUUCAUUCUUUUGUCAUAGCGGAAACAGUUUGAAUCUUAUUUCACCCACAAGGGAAAAACUUUGCUAAUAACAUUUCUUCCAAUUAAAUUUUUCCGUUGGUUCCAAUUUAAUUGGAGGACUAAACCUUUUUACUUUGCAGCGGAAAUACGUGAGUAUGAAAAUUCAUACACCUUUACAGAAAAUUAUUCUGUAAAAAAUAAAAAAUUCAUGAACUUUAUUUUCCUUUUAUAAAAUCCAUGAACUUUUCUCUUUCUGAAAAUAUUGUAUUUUCAAAAACUUUUAUUUUUCUUUGCAGAAAAAUUAUGUCACUAUUACAGAAAAAUAUAUUCUGUCAUAAUUUAAAAAUUCAUGAACAUUAUUAAUGCUUUUAUAAAGGUCAUGAACUUUUCCUUUUCUGAGAAAACUAUUUUGUUCUCAGAAAUCCUUUUACUUUUCUUUUCAGAGAAAUACUAUUAUAUUUCUGUUGAUUUAAACAGAAAAUUAGCAACAUUUUUAUUUCCUGUUAUCUAGACAUAAUUUCGUAAAAAAAAAGUCUAGAAGUGCCUUUUAUUUCUUUUCAAAAACUUUUCAUUUUUCUUUACAGAAAAAUGUCUAUUACUUGCAGAAACUUGGAACAUUUCUUUAAUCUCUAUUUUUCUAAAUAUUGCCCUGCCUUCGGCCUGAGCCGGCAUUCGGCCUCGGCCCAUCUUGCUAGCACCGGCCUGUGGCCUUGCCACAGCCAGGGUCGGCCUCUGGCGCGCUGCUGGCCUGGCAGGCCCAGCCGCCAGCCUCGGCCCGAGUGGCCCAUUGCGGCGCUAGGGUUUCCUCUAGGGCCGUCGGAUCUAAUCCGACGGCCGGGCGCGAUUUUCUCUCCGACAAAACAGGUCUGCGACCGGCCCGAGUCGAAACCCUAGCCAUUUUCCCCAGCGCCGCUCUCUCUGUCGUUCUUCUCGUCCCCGUCGCCCUGCCUAACCGAGCACGUCACCACCCCGCUCGCGGGAUGAGCCGCAGCUCCGGUUGCCGGCGUCGGCAACGACAGCGGCCGUGCAUCUCGCGCUCGCCCUUCUUGCCUGCUCGCCUCGGCCUCUUUGGUCCCACACGCUCUCCUCUGACCGUGGUUGGUCGGGCGGUGGCCGCCGGCCGUGGCGGUCGAAAGCCCCACACCGCGCGCGCUCUCCUCUGGCCGUGGUUGGCCGGGCGGUGGCCGUCGGCCGUGGCGGCCGUAAGCCCCACGCCGCACGCGCUCUCCUCUGGUCGUGGUUGGCCGGGCGGUGGCCGCCGGCCGUGGCGGCNGCGCUCUCCUGCUGCGUGGCCGAGCCACUGUCUCGCGUGGCGGCCCUUGAGCCCCGCCGAGCGCAUGCCAUGGCCGUUUUAUUCCUACGCCUCUUUUACUUCUCAGAGAGAGACAUGGGGCCGGCAGAGCAUCAAAUUGCGGCGCCGUGGCCUCCCCUUACGUCGGUUGCGCGUUCCCUUGCGAUGAGCGCGCCGCCGUCGAGUGGGUUGGCCAUGGUGCCACUUUUCCUUUUCCUUUUCGUGCAGGGGUGUCCUGCAGUGACAUGAUACGGUGGCUCCAUCUCCGUUCCUUUGCCGGCGUGCGCGAGCACCUUCAAGGUGAACACGCCACCGUCAAGGGUGCGGUGGUGGUGCCCUUGGCCCCGGUUGGGGUGUUGGCUUUUCCUUUGCUUUGUCUUUGCGUGUUCCCCUACUCCCCUUUUUUUUGUUUUCUUUUUCGGAUUCAAUCCGACCUUUUCUUUGCCUCUGAAGAGGUGGUACCUUCGUCCGACGCCUCGGCUUGCCGAUGCGCGUCGAGAACGACAGGGUUGGCGCGGCCUUGCGGCGGCGCUUCUUUGCCGGAUGGAAAUCCGGUGACUUUCUUUUUCUUUUGCUUUUCAGCUCGAUCUUUGCCCUCUUCUAGGGAUCAUAUCGGGGAGGGAAAACUUUUCUUGUACAUGUUUUUACCGAAACUCAUCUAAAGCCUCGUGGCUCUGAUACCAAUGAUAGAUCCCGUGGAUCGACAAGGCUAGAUGUGUUCGGUGUGAUGUGGAGAUGUUACCUUGUGAUGAACUCGAUGAGCUCCCUCCGGUCGUCCAUCGUGAGGUGGUGACGACGGUGGGGAAGGAGAGAGAGAUCCAGUGGCGGAGGUGAUGGACUUCCCAUCGCUUCAGUGCUGCCCUCUGGAUCGGAUUAGGGUUAGGAGUGGGGAACCAGUGGCGGCGGCGAACCUCGUAACCCGUGCCAUGGUCCCCACCUCCACUACAUAUAGCAUUGCGCGACAGGGGUCCAUCAGCCUUACUUGGGCUGGACGCCCCCGAUCAGGGCGUGAGUCAAGGUCCAAUGGGCCGUUGGGCCCAUUGAGUAAAGAGAUCAACCUAACAAUAUGUUGUAAAGUUUCAGUAUUUUUUUAAACUUUUUUUUAUUUUACUGUUUAUAGAGGGUGCGUAGGCACCAGGUGGUGUUAUCUUGUACGGUCCAAUACUUAUAUGUAGGCAUCGUUGUUGAAUUUGGUCUAUUUUUCUUAGAACCAGCGUGGUUGUUAAUUUGCUUCCGAAGUUUCCGCCUCCUGUAAAUGACGUGUCCUGCAUGCAUUUUUUUUGGCAAGUUUUGCAAUCAUGCUAAAUCAAAUCAGCAUCUAUAUAUACGGGUUUGUUUCUGCUGGGCGUCUCCCGACUCCCGAGCGGCUGCAUCGAUCUCUAGCCGGCCAUGGCGUCCGCGCCGCAACGCACGGCGUCGACGCACAGGUCGGUGGUCGUCCGUGGCACGCACCAGUUUCACAUCGUCGGCUACAGCGAGCGUAAGCUUUCCGACGACGCCCCUUCAUCAAGCUACCUCUACGCCAGCGCCCGCUUCAGGGACCCCUUCAUCAAGUCGGCCGCCUUUCAGGUCGGCAACUACACCUGGCACCUCGUCUGCAGCUUCGGUGAUCGGGGACAGGGUCACCUCGCAUCUAUCACCCUCGAGCUGCUCACCAAAGACAUAGCCAAGGACGUCGUCGCCACGGCCAGCCUCCAGAUCGACGACCCGCUUGGCCAGUUGCCGCCCGCCGUGUGGCGAAGCGCCGCCGCCAACAGAUUCUGCAAGAAAAUGGCCGGUAUGAGCUGGACGAUGUCGCUACCAGAUGUCUUCUCUGGGCACGAGGAGCGCUACGUGAGCGGCGAUGACGACUCCCUCACCAUCCUCUGCACCAUCGACAUUCUCCAAGAGGAUGCCCAGACCACCGCGGAGACCAGGGAGUGUUUGGUCUCCGUGGUGCCCAAGCCGACCAUCCCUCGGGAUCUUCAGCGGCUUCUACUACUUCUCGACAAGUACCCCAAGUCAUCGGACGCCACCUUCCUCGUCGGCGAUACCGAGUUUCAUGCACACAGGCUUGUGCUUGCUAUGCGGUCGCCGGUCUUUGCCACGGAACUCACUGUCACUACUGGUGAUGUGACGGGAAGCACCACGCACCCCAUAAGGAUCCAAGACAUGGAUGCCUCCACAUUUAGGGCCAUGCUUUGGUUCAUCUACACCGACGAGAUUCCCAUCGACGUUGCCCUUGAUAAUUUCAAAGGGGAACACAUGGCGAGGGGACGCGAAUCCAUGGCUCGCAAACUCCUUGUGGCGGCGGAUCGGUAUCAUCUCGAGAGGCUGAGGCUCAUGUGCGAGAACAUACUGUCAGAGUGCAUUGAUGUGACGACUGUCAUGAAGACGUUACUCCUAGUGCAAGGCCGCCAAAGGUGCUCUCAGCUCGAGGAUUCCUGCAUCAAGUAUAUAUCGUCUCAUCCUGAUGUGUACAACGCGGUGACGGCGACAAAGGACUAUGAGGAGCUCAAGGAAACAUGCAGCUCUAUUAUAAUUGAGGUCAACGAAAGAGUAGCCACACACAACAUGGCUCGCCAUACUAGCCACCCUUCUUCAUUGAGUAGCACUCGACCACCGGCACCAGAGAAGAGCACAUCCAGCUAUAAUUUGUUGGAUGUAGUCCGUGGCACGCAUGAGUUCAGAAUCCCCAUCUUUAGCUCUUUGCAAAGUAGCUAUCGUGCUGGUCAAAUAAUCACUUCCGACAUAUUCAAGGUAGGUGGUUACGAGUGGAAGAUAAAUGUGUACCCGUCUGGGAAUGACGUGGAUGAGCACAUAUCCGUCUACCUCUGUCUAUGCACUGAUCCUGGAACUGCUAGAGUCAAAACGUCUAAGAGAUUCCGGGUCGAUGACCCUAAUGGCAAGUCACCGUCGAUGGUGCUUGGUUCACAAGACACUUUUACCAAGUUGCAUGAAAGCUGGGGGUUUCAGAAGUUCAUCACCGUGGAUUCUGCAAAGUCACGAUACAUAGGAUACGAUGGCUCCCUUACCAUACAUUGUGACAUUGACGUCCACAAAGAGGCCUGCACCACUAUCCCUAAACCCAUGAUCGUUGUGCCGCCGUCCAACAUUGCAUGGCACCUGGAGCAACUGAUGAUGAGUGGGCUAUGGUCGAACAUGACGUUCCUGGUUGAGGAGAACGAGAUUCACGCACACUGGCUCAUCAUUGCCGUCCGGUCACCGGUUCUGUUCGAAACGGUAGCGGUGGAGACGUGCAAGUGGGUUGUACGGAUCAAUGGCAUGAAGGCCGAUGUCUUGAGGGCAGUGCUCCACUUUGUCUAUACCGAUGAGCUGCUUCCUGUGGAUGAUGCAGUGGCAGCCGGAGAAAUGCUCGCGGCGGCAUGCCGGUUCCGCCUAGAGAGGAUGAGAGCCAUGUGCGAGAACCUGCUCGCCCAUCUCAUUUCCAAAGACAACGUGUUGAUGGUGCUGGAGCUGGCGUGGCGUCACCAAUGCGAGGACCUCAAGCUUUACUGCCUCGACUUCACCUCGCUUGCAAUGAAGUGAUGAUGCAUGGAAACACUCCCCUAUUCUUUGGCGUUUCAUGUUUAGAAAAUGUUUCGUCAUCGAAUCGCUGCACCACCAUAGAUGUACUUUUUUUCCUUCAGAUUUUUGCGCGUCUUUUUUCAAGUCCUUCUCUCGUCUAUUUGUUCCUUGCAUUGUCUAGGACGUGAUUGAUUAAUUAGUAGAUGAGGAAAGCUGAGAAAUUACGCUCGUUGGUGUUUCCUUUGGGUCUAUAUAGACCUGAACGCAGCAGAUUUCACAUCACGUGGGCAAAAUGUUAGUUGCCUAGUAAAUUGGAUUUACUUUUAGCAAAUUGGUGUCAGUCAUUUUUUUAUUUUUUUGACCUGUUUUGUUUGCAUCAACACAUAUGUCCGUGCGUUGCAACGUAAGACAAAAUUUGUGUGUAUUAAAUUUUAACAAUAAAUUGUAUGGACAAAGCGUAAUGGCUCACGAAUAAUUUAGCGUCUAAGAAGAUGUAUGGACGUGCAUUGUCACAAAAUAACUUCUAUAUGGAUUCCACUUUGACUUAAAUGUGGUUAAAGUAAAGCUAUAAUUCGACAUCGUAUGCAAGUAAAAAAUAACAAAUUAUCUUUGAUUCAAUAUACAUACCUUCAAAAAUAGAAAAUAAUAUUGAUUUUUCCACAAACAAAAUAAAUUGAUAGACUGUGAUUUAAUUUGUAUUUCAAUAACAGUUAGUUACCCCUAAAAAGGUUAGUUAUUAUCGAGCAAAAGCAUGAAUGGAUCAAAGUAACAAAUCAUAUAGACCAGGUUUAAUUUGACAAUCUCUCUAUCAAUGGGAUGAUACGGUCCCGCGUUUUUGUAAAAAAAAAGUAACAAGACGGAAAUACAAAUCAUAUAGUUACUAGCACAAGAAUCUAAACCAGAUUGUCAAGCAAUAGUACAAUAGCAAAAUUCCAUGUUGAGAAUUACAACAACAAGGGAUGUGUUAAUUCAAGGCUAUAUAUUCCUGAUAUGAUCAUGAAGAAUUUAGCACUCAUGUUGUACGACGGCAUACAAUUACAGGUACUGAAAUCCUACUUUAACUUUUUUGAAAAACAAUAAUAAUUGUUAGCCACUAAACCAUGAUCGCGUGUGUGUGAGUCUGCACUUGUGUUUGUUCUGGCUGAGGUCGGAGCUGGUGUGUGGCCGUUGGCGAGAGUAGCGGAGAGCCAGGCAAUCUGUUAGAACUAGCCUUGUAGUGCACGUAGUGGCGCGCCAUGCGCGCAGCCGAGCGAGCAGAUCAUGCAUGCGCAGUGGAGCACAUGGUGGGCGUGCGUGGGCAGGAGUGGAUCGUGGCGUGCGUGCUCCGCCUAUACAACCACCCCGUGUACUGCUUGUAUAUGAGUGAGUUAAGAAAAUGAUUCGUGUGUUCGAGCGCCCGCAGGCGGCGCUCCGUGCGCCGGUCGGCAAAAAAACUUCCCGUGUCUCUACUCGAGUCGUCGUCUCCCACCUCAUGUCCUUGUUCGUGCGAGAGCAGAGGUCGAAGAGACAGAGGGUGCAGCCUAGGGCUGCACCAACAUUUGGUAUCAUGAGCUUGAUGGUCUUGGGCAUGUUCGCCGUACCGGAGGUGUGCCGGCGAUGGCGGUGGUCGCCGGUGGCUGCGCGGAGCUCCGGGCUGUAUGUCGGCCUGUUGAGGUGCGCGGCGUGGCGGCUGUCAUGGCGGACGCGAAGUCCUCGCACAGUGAGGCCGUGGAGCAUGGCCAUGCCGUGCGUGCGGGGAGCGUGGCGGCCGCGACGGACCUGCGUGGUGGCGCAGAGGCUGUGGUGGCAUGGCGUGGCUCGGUGGCGUGGAGAAGAAGCCGUUCGUGCGGCGGGUGAGGCAGCUCGAGCGGCCAUGUUGCUUGCGUGAGGGCGCGGCAUGUGCGUGAGCCGAGGGCGUGCGGAUCACCGGAGGAGAACACGUCCAGCGGAGCGCAGGCCGGCCGCGUUGAUCAUGUCAGUGCGUGAUCGUGUGCGCGAGCCGAGGCGUGCAGGGCGUGGCGUCAUCAAGGAGCUUGGCGUGCGUCGCCGAGGAGCUCGACGUGUGUCACCGGCGGAGAAGGAGCUCGACCUGUGUCGCCAAGGAAGAAGAUGGAGGCUGCAUCAAGCUCGGGCCGUGUGUCAGUCAAUGGAGGUGCUCGGCAGUGGAUCGUGUGUCGGUCUUGCUCGGCGUGAUGCGCUCAGUGGCGUGUGUCGCCGGAGACGAAGAAGAUGGAGUUCCCUGCGACAGUCGACGAGGAGCCAGUGUCUUGUAAGUCAGGAUGGGCAACGGUGUCAUGGUUUAGGGGGAGAUUGUUAGCCACUAAACCAUGAUCGCGCGUGUGUGUGUGUGAGUCUGCACUUGUGUCUGUUCUGGCUGAGGUCGGAGCUGGUGUGUGGCCGUUGGCGAGAGUAGCGGAGAGCCAGGCAAUCUGUUGGAACUGGCUUUGUAGUGCGCGUAGUGGCGCGCCAUGCGCACGGCCGGGAGAGCAGAUCAUGCAUGCACAGUGGAGCACAUGGUGGGCGUGCGUGGGCAGGAGUAGAUCGUGGCGUGCGUGCUCCGCCUAUACAACCACCCGUGUACUGCUUGUAUAUGAGUGAGUUAAGAAAAGGAUUCGUGUGUUCGAGCGCCCGCAGGCGGCGCUCCGUGCGCCGGUCGGUAAAAAAACUUCCCGUGUCUCUACUCCAGUCGUCGUCUCCCACCUCAUGUCCAUGUUCGUGCGAGAGCAGAGGUCGAAGAGACAGAGGGUGCAGCCUAGGGCUGCACCAACAAUAAUAUCUUCUAUGCAAUUGAAAGAUACAAAUAUAAGUCUAAAAAUUGUAAGGCAAAGGGACUAUUGAAUCAAUAAGGCGUUGGAGGGUCCCAUGAUAUUUAUUGAACACUUUUUAUAUAUUGAGCAAUUUUGCAAUAGAGAGCACAAAAGAAAUACUGAUCUUACUCGUAAAGAAAGCAGAUUCUGAUUAUUAUUAUUAUUAUUGUGAAAGGAACAAUAUCAUUGCUUAAACAGAGCUAUUACACUCAAGUUGACAUAGAGUCUCAACUUCCUCAGGCACACAACGCAACCAGACUGUUUUUUUGGGGAGAGUUCUGCCCAUGCGAGCUAGGACAUGACUAGUUUUGUUCUGGGCACGUCGUACGAGCUUUAUUUCAUGUGUUCUAGAAUUUAGUAACUGCUUUAUGUCAUUCACCAAUCACCAUAGCAGCAGCCGGGGAUCUAUUGGGAACUUGGAAAGUAAUCAUGAGUGUUACCGCCAUGCAGUCUGUCUCGAUCAACAACUGGUCAGUGCUCCUAUCCGCGAGAGAAACCCCUUCCAUGAUGGCUGCAAUUUCAGCUUCAAGCCCACUUCCACAGCGAGGGAUGAAACGGCAUGACGCAAGGACGAUGGCCCCUGUACUAUCUCAAAGAAUCAUGCAAUGUCCACAUGUACUCUCCUCUUCAAAUCAUGACCCAUUAGUGUUAAGUUUCACUGGUCCCAGUGGAGGUGAUGUCCAUCGCUCAGGGGGUUUGUGUCGUAACAACAUUUCAUGUGAUUUUGCUUUCUGUCCUCUCCAACAUAGGAGACCACCGUCUUCCCCUUCUCCAUAUCAGCAUUUGGAUGCUACCGUAUGUGCAGUAAUGUACUGAUGUAGCCACAAAGGAAUCGACAGGACGCGUCGAGCGGUGCUAUUUUUUUUUAAAUAUUGCUUUUUUAUUGAAUUUGAAAAUGUUAUGAAGAAGAAGAAGAAAAACCAAGAAAAGGAACUUCGGCUGGCGGAGGUUUAUAGAGAGCGACAGGAGGCCCAUGAUGUUGAGAGGCAGAGAAAGAAAGAAAGGGUUCGUGCGGCCAAGGCAGCAGAAGAAGCUAGAAAGGGAAGCAGAAGGUGCUAUCCUAAAAUUGUUAAAUACUUUCGGAAAAUUGUAUCUUAAUUUCAACAAGUUGUAUCUUAAUUUCAGCAAGGUGUAUCUUAGUUUGAACAUGUUAAGUUUUCCAGCCAUAUCUUCCUCGUCAUUUCUUUCGCGCCAUAUCUUUCCUGUCAUAUCUUUCCCGCAUCGCUCCCAGGCACCUAUAAAACCACCCUCCACACUAAGGUGAGAUAUCAGUGUAGUCCAGUAGCUAACUUUUGUCAAGAUGUCCCAUUAUCUUUUUGAUCGUAGUUUUCACUCUGGUAUGUCCGAAUGUCUUUUGUGCUUAGCUAGCAAUUUCAAGAUAGACAAUAUAAUAGUUUUACGGGACGAACUCAUCAGUAGUGACACGCUACUUAAUGAGGUUGCCCAUGCAUUAGCUAGAAAGGGGUGGCCUCCAAGGAUAUUUAAAAAAAUGAAACUCCAUGGGCACUAGCACCCACGGUUUAUUGAUAUAGAAGAAGCAUCCCUCAUGAGAAUUCCAGAAAUUCGUCUCUGACAGAGAAUCGAACUCUGGUCGUUAGGUUUACAAUCAUGCGCCCCCAACCACUGGGCUAUGCCCACGUCCUCCUCCAAGGAUAUUUGAGGAGAUACGGAAAGAACUUAUCAGGUUGAAUGAAAGAUGAAAGAAGAAAGGUUCUGCUCUAUAUGCUUCAAAUAAAAGUAAAUAUUUGAACUUGACCGGAUCCAUAAUGUAUGAACACCGUCGGUGUGCGUUUUAAUAUUAAAACCUAAACAUACGGCCAACCAUUAUGUCAACUGACUAAUAGACCAUGUUUAAGAGGAGGUCACUAUCACCUUAAUGUACUGAAAUUCACUUAGAUCAACUCCCAUCUCAUUUGUUUGGACAGUACCAGGACCAUAGUGAAAACCUAACUUCCUUAUCAGACAUAUCUGCUGACCUAAAAAAUUAUUCAACAAGGACAAAUUUUAGAAAAAGGACAAAGCUAAAUUAUUUCCGAAUCAACUGAAAAUUCAAAGACCUAAAUAUAUUUCCCAAAGCUACCGGAGCACCUAAAAAUAUUUAAACAACUUAAUUCACAGACCUAAAUAUAUCCAAAUCUAUGUGAGCAGCAAGAAAUAAAUAAACACAAUAUUUCGCACACCUAAAUUUAUUACACAACGCUACGAGAACGAAUAUUGAAUUUUACCCUUCAAGCGUGCGAAGAAAUGACGAACGACGAACGACGAACACCGAAAAAAACGACGAACACAACAACCACCACCACCACCUCCACCUCCAUCCACAACUCCACCACCACCUCCACCUCAACCUCCACCACCACCACCAAAAAAAUGUUCAACACCACCACCACGAACUACCCCAUCGCGAGUGAGAUGAAUGGCUUGGCUGCCCUAACCCUCUAUAAUACAACUACGGUAGAAAAAUGGGGGAGGGAUGGGUCAGAUUUAGUGUAGAGAUGAGAGAAUUUUCGGGCGGGGAAAGAAGGAAAGAGGAGAAGGAGAGAAAGAAAGAGAUAAGGAGGAGAAGAAGGGCCGAAAGGAGCGGGCUGACUGAGGCAGACCAGCCUCGUAUAGGCUGCGCCAGGACCGAAAGGCCUGUCGGCUGCGCCGAAGCCGACUGACUCCCCUCCAAGCCGAGUGGGUGCGAGCGACGUGGCCCAGCCAAUCGUCGGCUACCACGUGGCCGACGACUGGUCACUUAUCGGUCGCACCAACGUCGGACAGGAGCUACUCGGCUCCGACAAGGCCGACUGAAGCCAAUCGGCUUCGGUCAGGCCGAGGCCGUUAUAUUUUUGGAAGUUUUUAAAACGACGCAAUAUUUUUCAAAUUUUAUAAAAACAAUAUUAAAAAAAUAGCUCGAGCGGUGGUGCUUCUCUACAAUGAUAUAGAGAGGACAUAACAAAUAUCCAGUUCAGUUUGCAAGAAUUUAAUAAAUAUGCAGAUCAUCUUUCUAUCUACCUAUUGUAUAAAUGAUAUAUCGCGCGCGCAUGUGUUUUUUUAUUUUUGUUGAAGAGAAAAGAAAAAAAAAAGAUAUGCAUGCGUACGUGCUAAAUAAUGGAAAAUCAAAACAGCAUAUUCUACUACGAGCGCUGGAACUGCUGACUCCAUCACGCGCAAGGAAAGAAGGAAGGGAGUUUAAUUUAAUUUAAAAAGGAAAUAGAAAAAGAAGGAAUUAAUUGUACGCUGAAAGGAAAGGAAGGACCUGCCGUCCGUAGGUGCCAAGAAGAAAAAUGGAAAAGAAGGAAUUAAUUGCACACCCCAAAGGUGGAAUUGCAAUUGCACGUGCCAAAGUAGGUUGCAACUCCAAGUUUUCUAGGUUUAUCGCAACCCCAAGUUCCUAAGGGCGGGAACGGAAUUGCAAAUUUUUAAGGCAUGUCGUAAUUGCAAGUUUUCUAUGGUUUGUCUCAACUCCAUACUCCCAAGGGGAAUCGCAACAACAUGUUCUCCAUGGCAGGUCACAAUUGCAUGUUUUCUAGAUUUUUCGCAACUACAAGUUCCCAAGGGUGGAAUGUGAAUUGCAUGUUUCACAGGGGAGUCGCAAUUGCAUGUUUUCCAAGACAUGUCGCAACUCCAUGUUCUCUAACUAAGUCACAAUUUACGAAGUUUUUUAUUUUUUAUUUUUAAAAACAUUCCCCGUAAUUUUCAACGAAUUUUCUGUUGGUUUCCCCAUAUGUUUUUUGAGUAAAAAAAGAGAUUUCCCGUGUUUUUCGUUCUAAUUAUGUUUUUCUGUUCUUUUCCCUUUUAAAUUUAAAUGACAUAAAAAUAGGCAAGCUCGAGGGUCCCACUACAUGUUCUCAAGGGGAACCGCAACCGCAAUUUUUCAAAGGUAGGUACCUAGCUGAGUUUGAACAAAACCGUUUCGAAUAAGUGAAAAAAAAAUCAUCUAUGCAGUAAGCAGUUUUUUAGAAGAUGUAAAAUUUUCGUCUUAUGCAUUAUAAAUGUUCCAUUUUGCUGUUUAUCAUUUUAAAAUAUUUUGAUGGAUUUAAAAAAUGUGUGGAACAAAACUGGGAUUGACCCUGCGCUAGAGGCACCAUGCGGCCGAUUACUACCGAACAGAGUAAAAAACUGGCAAAGCAAAAAAGAAAACACUUGAAAACUGGGCUACAGCAAAUAAAAAAAUAUUGUACAAACCAGCCACUAAGACGUACCUGCAACAAGAGAGAAACAAAAGACAAGCUACAAGAAAUAGGACAUACACAAAAAUCCCAAAAAGAACAAAUAUAUGUGCUGAUGUCAUAUGAACGAGAUCAUAGAUAAAUCUUAGCUAGAUGAGUUUAAGGUGCAUCCUAAUAAGAAAAAGAAAAAGGAAAAGAAGGAAGGGAUUGUACGCUGAUAGGAAAGGAAGGGCCUAAGGGCGAAGAGGAGGAUGGCAAGACGGAGCGCCGCGCCAUCGAUCAAAACAGUACGUAUCCUGUGGUGGAGCGGUUUCAUCCUCAUCGAUCGAUCUCUAGCCAUAGCCAUGGCGUCCGCGCCGCCGCCGCCGCCGCCGCAAAACACAGCGUCGACACACGGGUCGGCGGUCAUCCGCGGCUCGCACGAGUUUUAUAUUGUAGGCUACAGCGAGCCUAAGCCUAAGUUGGUGCACCUGACCAACGACGACACGACCAACCCCCUCUACGACAUAAUCAACGCCAGCGACGGCUUCGUCAUCAAGUCCGCCGCCUUCCAGGUCGGCAACUACACCUGGGACCUCGUCUGCACCUUCGCCGGUGAUCAAGGGCAAGGCCACCUCACAUCCAUCACCCUCGAGCUGCUCACCACCGACGACAUAACAAGCACAACCACAACGGAGGAGGACGCGAUAGUCACGACCAGCCUUCAGAUCGACGACCCGCGAGGGCAGUGGCCGCCUGCCGUGUGGCGAAGCGACGCCGCCAAUACAUUCUCCUACGACUACGAUGAUGUGAUCUGGGAGCUGUCGAUCCCAAGUGCUUUCCGUGGGCACGAGGAGCGCUACGUCAGCGACGACGACUGCCUCGCCAUCCUCUGCACCCUCGACAUUCACCGAGAGACCGUCGCCGAGAUAAGCAAGCGCUUGGUCACCGUGGUGCCGGAGCCCACCAUCCCCCGGGAUUUCCAGCAGCUUCUACUACGUUCCACAAAGCAGGUCGUCCCCCUGUCGUCGUCAGAAUCACAAGUGAUGACCUUCGUCGUCGAGGAUACCGAGUUCCGCGCGCACAGGCUUGUGCUUGCUAUGCGGUCGCCGGUCUUUGCCGCCGAGCUCUUUGGUCACAUGAGCGAGAGCACCAUGCAACGUGUCAGGAUCGAGGACAUGCGUGCCUCCACAUUCAGGAACAUGCUCCACUUCAUCUAUACCGACGAGCUUCCCAUCCAGCCAAAUAACUAUGUCGUGGAAUCUGCAGGAAGCAGUCAUCAUAAUUUCAAAAAGGAAUUCAUGACGAGGGGAUGCGAAUCCAUGGCUCGCAAACUCCUUGUGGCGGCGGAUAGGUAUGAUCUCAAGAGGCUAAGGCUCAUGUGCGAGAACAUACUAUGUGAAAGCAUCGGUGUGGCAACUGUCUUGACUACUUUGCUGCUGGUGCGGGGCCGCCAAAGGUGCUGUCUGCUCGAGGAUUCCUGCAUCAGGUUCAUAUCGUCUGGUCCUCAUGUGUACGACGCCGUGAGGGCCACCAAGGAGUAUGAGGAGCUCAAGGAAGCAUGCAGCUCUUUUAUAAUUGAGGUCAACGAGAGAGUAGCCACACACAGCAUGGCAUGCCAAACUAGCUCUCCUUCUUCCUCCUCCAAUAUCCGUUGGCCAACACCAGAGAAGAGCACGUCCGUGUACAAGCCGUAGGUGGUCCGCGGCACGCACGAGUUUAAGAUCCCCAACUUUACAUCUAUUCAAAGGAGCCAUGGUGUUGGUCAAGUAAUCACUUCAGACAUAUUCAAGGUAGGCGGUUAUCACUGGACCAUCAAUGUGUACCCGUCCGGGUACUCCGCGGUGGCCGAGGGUCACAUAUCUCUCUACCUCCGUUUAUGGACUGAUCCUCAAACUGCUAGUGUCAAGUUGUCCAAAACAUUCCGGAUCGAUGACCCUAGUGACAAAUCACCAUCAAUUGUGCUUGGUUCAGAAGACAUUUUUACCAAGGUACGUGAAACCUGGGGAUUUCAAAAGUUCAUCCCGGUGAAUUCUGCAAAGUCGGGAUACAUAGGGCACAAUGGCUCCCUUACAAUACAUUGCGACCUUCAAGUCCACACCAAUGCGUGCACUACUAGUGCUAGCACCACCAUCGCCAAACCUAUGAUUGUCGUGCCGCCGUCCAACAUUGUCAGGCAUCUCGAGCAGCUGAUGCUGAGCAAGCAAUGGUCAGACGUGACACUCCUUGUCGAGGACAGCGAGAUUCGCGCCCAUUGGCUCAUUAUCGCUGUGCGUUCGCCGCUUUUCUAUGAAUCUUUAGUGUCGUCAACAACCAACAGUGUCGUGCGGAUCGACGAUAUGAAAACCGUUGUGCUGAGGGCCGUACUACACUUUCUCUAUACCGACGAGCUCCUUCCUGUUGAUGACAUGGUGGUAGCCGGAGAAAUGUUGGCGGCUGCAUGCCGGUACCACCUAGAAAGGAUGAAGGCCAUGUGUGAGAAUUUGCUCGCUCAUCACCUGUUGAAAGACAACGCAUUGAGCACUCUGCAGCUGGCAUUGCGACACCACUGCAAGGACCUAAAGAUUUACUGCAAUGAGUUCAUCUCACGUGUACUGAAGUGAUGAGAAAACAUUUUAAUUUUCAACAUUUACUGUAUAGAAAAGGUUUCAUCAUGAGUAGCAUAUCUAUAUAUACAUUCCACACAGCUUUAAUAUUUCCAGAAAAUUAAGGGUCAUUAUAUUUGUCAUUUGAAGUUGUAGAACUGAAGCUUGCAGAUUCCACGUUGUACACCCCAGAAUUCUUAACUAGCUAGUUUCUUCCAUGCAUCUAUUGACAUGUUUAAAUGUUAUAUAUACUCCUCCUUGUCUUCUCGGUAUUUUAGCAGGCCCUGCUCAUCAAAUAGAGGCCACACUUUUUGAUUUCAGCAUCUUAUCAAAUUGUUGCAAACGAUUAACUAUCUAUAGCACAUACAGAUCCAUUCUGUUAAUCAACUCAUAUAAGUACACCAUUCACUUCAUAUAAGUACACCAUUCACUACGAGAAUAACGGUCAAUGCCGACGGAACCCUCCGUCGGCAUAGGGCCAAAGGCCGUCGGCAUAGGGCUAUGGGGCCGUUGGCGUAUCUCCAUCGGCGUAACCCCAGGCGGCUGUCGGCAUAGGCAUGUAAGCCGACGGCCCCCUCACGUCCGUCGGCGUAGAUAACCCCUCGGCAACGAAUCGGGACUGACGGCCAUUAUCGGCGUACGCAUCCACUCAGACCCCGCCACAUGGCAGCUCCUGGCGCACACUAUGCCGACGGUUAGGCUGAUGGCGUAACUCCAUCUAUGCUGACGGCCUAACCGUCGACGUAGUGGGACACGUGGCCGCGCCUGGCAGUUCCUGCCGCACACUACGCCGAUAGUUAGGCCGUCGGCGUAUCUCCAUCUAUGCCGAUGUCCUAACCGUCGGCGUAGUGUGCGCCAGGAGCUGCCAGGUGCGGCCACGCGUCGCCACCUGGUGCCUCGUGCCAUCUAUGCCGACAACAUAACCGUCGACGUAGUUACCACAUUUUAUUUUUAUUUUGUUUUUGUAUUUCCAUUUAAAUACACACUAUAUACAUCAUAUAUACACAGGAUAUACAUCAUAUAGUUCAACACAGGAUAUACACAUAUAUGUCAUCAACUAUAGUUCAACAUAAUGACAAGUCCGACAGAGCCAACAACAUAAUGACAAUUUCAACGGAACAUAAAGGCGAGCACCACCACUAGCAUAGUUCAAAACAGGCAUAAAAGAUUAAGCGUCAUCACUUCCACCGCCAAAGUCAAGGUCGUCACCGGUAACGCUACCACCACCGCCACCGCUACCGCUACCGCCACCGCCACCGCUGCUACGACAAGAAAAGACAUUCCCCAGCAACGGCGUCAGAGGUCCUUCUGCUGCUGGCUACGCCUACAGGGACUUCCUUGGCAAAUAUGCAAAGGAUUCCCCCGUGGCCUUGGAGCCUUGUGUUGGUGUUCCCUUGAAGAGGAAAGGGUGAUGUAGCACAGAAGCAGUAAGUAUUUCCCUAAGUUUGAGAACCAAUAUAUCAAUCCAGUAGGAGGAGCGUUCACGUCACAAGUACCUGCACAAACACAAAGAGCUGGCACCCAACGCUAUGAAGGGGUUGUCAAUCCCUUAUAGAUUGUUUGCAAAGUGAGAACUGAAAGCAAAAAGGAAACAAAGCAAAGUAAAAGUAAAAGUGGAGACGAUAGCUGUGAAUAGACCCGGGGGCCGUAGUGUUCACUAGUGGCUUCGCUCAUUAAAGCAAGUAGACGGUGGGUGAACGAAUUUCUGUCGAGCAAUUGAUAGAACCGCGCAAAGUCAAGAUGUUAUAUAUGGCAAUGAUCAUAUCUAUAGGCAUCAUGUCCAAAACAAGUAGACCGAUACUUUUUGCAUCUACUAUUAUUACUCCACACGUCGACCGCUAUCCAACAUGCAUCUAGUGUAUUGAGUUCAUAAGAACAGAGUAACGCCUUAAGAAAGAUGACAUGAUGUAGAUGGACAAUAUCAAAUCUAUGAUGAAAGCCCAUCUUAUUAUCCUUGAUGGCAACAACACGAUGCGUGUCUUGCUGCCCCUUCUGUUACUGGGAAAGGUCACCGCACGGUAUGAACCCAAAACCAAGCACUUCUCCCAUUGCAAGAAUCAUAGAUCUAGUUGACCAAACAAAACCCAAGACUCGGAGAGACUUACGAGGAUAUCAAAUCAUGCAUAUAAGAAAUUAACAAAGACUCCAAUAUAAUUCAUAGAUAAUCUGAUCACAAAUCGACAAUUCAUCGGAUCUCGACAAACACACCGCCAAAGAGGAUUACAUCGGAUAGAUCUCCAUGAAGAUCAUGGAGAACUUUGUAUUGAAGAUCCAAGAGAGAGAAGAAGCCAUCUAGCUACUAACUACGGGCCCGUAGGUCUGAAGUGGACUACUCACGAGUCAUUGGAGGGGCGAUGAUGUUGAUGUAGAAGCCCUCCAGCUCCAAAGUCCCCUCCGGCACGGCACCGGGAAGGGUCUCCAGAUGAGAUCUUGCGGAAACGGAAGCUUGCGGCGGCGGAAAAGUGGUUUCGUGGACGCCCUGAUUUUUUCUGGGAUUUUAGGGAAUUUAUAGGCCAAAGAGCUAGGGCAGGGGAGCGCUAGGGAGGCCACAAGCCUGGUUGCCGCGGGCCCCCUGGCCGUGGCAACAGGGCUUGUGGGCUCCCUGUGGGCCUCUUACCUUGGCCCUCAAGUCCCCCGAUCUUCUUCUGUUCUGGAAAAAUUUAUUUCGGGGAUUUUAUUCCGUUUGGACUCCGUUCCAAAAUCAGAUCUGAAAAGAGUCAAAAACACAGAAAAAACAGGAACUAGCACUUGUCACUGAAUUAAUAAGUUAGUCCCAAAAAAAGAUGUAAAAGGUAUAUAAAACAUCUAAAGUUGACAAGAUAACAACAUGAAACUAUCAAAAAUUAUAGAUACGUAUCAAGCAUCCCCAAGCUUAACUCCUGCUCGUCCUCGAGUAGGGAAGUGAUAAAUAAUGAAUUUUUGAUGCUCUCAUGCUACCUAGCAUAGAUGUCCUUUGUAACUCCUCUUAUCUGACGUGAAUGUUCAUAUCCAUUAGAUUCAAAAUAAUAGUUUUCUAUUGACGUGGAGACAAUAAUACUUCAAGCAAACUAGCAAGGUAAUCAUGAACUUCCAAAAUAACAAGGCCAAAAGAAAGUUAUGCCUACAAAAUCAUAUAGUUUGGCUAUGCUCUAUCAUCCUUGCACAACGAAUUUAAAUCAUGCACAACCUCGGUAUUGGCCAAGUAAUUGUUUUCACACCUUUACUUUCUCAAACUUUUUCAACUCUCACGCAAUACAUGAGCGUGAGCCAUGGUUUUAGCACUAUAAGUGGAAUGGACUGUGGUGGAGGUUGCAAGGUAAACAAGGAGAAGAUGGUCACAUUGACUAGGCAUAUCAACGAGCUAUGGAGAUGCUCAUCAAUAGAUAUCAACGUGAAUGAGUAGGGAUUGCCAUACAAAUGAUGCACUAGAGCUAAGAGUAUGUGAAAGCUCUUAAAGGAAACUAGUGGGUGUGCAUCCAACUUGCUUGCUCACGAAGACCUAACACAAUUUUGAGGAAGCCUAUCAUUGGAAUAUACAAGCCAAGUUAUAUCACUAGUAGAAAACAGGGCUACCGUUCGGCCCUGGCUAGCCCAUUAGUCCCGGUUCUUCAAGAACCGGGACCAAUGGGGGGGGGGGGUAUUAGACCCGGUUCGUGAGCCCAGGGGGCCGGCCGGGGCCUCGUGGGCAUUGGUCCUGGUUCGUGUGGAACCAUUUGUCCCGGUUCGAGCCACGAACCGGGACCAAUGGUCCUCGCUGCUGGUCCACAACCUUUAGUCCCGGUUCAUGCCACGAACCGGGACAAAUAACUUGCCUACAUAUAUACCCACCGCCGUGGUAGAGCACUCCACAAUGCUCUGUUUUUGUCGAGCCGGUGAGGAGAGGGCAUUUGGGUGCUCUAGUUCACCUCCUAUGCACAUGAGGUGUUCGAUGAAAUGCCCGAGCCACACUAGUUAAGCUUUCUCCUCUCGAAACACGACCUCCGAGCUCCAUUUUCAACGAGACUUGUCUAGAUUUAGCGGUCCGUCACGCCCCGUCUUCACCGCCGUCGAUCGCCGGCGCCGAUCUCGUCGCCGGCGCCACCGUGGUGAGCCUCUUGUUCUUAUCUUCUUUCUGAAAGAAAAAAAAUUCUGACUUCAGAUAGAUACUUGUCUAAUUUUCUUACUUUUAUUAUUCCUUGUUAUUAUAUAGUGCCAUGGUUUUGGCAUCCACCCCCGUCGGCCCUCGUCCUGUCUAUGAUUCAGAUGUGGUAAAUAUUAUCUUUUCAUAACUAUUUGGUUCAUUUAUUGUUUAUGACAAUUAUGAUGACCAACGUGACAUAUAUUUUUAAUCUAGGAGGUAUGUGAACCGGAAAUUCCAACCCACCUAGAAAUGCUUCUUGAGAAGUUAACUUUGGUUGAAAAAGAAAACAAAUACUUGAAGGAAAAAUUGAAAAUAAUUGAGGAUAAGAAUAUGGAAAUGGAGUUGCAUGUUGCCUAGGUCAUUGACGAUCGCAAGAUGAAGAUCGAUGCGAUGCGGUUGAAGAUGGAUGCAAUGCGCUUGAAGAUGGAUGAAAUGCGCUUGAAGAUUAGGAAUAUUAGAAAAUAUGCCAUUGAUAAAGAGGCUUGGUAUCAUUAUGCUGUUGGGUCAAUUGUUACCUUACUUGCGAUUUUGAUCGCGUUUGUUGUUGCAUUUAAAUGUUUUACAUAGUUGUAUGUUGUUUUAUUAGAGAACUUUAUGUAUUUAUUUUUCAAUAAUAACAUUUGAUCACUAUUGUGCUUUGGUUUUAAUGUGAUGAUGACCUUGUAUUAAUUUGAUCAUUUCUUUAUUCAUUUUGUUCUACAAUGGUUUUUUGAUAUAUACUUAAUUUUAUAAUAGAGAUGAACCGCCAAUGGAUGUACGGUGACCGACGCACUUUGGAGUACAUUACGAACCGAGACUAAUGCCCGAAUCGAAAAGGGUUGUAAAUUGAUGACGUGGCUUUGAAUGGUGCAUUUUGAACACAGAAAAACUAUGGAGUUCAAAUAAGUUCAAAAAAAUGAAGUACCUUUGUAACAAACGAGUUUCCGUAUGAAACCCUGAUACUUCGAAAGAGAUUGUCCGUUUUGUACACGAAGUGCAUCCAGUUUUUGCCGUAACCCUCUCAACUUUCUCGCACAUGGUAUGUGGGUGAAAUGAUGAUACCAUGCCAACUUGGAACCUUUUCAGAGUUCAUUUCAAAUGCUUUUCAAUUUCAUGGUCUUAUAGCUCAUAAUAAUCAGUAAAUGCAUGAAAAAUAACAAAUGAAGUCAGAAAGGGUUGUAAAUUGAUGAUGUGGCUUUGAAUGGUGCAUUUUGAACACAGAAAAACUAUGGAGUUCAAAUAAGUUCAAAAAAAUGAAAUCCCUUUGUAACAGACGAGUUUCCGUAUGAAACCCUGAUACUUCAAAAGAGAUUGUCCGUUUUGUACACGAAGUGCAUCCAGUUUUUGCCGUAACCCUCUCAACUUUCUCACACAUGCUAUGUGCGUGAAAUGAUGAUACCAUGCCAACUUGGAACCUUUUCAGAGUUCAUUUCAAAUGCUUUUCAAUUUCAUGGUCUUAUAGCUCAAAAUAAUCAUUAAACUGCAUGAAAAAUAACAAAUGUAGUCAGAAAGGGUUGUAAAUUGAUGAUGUGGCUUUGAAUGGUGCAUUUUGAACAUAGAAAAACUAUGGAGUUCAAAUAAGUUCAAAAAAAUUGAAAUCCCUUUGUAACAGACGAGUUUUCGGGACUAAAGAUCGAGCGAAACCACGUGGCGUGACGCGCAAACACGUGGCGUGCCACAUAUGUUAUUAGUCCCGGUUCAGGACAAAAACUGGGACUAAAGCUCCAGCGAAACCAUGUGGCGUGCCGCGCAAACAUGUGGCAUGCCGCAUAUGUUAUUAGUCCCGGUUUUAGAUACGAACCGGGACUAAAGGAUUGUCUAUAUAAACCCCUCCCCCCUCCCACCCCUCUCCUGUGUUUUUGGGAGUUGAGGUGUGAGCAUGCAUGCCAUGCUCUUGCCACUCUAGCUCAUGCAUAUGAGAGAAGAAGAAUGCCGGCUGUUGUUAUGGGGGUCCCUCUUCCUUUUUCUCCUUGUGCUAGAUAUUUGUUAUGCAUUAGGGGAAGAAGGAAUAGCGGCCAUCAUCGACGGUCGAAAAAUCACGUGAGGGAGUGUCCACCAUAUAUGAGAGAAACUUUAAUAGCAAAAAGAAUUAUCAUAAAAUAAAAUUAAUAAGUAAUUAUAAACAAAAUAAAAUAAAAUAAAUAAGUAUUUUGUUGUAAGUAGAAACAAAACAAAAUAAGCUAACUAGCACUUUGAAUUUAAGUAGAAACAAAACAAAAAAUAAAAGAAAAAAUAAUCAGUAAAUGCAACUAAAAUUAUCAAAGUAUUUUCUGUUAAAAAUCAUUAAAAGCAAAAAGAAUUUUCAUAAAGAACUUUUUUUGUUAGAAACUUUAAUGGCAAAAAGAAUUAUCAUAAAAUAAAAUAAAUAAGUAAUUAGAAAUAAAAAAUAAGUAUUUUGUUGUAAGGAGAAACAAAACAAAAUAAGCUAACUAAAAAAAUAAAAAACAAAAAUAAAGCAAAAAAAUAAAAAAUAAGAUGCGAAUUUAUAGAGAAAAUUCAACCUAAAUUCAAAGUAUUAGUUAGCGCUAACUAAUACUUUGAAUNCUUCUUCUUCUCUAUUCCUUUCUUCUUCUCCUCUUCUUUUCUUCUUUUCCUCUUCUUAUUUGUUUCUCCUCUUCUUCCUCUCCUCUUCUUCUCCUUUCUUCCUCUUCUUAUUUUCCUUUUUCCUCUCAUUCUUUUUCUUCUUCUUCCUUAUCUUCCUAGCUAGAUAUAUAAUACUUUUCUAAAAAUGUAACUUUUGCAUAUAUAAAACUUUUUCUUCUUCCUAGCUAGAUAUAUAAAACGGAACUAAUACAUGAUUCCACCUUUGUUUGUAAUUAUAUUAUUUAUAUUUCCGUUCGUGCUAUAAAAAUUUAAAAAUAUGUUUCCGUUCAUUGAAGAAUUUGGUUCUCUCAUGUAUGAAAUCUGCUUAGAUUUAUUUGAAAUGUAUGCCUUGUGUAACUAAUGUGAUAUUUUGUUUCAAAAGAAUCACGAUAUUGCAUCGGUCGACUAGACGGCUAGAGAACUGAUUCGUAUCGCUUCAUCAAGAAAUAUAAUUAUUUCACAUGUUACAGCAACAUCCCGAUCUUGCUUCCAUCCACUAGGCAACUAGAUUACUAGAAAGCUGCUUCACACAUGCUUCCGUCAAUAACAAAAUAGUCCAUAUGUUUCAGAAGCUUCAUGAUCUUGUUUACAUUGACUAGACGCUUGCUUCCAAGGAUAUACGGUUUUGCUUUCAUCAAAAAUAAAAAUAUUUCCAGUCAUAACUACACAUGGUUCACACAAAUUAUUAAAUUGUUCGGAAAGAAAAGAAAAUGCUACUAGGCUCGACAACCGCCAAGCCCUUGCCAUGGCUAGACACUCCGGCUAGCACAUCCACCCUCUACGCCAAAAAACUGCAGUGGUACACACUACACAAAGCAGAAAGCAACCAAAUCUGCGUUUCAUCAGCAUGAACAGCUCUUGAAAUUUACUACCCCGAGAGUAUCUGAGGAUUUUGUUGUGCCAUUGCAAGCUAAUGGCACGAUCUGUCUAAGCUUUUUGAAGUACCUGAGGAGGCGGUGGAGCAAGGGAGGGCGGAGAGGAGGGCCUCGCAGUAGACGCUGGCGGGCUUGUCCACCACGGCGAGCCACUCGUCCUCGAACACGACGGCGGUGGAGGAGUAGGCACCGGAGGGGAAGAAGAAGAUAGGGGCAGGGGCGACGACGGCUUUGACGGGGCAGGUCGGGGGCGCGCGGCGUUGGUGUAGAGGACGGCGGCGUGGUCGGUGUAGAGGAUGGCGGCGUGGUCGGGGCAGGGGCGACGACGGCGUCGACGGGGCACAGGGCGGCGACAGGGCGGGUCGGGGGCGCGGCAGAGGCACGGCGAGGGCGCGCGGCGUGGUCGGGGCGGGGCAACGAUGGCGUGGUUGGGGGCGCGACAGAGGCACGGCGAGCUCGGGCAGCGUGGCGGCGUCGUCAGAUGGAUCGAUCCAAGAAACUGAUGAAAUUUUUACAAGUCUGGCUUAUAUAGCAAAGCCAUUGGUACCGGUUGGUGCCACGAAUCGGUACCAAUGGCUUUGAUAUAUAAGCCCGUGCUUCUGAAAUUUUCGUCAGUUUAUUCGAUCCCUCCGACGACACCGGCAGGCUGCCCGAGAUCCCGACCAUGCCUCUGCCCCCCGACCACGCACCGUUGCCCCCUUCCCGACCACGCCGUCGUCGCCGUGCCUCUGCCCCCCGACCACGCCACCGUCGCCGCCGUCGCUGUGCCUCUGCCCCCCGACCACGUCGCCGUUGCCGCCGUCGCCGUGCUUCUGCCGCGCCCCCGACCCGCCCCGUCGACGCCCUCUGCCCCGUCGACACCGUUACCGUCCUCUGCCCCGACCACGCCGUCGUCGCCCUGCCCCGACCACGCCGUCGUCGCCCUGCCCCGACCACGCCGUCGUCGCCGGCCUCUACACCGAUGCCGACGCCGUGCCUCUGCCCCUGCCCCGACCAACCUCUCCCUCCUUGGUUAGGCCGGUGGCGCCGCCCCCUUGUCCUCUCCUCUGUUUUUUUCAUUAUAUGAUGUUUUUUUUUCAUAUUAUGUGUAUAUGUGUGAGUAUAUGUAUGUAUAUGUUCUUUUCAUUAUUAGAUUUUUUGUUCAUAUAUAUGAUGAUUUGUUUUUUGCAUUUUUAUAAAAAUUGAUAUAUGUAUAUGUUCUGUGUGCAUAUAAAAGUUAGAUUUUUAGUAUAUUUGGGUACAUUUUAUGUUAGUUUUAUCUAUAUAUGUUCUCUGAUUUAGUACAUUUUAGGUUGGUUUUAUCUAUAUAUAUUUAGGAAGAAGGAAGAAGGAAGAAGAAGAAAAAGUUUUAUAUAUGCAAAAGUUACAUUUUUAGAAAAGUAUUAUAUAUCUAGCUAGGAAGAUAAGGAAGAAGAAGAAAAUGAAUGAGAGGAAAAAGGAAAAUAAGAAGAGGAAGAAAGGAGAAGAAGAGGAGAGAAAGAAGAGGAGAAAUAAAUAAGAAGAGGAAAAAAGAAGAAAAAGAAGAGGAGAAGAAGAAAAGAAUAGAGGAGAAAAAAAGAAAAAAAUAGAAAUUUUCUAUUUUUUCUUCUUUCUCCUCUAUUCCUUUCUUAUUCUCCUUUUUUUUCUUUUUUUUCUUCGAUUGCUUCUCUUCUAUUCCUUUCUUCUUCUCCUCUUUUUAUUUCUUGUUUUGUCUUCUUAUUUUUUAUCGGGUAUGUCGUUGUCGAUAUAUACCCCCUCCCAAAUUUACCAAGUUAAAAGAGCGUUGUCGCCGAGGCCACCCCAAACCCUUGAAGCGUUGUGUCCAGGCCACCCCAAACCCUUGAAGCGUUGUGUCGAGGCCACACCAAACCCUUGAAGCGUUGUCUAGGCCACCCCAAACCCUAGAGAAGCAGCGUCGAGGCCACUAACAUGAUUCCUUAUUGUGAUUAGCUAGCUAGUUCUACGUUUGCCACUAAUAUAUAUCCAUCUGUACCAUGUUUGAAUAAUAAUUGACAUGUUGUAAAUAUUUGCAGAAACUAUGGAUCACUCCAAAGACGAAGAGGAAGAAGCGAUGUUGGGGGAGAUAAUCGCACAAGGAAGUGAUGUCAUUGCGUCGUUUCUCAGAGACACCGAUGGUCUGGAAAGACCGGGUGAAGAAGAGGGCUAUGUUCAUGAUGAUCUGGAAGGACCGGGUGAAGAAGAGGGCAUUCAUGAUGAUCUGGAAGGACCGGGUGAAGAAGAGGGCGUUCAUGACGGCUCCGUUGACCGAACCGAGUCCGACCAAGUAUAUAUAUAUAUAUUAGUUAAGCCCGUGCUGACUAGUUAAUUGAUGCAUUCAUUGUUUUCAUAUGUACACAUAUUAAUUAACUCUCGUCUUUCUUGUUUUUUCUCUAGACCUCCGGAUCGACCUCAACUUCGGUAAAGAAACGAGGCCCGAAGAAAAAGUUGCGCUCGGAUGAAAGGUUUGAGAUCACAGCAAUCACGCGCGAUGGCAAGCCGAUUGAACCCAUUCGGACAAGGGAUGCAUUUCGUGCUCAGUGCGGGGUUCUUGUUAGGGACAAGAUCCCGAUCAGUAUCCAACAAUGGUUAAAGCCAAAGAAGGAAGACCCUGAGGUGCCGACGUCUUAUGUCUCCGAUAAAAAGAAAGAAGAUCUUUGGACAACGCUUAAGGAAAAUUUCACCCUACCGCCAGAGAAGGAUCCAGAGAAGCCAGUUAAAGAGGAAUUGAUCAAGUCUCAUGCUCUUAAGAAGAUGGCAGAACUAUUCAGGAGGUGGAAGAAUGAGCUGAAAACGUUUGUCGACAAAGAAGAGACACCAGAAUUCACCGGCCGGUUUGAGAAGAUCAAAGAUCAAUGGCCCGCAUUUGUGGCCCACAAGACAUCGGAAAAGAGUAAGAAGAUGUCAGCGACAAACAAGAAAAAUGCUGCGAAGAAGAAGCAUCACCAUCGCACGGGGUCAGGUGGUUACCUCAAAGCCCGACCUUUGUGGGACAAGGCUGAGAAUGACCUGAUUGCUAAAGGGGUCGAACCAGAGACAUUGAGACGGCCAGACCGUUGCCGGACUUGGUUCUUAGGGGUUGGCGGAACCUUGGACCCUGUAUCAGGGGAGUGCCUUUGGACGGAAGAGCAACUGCGAAUACCCGUUAGGAAGCUUCAACACUAUAUCGCCGCAGCACAGGAAGGGGCGUUCAUUCCAGACAGAGAGAAUGAUGAGCUCACAAUGGCCCUCGGGAAUCCUGAGCACCCUGGACGGACAUGAGGCACGCUAGAUUCCCUUCCGUGGAAGGCAGGGUUUUCGGACGCAGGGGUUACAAAACCCAGGUCAGGAGGAAGAAAGCGGAGCAUAGCCAACUGCAGGCGCUGCACGAAAGGGUACAAGGGCUAGAGGAACGAGAAGCAGAUCGUAGCAAACGACCUGCCGAAGCUUCCCCUGAAGCUACCCCACCAUCUCAGCGGAGAAGCACCAUGGCUUCCACCGAGCAGACUCAGCAGCUGGAGCCUGUCUUCACGUGCUACCCCGUGGAUGCUAUCACAGAGUCUCAACAUUGCUACCUUAUGACGCAAUGGAUGACAUUCAAAGUCAAGGCGACUGUUGGCUCUGUUAUACCUAAUGAACCUGGCUCAACCUACCACGGCCAGCCGAUUCCAGAAGGAUAUGCUAGGGUGAUGGUGGAUCAAAUAACGGAAGGAUUUGAGGACCUUGAGCUUGACCACCCUACGGGUGAAGGGGAGAUUCGGCUGGGUUCUUCUCUGAAGACUCCAUGCCUAUGGCGGAAGGAGCUCAUCCACCUUCCGAACUGGACGCCUCCGCCUCCUCCUCCUCCUCCGGCGAGUCAGGGCCCGCCUCCUCCUUCGCCUCCUCCGGCGAGUGAUCAGGGCACUCAGCCUCCUUCUCCAGCACGUGACGGCACUCCGCCUCCUUCUCUGCCUGCGCCCGCGCGCCCGAGCAGCCAGCUGCCUCCUCCUUCUCCGCCUCGUCAACAAGAGCUGAAGAGACCCGCCGCCGCUCCGGCUCCUCCGGCGCGUAGUCCUUCUCCUCCGCCUCAUAAGAAAGGAAAGACAGUCGCAGCCGCUCCGUCUGCUCCGACGUGUAGCAGUACAGCCAGAGGCAGGCAAUACAAAUACGGUCCUUCUCUGAAGCCUCUAGAGAAGUUACCAUACGAGAGGAGCCCGGAGGAAAACGAGAAGCUCGUGCGAGCUGAAGUGGCCAACUUCUUUGAAGGGGUCAAAGCAAAGAAAAAUCCACCUCCGGAGGAGAAGAUAGAUCCGGUAAAAGCGAAGCGUACUCUGGCUGCCCUGACGAAACCACCAAAGUCUCCGGUGAAAGACAACUAUCAGCGCAUUCUUACAAAGUCAUUUAUCGCAGCGGAGCGGUCGGGAAGUACGGUCAGUGAUCAAAGGUUAGUAGGACGACGAGCUGGGAAAAAAGUUGCCCAGCUCGGCGAACACGCGAACCAAUCGUUGCCCCCGCUCCAGGUGUCUAGCGUCGUCGCGAAUCAUCCGGGCGGGAUGGUGCACUGUUAUAACGAUCUUGGAGAUUACCUGCCCGACUCUGCACAUUUUGAUUUCUUGGAGGUGGACGAACACAGAUACGUGUACGGGAAGCCUCUCGUCAAAGAUGAAAAAUCUCUAACAACGAUGAUUCGAAGAUUCCAUGAUUGGUAUAUGAAAACCUGUAGAGAGUCUCGGGGAGGAAUAGUUUGAUGCUCAGAGUUAAAGAGGAGCAUGACCUCGUUGGAAUUGAUCUGUUGAAUGUUCCAUUUGACGAGUUCUUCGAGUUUUUCAAUCUAAAGGCCCUCGAUAAGUCAAUUAUCACUUGCUACUGCCUGUAAGUAGUACUACUUCUGUCAUUAAGUCUCUAUAUAUAGGUCAUCUCUUUCAUUGCAUGUAUCUUUAAUUAUUCUCACUAUAUUAUGCAGAUUGAAGAUCGCCGAAUUGAAGAAAAGACAAAUUGGUGAUAUUGGGUUCAUUAACACAAAUCUCAUUGAUGAAUAUAUGGUUAAAUAUCAUGCCAAAGAUACCGAGACAAACCUGCUACAAUCGUUUAUAUUAAAUCAAAACAAAGCUAUAAUGCUCUUCCCUUACAACUUCGAGUGAGUGUUACUGUCUUGUGCAUAUUCGGUUUCCCUUAUUAGUCGAGGUUAUAGUAAUGUAAUUGAUGAGUUAUGCAUGCGUGCGCAGUUUCCACUAUAUUCUCCUAGAGAUUAAGCUUGAGGAGGGACUAGUAACCGUCUUAGACUCGAGACGAAAAGAUCCCAAGAAGUACACAUACAUGACUGAAAUUCUAGAGAAGUAAGUUAAAUCUAUCAUUAUCGCACCAUAUCGACAACUUCAAUUUGUUCAUUUCCUGAUGUCAAGUAAUUGUUUUCUUUGUCUGGCAGAGUUUGGAUUAAAUUCACCUUAAAAACUCCGAGACUGCCAAAGAAGCUGCAGUUUAGACACCCGAAAGUAAGUACUAUAGUAGCAUAUAUGUUCCACGCAUCUCCUAGUGAUCCAAGCGCUAGUUUCACCAAUACCAUUUAGCAUGCUUGCUAAUUAUCAGUUUGAUUGACCUCUAUUUCUUGUAAAGUGGUUGUGGCAGGAAGAGGGGACUAAUUACUGUGGAUACUACAUUUGCGAGUCCAUCCGCAACGCGACCUGUGAGCGGGACUACUCCGAGAAACAAUAUGAAGUGCGUAAAUAAUUAUAUUCGCAAUUUUAUUUUAUUACCAUAAUUUGUGUUCAGUUUCAUUUAUUCAUAUAUAUGUAUUGACCCCCUUCUUCAAAUUAGAUAUUUCGGAUGCGAAAUGAACUCCUAGCACCAGAUUGUAUGCGAGCAAUUCAAGAGGAAUUGGCGGCAUUCUUUCUUGACCACGUGAUCGCUAAAGACGGAGAAGACUAUGUGGACCCUGAUGCGUUCAAUUUUAAUUAGGAGAUUAUAUUGUAAAAGAUACUUAUAUUGUAUAUAUGUAGCGAGUAGCGUCGGAUAGAUAUACGAGAACUUGUUGUUCGACCAAUCUCUCAGAGAAGGAGAGGUGGUCGAUAUCACUUCCCUUUGUAUGCAUCUGUUCAUGACGAUCUUCUGUUUCCUUCAUUUGCUUAACUAGCUAGCGUGUCUAGUCCUCUAUACGUAUAGUACGUAGCAUCGACCAAGCACGGAGAUAAGAAAGGACACUUCGCUCUAUUAAUUAGCAUGCUAACACAAUAUAUGAAACACCUAAAUUAACCCUCCAAAACCCCCAAACCCUCCGACCCUUUCAAAAAAAAACAAAAACCCGAGCACCUGAGAUGUUGACGCGUGGAUGCCUAUUGGUCCCGGUUGGUGCCACCAACCGGGACCAAAGGGCCUCCUGCCUGGGCUCGCCGCACCGGCCACGUGGAGGCCCAUCUGUCCCGGUUUAUGCAAGAACCGAGACUAAAGGUUUAGGGCAUUAGUACCGACACUUUAGUCCCGGUUCAAAAACCGGGACAAAUGGCCCUCACGAACCGGGACAAUAGGUCCUUUUUCUACUAGUGUAUAAUGAAAAUUUCCCACUAGCUAUAUGGUGGUGACAAAACGAGAGACUCUCAAUCAUGAAGAUCAUGGUGCUUAAUAAGCACAAGUGUGGAAAGAUAGUAGCAUUGUCCCUUCUCUGUUUUUCUCUCAUUUUUUGGUGGGCUCUUUGGCCUCUCUUUUUUUGGGUGGGCAUCUUUGGCCUCUUUUAUUUCCUCACAUGGGACAAUGCUCCAUCAAUGAUGAUCAUCACACUUACAACUCAAAACUUAGAGCAAUGAUGACUCUAUAAGGAAUGCCUUCGGUAGUGUACCGUGAUAAUGAUCUAGCAUGGCAUAGACAUCAAUGGAAACAUCAUGCUAGCUAUCUUAUGAUCAUGCAAUGGCAAUGUAGAAGUGGUGGCACAUGUCAUGGUGGUAGUUGCAUGGCAAUAUAUCUCGGAAUGGCUUUAAAAAAGCCAUAGUAGGUAGGUAUGGUGGCUGUUUUGAGGGAGGCUAUAUGGUGGGUUUUGUGCACCGGCGAAAGUUGCACGACACUAAAGAAGAUAGUGAUGGUGGAAGGUGAAAGUGCAUCUAAACCAUGGACUCAACAUUAGUCAUGAAUAACUCAUAUAAUUGUUGCAAAAGUUUUAGUAGUAAUCGAAACAAAGCAUUCAAUGCAUACUCCUAGGGGAAGGGUUGGUAGGUAUAAACCAUGGCGCGAUCCCGACCAUCACACAAAGGAUGACAAUCAAUAGACUAAUCAUGCUCAGACUUCAUCACAUAGCGGUUCACGAUACGUGCAUGCUACGGGAAUCACUAACUUCAACACAAGUAUUUCUAGAUCCACAACACCUUACUAGUAUAACUUCAAUAUUACCACAACCACAACUCAAAACUAAUUGAGAUGAAUCAAACUUCUCUAAUUAUUCAAUGCACAUGAAGGUGGAAGUUUUCAUAUCCCUAUGGAUAACUACCCCUUUUGAGACUACUUUCAUAGCAUAAGCCAACUAUCAAGCCACGCGCUUCCGUGCUCUAAAAGAUAUAAGUGAAGCACACAGAGCAAAAUCAACUAGCUCAAAAUAUAAAAGUGAAGCACAUGUGAGUUUAAUUGUCUAACCAAAGGAUAUAAGUGAAGCUCGACAAAAUCAUGGUGAGUGCAUGUCUCUCUCUCUAGGUGUGAAUCAAGGAAGAUUGUGACACAACAAAAAUAAAAGACUCCUACGAUACAAGAUGCUCCAAGCAAAACACAUAACAUGUGGUGAAUAAAAAUAUAGCCCCAAGUAACUUUACCGAUGGAUUGAAGACGAAAGAGGGGAUGCCUUCCCGGGGCAUCCCCAAGCUUAGGCUUUUACGACAUCCUUGAAUCAACUUGGGGUGCCUUGGGCAUCCCCAAGCUUGAGCUCUUGCCACUCUUUAUGUCUUUGUCCAUAAGAACUUCACCCCAAACUUGAAAACUUCACAACACGAAACUUAAACAGAAACUUGUGAUAACAUUAGUAUAAGAAAGCAAACCACCACUUCCUUAGGUAGUGUAGCAAACUUAAAUUCCACUUAUGUUGAUGUUGGGUUACUGUAUUUUCAAUCUUCCAUGGCUAAUACCCCCCGACACUAUCCAUAGUUUCAUCAAAAUAAGCAACCAACUCAACGAAAACAAAAUCUGUUAACAGCAGACCAGUCUGUAGCAAUCUAUAUACUUCGUAUACUUCUGGUACUUCAAAAAUUCUGAGAAAUUACGACAGUGUGAAGAAUUUGUGUAGAAAUCAGUAGAAAAAAUAAUCAACUCAAAAGCUCUUACAGAAAAAUGGAAAAUUCUUUUCGUGAGCAGAAAGUUUCUGUCUUUUCCAGCAUGACCAAACGAUCAUCCCCAAGACUAACCAUAACGGUUUUACUUGGCACAAACGCAAAAGAAAAACAAAAAACACAAUCAUAACAGAAUUAUGAAAGUGUGGAAAACACAAAACAGAAAGAAAAAUGAUAGAUUCGUUGGGUUGCCUCCCAACAAGCGCUAUUGUUUAACGCCCUUAGCUAGGCAUAAGGUGAUGGAAUCACGUAUAGCAUCUUUGGUGCUCAAACCAUAAGUAGCCCUCAUCAUAGAUUCAUAAGGCAAUCUUAUUUUCUUUCUAGGAAAAUGCUCCAUGCCCUUCUUUAGAGGAUAUUGAAAUCUAAUAUUCCCUUCCUUCAUAUCGAUGAUAACACCAAUAGUCCUUAGGAAAGGUCUACCAAGAAUAAUGGGACAUGAAGGAUUGCAAUCUAUGUCAAGUACAAUGAAAUCCACGGGUACAUAGUUCUUAUUUGCAAAAAUAAGAACAUCAUUGAUCCUUCCCAUGGGUUUCUUGAUAGUAGAAUCCGCAAGAUGCAAAUUAAGAGAACACUCUUCAAUCUCAUGACAACCAAGAAUAUCACAUAAAGACUUUGGAAUAUUCGCGGAAACACUAGCACCCAAAUCACACAAAGCAUUGCAUUCAUAGUUUUUGUUUUUGAUUUUGAUAGUAGGUUCCCACUCAUCAUGAAGUUUUCUAGGUAUAGAGACUUCUGAUUCGAGUUUCUCUUCAAGAGAUUUCAUCAUAGCAUCUACGAUAUGCUUUGCUUUAGCUAUAAGCAUGUGGAGAGUUUGCAAUGGAUUGCAUCAAAGAAAUGCAUUCAAACAAGGAGCAACUAUCAUAAUUGAAUUCNNNNNNNNNNNNNNNNNNNNNNNNNNNNNNNNNNNNNNNNNNNNNNNNNNNNNNNNNNNNNNNNNNNNNNNNNNNNNNNNNNNNNNNNNNNNNNNNNNNNCAGAGGCCGUUGGUCCCGGUUGGUGGCACCAACCAGGACUAAUGGUGGCAUUGGUAUCGGUUGGUGUCACCAACAGGGACCAAGGUCUCUUUCAGCAGCCCGAAGGGCGGGAAGCAAAGGCAUUUGGUCCCGGUUGGUAGCACCAACUGGUACCAAUGCCCCCCUUUAGUCUCGGUUGGUGCCACCAACCGGGACCAAAGGCCUUGCACUGGCGCGGUGUGGUGCUAUGUUUAGUCCCACCUCGCUAGCCGAGAGGGGCUCGGAGUGGUUUAUAAGCCCUGCCGAACAAACCACUUCGAGCUCCUCUCUAUUGCAGGCUUACAGGCCUAAAAUCACUAUAUGUGCUUGUGGGCCUAUUGGGCCUACUGCGGGCCUGCAUCCUGGCCCUAAUAAUGGGUUUCUAGUCGUAUGCACGCCGUGGUGGCCGUGUAGGUGGCUACUUUUUUUUAAAAAAAUCCAGUUUUUUGCUUUCUUUUUUGUUUCUAAUUACUUAUUUAUUUUCUUUUAUGAUAAUUCUUUUUGCUAUUAAAGUUUGUAACAAAAUUUUAAUUACUUACUUAUUUCCUUUUAUGAUAAUUCUUUUUUCUUUUAAUGUUUUGAACAGAAAAUACUUUGAUAAUUUUAGUUGCAUAAAUUCUAUAUAAUUUUAGUUUCAAUAAUACUAGAGGUUUAUAAAAGCUUUUUAGUUGAUUCUUUUAGUACCAGUUCUAAGGCUGUUACAAAGGCAUUUUAUUUGGUACAGGUUCUAAGGCUGGGGCCCNNNNNNNNNNNNNNNNNNNNNNNNNNNNNNNNNNNNNNNNNNNNNNNNNNNNNNNNNNNNNNNNNNNNNNNNNNNNNNNNNNNNNNNNNNNNNNNNNNNNCAGCAGCCCGUGGCACGAUGCAGGCCACAUGCAAAAAGUGAUGCCCACAUGAAGCAAAAAUUAUUAAUAGAGGAUUCAAAGAUCACUCACACCUCUUCAUCUUACAACAAAUGGCGCAUUACAUGUCUGUCAUUUGUCAAAAUCUGGGAUUUUUACUUUUUUCAUAGAACCAUUAUUUUUUAAAUGUUUUAUCACUUAAACCGUGUGUCCAAAUCUCGAACCAUUUUUAUUGUUGUAUUCCACGUGUUGAGAUAUUCAAAACUAAAUUCCAUGUUGAUAAAUUUUGUCAAACUUAUUUUUUAUUAAAAUACCGGACGAAAAAACCGUGUCUCAAAAGAAAAAAAAUAUGGUUUUUUGUUUCACAAAUGCACUGCCGUGCCUCUCAUGAAAGAAAAAAAAACAGAAAACGCAUUUUUUUUUGUUCCCAGAGGCACGGUCGUGAAAGCGAAUCCGUGCAUCUCGCAGAAACGUCUUGUGAAAAAAAUUAGAAAAUGCUUUUUUCAUCUCCAAGAGGCACGAUCGUGCCUCUCACGAAAUCAAAUCAGUGUCUCUCGCGGAAACCAAUUCAUGCCUCUCGUGAAAGGAAAAAUAGAAAACACAUUUGUUUCGUCGUGCCUCUCGCGAAAGCAAAACAGUGCCUCCCGCGAAAGAAAGAAAAAUAUUUUUUUUUANGAGAAGCAUGGGUGUGCCUCUCGCAAAAAUAAAGAAAAWAUCGAAAAAAAAAACGUUUCCAAGAGGCAACGACUGUAGCUCUCGACAAAAUCAAAUCCCUGUCUUUUAUGAAAGCAAAUCAUGCUUUUCGAGAAAGACUAAAAAAAGNNNNNNNNNNNNNNNNNNNNNNNNNNNNNNNNNNNNNNNNNNNNNNNNNNNNNNNNNNNNNNNNNNNNNNNNNNNNNNNNNNNNNNNNNNNNNNNNNNNNAAAAGCGUGAGUUCAAUGUAGGUGAUUAUGUCUUGCUAUAUAAUUCUCGUUUAAGAUUCUUUGCAGGCAAGCUUCUCUCUAAAUGGGAAGGUCCCUAUAUUGUUGAGGAAGUAUAUCGUUCUGGUGCUAUCAAGAUCAACAACACGGAAGGUAAUUGUCCGAGAGUUGUAAAUGAGGAGAGAAUCAAGCAUUAUAUCUCAGGUACUCCCAUAAAUGUUGAAAGCAAUAUCAUCAAUACCAUAACUCCGGAAGAAUACCUAAGGGACAUUUAUCAGCCUGUUUCAGACUCCGAAAAUGAAGAGGUGUGUGAUUCGGUAAGAAAACAGAUUCCAAAAACUUUUCCAAUAGGAAUUUUUCACCGUUUUGGAAUAUUUGAAAAAAAUAGAAAAAUUGGAAGUAGUCCGAAAAGUGCGCGAGGAGGCGACAAGCCUGCCCGGCGCGGGCCCACCCCAUGGCCGCACCGGGGGGGGGUGUUGUGGCCACCUCGUGCGCCUCCCGGACUCCGUUUUCGUGCGGAGUACUCCUCCUGGUCUGGAAAAAAUCAAUAUAUAUUCUCCCGUAAGGUCUGACCCCUGUAUCACGCAGAUUUCCUCUGUUUUCGUUUCGAGCCUGUUUUCUGCCGCAGAUUUAGAGCAAGAUGUCUUCUCAGGAUUCAGAGGGGGANAGCUAUGUGGCUGAUUACCUNACUAACUCCAAGGUCUAUGGGGACUUGGAUCCUUAUGGCUGGACCACUGAUGAGGAAGAAGAUUAUGAUCCCAAGGGGAAGAACAAACAAGUUCCGAUGAAGAGGAGGCUCCUCUACCUCAACCUGGACACACGCNNNNNNNNNNNNNNNNNNNNNNNNNNNNNNNNNNNNNNNNNNNNNNNNNNNNNNNNNNNNNNNNNNNNNNNNNNNNNNNNNNNNNNNNNNNNNNNNNNNNUCAGGGCAUCAGACAUCAUGAGCUAGGUUCAUGCGUAGAUGUCUUCUCGAGUAGAACACAAAAGUUUUUGUGGGCGGUGAUGUGCGUUUUGCUGCCCUCCUUAGUCUUUUCUUGAUUCCGCGGUAUUGUUGGAUUGAAGCAGCUUGGACCGACAUUACUCGUACGCUUACGAGAGACUGGUUUCAUCGUUACGAGUAACCCCCUUUGCUCAAAGAUGACUGGCAAGUGACGGUUUCUCCAAAUUUAGUUGAAUCGGAUUUGACCGAGGAGGUCCUUGGAUGAGGUUAAAUAGCAACUCAUAUAUCUCCGUUGUAGUGUUUGCGUAAGUAAGAUGCGAUCCUACUAGAUGCCCUUGGUCACCACGUAAAACAUGCAACAACAAAAUUAGAGGACGUCUAACUUGUUUUUGCAGGGUAUGCUUGUGAUGUGAUAUGGCCAACGAUGUGAUGUGAUAUAUUGGAUGUAUGAGAUGAUCAUGUUGUAAUAGAAAUAUCGACUUGCACGUCGAUGGUACGGCAACUGGCAGGAGCCAUAGGGUUGUCUUUAUACUAACGUUUGUGCUUUCAGAUGCGUUUACUAUUUUGCUAGGAUGUAGCUUUNNNNNNNNNNNNNNNNNNNNNNNNNNNNNNNNNNNNNNNNNNNNNNNNNNNNNNNNNNNNNNNNNNNNNNNNNNNNNNNNNNNNNNNNNNNNNNNNNNNNCAAUGACUUACAGAUCAUAGCACCGUGUGACAGCCCGUAUGCCGACGUUCCAGAAGAUWUYCCCCCUUUAUUUUCCGUUUCCUUCAUGUGUUUAGUUUAAUUGGUUGCAUCAUCAUUUAGUUUUGCAUCAUGGCAUCUUGCAUCAUCUGUUGCGUGUGUGUGUUCUGAGUUGUGAGUGCUUCAAGUGCUCUUAGAGUCUUUAGUGCAAUAGGAAACUCCCCUCUCCUCUCCUAAUUCUUUUGAGGCAAUUCCAGUUUCUGGUUUUGCCUAAAUAAAAUGUUCCUCCUCUUUUAAAAAUACUCCCUCUUAUUUGGGCAACCCUCUGGUUUAACUUUAUUUUCCUUUUGUUUAUUUAAAAUCAGCGCCUAAUUUAUCUAAAAGGGUUUAUUUUGUUCUUAAAAUGCCCAAUCUAUUUCUUAUAGUUGGAGCAUGUUUUAAGGAGCCCAAAGGUAUUUUGUUUUAGUUAAAUUCUUCUUAUUUUGGUUGUGGUAUUUUCUUUUUAUAGCGGCUAUUUUAUUUUGUGCUAGGCAUUUUUUAUUAGUGGGAGAGAGAGAAGCCCAGCCUGUAGCCAGCUGGGCCAAGGCCCAGACGGCCCGCCGAACCCUAGCGCCAGGGAGCGAGCCCCCUCGCUCGUUUCCCUCCUGCCGCCGCCAACCCCUUCCUUCCCCCGUCUCGUUCUCCUCGUUCCUCUCCUCCCCAUCGUUCCCUCCAGCGCCGCCAUGCAUGGUAGCCAGGAGCUCAUGCCCGAAGCACUCCAGCGCCGUCACCCGAAGCCAUGCGUCACCCUGCUCAUCCUCUGCCGACCCCCCCCCCUUUUCUCUCUUUUCCAUCUCAUCUCUCUUCUCAUCCCGUUAUGUAGGUCGCCGUGGUGCCCCGAGCUCCGCCCGUCGCCGGGAACCAGCUCCCUCGACCGGGUUCGCCCGAGCCCCCGCUCGUCCUCGCCCCCUCCUCCUACGCGCAGCUGCCCUUAGGUCAGGUUCGCCCGAGAGCAGUGCUUCGACCCUCCUGCUGCCNNNNNNNNNNNNNNNNNNNNNNNNNNNNNNNNNNNNNNNNNNNNNNNNNNNNNNNNNNNNNNNNNNNNNNNNNNNNNNNNNNNNNNNNNNNNNNNNNNNNUCAGGGGCAUCAGACAUUGACCGAGGAGUCUCUCGGGUCAUGUCUACAUAGUUCUCGAACCCGCAGGGUGUGCACACUUAAGGUUCGACGUUGUUUUAUGUGUAUUUGAGUUAUAUGGUUGGUUACCGAAUGUUGUUACGGAGUCCCGGAUGAGAUCUACGGACGUCACGAGGGUUUCCGGAAUGGUCCGGAAACGAAGAUUGAUAUAUAGGAUGACCUCAUUUGAUUACCGGAAGGUUUUCGGAGUUACCGGGAAUGUACCGGGAAUGACGAAUGGGUUCCGGGAGUUCACCGGGGGGGCAACCCACCCCGGGGAAGCCCAUAGGCCUUGGGGGAGACACACCAGCCCUUAGUGGGCUGGUGGGACAGCCCAAAAAGGGCUCUAUGCGCCAAGAAGAGAAAAUCAAGAGAAAAGAAAAAAAGGAGGAGGUGGGAAGGAAGGGGGACUCCCUCCCACCAAACCAAGUCCAACUCGGUUUGGGGGGGAGUCCUCCCCCCUUGGACUCGGCCGACCCCCUUGGGGCUCCUUGAGCCCCAAGGUAAGGUCCCCUCCCUCCCACCUAUAUAUACGGAGGUUUUAGGGCUGAUUUGAGACGACUUUUCCACGGCAGCCCGACCACAUACCUCCACAGUUUUUUCCUCUAGAUCGCGUUUCUGCGGAGCUCGGGCGGAGCCCUGCUGAGACAAGGUCAUCACCAACCUUCGGAGCGCCGUCACGCUGCCGGAGAACUCUUCUACCUCUCCGUCUCUCUUGCUGGAUCAAGAAGGCCGAGAUCAUCGUCGAGCUGUACGUGUGCUGAACGCGGAGGUGCCGUCCGUUCGGUACUAGAUCGUGGACUGAUCGCGGGAUUGUUCGCGGGGCGGANNNNNNNNNNNNNNNNNNNNNNNNNNNNNNNNNNNNNNNNNNNNNNNNNNNNNNNNNNNNNNNNNNNNNNNNNNNNNNNNNNNNNNNNNNNNNNNNNNNNGCAUGCAAGCUUGCAUCGACGUAACCUUUUACGGCGAGCUCUUCGUCACCUCCAUACACGAGAAACAUCUCCUUAGUCCUUUUCAGGUACUUCAGGAUAUUCUUGACCGCUGUCCAGUGAUCCACUCCUGGAUUACUCUGGAACCUACCUGCCAUACUUAUGGCCAGGCUAACAUCCGGUCUAGUGCACAACAUCGCAUACAUGAUAGAACCUAUGGCUGAAGCAUAGGGGACGGAGCUUAUAUGCUCUCUAUCUUCAUCAGUUGCUGGGCACUGAGUCUUACUCAAUCUCGUACCUUGUAGAACUGGCAAGAACCCUUUCUUGGACUGUUCCAUUUUGAACCUCUUCAAAACUUUAUCAAGGUAUGUGCUUUGUGAAAGUCCUAUCAGGCGUUUUGAUCUAUCCCUAUAGAUCUUAAUGCCUAGAAUGUAAGCAGCUUCUCCUAGGUCCUUCAUAGAGAAACUUUUAUUCAAGUAAUCCUUUAUGCUCUCUAAAAACUCUACGUUGUUUCCAAUCAGUAAUAUGUCAUCCACAUAUAAUAUUAGAAACGCCACAGAGUUCCCACUCACUUUCUUGUAAAUACAAGAUUCUCCAACCACUUGUAUAAACCCAAAUGCUUUGAUCACCUCAUCAAAGCGUUUGUUCCAACUCCGAGAUGCUUGCACCAGUCCAUAAAUGGAUCGCUGGAGCUUGCACACCUUGUUAGCAUUCUUAGGAUCGACAAAACCUUCGGGUUGUAUCAUAUACAAUUCUUCCUUAAGGAAACCGUUAAGGAACGCCGUUUUGACAUCCAUCUGCCAGAUUUCAUAAUCGAAAAAAUGCAGCUAUUGCUAACAUGAUUCUGACGGACUUAAGCAUCGCUACGGGUGAGAAAGUCUCAUCGUAGUCAACUCCUUGAACUUGUGCAAAACCCUUUGCCACAAGUCGAGCUUUAUAAACGGUCACAUUACCGUCAGCGUCCGUCUUCCUCUUAAAGAUCCAUUUGUUCUGAAUGGCCUUGCGGCCCUCAGGCAGUACCUCCAAAGUCCACACUUUGUUCUCAUACAUGGAUCCUAUCUCGGACUUCAUGGCUUCCAGCCAUUUGUUGGAAUCUGGGCCCACCAUUGCUUCUUCAUAAUUCACAGGUUCAUUGUUGUCUAACAACAUGAUUGAUAAGACGGGAUUACCGUACCACUCUGGAGCAGCACGUGGUCUCGUCGACCUGCGUGGUUCGACAGAAACUUGAACUGGAGUUUCAUGAUCAUCAUCAUUAACUUCCUCCUCAACCGGCAUCGCAAUGACAGAGGUUUCCCCUUGCCCUGCGCCACCAUCCAGAGUGAUGAGAGGUUCGACAACCUCGUCAACUUCUAUCUUCCUCCCACUCAAUUCUCUCGAGAGAAACUCCUUCUCGAGAAAAACUCCGUUUUUAGCAACAAACACUUUGCCCUCGGAUUUGAGAUAGAAGGUGUACCCAACUGUCUCUUUUGGGUAAUCUAUGAAGACGCACUUUUCCGCUUUGGGUUCCAGCUUUUCAGGCUGAAGCUUUUUGACAUAAGCAUCACAUCCCCAAACUUUAAGAAACGACAACUUUGGCCUUUUGCCAUACCACAGUUCGUAUGGUGUCGUCUCAACGGAUUUUGAUGGUGCCCUAUUUAAAGUGAAUGCAGCUGAUUCUAAUGCAUAGCCCCAAAAUGAUAAUGGCAAAUGAGUAAGAGACAUCAUAGAUCGCACCAUCUCUAAUAGAGUACGAUUACGAUGUUCGGACACACCAUUACGCUGUGGUGUUCCAGGCGGUGUUAACUGUGAAACAAUUCCACAUUGUCUUAAGUGAGCACCAAACUCGAAACUCAGAUAUUCACCCCCACGAUCAGACCGUAGGAACUUGAUCUUCUUGUUACGAUGAUUUUCCACUUCACUCUGAAAUUGCUUGAACUUUUCAAAUGUUUCAGACUUGUGCUUCAUCAAGUAGACAUAACCAUAUCUACUUAAAUCGUCAGUGAAGGUGAGAAAAUAACGAUAUCCGCCGCGUGCCUCCACGCUCAUCGGACCACACACAUCGGUAUGUAUGAUUUCCAACAAGUCACUUGCACGCUCCAUUGUUCCUGAGAACGGAGUUUUAGUCAUCUUGCCCAUGAGGCAUGGUUCGCACGUGUCAAGUGAAUCAAAGUCAAGUGACUCCAAAAGUCCAUCAGCAUGGAGUUUCUUCAUGCGCUUUACACCAAUAUGACCUAAGCGGCAGUGCCACAAAAAUAUGGCGCUAUCAUUGUUAACUCUAACUCUUUUGGUCUCAAUGUUAUGUAUAUGCGUAUCGCUAUCAAGAUUCAAUAUGAACAAUCCUCUCACAUUCGGUGCAUGACCAUAAAAGAUGUUACUCAUAGAAAUAGAACAACCAUUAUUCUCUGACUUAAAAGAGUAACCGUCUCGCAAUAAACAAGAUCCAGAUAUAAUGUUCAUGCUCAACGCAGGCACUAAGUACCAAUGAUUUAAGUUCAUCACUAAUCCUGACGGUAACUGAAGUGACACUGUGCCGACGGCGAUUGCAUCAACCUUGGAACCAUUUCCUACGCGCAUCGUCACUUCAUCUUUCGCCAGCCUUCGUCUAUUCUGCAGUUCCUGUUUCGAGUUGCAAAUAUGAGCAACAGAACCGGUAUCGAAUACCCAGGCACUACUACGAGAGCCGGUUAAGUACACAUCAAUAACAUGUAUAUCAAAUAUACCUGAUUUUUCUUUGGCCGCCUUCUUAUUUGCCAGAUACUUGGGGCAAUUGCGCUUCCAGUGACCCAUACCCUUGCAAUAGUAACACUCCGUUUCAGGCUUAGGUCCAGCUUUGGGUUUCUUCGUCGGAUUGGCAACAGGCUUGCCGCUCUUCUUCAAAUUGCCCUUCUUGCCUUUGCCGUUUCUCUUGAAACUAGUGGUCUUAUUCACCAUCAACACUUGAUGCUCUUUACGGAGUUCAGACUCUGCGACUUUCAGCAUCGCAAACAACUCGCCGGGAGACUUGUUCAUCCCUUGCAUGUUGUAGUUCAACACAAAGCCUUUAUAGCUUGGCGGCAGUGAUUGAAGGAUUCUGUCAGUGAUAGCUUCUUGCGGGAGUUCAAUCCCCAGCUCAGCUAGACGGUUUGAGUACCCAGACAUUUUGAGCACAUGUUCACUGACAGAUGAGUUUUCCUCCAUCUUGCAAGCAUAGAAUUUAUCGGAGGUCUCAUACCUCUCGAUCCGGGCGUUCUUCUGAAAGAUAAACUCCAACUCGUGGAACAUCUCAAAUGCUCCAUGACGCUCAAAGCGACGUUGAAGUCCCGGUUCUAAGCCAUACAAGACUGCACAUUGAACUAUUGAGUAGUCCUCCUUACGUGCUAACCAAGCGUUCUUAACAUCCUGAUCAGCCGUAGCGGGUGGUUCAUCUCCUAACGCAUCAUUAAGGACAUAAUCCUUCUUCCCAGCUUGUAAGAUUAGCUUAAGAUUACGAGCCCAGUCUACAAAGUUGCUACCAUCAUCUUUCAACUUAGCUUUCUCUAGGAACGUAUUAAAAUUCAGGAUGACUGUCGCGUGAGCCAUGAUCUACAAAACAAAUAUAUUCAAAGUCGACUUAGACUAUGUUCAAGAUAAUUAGAGUUUAACUUAAUCAAAUUAUUCGCUAAACUCCCACUCAAAAAGUACAUCUCUCUAGUCAUUUGAGUGGUUCAUGAUCCACUUACACUAGCUCAAGUCCAAUCAUCACGUGAGUUGAGUAUAGUUUCAGUGGUAAGCAUCCCUAUGCUAAUCAUAUCAUCUAUAUGAUUCAUGAUCGACCUUUCGGUCUCAUGUGUUCCGAGGCCAUGUCUGCACAUGCUAGGCUCGUCAAGCCUAACCCGAGUGUUCCGCGUGCGCAACUGUUUUGCACCCGUUGUAUGUGAACGUUGAGUCUAUCACACCCGAUCAUCACGUGGUGUCUCGAAACGACGAACUGUAGCAACGGUGCACAGUCGGGGAGAACACAAUUUCGUCUUGAAAUUUUAGUGAGAGAUCACCUCAUAAUUCUACCGUCGUUCUAAGCAAAAUAAGGUGCAAAAAAGGAUUAACAUCACAUGCAAUUCAUAAGUGACAUGAUAUGGCCAUCAUCACGUGCUUCUUGAUCUCCAUCACCAAAGCACCGACACGAUCUUCUUGUCACCGGCGCCACACCAUGAUCUCCAUCAACGUGUUGCCAUCGGGGUCGUCAUGCUACUCAUGCUAUUACUACUAAAGCUACAUCCUAGCAAAAUAGUAAACGCAUCUGCAAGCACACACGUUAGUAUAAAGACAACCCUAUGGCUCCUGCCGGUUGCCGUACCAUCGACGUGCAAGUCGAUAUUUCUAUUACAACAUGAUCAUCUCAUACAUCCAAUAUAUCACAUCACAUCAUUGGCCAUAUCACAUCACAAGCAUACCCUGCAAAAACAAGUUAGACGUGCUCUAAUUUUGUUGUUGCAUGUUUUACGUGGUGACCAUGGGUAUCUAGUAGGAUCGCAUCUUACUUACGCAAACACCACAAUGGAGAUAUAUGAGUUGCUAUUUAACCUCAUCCAAGGACCUCCUCGGUCAAAUCCGAUUCAGCUAAAGUUGGAGAAACCGACACUUGCCAGUCAUCUUUGAGCAACGGAGUUACUCGUAACGAUGAAACCAGUCUCUCGUAAGCGUACGAGUAAUGUCGGUCCAAGCCGCUUCAAUCCAACAAUACCGCGGAAUCAAGAAAAGACUAAGGAGGGCAGCAAAACGCACCUCACCGCCCACAAAAACUUUUGUGUUCUACUCGAGAAGACAUCUACGCAUGAACCUAGCUCAUGAUGCCACUGUUGGGGAAUGUCGCAUGGGAAACAAAAAUUUUCCUACGCACACGAAGACCUAUCAUGGUGAUGUCCAUCUACGAGAGGGGAUGAGUGAUCUACGUACCCUUGUAGACCGUACAGCAGAAGCGUUAGUGAACGCGGUUGAUGUAGUGGAACGUCCUCACGUCCCUCGAUCCGCCCCGCGAACAAUCCCGCGAUCAGUCCCACGAUCUAGUACCGAACGGACGGCACCUCCGCGUUCAGCACACGUACAGCUCGACGAUGAUCUCGGCCUUCUUGAUCCAGCAAGAGAGACGGAGAGGUAGAAGAGUUCUCCGGCAGCAUGACGGCGCUCCGGAGGUUGGUGAUGACCUUGUCUCAGCAGGGCUCCGCCCGAGCUCCGCAGAAACGCGAUCUAGAGGAAAAACCGUGGAGGUAUGUGGUCAGGCUGCUGUGGAAAAGUCGUCUCAAAUCAGCCCUAAAACCUCCGUAUAUAUAGGUGGGAGGGAGGGGACCUUACCUUGGGGCUCAAGGAGCCCCAAGGGGGUCGGCCGAGUCCAAGGGGGGAGGACUCCCCCCCCCAAACCGAGUUGGACUUGGUUUGGUGGGAGGGAGUCCCCCUUCCUUCCCACCUCCUCCUUUUUUUUUCUUUUCUCUUGAUUUUCUCUUCUUGGCGCAUAGAGCCCUUUUGGGCUGUCCCACCAGCCCACUAAGGGCUGGUGCGCCACCCUCAAGGCCUAUGGGCUUCCCCGGGGUGGGUUGCCCCCCCGGUGAACUCCCGGAACCCAUUCGUCAUUCCCGGUACAUUCCCGGUAACUCCGAAAACCUUCUGGUAAUCAAAUGAGGUCAUCCUAUAUAUCAAUCUUCGUUUCCGGACUAUUCCGGAAACCCUCGUGACCUCCGUGAUCUCAUCCGGGACUCCGAACAACAUUCGGUAACCAACCAUAUAACUCAAAUACGCAUAAAACAACGUCGAACCUUAAGUGUGCAGACCCUGCGGGUUCGAGAACUAUGUAGACAUGACCCGAGAGACUCCUCGGUCAAUAUCCAAUAGGGGGACCUGGAUGCCCAUAUUGGAUCCUACAUAUUCUACGAAGAUCUUAUCGUUUGAACCUCAGUGCCAAGGAUUCAUAUAAUCCCGUAUGUUAUUCCCUUUGUCCUUCGGUAUGUUACUUGCCCGAGAUUCGAUCGUCAGUAUCCGUAUACCUAUUUCAAUCUCGUUUACCGGUAAGUCUCUUUACUCGUUCUGUAAUACAAGAUUCCGCAACUUACACUAAGUUACAUUGCUUGCAAGGCUUGUGUGUGAUGUUGUAUUACCGAGUGGGCCCCGAGAUACCUCUCCAUUCACACGGAGUGACAAAUCCCAGUCUUGAUCCAUACUAACUCAACUAACACCUUCGGAGAUACCUGUAGAGCAUAUUUAUAGUCACCCAGUUACGUUGCGACGUUUGAUACACACAAGGCAUUCCUCCGGUGUCAGUGAGUUAUAUGAUCUCAUGGUCAUAGGAAUAAAUACUUGACAUGCAGAAAACAAUAGCAACAAAAUGACAUGAUCAACAUGCUACGUCUAUUAGUUUGGGUCUAGUCCAUCACGUGAUUAUCCUAAUGACGUGAUCCAGUUAUCAAACAACAACACCUUGUUCAUAAUCAGAAGACACUGACUAUCUUUGAUCAACUGGCUAGCCAACUAGAGGCUUGCUAGGGACGGUGUUUUGUCUAUGUAUCCACACAUGUAAAUGAGUCUUCAUUCAAUACAAUUAUAGCAUGGAUAAUAAACGAUUAUCUUGAUACAGGAAUUAUAAUAAUAACUAUAUUUAUUAUUGCCUCUAGGGCAUAAUUCCAACACUGUGGCGGCAGCGGGCAUGGCGCUCGGGCGCGGUGGGCUGGGGCUAAGGCCGAUCUGGCCCAGUUGCGGCGGCGGGCAGGCUGCUCUGGCGCGGUGAGACGGAUUCCAGGUGGGUAGUUUUGGCCGGCGACCUCCUGGGCGCGGCCCGAGGGCGUGAUGUGAAAAGUGCUUGUGCGCCAUGGAUUUGGUUUGCUGGAAGGCUGGUCCGGUCUCUAGUUUGGGUGGGUGGGCUGCCGGUGAAAGCCGAGCUCCGACUGUGGCCGGAGCAGUCGAUGGCGGCGCCUUUGGACAUCGUCCCCUUGUUGGAGGCAUCGACGCUGCAGCCCAUCCCUAUCCAUGCCCGACAUCCUUCGGGGGAAACCCUUGAUCUGCUCUUGCGGAUCGGGCGAUGAUGACACUAUUGGCUUUGCUCGGCGUCAUAUCUCCUCUUGAGGACAAUGUCUUGAAGGUAGACUCGGCCAGAGGGACCCGAUGCUCAUGUUGGUGGUUGGCGACGACUUGUAUAGCAUUACCGUCAGAACAUCAGAAGCACCCUUCACAUGCAAGUUUCAUCAGGCAAGUUAUGGCCGCCAACCUCACGAGAUUGAAGCGGCAUAUGUUUGCUCUAUCGGACAUAGCGUUCCUCUUGGAUGUCAGUUGAGUUUCACGGAUAUGCUUGUGGCAGCUCGGAUUGAUACAACGGUUUUUGGUUUGCACUUUGGUAGCAGCGAAAGCGCUCGAGUGCCCGGCCGGGUGUGUUGUGGGGUGUUAGCCUUCUGAGGUGUUGUAUGUGUGGUGGUGUUUUAGGCCUGGUUGUUAGUCGUUGUUUUAGGUUUUCGCCCGGUUUUCCUUAUAAACUGAGCACCCUUUUUUCAUUCUUCUUCUUUUGUCACUCGCCUUAUGCGGUCCAUUCCUCCUUUGAGGGUGUUGCUCGUAAUACCUCUUCUGAUCAACGAAUUUGGCAGCUCUCCUGCCAACAUUUAAAUAAAAGAUCUGGCCAAUCUACAUGAUGAUUUGAAAGAGCUCUAUAUAAGGAUCAGUUAUAUAUAUACUUGUACGGUAUUCCACGACUUAUGUCCUGUGUAAACCUAUUUAACGCUCUUUGCGACAAAUUGUCACGCAAAUAGGACAUGGAGCAUUGAUGCUUUUUACAUUAUUUCCGGAAAAUAGAAAAAAGUAAACUAAGACAAAUCUGAUUUUUUGGCAAGAAAAAACGGUGCUUUAUAACAUGAAUGCUAAAAUUUGCUAUGAAAUCACAAUCGUGGUUGAGUAAAAAACAACUCAAUGCUCCAAAAAGAGUGUUUUCGAAGCAUUAAUUGUUUUCACACCUCCAUGAAUGUGAUUUCAUUGCCAAAUUUACACGCGUGCGAGAAAAAUAUCAGCAUUUCUUGCGAGAGAUAUCAGGAUUUUGUUUGAAAAAAAUCGGCAUUCACCGUUCGCCAAGAUCAAGCUCACAAUAGCAUUCUGGGCGCAAAUGUGAGCUUUGUUGUGUUGGCCCAAGUGCAACCCAUGCUUAUUUUCCCCGGUUUGGGUCUGGUUUUGCCGGUUGUACGAAGGUUCUCGCUCGAUUUUCAUUUUUGUUUCUUUUCUAUUGUUUUAUGUACCACUUCUAUUUAUGUUUUCGAACUUCUUUCCUGUCCAUUUUUCCUUCCAAAAAUUGAACAACGUUCACGUUCUUUAUAAAAAAUUAAAAAAAUUAAAAUGUGUAUAUUGUUUUUGAAGAAAUCAGACAUUUCUUCGUGUGGGGAGUAACUAAUUUGCGAGCGCUCCUUUGAAAGUCUCCCCACGAUCAUUUUCAGGCGUCAUCAUUUGACGCGUUCUCAGUCGUCGUCACGUGUCGCAUUCUAAGCGUUUUCAUUUGUCGUCUCUUUUGUUAGUUUUUUCCUUCUUUUUUUAUUGUUUUGGUUUCUACUUGUCUUUCUUAGCUUUUGGACCAAAUUUUUUCAUGAAAAAAACUUUUUUUGCUUUCUCGAAAAGCAUGAUUUGCUUUCAUAAAAGACAGGGAUUUGAUUUUGCGAGAGCACAGUCGUGCCUCUUGGAAACGUUUUUUUUUCGUAUUUUUCUUUAUUUUGCGAGAGGCACACCCAUGCUUCUCAUAAAAAAAAUAUUUUUCUUUCUUUCGCGGGAGGCACUGUUUUGCUUUCGCGAGAGGCACGACGAAACAAAUGUGUUUUCUAUUUUUCCUUUCACGAGAGGCAUGAAUUGGUUUCCGCGAGAGACACUGAUUUGAUUUCGUGAGAGGCACGAUCGUGCCUCUUGGAGAUGAAAAAAGCAUUUUCUAAUUUUUUUCACAAGACGUUUCUGCGAGAUGCACGGAUUCGCUUUCACGACCGUGCCUCUGGGAAACAAAAAAAAAUGCGUUUUCUGUUUUUUUUUCUUUCAUGAGAGGCACGGCAGUGCAUUUGUGAAACAAAAAACCAUAUUUUUUUUCUUUUGAGACACGGUUUUUUCGUCCGGUAUUUUAAUAAAAAAUAAGUUUGACAAAAUUUAUCAACAUGGAAUUUAGUUUUGAAUAUCUCAACACGUGGAAUACAACAAUAAAAAUGGUUCGAGAUUUGGACACACGGUUUAAGUGAUAAAACAUUUAAAAAAUAAUGGUUCUAUGAAAAAAGUAAAAAUCCCAGAUUUUGACAAAUGACAGACAUGUAAUGCGCCAUUUGUUGUAAGAUGAAGAGGUGUGAGUGAUCUUUGAAUCCUCUAUUAAUAAUUUUGCUUCAUGUGGGCAUCACUUUUGCAUGUGGCCUGCAUCGUGCCACGGGCUGCUGGGCUAGCCUGAUACUUCCACAAAAAUCCCACACCCAGUGCAACUCCACUAUGGACUAUGGAGACUAAAAAAACAAAAUCCACUGUGGACUGUGGAGGCUCCCACCCCGGUGACGGCGACCUCCUCUCCUUGUAGGCUCGUCGGCGGGGACGAGGGCCAUCGCCCCCGGCAACUUAAUGUUUGUACUCCUGAUGGUUCGACCGCCCGCCGUUCCUCCCCGCCUGCUUCCCGUGCCUUGCGUUGAAGGCCGUGGCCCGGUUCGCCAGGACGACCUAGCCCCUUUUGGAGUUCCCCUCCCCUCCCUGACGCAUACGGGGAGGCUAAUUCCAAAUCGGCGGAGGAGGGUCGAGCAUCUUCUCCGACUCCGACCGACCAUCGGCCCCCUUCCGAGGCGUCGUCGUGUGUGCUUAUACUAACCACCACAUUCACAUGGCCAUUUUUCCAUAGGAUACCCACAAGGUGCCCCGUCCGGCCAUCCCCAUGUGGCCAUCACUGUCACUGUCACUGUCAGCUCCCAUCUCUUCCAUUUCCCGAGAUCCGUAUGAAAAUGAGACAAUAGCCAAACUACCACUAUGAGAAACCAAACAUGCCAAAAUACCACUGAUAAAAGCCAACUUGCCAAAAUAGCACCCAACCCAGUUUUGUCUAGCCAAAAUACCACUAAUUCAUAACUCAGACUAACAUCAUCCAAAAAAGACUUGCAUGCCUUUACCUCUUCAACACAGAAUCAAGUUGCUGCAGGCAGAGGAGUCGGGCACUGCCGAGCAGAGGGGCGGACGAGCAAGUUGGGGCUCCUGCAAACCGUCGCGGGCCGGUUGCUGCAGGCAGGCGAGCAUGACAGGAUGAUGAGGCAGAGCUGCGACAGAUCAGGGAGGCAGAGGAGGGAGGAGAGCUGCGGCUGCGGGCGCUGGUCAGGGGCCGGGCGCCUGUUAGGAUCAAGCUUCAGACUUGAGCCAGACACGCGCUAGUGAUCAACUUCAGAGAAAGAAAUAGGGCGAACUGGGGUUUCUAUUGAUGGGAUCUCGCAGAAAAUGGAUAAAGCACGCCACUGGCGGCUAGGGUUUGUACCCAUAUAAUCUUUACAUGCCUCGAUGGGCUGGUGUGAGGGGCAAUAUAUAGCCAGCUCACAGCAAAAAGCAGAGUAAAGGAGAGGAGAACAGUAGUGGAGCUUGUCUGAUCUUGAACAACGACGCGGGGAAGGCUCCGAGCCGUUGGAUGCUCGAUCAGUGGUAGCGCCAGCUUCACUUAUCGAACCGUUACCCUUUCAUCUCAGCCGUCCGUUUAUCCAUCUACCCCUCCAGAUGUAACCGGCACGCAGGAACAGGGGAGGAGCCCGACAAUUCCCCCCUGUUAAGCUGCAGCUUGACCCCGAGCUCCAAAAGCAGGGAAAACCUUCUAUAUGAAUGCUGCAUCCUCCCAAGUAGCUUCCUCCACUGGCAGGUUCACCCAUUUGAUCAGCCAUCUCACAACAGGAGCACUAAUAUCACCCUGCACCCUUGGAACCAGCUUUCUUUCCAACAAUAUCUCAGGCUCUAUUUUGAUCAACCCAUCAGGUCCCACUAGAGGCAAAUCCUUGGAAGGCACCACUGCUGGCCCCACAUGUUUCUUCAACUGGGUGACAUGAAAGGUGGGAUGCAGUUUACACCCCUCAUGCAGCAACAACUUAUAAGCAUGGAAUCCCACUUUGUGCAAAAUUCUGAAGGGUCCAUAGAACUUUGAAUGCAACUUAAGAUUCCUAUGGAUGCUCAAGGAUGUGUGCCUAUAAGGCUGUAGCUUCAAAUAAACCAUGUCCCCAACCUCAAAUUCUCUCUCUUUCCUUUUCUUGUCAGCAAACCAUUUCAUUCUAGCUUGUGCCUUGAUCAAGUUUGCUUUAAUGACUUCCAAUUCUAGUUCUCUGUUCUGCAGCAAAUUCUCUGAAUCCACAUAAAUAGUGUCAGGUAAGGCAGACUCAGCUACCAUAGGAGGAGGAAACCCAUACAAGGCUUGGAAUGGUGUCAUUUGCAGUGAAGUGUGAAAGCUUGUGUUAUACCACCACUCAGCGAGAGCGAGCCAUCCAUGCCACUUCUUUGGUUGUUGAAAACACAUGCACCUUAAAUAGUUUCCAAACACUUAUUAACUCUUUCAGUCUAGCCAUUAGAUUAUGGGUGAUAGCUUGUACUCAUGUGUAAUUUGAUUUUCAAGGAUUUGAACAAUUGCUGCCAUAAGUUGCUAGUGAAUAUCCUGUCCCUAUCAGUAACAAUCACCACUGGCAUGCCAAACACUGUUUCAGAAAAAGCUCUAGCCACAGAUUCCACUGAAAUAGGGUGCAUCAUUGCUAUGAAAUGGGCAUACUUUGUAUACCUGUCCACUACCACCAGAAUGAGGUCUUUGUUUUCAGAUAAGGGCAGUCCUUUCACAAAAUCCAUGCUCACAUGUGCCCAGGCAAAAUCAGGUACAGGAAGUGGCUCCAACAACCCACGGUAAGGGCAAUGCUCUGCUUUGUUAAUCUGACACACAUGGCAUGCUUUCACAAAAGCAGUAACAUCCUGCUUCAAUCCUAGCCAAUGGAACACCAGUUUUACUCUCUGAUAUGUAGCCCUCUCUCCUGAGUGACCACCCAAUUCGGAGUUGUGGAAUGUUUUCAAGAGUUCUUGCCUUAAAGCAGUUGUGCUCCCAACCACAACUUUGUUUUUGAAUCUUAGGAUACCAUUCUUGUAAGUGUAAGCAUUAGCUGAGCUUGUAUCCACAGAGCUCUGAGCAAUCCACUCUUUAACUUUCUCAUCUUGACUAUAGCUUUUAGCCACUUCCAUUAUCCAGGUAGGAGUAGUGCUACUAGCAACUAACAUGGCAGCUAAGUGUUUCACUCUGGAUAAGGCAUCAGAUGCCCUGUUCUCUUUGCCCUUUUUAUAUUCAAUAGUGAAGUUGUAUCCCAGCAACUUGAGCAAGAGCUUAUGUUGGAUCCCUUUAGUAAGUUUCUGCUUCUGAAUAUAUUUGAGGCUCUCCUGGUCUGUUCUGAUGAUUAGUGCAAUGGCCAGGAAAUAGUGCUUCCACUUCUUAACAGCUUCAAUAAUUUCCAUAGCUUCCUUGUCAUAUGUGGACAUAGCAGCAGCUCUAGGUCCUAUAGUUUUGCUGAGAAAAUAAAUGGGCCUGCUCUCCUGCAUUAAAACAACUCCUAGACCAUAUCCACAAGCAUCUGCUUCUAGAACAAAAGGCUUGGAAAAGUCAGGUAGGAUUAAUACUGGAGAGUGUGUUAGCUUCUCCUUAAUUGCAGCAAAUGCUCUCUCUUGAUCAGCUCCCCAUUGAAAGGAAUCUUUCUUCAGGCAAUCAAACAGUGGCCUACAUGUGAGUCCAUACUCCUGAAUGAACCUCCUAUAGUAUCCACUUAAUCCCAGAAAACUCCUUAAUUCAGUAACAUUGGUAGGAGCAGGCCAUCCUUUAAUUGCUCUAAUUUUAGAAGGAUCAGUAGCCACUUUUCACGCCCAAGAUGCGACCCUAUCCUCAAUUUGGCACGAAGGCCUCGUCAGGGAUAGAAGCGCAUCUCGUCGUAUCGCAAGAAUGGAUAUCGUUACAAGUACAUGUACUAAAAAAGAUAUAUAAUAGAAUUGGCUUACACUCGCCACAAGCUACAUGAGAGUCACAUCCGUACAUUACAUAAUCAUCAAGAGUAAGAGCAGGGUCCGACUACGGACGAAAACAAACGAGAAAAUAAGAACGACGUCCAUCCUUGCUAUCCCAGGCUGCCGGCCUGGAACCCAUCCUAGAUCGAUGAAGAAGAAGAAGACGCAACUCCAAAUGAACAAUCAACGCGCUCGCCUCAAGUAACCUUUACAUGUACGUGCAACUGGUGUUGUAGUAAUCUGUGAGCCACAAGGGACUCAUCAAUCUCAUUUCCAAAGGUAUCAAGACUAGCAAAGCUUAUUAGGUGAGGCAAGGUUAAGUGGUGAGGUUGCAGCAGCGGAUAAGCAUAUAUUUGGUGGCUAACUUACGAGUACAAGAAAUAAGAGGGGGAAGAUCUAUGCAUAACGGACGUGAACUACUCAUGAUCAAAUGAAUGAUCCUGAACACCUACCUACGUCAGACAUAACCCCACCGUGUCCUCAAUCGGAGAAGGAACUCACGAAAGAGACAGUCACGGUUACGCACACGGUUGGCAUAUUUGAAUUAAGUUAACUUUAAGUUAUCUAGAACCAGUGUUAAACAAAGUUUCCACGUUGCCACAUAACCGCGGGCACGACUUUCCGAAAAGAUUUAACCCUGCAGGGGUGCUCCAACUAGUCCAUCACAAAUUACCAUAAGACGCAUAGAAAUCCUCAAUCACGAAGCUCGCGAUCUCGUCGGAUUCCCUAGUGGAAAACCUCAACGCUGAGAUUACCCAAAGCAUCACCGGAACUCCGAUGCACAAGAUAUCUCGUCGAAGGUAAAACUAAUCCAGCAAGGCCACCCGAUGUGUCGACGAACCCGAUAGGAGCCGCGUAUCUCGUUCUCAGGACACACCGUCUAUGCAUAGUGGACGGUAGCCAAACCUCGAGUUGCCCCGAGGUGGCACCGCCGACUGCUAGGUGGGUGGACCAACACUCAUGCGGAGCACUGGCCCCGGUGGGGGUUGAUUAAAUUAUCCUCGGGGUCCGGAAAGUCCCUAUGCAAUUUUAUUAGGUGAUUAGGCAAAUGUAGUACCAAUGUUGGGCCUUGCCAGACCAGCUUUAAUCUAAAACAAAUUAUCAAGGGGGUCCCCAUAACAACCCGAUCGUGUUAGGAGCGCUCAAUUAUGGAACAUAACACCGGUAGCCGGAAACUAAGGGGGCAAAGGUGGAACAAAACACCAUGCUAGAAAGACCGAGCCUUCCACCUUUUACAAAGUAUAUAGGUGCAUUAAAUUAAAUAGCAUUUAAUAGGGUGAUAUAACAAGGAACCAUGCUUUCACAUGGAAGCAAAGCACCUGCAACUAGCAACGCUAACACAGGGUUAAGCAAGCAGUAACAUAGCAAAUCAGUGGUUUGCUAGGUUGAACAGGUUGAAGGUGAUCAUGGCAUUGUUGAGAGGCUGAUAUUUAACAUGUGGUAGGCAACAAGACAUAAUCGAUAGAAGCGAUAAAACUAGAAUCGCAAUGAUAGUAAUGGUAUCUGGGGAAAUGGUCAUCUUGCCUGAGAUCCCGCUUGGAAGAAGAUCGACUCUGUGAAGCAAGCGAACCGAUAUAGUCGAACGGGKUUUUCACUUUUCCGACACGCUUGCGGAACUCUAUCGAGACGAAGGAAACCGAAAACAAGAAAUCAACACACGAUAUCAUCGCAGCACAAGCACGAGAUGAUGCACACUCUAAUAUGAUGCAUGUCCAGUUUAAAUAUGCAAGGCAUAGCAUGGCAAUUCACCUCACGCAAACACUACACAUUAAGUGAAGCUCGAUAUGCAACGAGUUGCAUAUCGACGAAACUCCAUGUUUAAUUAUUUAAUUCACUCCCGUUUAUUUACACGGCAAUAUUAAAAUGUUGUUAACAUGGCACGGGGUGAAGCACAAAUUAAACUACCUAUCUAGGCAUUUUAAAUGAGGCCGGGAACGCACGGGGUGAAGCACAAAUUAAACUACCUAUCUAGGCACAAAUUAAACUACCUAUCUAGGCAAUAUUAAAAUGCUGCUGCUCGGGUGCAGGGGAGACGCACGACGCUAUUGAUGAAGUCCGGUGGCUCACUGGUCAAUAGAGCAGCUGGCUCCUGACGGGAACAACGAGGGGAGGUGGAGCUGGUGGAGGCUAGAGGUUGCUGGAUUGGAUCUGGGACGAUCCCGAGGAGGGAGAUGGGGCAAGGGGUGGCGGCGGCUGGGUGGUUGGAUGGGACAAUCCUCCUAGAUUUUAGGGUUGGGUCUAUGUAUAGCUAGUGGGUUAGGUAUAGGGGCAUCUGGACCCUCCGAUUUAGAUCGGGUGGCUGAGAAGAUUAGGCUAGGGAUUCCAAUGGACAAACCGAUGACGGUUUGCGGUAAAACGGGGUUGAUCCGGACCCAACGGUCACGAGCACCCGAUUCGGGUUUUCGGGAGGUUUUCGGUCUAGGCUACGCGUAGGGUCGGUGCACUGUGCAGAGGGGCUAGGCGGGGAUGAGAGGGAGAACGGGCACCCGACAACGUAUUUUAGAACACCGAUAAAUCGUCCGACGAUAGAGCGGAGACGGCGCCGCUACGGUCGACCUUUCGGGUAUCAGACGGACUCCGAUCGCGACGAAAAUUGAUAGGCGGCCUACCUAUAUCUAAAUAAGACCGCAUGUCAAAUCUCAACCCAAACAGAGAAAGUUUUACGCACACUUUUGAAAACAAGAUUUAAACGAUGCCGUGGGCGCGUGCGAGUGCGGUCGGGCUCAGAACGGACAACGACGAGAACCGGCAACUAAUAACGGAUGCAAGUUUUGAAAACCGGCGGCAACGGUGUGCCGAUGCAAAGCUGAUGAUGCACAUGAUGCGAUGAUGAUGCGACAAAUAAAAAUAGACACACAGCGGAAACGGAAAGAAAAGGGGAAUCUUCUGGAACGUCGGCAUCGGGUUGUCACAACUCUCCUACACUACAAGAGGAUCUCGCCCCGAGAUCCAGGAAUGAAAGGGGGAUGAGAAAGAACAAGAGGUAAAAAAUUAGUCGCUUCUUUGACAAACGAGUGAAACCAACGAUCCUUGAAGGUUGCAAAGCGAUGAGGAAUGAUAUGAGAAACAAGCGAGAAUUCACGGAAAAUUUCGGCAGCACUUCGGUAGGAAAAUGGGACAACAAAUUCGAUAAGAUGGAAGAAAUAGACAAUAUACAUAACAAACAACUAAAUAGAACAAGGGAACACCAUGAUAUUGAUAGAACAACACAAUAGAACCAAAAGAGCAACAUCACAAUGCCUCCGGAACAAUAGAAUAGGAUCUAGCUCAAGCGGAAGAAGAGAAUGCAGAAAAGAAUGACGACUACUAUCUCAAAUGAGCUUGACAAGCACCCUUGCAAGAAGAAUUGGACGGAGUUGUUGGAAAAACAACAACGAGAAGAACAAGAUAGUAGUGGGAUUAUGGAAAUAUUUCAAACUAAUGAAGUGACAACCAACCACUAACAGAAACAAGGAUUGAUUGGGAGAAACAAGAUAUGAACAAUUUCUUACACCAAGAGGAUACAUUGAGAACUUGGAUUAAUGACAAGCACCAUGAUAGCAACAAUCCAUUGGAAAAGCUUUAGGUGAAAUGCAAACCAAGAUAACUCAAGGAAGAAAUAAUGGGUUGAAAAUAUCUCAUGAUCAUAGAAUUGGUGGGUUUAAUUAUCUCAUACUUGAAAUACAAUCUCUUCGAGACUCCUACACUAACAAGAAUGAUAUAAUACCACCUCAAGGGAUAAAGGAAGAACAAUUGCACAUAGAAAUGCAAGAGAAAGGAUACUUGAGGUACUCCAACAGGAAUCUUGAAGAACACUUUGAGAAAAAUCACAUCCUUGAAGAACCACCAAGACGAGCCUCCGUAUACAAAUGAAUGAUGUAACGAUAUGAAGGUAGAAAAGAAUAAGAUUAUGACCUUGACAUGAUUUAGAUGAAGCCUCACAAAGAGAUACUUGAGAAAACUUGGAACUCCGGAAAAGAAAAGAUAAGCACACUUGAGAAAAAGGAAUUGAUAUUGUGAGACAUUCCGGAAGAAGAAUUGAAACCACUAUGGAGAAGAAUAAGAAUUAUGUUAUGCCUAUCCUUCAUCAAGUUUAAUUGAUGACAAGCAACGGAUUUAGCAUAUCACUUAUUCUUCUAGAAAUGAAUCUUGAAGAGGCACAUAGAUAAGCAUCACUUGAAGUAUGAUUGAAGAAAGCACCGGUAAGAAUUCACAAAUAAAUGGGAACACCACGAAUUAAUGGUGAUACAAGAGAACGAAGAGAUCAUGAGCCACCUGAGAGAAAAACUAGAACAAGGCACCGGAAUAACCAAGAGACGAACGAAGAGACAACAAUUGAGAAGAAUUAAGGAUGAAAGCUGAAAGCUGAGAACGAAGAAUCUUCUGAAAUGAUGGCCUUCGGAGGAUCGAGAAUGAAAACAACUCAGAAAAGCACCGGAUAGCAAGAAAGGGAUUACUCAUGAUUGGAACAAAUAAGAUGACGACACCAAGCUAAAAUGAUGAAUCUGCAAGAGAAUGAACCAAGAUUUGAGAGAAACACUCCUUCGAAUUGCAAGCUGAGAAUGAUGACGAGAACAACACCAAGAAUACCGAGACACUCCGGAAUAAAGAAGAAUGAAAGGUUGAGCCAAAUCUGCGAAUUAAUUCAAAUAGAUCUUGAAGAAGGAAUAAGACUGACGAAAUACAUACUUACGUCAUAGUUGGAAUAAUUAGAGAUCUCCGGGAAAAGAUUAAAAGAGCGAGGAAAGAUCCUGGGAAAACCUGUGGGUUAUGGGCCCACUCAACGAACCACCGUUAGAAAAGAUUGCUAGAAAGAUUGAUAUUGCACCGGUAUAAAUAAAACUAGAUGAGGUUGAGCACCUCGAAAUAAUUGAAAAGAUUAAAAACAAAAAAUACUGAGAUAACUUCAACGCUCCGGAUGGAAUAGAGAGAAAUGACAAUAAGAAGACUGAUGAGAAUUUCCAACAUGGGAAAAUUACAAGGAUGAAUAGGAUACAAUGAACACGGAUAAUUAAAUUAAAUUCACCGGAAAAGAUGACAAGAAUGAACAAAGAUGAACAUGAAGCUCCUGAGAAUCUUCACAACGAAUCACCGGGUACAAAAGGAAGAAGAGAUAGUGGAAGCAUCACUGAAAGAAAACUCUUCGAUGAAAAUUGAAUCACUCAGAAAAAGGGCGAGAGGGUGGGGGAAAACAAAGACAACUUGAGACAGAUGAGACAACUCCGGAAAUAAUUGAGAGAAUGAUCUGCAAUUUUUUUAGAGGAUUGAAUACACUGAAGAGAAGCACACCGGUUGAAAAGACUUGAUACGACGACUUUGGUUGAAAAGGAAAUAACAUGACAACUCCGGUUGACAAGAAUUGAUACGACAAUAGAUUAAGCAAAAGGAUUAGCAUUCACAUAAAAAUAUGAGAACACCUCUUGGAAAGGUCUGAAAUCACCACUUGACAUCGAAGCAACACAAAUUACCACAGUCAACAAAACAAAGGGAGAGGCUUAUGAAACAAGCCAGAACAAACUCAUGAGAGAGAUUUCGUCCGAUAUUUUCGUGGAUAGGAAUCCACUAGAUGUCGAACCCCAACCUAACAUCAUGCAUUUGUUGGAAGAUUGUCCUAUAAGCAACUACUUGAAUUCCCACCUAUGCAUUUCUGAAAUAUCUGGUCAUGCAAUCUGGUUCACGGAUACAAGGAGUAAUAUCACACAACUCCUAUACUAACCCGUCACCUGUAUCACAUCCGUCAACACACAACCAGAAUCUCGGACCUUCAUCUACAACAGACCCUCGUGAUCACAACGAUACAAAGUAUGGCAGUACUCCAGAACAAUCUGCACCAGUAUUGGGGACAUCGGGGUUAUCUCGCCACUACUAGUAUUGAAGCAAUUACGAACAUCCUUCGUUCUGAGAUACUAAGAAAUCUGAAUGAUAACGAUGUGCUCAAGAAUCCCCUGGAGCUCAACUCCCCUGAAACUUAAAGCAGAUAGGAGGCACCAAGACAGAACUCCGUCACAUCGGCAUCAUAUAGAUUCCAAAAAUAUCCGCGUGAUCCUAAAAUAUUUUUGAGUGAGAAGAGGAGUAGAAUUAAAUAUUACGUCAAGAUUCCUCAUCAGAGCAUAGAGGAGGAGAAAAAAGAAUCCUACUCUCCGAUAUAUAACUAGACUCAAAGUAGUUUUUUACUAGACUCGACUCAGCCAAGUUCGAUCAAUCAAGGGGGCUCCUAGGUCGGUACUGCUCUAAUACCAACUUGUCACGCCCAAGAUGCGACCCUAUCCUCAAUUUGGCACGAAGGCCUCGUCAGGGAUAGAAGCGCAUCUCGUCGUAUCACAAGAAUGGAUAUCGUUACAAGUACAUGUACUAAAAAAAGAGAUAUAUAAUAGAAUUGGCUUACACUCGCCACAAGCUACAUCAGAGUCACAUCAGUACAUUACAUAAUCAUCAAGAGUAAGAGCAGGGUCCGACUAUGGACGAAAACAAACGAGAAAAUAAGAACGACGUCCAUCCUUGCUAUCCUAGGCUGCCGGCCUAGAACCCAUCCUAGAUCGAUGAUGAAGAAGAAGAAGACGCAACUCCAAAUGAACAAUCAACGCGCUCGCGUCAAGUAACCUUUACAUGUACCUGCAACUGGUGCUGUAGUAAUCUGUGAGCCACAGGGGACUCAGCAAUCUCAUUUCCAAAGGUAUCAAGAGUAGCAAAGCUUAUUAGGUGAGGCAAUGUUAAGUGGUAAGGUUGCAGCAGCGGAUAAGCAUAUAUUUGGUGUCUAACUUACGAGUACAAGAAAUAAGAGGGAGAACAUCUAUGCAUAACGGACGUGAACUACUCAUGAUCAAAUGAAUGAUCCUGAACACCUACCUACGUCAGACAUAACCCCACCGUGUCCUCAAUCGGAGAAGGAACUCACGAAAGAGACAGUCACGGUUACGCACACGGUUGGCAUAUUUUAAUUAAGUUAACUUUAAGUUAUCUAGAACGAGUGUUAAACAAAGUUUUCACGUUUCCACAUAACCGCGGGCACGGCUUUCCAAAAAGAUUUAACCCUGCAGGGGUGCUCCAACUAGUCCAUCACAAAUUACCACAGGCCGCAUAGAAAUCCUCAAUCACGAAGCUCGCGAUCUCGUCGGAUUCCCUAGUGGAAAACCUCAACUCUGAGAUUACCCAAAGCAUAACCGGAAUCCCGAUGCACAAGAUAUCUCGUCGAAGGUAAAACUAAUCCAGCAAGGCCACCCGGUGUGUCGACGAACCCGAUAGGAGCCGCGUAUCUCGUUCUCAGGACACACCGUCUAUGCAUAGUGGACGGUAGCCAAACCUCGAGUUGCCCCGAGGUGGCACCGCCGACUGCUAGGUGGGUGGACCAACACUCAUGCGCAGCACUGGCCCAGGGGGUUGAUUAAAUUAUCCUCGGGGUCCGGAAAGUCCCUAUGCAAUUUUAUUAGGUGAUUAGGCAAAUGUAGUACCAAUGUUGGGCCUUGCCAGACCAGCUUUAAUCUAAAACGAAUUAUCAAGGGGGUCCCCAUAACAACCCCGAUCGUGUUAGGAGCGCUCAAUUAUGGAACAUAACACCGGUAGCCGGAAACUAAGGGGGCAAAGGUGGAACAAAACACCAUGCUAGAAAGACCGAGCCUUCCACCUUUUACAAAGUAUAUAGGUGCAUUAAAUUAAAUAGCAUUUAAUAGGGUGAUAUAACAAGGAACCAUGCUUUCACAUGGAAGCAAAGCACCUGCAACUAGCAACGCUAACACAGGGUUAAGCAAGCAGUAACAUAGCCAAUCAGUGGUUUGCUAGGUUGAACAGGUUGAAGGUGAUCAUGUCAUUGUUGAGAGGCUGAUAUUUAACAUGUGGUAGGCAACGAGACAUAAUCGAUAGAAGCGAUAAAACUAGCAUCGCAAUGAUAGUAAUGGCAUAUGGGGAAAUGGUCAUCUUGCCUGAGAUCCCGCUUGGAAGAAGAUCGACUCUGUGAAGCAGACGAACCGAUGUAGUCGAACGUGUCCUCACUUUUCCGACAUGCUUGCGGAACUCUAUCGAGACGAAGGAAACCGAAAACAAGAAUCAACACACGAUAUCAUCGCAGCACAAGCACGAGAUGAUGCACACUCUAAUAUGAUGCAUGUCCAGUUUAAAUAUGCAAGGCAUAGCAUGGCAAUUCACCUCACACAAACACUACACAUUAAGUGAAGCUCGAUAUGCAACGAGUUGCAUAUCGACGAAACUCCAUGUUUAAUUAUUUAAUUCACUCCCGUUUAUUUACACGGCAAUAUUAAAAUGUUGUUAACAUGGCACGGGGUGAAGCACAAAUUAAACUACCUAUCUAGGCAUUUUAAAUGAGGCCGGAAACGACAAAUGGCAUCUCCGAAAUGACCCCACGAGUUAAAUCUUAAUUCUGUCCAGAUUUGUCCUAAUCACAUUUUAGGUUUGUUAAACGGCGAAACAAAGUGGUUCACGUGAUUCUAUUCGUUGUUCUGGUCCAUUUACAUAUAUGGCACAACUCCAACGGAGCUACGGACAAAUAGUUACGGCCUAAACCGUUUUCAACACGUCGACAUGUGAACCGAAGCAAACAGCACACUAAACAGUUCUAAUUAUGCAUGAGAGUUGGAAAUUAUUAACCUACGCGAAAUUCUGAUCAAGCUACAAAUUUGAAUCACUCCGAUCCGAUGCACGGUUAGAAACUACGCUCGUUUGAAAAACAAAGCUUUCCUGAAAUUAACAAAGGCCCUCGAAAUUGGAAAAAAAAACACGACGUAAAAAAAAGAACAAUGGACCAAAUUGCACUAUUGUGCAGUGGCCUAGGGCUGAAAUCAGCCCAUGUGGUGCUAUGGUCAAGAGAAAAAAAAACUCAGCAACACAAGAAUUGAGGCCUCCAUGGGAUUUUAUCCCUGGACCUCUCUGGUGGAGACUAAGGCACCAACCAGUCCAACUACGACACAACUAUGAUAACAUAUGGGUUUAGCCAAUAUGAAGGUGCAUAAAGGGCCGAUCUGAACCAAAACAAACAAAACAGAAAUAGAGGUGCCUGGGAUUCGAACCCCAGACCCCUCGAACCACUGCGCGCGGCAAUGACCAGCUGAGCUGAGAUGUGCUUUGUGCUAAAAAAGGGAUUCCUCUUCUAUAUGAACAUACGCACCCGAUUAAUCUGAACCUAACAAAUCUGAAUCUAAAACUGGGCUGAACUGAACCUGGUAACCGGUUCGGCCGUGGCUGUGCUUGGGGCGUCGCUAGGUGGCCGGGGAUGGCGUGGGCAGAGGGGGUGAAGGUCCGACAGGGCCAUGGAGGCGCUAGGUCAUGGAUCCAUCCGAGGGAAGCCGAUUCCCGACAGCGGCAAGAUGGACUCGAGCUCACCAGGCUCCCAUGGCUGUUGCUGCUCCUGCAAAAGAGAGGAAGAGCAGGGGAAAAGAGGAAGGAGAUAAGAGAGAGGGAACGAGGAGAGGAGCACAGGGCAGAGGGGCUCGUCGGGGCCCGGUUCCUGCUGGAUCCAGGCGCUGUUGGGUCGCAUUGGGUCCUUGCUUGACUGAAACUCCAUGCGCUGCUACCACUUUCUAACUACAGAGAACACAGAGAGAGAGAGUUACGGUAGAGGAAGAGAGAGGAGGAAGAGGAAGGGAGAGGGGAGCAGGGCAUGGGGACGACCAGCUGCUGCUUGGGUGCAGGGGAGACGCACGACGCUGUUGAUGGAGUCCGGUGGCUCGCUGGUCAAUAGAGGAGCUGGCUCCUGACGGGAACAGCGAGGGGAGGUGGAGAUGGUGGAGGCUGGAGGUUGAUGGAUUGGAUCUGGGACGAUCCUGAGGAGGGAGGUGGGGGUAGGGGUGGCGGCAGCUGGGUGGUUGGAUCGGACAAUCCUCCUAGAUUUUAGGGUUGGGUCUAUGUAUAGCUAGUGGGUUAGGAAUAGGGGCAUCUGGACCCUCCGAUUUAGAUCGGGUGGCUGAGAAGAUUAGGCUAGGGAUUCCAAUGGACAAACCGAUGACGGUUUGCGGUAAAACGGGGUUGAUCCGGACCCAACGGUCACGAGCACCCGAUUCGGGUUUUCGGGAGGUUUUCGGUCUAGGCUACGCGUAGGGUCGGUGCACUGUGCAGAGGGGCUAGGCGGGGAUGAGAGGAGAACGUGCACCCGACAACGUAUUUUAGAACACCGAUAAAACGUCCGACGAUAGACCGGAGACGGCGCCGCUACGGUCGACCGUUCGGGUAUCAGACGAACUCCGAUCGCGACGAAAAUUGAUAGGCGGCCUACCUAUAUCUAAAUAAGACCGCAUGUCAAAUCUCAACCCAAACAGAGAAAGUUUUAUGCACACUUUUGAAAACAAGAUUUAAACGAUGCCGUGGGCGCGUGCGAGUGCGGUCGGGCUCAGAACGGACAACGACGAGAACCGGCAACUAAUAAUGGAUGCAAGUUUUGAAAACCGGCGGCAACGGAGUGCCGAUGCAAAGCUGAUGAUGCGGAUGAUGCGAUGAUGAUGCGACAAAUAAAAGUAGACACACGGCGGAAACGGAAAGAAAAGGGGAAUCUUCUGGAACAUCGGCAUCGGGUUGUCACACCACUCCCUCCUGAUUAAUGAUGUGGCCCAAGUACUCUACCUUAGUCUGACCAAAAGAGCAUUUCUCCAACCUUGCAUAUAAUUUAUUCUUUUGCAAUAUAUCAAACACUUGAGUCAAAUGACUUUUAUGCUCAACCAUAGAAGUGCUGAAAACUAGAAUGUCAUCAAAGAAGGUCACCACAAAUUUGAGCAUACCAAAUAAUAGGUUCAUGAGGGCUUGGAAACUUGGAGGUCCAUUAGUUAGUCCAAAGGACAUCACUAAGUAUUCAAAUAAACCCAUAUGAGUGACAAAAGCUGUUUUAUGAAUGUCUUCCUAUGCCAUUCUGAUCUGGUGAUAUCCAUUCCUCAGAUCAAUUUUUGAGAAAUAUUUAGCCCCUUUCAGCUGGUCCAACAAAUCCCCAAUGAUAGGAAUAGGGUAUUUGUUCUUCACUGUAAUAGCAUUCAAUUUUCUGUAGUCAGUGCACAACCUCCAGGACCCAUCCUUCUUUUUCACCAACAACACAGGGGAAGAAAAUGGACUAGUUCUUGGUCUGAUCACUCCAGAUUUUAAUAAUUCCUUGAUGAUCUUCUCUAGUAUUUCCUUUUGAUGAUGUGGCAUUCUAUAAGGCCUUUGGUUUACCACUUUAGCCCCUUCCAUCAAAGGAAUUCUGUGGUCACAUGGCCUACUAGGAGGUAGUUCUGUAGGUUCCUGGAAUAACUGCUCAUAAUCCUGCAACAGGCCCUAUAGCUCAUCAGGCAAAACCUUGACAGUGUCCACUACUUCCACAUCACAUGCAUUAAACAACACAAACCCACAAACUGCCUGUUCCAUUAACUUAUCAGUGCAAUCUCUAGCUUCAUCAGGUUGUAUCUUAGGCACUGUCUCAUCAGCAAAAGUAAUGAUCUGACCCUCAAUCCCAGAUACCUUCAUUUCCAUUUUAAUGAAAUCCAUGUGCACUGGACUGUACCUUUUCAACCAGUCCACUCCAAGAAUCAUAUCAUAGCCUUUCAACUGGAGUACUCUAAAACAAUCAAUAAAUUGUGUACCUUGGAUCUCAUACUCACAAUCCUGCACCAUGAACUCACUCCAUAAUACUUCACCACUAGCAACAACUACCUUCACUUUUUGGGUAGGCCUGGCCUUCACUUGCAUUUUAGCUGCCAUCUCUGGAGAAAUAAAUGUAGAAGUGCUGCUACUGUCCACCAAAGCAACUGCAGCAGUAUUUCCCACCUUAAUGGUGAGCACAAAGGUGUUUCUAAUAGCUCCAAUGCCCAUAGCAGCAUGCAUAGACAACUGCAAAAUAGUCUCAGCUUGGCACUGUUCCAUGUUAUCUAGCUCUGGAUCAGCAAAAUCAGUUACAAAUAUGGUUUCAUGUACUUCUUCUUCUUGUAAUGCUUGAAUUUGAGCUCUCUGACUCAUUUUGCACACCUGCCUGUGCCUUGGAACCCAAGGUUCCCUACAUUUGUAACACACCUGAUUCUGCUUGGCCUGUUGGAUAAUAGCAUUUUUGUUUUGUGUUGCGGGAUUUCCCUCAAUCUUGGUCUGCUCAAAAGUGACCUGUCUCCUAGGCCAUGUCACAUAUUGCUUAGCAGGUAAUACUUGCACCGGUGGUUGAGCCUUCUCCAUCCUUCUAGAGUACCACAUAGCAGUCUGCAAGUCCUUAGGUUUAAAACAUUCCACAUGACUCCUUGUGUAAUUGUUCAGGCCAGCAACAAAACUAGUUACAUAGUAACUAUCUGGUAUCCCGGGGUUUUCUCUCCUCAUCACAUUCAUCACGUGCUCAAACUGCUCAAUAUAAGAUGACAAGGUGGAAGUUUGAUGGAUAGCAUGAAAUGAACUAACAAUAUCACAAGCAGAUUCUACAGCAAAUGUGUCACACAAGUAAGAACAGAACUUAUGCCAAGGCACAUUGUUAGGAGAAUACUCUGUUCCUCUCCACCACUGCACAGCUAGCCCUUUUAAAUAAGACACAUCCAAUUAUGUUCUAUGCUCAAUAGGAGUCCUAGCAGCAGCAAAGUACUGGUCCAGAUUCUGAAUCCAAGCUUCAGGGUCCAAUCCCUCAAAUUCAGAAAUGUUCAACUUUGCAGGUUUGACUGUUAACACCUGUCUUCUACCAUCAGAUGGUGAGUAUUGUCUCUGUCUCUGUCCAUCAGGCCAUUCUUCCAUCACCCCUGUCUCUACUUGUUGCAAUUGAAAGUUCUGUUGAUUCCCAACAACUUGUUGUCCCUCAUUUUUGUUGCUAGCAAAAUUUGGAUGUUUGUAAGGUGCUUUUGUUGACCCAUCUAGAUUAAUUUCCUUCCCAGUAUGGUCUCUUAACACAGCAGUGCCCCCUACCAUCACCGGAACUUCCUUCUCAUGGCCUUGAACUGAAGGUGGAGUAUAGUUAACUAACUGUUUGGGUCUGCCUGCAGGAAUUCCAGGAGAGUGUACCUCCUCAACUCUUUUCUGUGCACUACCCUGCUCAGAACGCUCAUGUUGUUCUUCUUCAGCCCCCUAAUUCACCAACAGUUUCCUAAAAUUUUCCUGGAUCUUAUCAAAAUUUCCUUGCAUGGUAACAAAAUUCUUGUUAACCAUCGAUCUAAACUCUUGAAACUCUCUUCUAUCCUCUUCUCUACUGCUCUGCAGGGUCUUAAUGUCUAAUUCCAACGAUGCUAACUGCAAAUCAGCUGUCACCAUCGACUCUUCUUGGCCAGCCAUGACCCUCUCUCACACAGGGUGGGUGGUGGGAUUUGAGAAGCUUACCUUCCGCUGGAUCUAGAUCUGCCACCUGCUUGAAGCUGUGCUCCCCUGGUGCCUCCCCGGCCGGAAGAUCGAGUGGCUCUGAAUACCAAUUGUCACGAUCAAGCUUCAGACUUGAGCCAGACACGCGCUAGUGAUCAACUUCAGAGAAAGAAAUAGGGCGAAUUGGGGUUUCUAUUGAUGGGAUCUCGCAGAAAAUGGAUAAAGCACGCCACUGGCGGCUAGGGUUUGUACCCAUAUAAUCUUUACAUGCCUCGAUGGGCUAGUGUGAGGGGCAAUAUAUAGCCAGCUCACAGCAAAAAGCAGAGUAAAGGAGAGGAGAACGGUAGUGGAGCUUGUCUGAUCUUGAACAGCGACGCGGGGAAGGCUCCGAGCCGUUGGAUGCUCGAUCAGUGGUAGCGCCAGCUUCACUUAUCGAACCGUUACCCUUUCAUCUCAGCCGUCCGUUGAUCCAUCUACCCCUCCAGAUGUAACCGGCACGCAGGAACAGGGGAGGAGCCCGACAGCACCGGGGUGCCCAUGCACGCGACAGCGGAGGAGAAGGUCGGGCAGCAGAGGAUGCUAUGGUCAGCCGUCGGCGAGGGUUAGAGGGAGGGGGCAAUGCGAUCAGCCAUCAGCGAGGGAUGCUGGUUCCCUUGCUGCCAUGAUUUCUGGUUGCGGGAGGGUUGGAAAGGAAAGGAUAGGGUUGGCCUCCUAGGGUAAUUUUGAAAUAAGCAAAAAUAUGACAGGUCCCUAACAGUUUGACUAACGGGAAAACAUUGACAACUAACAUGAGUGUUAUUUUGCCAAUGAAAACAAGGAAGGUAGUGCUAUAUUGGCAAGUUUGUUUUUUUAUAACUAGUCAUAAACCCGUGCACCUGCACGACCUAGAUAUUAUAGGGAUAUAUAAUAAUCAAUAAAAAGUUAUUAAGAUAUAAAUUUAAUAGGGUACAUUGUGUUGAAAAGAAAACUCAUGUAGCUACAACUUAGGUGAAUAGUAUUGCAUUUAGUGUUGGAUCUCAUUAUUUAAGGAUAUAUUACUUUUGAGUUUAGUAUAUAUAUGUACCUCACAUAUAAUACGACUCAUACCAUUCACAUAUUUUCUAUUUGUUCUAAAUGCAAUGGAAUGUGCUCCUUCCUUAGCAUUGGAAAGAACAAAACAACAGAUAAUCUCAUAAUAUUUAGCUUAGGAUGUAUCUAUAUAGCAUAAUAUUAAAACAAUAGAGAAUCUCAAAAUACUUUAAUGAUUAUUUUACCCCAUGUAAUUUGAAAUCUAAUUGACCUGGUUGUGAAAUAUGCCUAUUUCAAAUACUUGAGAGUAUGCCUUUCCAACCUUAGCACAAAAGGCAAUGGUAUUCUUUCUGUUAAUAUUCAUUGCAAGUUUCGUGUUAAUAUAUGAUUUUUCAUGUGUGGUAAUUCCUCCAUAUUUCCGUACUUGUGUUAUACUUAGGUUAUUAGACAUACUAAAUUAAUAACCUUUGUAGUGGUGAUAUCAGUGAGCCCUAGAGGUUAGAUUUUUAUCUGUUUGUGUCUGAUAUAUUUGAUGUUCGAUAAGUCUUCUCUUUUUAAGUUGGAGCUGCAAUUUUAUUUUCAAUCAGGCAUAUGCGCUUUUUUAGUGUGACGGUUGAUGGCACCUUAUUUGCAUGUGCAAUUUUCCUCUAUCCAAGAGUACAUGCAAAGCAUUUUUGUUUUUGUGGGAAUUGCGACGUGGAUGUUGUUUUUAGCAUCGGAACUAAUAAUAUAUCCUAGCAUCAAUUUAAAUAUUAGAGUAUAUCUUAAUAAUUGAAAAUUAUUUUAUUUGUAGAAGUAUAUGGAUGUGGUUUGGAAAUAUUCCUAUUUGAAAUACACAAUCAUCUGCGUGGCAAACCCUAUUAGAAAAAGUAUAUUCUGGAAGAAUAGUUUAUGUUUGUAUAUGAAUUUUCCAUGCAUGCAGUUUAUGCAAAUUUCUCCAAAUGUAUUAAAACUCUGUUGACCUAGGAGUGGUAUUAUCUGGAAGCUAUUAGGGAGUGAUUUUUGUAUUUUCAUUCGUUUGUCCAAAAUUCUUUUUUUCAUGGUGGGUAUGAAAUUUAUUAUUAAUUCAAUUAGACAUAUGCUCAUUUUUUAGCGUGAAGCAUCAAGACUCUUUAGAUUUCCCAAAAGAAGCUUCAAUACUUUAUUUUUACGUGUCAUCUUUUUUGAGCGACAUGCAUGUGUUUUGUGUAUUUCUGACCAUGGUUUUCUUUCUUUUAUAUGCAUGGUAUAAAUUGUAUUUAAUUGUAUUGUUAUUCAUCUAGCUGUACGUAAAGACAAAUGUUCUUUUAACUUUUUAAGACAAACAUAUUCUUUUAACUUUUUAAGACAAACAUGUUGGUGUUGUUGAUGGGACGAUUUCCUUAUUAUCAACAGGUUAGGACAACUUGUGCUCCCCUGAUUUUUUUUGGCGGUUUUAAUAUUUCUAAAUCUCAUCAUCUUUGUCCUGAGAAAUGGAAGAAGAAGAGUCAAAUAAGUCAAAUAGUUCCUAUUAAUCCUAGGAUAUGGGAUAGAGCCACAUCGUUGUGCCUAGUAGUAGUGGACGCCACGAUAUGGCUCUAUCCCAUAUCUUGAAAGAUUCGAAUGAACGGCCCAGAUAAUAAGAGUACAUGGACCUACAACCCAUAUCAAAAUUUUGUGGCAUAAUGGUGUGAAAGAAUGAAAGUGACUGGAAAACUAAAAUUAAAUAUGUGUUUCAUGUGUGCUGCUGUAGAUCGUAAGGGGAAAAUGUUACUAAGUGACAAAUAAUAUUGUAUGAUUAAACUGAAAAACAGUUUAACCGGUCUACAUCGGGCUUAAUUACUCUUUCAGAUCCAAAUUAAUUGAAGCAACUUUAGUACAACUUUGUAACAUAAAACUGCAUCUUGCCCGCUCAUCUAAAAAAGAUUCAUGUGUAGACUGUAGCCACGUGAUGUAUUUGUUUGAUUGAAAGCACACAUGUUUAUCUAUUUGUAUCCACACAUUUUUUUUAACACCCACAUCCAUAUAUUGAUCAAGAAACAAGAAUCUUACACUCGUUCAUUACGUAACUAGAACACUAUUACAAAGCACUACAUCGAACCUGCUAUCAAAACUAAAUUCAGCUAUCUCAUGCGCUACUUUGUUAGCCUGCCUAUUAAUAUUCACAAUCUUGAGACCCUCAAUAAACUUAGAGUAUCUACAGUCGGACACCUAUAUUAUUCUCAAAUGCCCGAAACACCUCUCCCCUUCGGUCAGUGUCCGGUCAAAAAAAAUUGCUCGAACCGGACCCCACUUCUUUUCUAAACGCUCGGACUGACCGACAUCCUUCAUAUCCAUCUCAAAUGUAGGAAGAAUAUGAGGGCUCGAGGAAGUGACCGGUCAGUUCGCCACGUAGAACACGACCCCAACCCGGAUCAUCUUUUCUCUUUCCUCAUUCAUUCUUUUCUUUCUGUCUCUUUUUCUUCACAAAUCACGUGCAAGUGGCCAGACAUAUGAGAAAAUAAAUAAAAAGUGCGGCUAUGCAGACGAAAAAUAGGGGCUUAAAAUAGACACGCCUAGUAACUCACACUAUUAGAAAAAACAUUAUAGGCAGGACCUCAGUAGUAGCGCUGAAAAACAAAAAACACUGCUGCUAAUUAGCAGUAGCGCGUCUCCAGCUAACCGCUACUACUAACACCUUAGCAGUAGCGCUUCUUUGCAAAAACACGCUACUACUAUGUGAGACCAGACUAUGCCACCGACGGUAGCUGUAGUAGCAGCGUUGCCCAAAAUCCAGCGCUACUGCUAAGUGUUUAGCGGUAGCGCUUUGUUUUGUAGCACCGCUGCUGCUAGUUGACCGCACUUAGUAGUAGCGCUCUCUCCGACGCAGCGCUACUACUAAUAGAAUAUCAACAACGCUCACUGAUAUCCAGCGCUAUUGCUAGUUGCGGCUGCCACCUUUUUACCCCCCUCCCCUCCUCCUCCUCUCCCCCACUUUCACCUCUCUCCCCCUCCCCUCCCCUCUCCACACUCUCCACACCAUUGUUGCUCUUCUUCUCUCUUCCUCCUACCUCUCUUCUCUCCUCAUUAAUGUCCCCCUCCACCAUAACUCUCCUUCAUAAAUGACUUCUCUCACAUCUCCUCCCCACCAUAACUCCCUCUCCAUUAUAUUAAUUCCCCCCCUUCACCAUAACUCCCUCUCCAUUAGUUAGAUAGCUAGCUAGAUUCACCUCUCCUCCCCAACAACUAGAUCUUGCUAGCUAUUUAGCCAUCCACGCGUGCUCUUUCGAUCGGUCUCUCUCACCAUCUCACUCGAUCGGUCUCUCUCGGGAGAUAUAUAUAGGUGAGUAAAAAGUUGUUUACAUAAAGAAUGGGAAUAUGUGUGUGAAUGAGAAUAUGUGUAUUUGGGAUAUAUAUAUGGAGAGAUUUGUGCGAGUGUGACAUGGCAUCCGAUCGAGUUGCUUAUGUUUUGCUGAAAUGUCGAUUUAUUUCCGUUUCGGUGAAUUUCGAGCAAACUCAGUAUGUCCUAUUUUUAGGCAAGGUCAUGCCAAAAUUUUAUAUGACUUUGAAGAAUGCAUGCAUUAUUUAUUUUAUAACCCUUUUGCUUGUUAUACCGUGCAGUCGGUCAUGAAGGUUAGUGGAUGGCAGGUGGAGCGGUACAUGCAAUCCGCGGUGAUGGACAUGCAUGCAAAUAAUCGGACUAGGAUUAGAUGUCCGUGUGCAAGAUGCAAGGAAGGAGUCCUUUUUGACCCUUUUGAUCGUGGCACUUUGAAGGCGCACCUGCUGAUGAAUGGUUUCAUGGAUGGCUAUGCUCGGUGGAUAAGUGAAGAUGGUGAUGAUGAUGAUGAGGACGUCCAAAUGGCAGGGAAUAACGACAUGGGGCUAGACAAAGAGAUGACCGAUCGACACGAAGACGAUGGUGUCGGACAUGGCGGCGGGGAAGAGUCCGGAAAUGACGGCGGCGGAAAAGAUUCCGGACACGGCAAAGAAUAGUCCGGACAUAGCGGAUAAGAGGUGGUGGUCACGCCGCAGUCUUCGACGCUACUAAGUGCAGUCGUGCAAGACCCUCAUGUUCAAGACCUCCUUCGCAAGAGUACGACUAUCGAGAGAGCUGCUUCUAGAGAGGAGGCCAAGCUCGCUCAACUUGAAGUGGACUCGAGGACUCCAUUGUAUGACGGUUGCAAUCCCGAGGUGACCCGCUUGAGUUUCACGCUCGAACUUCUAAAGACGAAGGCCAAAAACAAAUGGACAACCAAAAGCCUCGAUGAGCAUUUGAAGUAUCUACAUAAUAAAGUUCUUCCCGCGGGGAACCUGUUUCCUAGUAGUGUCGAGGAGGCCAAGAAAAUGGUUUGCCCUUUUGAUUUGCCGCACAUUAGGUACCACGCAUGCAUCAACGAUUGCAUCAUUUAUCGGGGGGAGCACGCAGAAAAAUUUGAUGGAGGAGACGGAGACCAAGACAGAGGAGGAGGAAAGGGGCAGAAAAGUCAAGAAGAAGGAGGAGAAUUAUUGCCCCUUUCCUUCUUCACCUUAAGUCCGAAGGAGAUCGAUCAAUUCAUCAAGUGCCUUAUGGGAAUCAAAGUCAGUUCCGGCUACUAUGGGAAGAUAAGCACAUUUCUAGACCCCAAGAAGAAAAGGUUCAGCGGGAUGAAGUCUCAUGACUGUCACGUGAUGAUGACGCAGAUACUCCCGGUUGCCAUUAGAGGGAUAAUUGUCAAGCAUGUCCGUGACACUCUUAUUGGUCUCUGGAACUUCUUCGACGUUAUCUCUCGAAAGUCCAUAAGCGUGAAGCAACUCCGAAGGCUACAGGAAGAGAUCGUUGUCAUACUAUGUGAGCUUGAGAUGUACUUCCCGUCCGCGUUCUUUGACGUCAUGGUGCAUCCGAGUGUCCACCUCGUGGACGACAUCAUCGACCUCGGGCCGACAUUCCUUCACAGCAUGAUACCGUUCGAGAGGAUGAAUGGGGUCAUCAAAGGAUUCAUUCGUAACAAGUCCCGUCCUGAAGGGAGCAUCGUCCAGGGGUAUCUGAUGCAUGAGUGUGUCUCCUUCUGCGAGAAUUAUAUAAGUGUCGGAGACCCUGUUGUUGGUUUGCCCAUCAAGAAGCACGAUGGGAAGCUCGAAGGAGAUGGUCACAACAACGGCCGGAGGGAACUGCACGUGGACUACUUGGAACGACGGAACGACUUUGACAUGGCUAACUUAGUAGUGCUACAACACCUAGAUGUGGUAGAUGAUUAUGUGGCACGACACAAAGGAAGCAUCGCAAAGAAGUACCGUGAUAAGGGGAUGCUCAAGACGGACGAUGAAGUUACUGUAGAGCACAACGCUACUUUCUUGUGUUGGUUCAAAGAUCAAGUUCUUGAAAAUCCCCCGGAAGAGGGCAGUUCGGACGGAUUGCUCAUACAUGCCUUAGCACAUGGCCCUGCGCCCAAGCUUGCGACCUAUUAGUACUACGAUAUCAAUGGGUACACGUUCAACACGGAAGCCAAAGACAUGGACAUUGAUUACCAGAACUCCGGGGUGACAAUUCAAUGCGUGACCGACGCCAACGGCACAACUGAAAGAUUCUACGGAAGGGUCGAAGAGAUCUGGGAGCUUGACUAUGCUGGAAUGCACGAUGCGACGAUGUUCCGUGUCAAAUGGGCCAAGGACGUCGUAAGAGAAAACAAGUAUUUCACCAUCAUGUCUAUACCCGACGGGAAGAGAACUCCCGUGAACGUUAACAUCAUCGCCAAAAAUGAGCCAUGGGUACACGCUAAGCACGUGACGCAAUGCUUCUUCAUAACCGACCCGGCCAAUCCCAGCCAUGUUGUCGUGAGGAGAUCCAAAAGGAUCAUCGUCAGAAUGGAUGGAGUCGCUAACGAGGAAGACUAAGACCAAUACGGCAACCCGAUGAGGGAAGAUGACGAUGACGAUGAAGCAUACGUGAAAAGAAGAAUCAAGACUACAUGGCGGCGGAAAGAUCGUACUCCAUGGCUCCGGAAAAGUCACAAGGAGGGGCUCAAUUACUCGGCAACGAACAAGAAAGGGAAGAAGCUCAAUGUGAAACGUCGUCAACGCAGCUGUUCAGAAACCUACAUUUAUAUAUUUGUAUCAAUUUUGUGUACGCACUUAAGUAACCGUUAUCAGUCAACUGAUAUGUUACCACAUGCAUGGUUCCGGUGAUAUUCGUGCAUUGGGGGAGAGGGAGACGCCGUCGUCGUCGAUCGGGAGAAAAACAAAUAAUAAAGAGAAAAGUAAACAGGAAAGGAAAGAAAAAUGAUAAAAAUGAAAAGAAAAGUAAAGUAAACAGAAAAGGAAAGAAAAAUGAUAAAAAGAAAAGAAAAUUAAUAAAAAGAAAAUAAUAAAGAAACAUAAAAAAAGAAAACAAUGAAGUUAGCAGUAGCGCUGGUACUAAACCAGCGCUACGGCUAACUACUAUAGCCAUAGCCGUGGAACUAAACCAGCGCUACUGCUAGUUUGAGUUAACCGUCGCGCACGCUAAGUCACCAAAUCUCCUGCCGCCCGUGUUUCUUCCCCAAUUCCCCCCUGCCGUGUCCACCAGCGUCGCCGUCACCCCCCUCGCCGCCCGUGACUCCUCCCCGCGCCGCCCCUGACUCCUCUCCACGCCGCCCAUGACUCCACCCAGCGUCGUCGUCACCCCCAGCGCCGUGCCCUUCAUUAGCAAACCUGCCCUGAGCUCGCCCAUCGGCGUCGUCGCCCCUCCCUGUCGGCUAGGGUUGAGGAGGCCCCGGCAGGUACCCGACCCUCACCUCUCUCUCUCUCUCUCUCUGUGUGUGUGUGUGUGUGUGUGACAUUGCUCUUCGACAGCAGGUACCCAACCCCACCCCCUCCGGCAAGGUGCUCUUCGGCAGCAGGCUUUGGUAUGCAUGCAUAUGGCUGAUGUGUAGCAUUUCUUAUCUAGUUAUAGUUUGUACAAAUUUAUUUCAGCACGCAUGUGUUUUGGUAGAAACCGUAGUUUAAUACACUAAUUUUCAACUAGUGGGCAAAAAGUUUGAUGUUUUGAACUAGUGGCAAGAAAAUGUGACAAGAAAAUGUUUUUAUCCUCAGAUUCGGCGUAGGUCAUUGCAUCCCUUUGCCUUUCUCAGAUUCGGCGUAGGUCAUUGCAUACAUUUAUUAUUUUCUGUUUAUAUUUGUAUAAUUAAUCUUGUGAUGGUGUCAAGAGAAUUCCAUUUAUUAUCCUCAUGGUAUCCGAGUGGCCUAUGUUUUGCCGGAAUGUUGAUUCAUUUCCGUUCCGACAAAUUUCACACGCUCCAUAUGUCCAGCUUUUAGCAAAGGUCAUGCCGAAAUUUUCGGCAUGACUUGUACUAGAAACUAGGACAUAUGGAGUACCCGGGAUUUGCCGGAAGGGGAAUGAAUCAACAUUCCGACCAAAUAUAGGCCCCUUUUUUCUCUUCAUUAUAUAUUUUAUUUACAAUUGUUGCAUAGGAAACAUGUCUACCGACGCCGAAGUCAUGGGUGGUUCUGCUCACUCCGCAGACCCCAUGGUGGCAGCAAAUCACUAUUUCGAAUACCUGGACGAACACCGGAUGGGGUUGCAUGGUGGCGGCAGUGGUCCCAAUCCCGACCCCGGCGCCGACACCGGCACCAGCACCGACACCGCCCCCGAGACCGGCAACGAUGAUGUCGUAGCCGGUAAAGCACCGAAGAAGAAGAGGACAUGAAAACCAAACGAGCUUGGCAUCGGACAAAUUGUGGUCACGGAGAUUCACCCCUUGAAGUUAGAGCCAAGGGCGCCAGAGGAAGCACGCAAGUGCUGGGGCAAUCAACUUGGAUGCAUCCUCAGGGAAACAGCCAACAUCAACGACGAGAGGUUGAAGCAGAUACCACAUAUGGAGCACAUGCUCCUAAAGAAGUUGCACAAUAGGUUCAUGUUCCCCGACCGGAAUGAAAAAGGAAUAUAAAGGCCCGUGGAACGACCCCGCCAUGACAAAGAUAAACAAGAAGGCGAUGGUGACGUUAACCAACGACUUGUCCUCCUGGAAAGUUCGGGUGAAAAAAGCGGUUGGGAAGAAUGAACCAUGGUCCAAGAUUCAUGCUGAUAAUCCGACAAUAACGGAAGAGGACUUUGCAAAAUUCCUUUUGAAUUGCGAAAAAGAAGAGGUCAAGGCAAAUUCGGAGAAAAUGAAGGCGCUCCAGGCCAGGAACACGCCUCCACACCGCCUCGGAAGUCGUGGUUACGAGGGGAAGAGGCACAUAUGGGCCAAGGAGAAUGCCGAACAUGAAAGUCUCGGAAUCCCAGACCCCUUGGCGGAGUUCAUCGACCCACUGGAGCAUGACUGGAUCAGGGCCGGGUACAAGUUGGACAAAGUCAAAAAGAUCCUUUACACAGACCCGAACACGAGGGAGUUCAUGAGACUUCUGGUAAUUGUUAUAUUACCACAUUAUCAUAUUAGCUUCCAAUCAAUUUGACUGCAAGUUUUGUCACAUUAGUAAACCAUCCACGUUCCUUUUGCAGAAAGAGCAGCACCAAAAGGCAGCCGAAAGCGAUGAGUCGUCACAAUCGUCGGCGAGGCCCAAGUGGAACACCCCAUUCAACCGGGCCCUGAACAUACUAAAAAAUGUCCUGGUGGACAAGCCGUCGUCCUAUGGACGUGUGCACGGCGUCGGAUAUGGCGCCUCGUGGAAGACAUACUACCCCGAGGGGCCAGAGGAUAGAAGGAAGAAACGGUUGGUCGUUGAUACGUCCAUUUUGCAUCAUGCUUUCAUGUUGAUAUUUAUCGCUUCUUGGGCUAUUAUUUCACUUCACGGUACAAUACUUAUGCCUUUUCUCUCUUAUUUUGCAAGGUUUAUAUGAAGAGGGAGAAUGCCGGCAGCUGGAAUUCUGGCCUGAAAGCGGAGCAAGUUUGCGAUACCUAUUCUACGCAACUCCAAACGCCGUAAAAAUCAACGAUGAUUUUUUCUGGAUUUAUAAAAAAUACUGGGCCGAAGAAGCGCCAGAGGGGCGCCAGCAGGUGGCCACAAGCCUGCUUGGCGCGGCCACCCCCUGGGCGCGCCAAGGGGGCUUGUGGGUAGCCUGCUAGCCCACUGGCCCCCCUCUUCUGCUAUAUGAAGGGUUUCGUCUGGAAAAAAAUCAGGGAGGAGCUUUUUCAUGGAUUCGCCGCCGCCACGAGGCGGAACUUGAGCAGAACCAAUCUAGAGCUCCGAUAGGACAAUCCUGCCGGGGAAACUUCCCUCCCGGAGGGGAAAAUCGUCACCAUCGUCAUCACCAACAUUCCUCUCAUCAGAGGGGACUCAUCACCAUCAACAUCUUCAUUAGCACCAUCUCAUCUCCAAACCCUAGUUCAUCACUUGUAACCAAUCUCCGUCUCACGACUCCGAUUGGUACUUGUAAGGUUGCUAGUAGUGUUAAUUACUCUUUGUAGUUGAUGCUAGUUGGAUUACUUGGUGGAAGAGUUUAUGUUCAGAUCCUUGAUGCUACUCAUUACCUCUCUGGUCAUGAAUAUGAUUAUGCUUUGUGAGUAGUUACUUUUGUUCAUGAGGACAUGGGAUAAGUCAUGCUAAUAGUAGUCAUGUGAAUUUGGUAUUCGUUGUUUGAUGUGUUGUAUGUUGUUUUCCCUCUAGUGGUGUUAUGUGAACGUCGACUACAUAACACUUCACCAUUAUUUGGGAAGUAGUAAGUAGAUGAUGGGUUUCUAGAGUGACAAAAGCUUAAACCCUAGUUUAUGCGUUGCUUCGUAAGGGGCUGAUUUGGAUCCACUAGUUUAAUGCUAUGGUUAGACUUUGUCUUAAUUCUUCUUUCGUAGUUGCGGAUGCUUGCGAGAGGGGUUAAUCGUAAGUGGGAUGCUUGUCCAAGUAAGGGCAGUACCCAAGCGCUGGUCCACCCACAUAUCAAACUAUCAAAGUAACAAACGCGAAUCAUAUGAACAUGAUGAAAACUAGCAUGACAGAAAUUCCCGUGUGUCCUCGGGAGCGUUUUUCCUCCUAUAAGACUUUAUCCAGGCUUGUCCCUUGCUACAAAACGGAUUGGGCCACUUUGGUGCACCGUUGCUACUUUUGUUACUUGUUGCUCGCUACGAAUUAUGUCACCACACAAUCAUUUGUUACCGAUAAUUUCAGUGCUUGCAGAUUUUACCUUGCUGAAAACCACUUGUGAGAUCCUUCUGCCCCUCGUUGGGUUCGACACUCUUACUUAUCUAAAGGACUAUGAUUGAUCCCCUAUACUUGUGGGUCAUCAAGACUCUUUUCUGGCGCCGUUUACGGGGAGUGAAGCGCCUUUGGUAAGUGGAACUUGGUAAGGAAACAUUCAUAUAGUGUGCUGAAAUUUAUUGUCACUUGUCACUAUGGAUACUAAUCCUUUGAGGGGCUUGUUCGGGAUAUCUUCACCUCGAACGGAAGCACAAAUAGUUGCUCCUCAACCUGCUGCACCUACUGAAAAUAUUUGCUUUGAAUUUCCUUUGGGUAUGGUUGAGAAACUGCUGGCUAAUCCUUUUAAAGGAGAUGGAACAUCACAUCCAGACUUGCAUCUAAUCUAUGUAGAUGAAGUUUGUGGUUUAUUUAAGCUUGAAGGUUUGCCCGAGGAUUAGGUCAAGAAGAGGGUCUUUCCUUUAUAUUUUAAGGGUAAUGCAUUGACAUGGUAUAGGCUAUGUGAUGAUACUGGAUCAUGGGACUACAAUCGGUUGAAAUUGGAAUUUCAUCAAAAGUUUUAUCCUAUGCAUUUAGUACAUCGUGAUCGGAAUUAUAUAUAUAUUUUUUGGCCUCGUGACAGAGAAAGCAUCGCCCAAGCUUGGGGGAGGCUUAAAUCAAUGUUAUAUUCAUGCCCCAAUCAUGAGCUCUCGAGAGAAAUCAUCAUCCAGAACUUCUAUGCUCGGCUUUCUCAUGAUGAUCGCACCAUGCUUGACACUUCUUGUACCAGUUCUUUUAUGAAGAGAGAUAUUGACUUCAGAUGGAAUUUAUUGGAGAGAAUUAAACGCAACUCUGAAGAUUGGCAGCUUGAAGAAGGUAAGGAGUCAGGUAUGAAUUUCAAGUUUGAUGGCGUUAAAUCCUUUGUUGAAACAAAUACCUUUAGUGAUUUUAGCGCUAAGUAUGGACUUGACUCUGAGAUAGUAGCUUCAUUGUGUGAAUCUUUUGCUGCUCAUAUUGAUCUCCCCAAAGAGAAGUGGUUUAAAUAUCAUCCUCCUGUAGAAGUCAAUGUAGUUAAACCCAAUCUAGUUGAAGAGAAAGUCAUUGCCUAUAAUGAUCCUAUUGUUCCUAGUGCUUACAUUGAGAAACCACCUUUCCCUGUUAGGAUAAAGGAUCAUUCUAAAGCUUCAACUAUGAUACGUAGAGGCUACAUUAGAACACCUACACCCCGAGCAAAUUAGAGUUGAACCUAGCAUUGCUAUUAUCAAAGAUCUUCUGUCCGACGAUGUUGAGGGACAUAAUAUUCACUUUAGUGAAGAUGCUGCUAGAAUUGCUAAACCUCACGCUAGAGACAAACAUAUGCCUCUUGUUGGCAUGCAUGUUGUUUCUGUUAAGAUAGGAGAUCAUUGUUAUCAUGGCUUAUGUGACGUGGGUGCUAGUGUUAGUGCAAUACCUCAAUCCUUAUAUGAUGAAAUCAAAGAUGAGAUUACACCUGUUGAGAUAGAGCCUAUUGAUGUCACUAUUCAGCUUGCCAAUAGAGAUACUAUCUGCCCUGUGGGAAUUGUUAGGGAUGUUGAAGUCUUGUGUGGCUAAACGAAGUAUCCGGCUAAUUUCCUCGUUCUUGCUACCGCACAAGAUAGCUUUUGUCCCAUCAUAUUUGGCAGACCUUUUCUCAAUACCGUCAAUGCUCAUAUUGACUGUGAGAAGCAAACUGUCACUGUUGGCUUUGAAGGUGUGCCACAUGAGUUCAAUUUCUCCAAGUUUGGUAGACAACCUCAUGAAAAAGAGUUGCCUAGUAGGGAUGAAACUAUUGCCUUAGCUUCUAUUGCCGUGCCUCCUACAGAUCCCUUAGAGCAAUACUUGCUUGAGCAUGAAAAUGAUAUGCAUAUGGAUGAAAGGGAUGAGAUAGAUAGAGUUGUCUUAGAACAAUAUCCUAUCCUUAAGAAUAACUUGCAUGUUGAACUGCUUGGGGAUCCUCCCCCACCAAAGGGAGAUCCUGUGUUUGAGCUUAAACAGUUGCCAGAUACUCUUAAGUAUGCGUAUCUUGAUGAAAAAGAGAUAUAUCCUGUCAUAAUUAGUGCUAGCCUCUCAGAGCAUGAAGAAAAGAAGUUACUAAAAAUUCCGAGGAAGCAUCGUGCUGCUAUUGGAUACACUCUUGAUUAUCUUAAGGGCAUUAGUCCCACUCUAUGCCAGCACAAGAUUAAGACUGAUCCUGAUUUCAAACCAGUUGCUGAUCAUCAAAGGAGAUUAAAUCCUAAGAUGAAAGAAGUAGUAAGAAAAGAAAUACUAAAGCUCCUGGAAGCAGGUAUUAUCUAUCAUGUUGCUCACAGCAACUGGGUGAGUCCGGUACAUUGCGUCCCUAAGAAGGGAGGCAUUACCGUUGUCCCAAAUGAUAAGGAUGAAUUGAUCCCACAGAGGAUUAUUACUGGCUAUAGGAUGGUGAUCGAUUUUAGGAAAUUGAAUAAAGCCACUAGGAAAGAUCAUUACCCUUUACCUUUUAUCGACCAAAUGCUAGAAAGCCUGUCUAAACACACACACUUCUGCUUUCUAGAUGGUUAUUCUGGUUUCUCCCAAAUACCAGUUGCACAAUCUGAUCAGGAGAAGACCACUUUCACCUGCCCUUUCGGUACCUUUGCUUAUAGACGUAUGCCUUUUGGUUAUGUAAUGCACAUGCCACCUUUCAAAGAUGCAUGAUGGCUAUAUUCUCCGACUUUUGUGAAAAGAUUGUUGAGGUUUUCAUGGAUGACUUCUCUGUUUACGGGUCUUCCUUUGAUGAUUGCCUCAACAACCUUGAUUGAGUCUUGCAGAUAUGUAAAGACACCAAUCUUGUCUUGAAUUGGGAGAAGUGCCACUUUAUGGUUAAUGAAGGCAUUGUUUUAGGACAUAAAAUUUCUGAAAGAGGUAUUGAAGUCGAUAAGACUAAGGUUGAUGCAAUCGAGAAAAUGCCAUACCCCACAUAUAUCAAAGGUAUAAGAAGUUUCCUUGGUCAUGCUGGUUUCUAUAGAAGGUUCACUAAAGACUUCUCUAAGAUUUCUAGGCCUCUUACCAAUCUCUUGCAAAAGGAUAUUCCUUUUGUAUUUGACGAUGAUUGUGAGGGAGCCUUUGAAAUACUUAAGAGGGCUUUGAUAACUGCACCUAUUGUUCAACCACCUGAUUGGAACUUACCUUUUGAAAUCAUGUGUGAUGCUAGUGAUUAUGCUGUUGGUGCUGUUCUAGGAAAAAGAGUUGAUAAGAAGUUGAAUGUUAUUCACUAUGCUAGUAAAACUCUAGACAGUGCCCAAAGAAACUAUGCCACUACGGAAAAGGAGUUUUUAGCAGUCAUGUUUGCAUGUGAAAAGUUCAGGUCUUACAUAGUUGAUUCCAAAGUCAUUAUUCACACUGAUCACGCUGCUAUUAAGUACCUCAUGGAGAAGAAGGACGCUAAACCUAGACUUGUCAGAUGGGUUCUCUUGCUACAAGAGUUUGAUUUGCACGUUGUCGACAGGAAGGGUGCCGAUAACCCCGUAGCAGAUAACUUGUCUAGGCUGGAGAACAUUCUUGAUGACCCACAACGUAUUGAUGACAGCUUUCCCGAUGAGCAACUGAAUGUCAUCAGUACUUCCCAUAGUGCACCGUGGUAUGCUGAUUAUGCAAACUAUAUCGUUGCCAAAUAUAUACCACCUAGUUUCACAUACCAGCAAAAGAAGAAAUUCUUCUUUGACUUGAGACAUUACUUUUGGGAUGAUCCUCACCUUUAUAAGGAAGGAGUAGAUGGUGUUAUUAGACGUUGUGUACCUGAACAUGAACAGGGACAGAUCCUACAGAAGUGUCACUCCGAGGCCUACGGAGGACACCAUGCGGGAGAUAGAACUACCCACAAGGUAUUGCAAUCAGGUUUCUAUUGGCCCACUCUUUUCAAGGAUGCCCGUAAGUUUGUCUUGUCUUGUGACAAAUGUCAAAGAGUAGGUAAUAUCGGUAAACGUCAGGAAAUGCCUAUGAACUAUUCACUUGUCAUUGAACCAUUUUAUGUUUGGGGCUUUGAUUAUAUGGGACCUUUUCCAAAAUCCAACGGGUAUACUCAUAUCCUAGUUGGUGUUGAUUACGUCACUAAGUGGGUAGAAGCUAUCCCCACUAGUAGUGCUGAUCACAACACCUCUAUCAAGAUGCUGAAAGAAGUUAUCUUCCCUAGAUUUGGAGUCCCUAGAUAUCUAAUGACCGACGGUGGUUCACAUUUCAUUCAUGGUGCUUUCCGUAAAACGCUUGCUAAGUACGAUAUCAACCAUAGAAUUGUGUCUCCCUAUCACCCUCAAUCCAGUGGUCAAGUAGAGCUAAGCAAUAGAGAAAUUAAACUAAUUCUGCAAAAGACUGUCAACAGGUCUAGAAAUAAUUGGUCUAAGAAGCUCGAUGAUGCACUGUGGGCUUAUAGGACUGCCUAUAAGAAUCCCAUGGGCAUGUCUGCGUACAAAAUGGUGUAUGGUAAAGCAUGUCAUUUACCUCUUGAGCUAGAGCAAAGCUUAUUGGGCAAUCAAAGAGCUCAACUUUGAUUUCAAACUUGCCGAUGAGAAGAGGUUAUUUGACAUUAGCUCGCUUAAUGAAUGGAGAACCCAGGCAUAUGAGAGUGCCAAGUUGUUCAAAGAGAAGGUUAAGAGGUGGCAUGAUAAGAGAAUACAAAAGCGUGAGUUCAAUGUAGGUGAUUAUGUCUUGCUAUAUAAUUCUCGUUUAAGAUUCUUUGCAGGCAAGCUUCUCUCUAAAUGGGAAGGUCCCUAUAUUGUUGAGGAAGUAUAUCGUUCUGGUGCUAUCAAGAUCAACAACACGGAAGGUAAUUGUCCGAGAGUUGUAAAUGAGGAGAGAAUCAAGCAUUAUAUCUCAGGUACUCCCAUAAAUGUUGAAAGCAAUAUCAUCAAUACCAUAACUCCGGAAGAAUACCUAAGGGACAUUUAUCAGCCUGUUUCAGACUCCGAAAAUGAAGAGGUGUGUGAUUCGGUAAGAAAACAGAUUCCAAAACUUUUCCAAUAGGAAUUUUUCACCGUUUUGGAAUAUUUGAAAAAAUAGAAAAAUUGGAAGUAGUCCGAAAAGUGCGCGAGGAGGCGACAAGCCUGCCCGGCGCGGGCCCACCCCAUGGCCGCACCGGGGGGGGUGUUGUGGCCACCUCGUGCGCCUCCCGGACUCCGUUUUCGUGCGGAGUACUCCUCCUGGUCUGGAAAAAAUCAAUAUAUAUUCUCCCGUAAGGUCUGACCCCUGUAUCACGCAGAUUUCCUCUGUUUUCGUUUCGAGCCUGUUUUCUGCCGCAGAUUUAGAGCAAGAUGUCUUCUCAGGAUUCAGAGGGGGAGAGCUAUGUGGCUGAUUACCUCACUAACUCCAAGGUCUAUGGGGACUUGGAUCCUUAUGGCUGGACCACUGAUGAGGAAGAAGAUUAUGAUCCCAAGGGGAAGGAACAAACAAGUUCCGAUGAAGAGGAGGCUCCUCUACCUCAACCUGGACACACGCAUGUGGAGUUCAAGAAGUCGAGCCUCCCUGACUCAAGGAAGAAGCUUAAGAGUUUGUUUAUACCUUCUAGUUUCUUGCAGGAGAGUAAGUAGGAAUUAUGCCAAAGGGUGUUGAAGCUUGAAGAGGAAAAUGAUGAUCCGAGGGAGCAGAAUUUUAUGCUCAGGUGGAAAUUAAACAAGCUCAAGACCUCUGCAGCAAAUCCACCACCAUCACCUCCAAAGGAAGACAACUGAACAUGGGUAUGGGCAAUCCCCUUGGCUUGUGCCAUGCUUGGGGGAGUUGCCCCGGUAUCGUAUCACCAUCACAUCUUUUGCCUUUACCUUUGUUUUAGUUUGUUCCUUUUCAGUUUUCUUUUUCUCUAGUAGAUUAAAAGUCUUGAGUUUUGCCUUGUGUCUUUUUCUCUAGUAGAUUAAAAGUCUUGAGUUUUGCCUUGUGUCACCCCCGAUUUAUUCGAGCUCGUGAGCCAUAUAAUAAAGGGUGUCUUAGUUGAAGGGCUUUGCCUCUUGCCAUGAUCAAUAGAUUGAGAAAAGAACAAAAGCAUGAAAAAUCAUGUAAUGAACUUACGGGAAGUGAUAGCUUCACAUAUAAAAAGAAUGAUGAUUGAGACUUGUUGAGGGUAGACAAACGUAGACCUUGGUCAUUGUUGCAAUUAAUAGGAAGUGAUAAGGAAGGAGAGGUUCACAUAUAAAUAUAUCAUCUCUGACACCAUCUAUGAUUGUGAACACUCACUAAACUAUUACAUGCCUAGAAGUAGAUGUUGGACAAGGAAGACAACAUAAUGAAUUGUGUUUGCUUGGUUCCGAACAAUGUUAUAUGAUUAGAGAUCCCUUAGCAUGUGACGAUUGCUUCCACCUCAUAUUAGCCAAAACUCCCGCACCAAGUAGAGAUACUACUUGUGCAUCCAUAAACCUUCAACCCAGUUUUGCCAUGAGAGUCCAUCAUACCUACCUAUGGAUUGAAUAAGAUCCCCCAAGUAAGUUGUCAUCGAUGCAAGAAAUAAAAAUUGCUCCCUAAUAUGUAUGAUCUAUUAGUGUGUGGAAAAUAAGCUUUGUACGAACCUGUGAUGAGGAAGACAUAAAAGCGACAGGCUGCAUAAUAAAGUUCUUUAUCACAGGAGGCAAUAUAAAGUGACGUUCCUCCGCACUAAGAGGACACGCAUCCAAACCUCAAAAGCGCAUGACAACCUCUGCUUCCCUCUGCGAAGGGACUAUCUUGUACCUUUACUUUUUGCCCUUGAAAGAGUCAUGGUGAUCUUCACCAAUUCCUUGUUUCGCCUUUAUCUUGGCUAACGUCAUAUGCUAGGGAAAUAUCUAUAUUCAUAUGUCAACUUGGAGGUAAGCAUUCAUGAAGUAUUAUUGUUGACAUUACCCUUGAGGUAAGCAGUUGGGAGGCAAAACUAUAAGCCCCUAUCUUUCUCUAUGUCCAGCUGAAACUUUGAUCUCAUGAGUACCACGUGAGUUGUAGCAAUUGUAGAGAAGGAAAAGAUGAUUGAGUAUGUGGAUUUGCUUUACAACCUCUUAUUUGACUCUUUUUGAUGUUGUGAUAAAUUGCAAUUGCUUCCAUGACUAAAGGUUAUCGGUUGUUACUUCUCGGUAAGGUUCUUGAUCCAUGCUUUACUCUGUGAAGGAAUUGUCACUUUAGCAUGAGAGAUUAUAUGUUGGUAUUGCUGUUCUGAUCAUGAUCAUGAUCAUGAUGCAUGCAUGUUCGUAUUCUACUUUGUCGACACCUCUCUCCCAAAACAUGUGGACAUAUUUAUUGAGCUCGGCUUUCGCUUGAGGACAAGCGAGGUCUAAGCUUGGGGGAGUUGAUACGUCUAUUUUGCAUCAUGCUUUCAUGUUGAUAUUUAUCGCUUCUUGGGCUGUUAUUUCACUUCACGGUACAAUACUUAUGCCUUUUCUCUCUUAUUUUGCAAGGUUUAUAUGAAGAGGGAGAAUGCCGGCAGCUGGAAUUCUGGCCUGAAAGCAGAGCAAGUUUGAGAUACCUAUUCUGCGCAACUCCAAAUGCCGUAAAAAUCAAUGAUGAUUUUUUCUAGAUUUAUAAAAAAUACUGGGCCGAAGAAGCGCCAGAGGGGUGCCAGCAGGUGGCCACAAGCCUGCUUGGCGCGGCCACCCCCUGGCCACGCCAAGGGGGCUUGAGGGCAGCCUGCUGGCCCACUGCCCCCCUAUAUGAAGGGUUUCGUCUGGAAAAAAAUCAGGGAGGAGCUUUUUCGUGGAUUCGUCGCCGCCACGAGGCGGAACUUGAGCAGAACCAAUCUAGAGCUCCGGCACGACGAUCCUGCCGGGGAAACUUUCCUCCCGGAGGGGGAAAUCGUCGCCAUCGUCAUCACCAACACUCCUCUCAUCGGAGGGGACUCAUCACCAUCAACAUCUUCAUCAGCACCAUCUCAUCUCCAAACCCUAGUUCGUCACUUGUAACCAAUAUACGUCUCGCGACUCCGAUUGGUACUUGUAAGGUUGCUAGUAGUGUUAAUUACUCUUUGUAGUUGAUGCUAGUUGGAUUACUCGGUGGAAGAUUAUAUGUUCAGAUCCUUAAUGCUAUUCAAUACCUCUCUGGUCAUGAACAUAAUUAUGCUUUGUGAGUAGUCACUUUUGUUCCUGAGGACAUGGGAUAAGUCUUGCUAUAAGUAGUCUUGUGAAUUUGGUAUCCGUUCGAUAUUUUGAUGUGUUGUAUGUUGUCUUUCCUCUAGUGGUGUUAUAUGAACGUCGACUACAUAACACUUCACCAUUAUUUGGGCCUAGAGGAAGGCAUUGGUAAGUAGUAAGUAGAUGAUGGGUUGCUAGAGUGACACAAGCUUAAACCCUAGUUUAUGCGUUGCUUCGUAAGGGGCUGAUUUGGAUCCACUAGUUUAAUGCUAUGGUUAGACUUUGUCUUAAUUCUUCUUUCGUAGUUGCGGAUGCUUGUGAGAGGGGUUAAUCAUAUGUGGGAUGCUUGUCCAAGUAAGGGAAGUACCCAAGCGUUGUCCACCCACAUAUCAAACUAUCAAAGUAACGAACGCGAAUCAUAUGAACAUGAUGAAAACUAGCAUGACAGAAAUUCCCGUGUGUCCUCGGGAGCGUUUUUCCUCCUAUAAGACUUUGUCCAGGCUUGUCCCUUGCUACAACAGGGAUUGGGCCACUUUGCUGCACCGUUGCUACUUUUGUUACUUGUUGCUCGCUACGAAUCAUCUCACCACACAAUCACUUGUUACCGAUAAUUUCAGUGCUUGCUCAUUUUACCUUGCUGAAAAUCACUUGUCAGAUCCUUCUGCUCCUCAUUGGGUUCGACACUCUUACUUAUCAAAAGGACUACGAUUGUUCCCCUAUACUUGUGGGUCAUCAGUCAUCACGCAGGAGAGCAUCGACAAGAAAGUCGCGAUUGCGGUCAAUAAGACCAAAGCUGAGACCAAAGAAGAGUUGGUCGACUUAGUAAGUGGGUUGGUCACUGACGCGGUGGCCAGCUUGAUUCCGGCAAUUUUCAGUUGGUCAAAGAGCAAUCCAAAUGCACGGUCGGAGGACUACCCAAUUCCCAGCUUUGGCGCAAGCAACUCGGCGAACACCAAAGCACCAACACCUGGCCAAGCAACCGCAAAAGGUCCCGUUCCUGUUCAUAGCAGCCCGACCUCCGUCUCUGGCAUGCUCGGCGGGCCUUCCUCGCUGGCUGAGCUCGACGCCCUCACGAUAAUUACGCGUCAUACCCUUUUCCCCAGCAUGUCUAUAGUCUUACAUUUCAGUUGCCUUUCAGAUGUUUGAUGUCGCAGACAUGUCUCCUUCAUAGGCCGACGACACCCCGUGCACCCUACUCUACGACAUCAAGGGCGAGAAGGUGGCUGUGGGAAAGGCAACCAUCGUGAAGCCGAAGGACCGCAUGUUCCACAACCGACAGAUGCCCGAUGGCGUCUUCAAGGUUAACGUGGCCAGUGUCUUAGCGGGCUUCGAGGAUUUGCCUCCUCCGAUACCAGCCGGUGACGACGAGACCCCUACGCUUAUUGGCGGAUGCAAGAACUGGUUCCUGACUUGGCCGAAGUCUCUUAUUCGUCUCAAGGAGCCCAGUAUCACGCCAACGCCAAGUUCUCAAGAAGGUAUGAACACCACCCACCUACCAAAUUACCUGCACAUGUUGUGGCGGAUGAUGGUAGCGUACGACGCGAGGGAGAGCAUCCAUUAGUGCCAGAUCAUGUCACCCCCGCUGUCGAAGAAGCAAAUGUUGAUGAUGUCACGGAGGAUGAUGAUGAGGACCCGAACCAGUAUUUCAAUACUGCCUAUGAUGGAUUGAUGGCUCAGGACGCCGAAGACUCAGGCUAUGACCGAGGAGAUGAUGACUUGAUGCUGCCUGAUUUGCCGGAGCCGGAACGUCCUAAGGCGGAAUGCAAAAAGUCUCUCUUCAAGCCAUCCUCGCAGGAGACGCCUCCAUAUGCCGCCUCUACCCAACAACCCCCCGAGGCCCGUCCAGUGUUUAGCCCGAGGACACUUGGGGUGGUGGUUAGGAAAGGUAUGAUGGGCUCACUACCGCCAUCCCCCAAGAAGCAAAGGAAGAGACCGACCAAGAGACCUAAAGGCCCCAUAGGUGCUUCAAGUAGCCAGCCGCCUCUGAAACCCCUGGUGGUAGACAUAAUACCUGUCGAAGGUAAGACGCGUGUCCACAUCGCCGGUGAGACGAUCCUACCUGCCAAAGCGCUAGAUCACAUACUGAACAAUGAUCUAAAGAGACUCCAUGAAGAUGUGCUAGCCAGAGAGAAAAACCUUCUCGCCACGAAACAUCCAGGAUACCCGCUUUACGCGACUCAUGUGCCGGGUGGGAAGAUGUAUGUCGAUACCUGACCCGCGAAUCAGUUCCUCCUGCGAUUUGACUACAUCUACAACAUGUUCCACAUGACCAAGCUGGAUUUCCAGUUCAUCCGCAUGUAUGCGCUGUAUCUCAACUCCAUCAUCAAUAUGGAGAGCAUCAAAUAUAUCUGCGUUGCGGACCCAUACUAUAUGCACGAGGACUUCUUGGGAGUUUGCAAAGAGCACCAUGACUAUGCGAGCAAGUACCUCGGCGAUUUCAUGAUCCCUAAUAAGGACAAGGAAGCGAUUCUCCUACCUUAUCAUCCCUCGUAAGUCAUCCGCGCAUAUCCUUUCGUACAUGUUUCAUUCCUUUGCAAGCAUGGGGGCUAAUUUGAGGUGUACUUAAUUUGCGCAGCGGGGGCGGCGCCGUCCUCAUCGUUCCGUACCCGGAAUACUCCCAUGCUAUCUACUUGGACUCGUCGAAGAACCUCAAGAAAAAGGAUUACACGCGCGUAAAGAGUGUUCUCGACUCUGCCCUGUGGACCUUCAGCCUGACUGGUGGAUAUAUCAAGGUGAAAAAGACCAGGAAUAAAGCACCGGCUUUCGGCCAUAAGACCGACUUCUGCUGCAUCCAGCAACCGAACAACAGUACGACUGAUGGAUUCUACCUCAUGCAUCACCUGAUGGAGUUCAGAACGUAUAAUGAACGCCUUCGCAUGUCAGCUACUACCGAAGAUGCCGAGAUUGUCAGUUGGGCCACAAGCAUAGGAACGACACCGGAUUAUCGAAUCCGAGCUAAGUUUUAUCACGUACAGGGUGAACUAGCCCAAGUGAUCAUGAAGCAAGUCCUCGAACCAACGGGGAUGUUCUAUAAUGGGGCAAUCACGCGGGUUGAUGUCCGAGCACUGCUAGUCCCUCAGCGUCUGGACAUGAACCCUUUCAUGAAGCUCGGGUGCGUCCUCGCUAACUAUGAAGAUUGGGACAAGGACCUGAACGACUGAUUGUCAAUGACAAUGUGAUGUAACUAAACCGUGGUCCUGAACUAGCGUGCCUUAUCACUACUGUCUUUCUAUGACAAAACUUUGAAACUAUGUGAUGUAACUAAACCGCGUUCCUGAACUAGCGUAGAUCGUUCUAGUUAAUUAGUUUGGGUAUGAGUAACUUUGUCAUUUAUGUUUACUAUUGGUUGCUUUUAUUUUGCUAAUCAUGCCUCUUUGUUUUCUUAAGUACAUUAUGUUGCAUAUUAUCGGUCAAAUCAACAACUCACGAUGCAGGUACCUAGAUCAGAGAUGGCGAAGCACUACUACGUCGUGUACGUUGGGAGGGUUCCAGGAGUCUACGACCACUGGCCAGCCGCUCAGGCCCAAGUGCACAGGUACCCGGGUGCUACCCACAGAGGGUUCGACACCAGAGCCGAAGCGGAAAGUAGUUACUUCAGGUCGACACUCCAGCAAGAGCAGGGGCGGGACCGUCGGUACUACAUAGUCGCGCUCUUCCUCAUGCUGAUCGCUCUUCUCUUGUACAUCAUGUUGUAGAUAGAGAUGAUGAAACUUGUGGGUGUGCCAUGACCAUGCAGUUGCACUUAUUCGAGACAUGACAUGAUCGCACUUAUGUAUCGCUAUUUUCGAGAUUAUGUGAUGAUAUUUUGUGUUGAAUGGUGAUGAUGAUGAUGGUAUGACGAGACUAUUGUAUGUCUAUGAUAUGUGAGAAUGGUGUUUGUUCAAUAUGAUGUGAUGAAACUAUUGUAUAGAAUCUGUAUAAAUACAUUAGAAAUACGUAGAGGGUAUAAAGCUGUGAAAGCAGCAAAAUCUAGCAGUAGCGGUGGUAAAUACUUAUCAGUAGCGCUACUUAGCAGCAACGCUUUAUAGGGGCAAACGCUACUACGAUAGUUAGCAGCAGCGCUGGGCAGGCAAGCGCUACUGCUAAUACUACUUAUGAGUAGCGCUGCCCAUACCUGCGCUACUACUAGGAUUUAGCUGUAGCGCGAUAACAGUAGCGCUCGACCCAGCGCUAUUGAUACACAUAUUUCCAGCGCUACUGGUAGGGUUUUCCCUAAUAGUGUGACCAAGUGCGUCCGUAGACGUUUAGGGGGUCAUAUUUGCUAAGUCCUGCUGUAGAUGCUCUUAAAGAGGCCGAUCACUUCCUUUUUAGAUCCACAAAAGGAGACAUGUCAAUGGUUUCUUUUGUUAAAAAAGAUGUAACAAAGGAACAACCAAUUUCCAAAAUAAUUGGUUUGUGAAGAAUAUACCAAUGUAUGGCCCGACGAGGCAUGCACGAAGUUUCGCUUCAUCCACUCAGGAACACACUUAAUUAAAUCCCAUGAUGAAACCAGAACUUCUCCCAAAUGAUUCCUAGCGACAAUCCCAGGAUCUCAUGCGCUCCACAAAACUAGCAUCAACAUUUAUUUUAGGAACAUUUACAUAUUUCCCCCAAAUUUCGUCCCGACCUCAUCUUUACCCCUAAAUAAAAACAGUGCUCAACUAUACCCCUCUUCCGUUAAGUACGUUUAUAAAAAUACUUUUCCGUACAUUUUCCGUCCAGUCAAAGGCCUUUGACCGUUAAGUGCGCGUAUAGAAAAAUAUAAUGGUCAAAGGCCUUUGACUGGACGGAAAAUGUACAGAAGGGCAUUUCUAUAAGUUCACUUAACGGAAGAGGGCAAAGUUUAGCACUGUUUUUAUUUAGGGGUAAAGAUGAGGUCGGGCCAAAAUUAGGGGGAAAAUGGAAUUGGCCCUUUAUUUUAAUAUACUCCGGAUCCGGAUGUUUCCACAGAGCGCGAUCCUUCUUUGGUGGACUAAGAGCAACUCUAGCAAACCCCACAAAAACUUGACACGCAAAACGCGUUUGCGGUUUCACGAAAAUCACGUUUGCGGGUCGAAAACUAGCGCGGCCGAACAAAAACCGUAUCUAGAACUACAUAAUUUGAAAAAACACUUUCACGGGAGAAAUUGCACCUCGUUGACGCGAGUAGUUCAUCACAUACUACAUAGAUCAUGAUCAACACACUACAAACAUAGUUCAUACUACAUACUACGUUAAUACUAGUACUAGAGGGGGUCGGAUCUCACGGCGGCGAGGUCGCGGCAAAUGGACGACGUCGUGGAGAAGAAGGACGCUCAAUCCUCCUCGCCGGAGCUGUAGAGGUCGAUGUACUUCGCCCUCUGCUCCUCGCGGAUGCGGCACCACUCCUUGUACUUCUCCUUGGCGGCGAGGUUGGUACCGACCGCCUGCCGCCACUCGAGGUCUUCGAGCUCCUCGACGUGACGCCGGCGCUCCGCCUCCUCGCGCACGAUCCACUCGACGAUGGCGGCCGCAAUGGCGUCGACGUCGGCGACGUAGUCUUCCGGCCCGACGACUCCGUGGCAGCCGAGCGGAGCGGGCUCCUCGGGCUCCUCCUUGACGGGGACGAAGUCGAACUCUUCCGGCUCCUCCUCGUCCUCUAACCACUCCCUUUUCUCGGGUAGAAGGCCCCGCACCCGGAGGAGGAGGAGCUCCCYSCGCGUAUGAACAUCUCGUGGAGGAGAAGGACGCGCGCCGACGGUCGUACUCCUCAGUCUCGCUCCGUCGGAAGCUCGCCGGCGGCGACAUGCCGCGGUUGGUCCACCUCCAGGCCCCGCACUUCCUCGCGCCGUCCGAGCGGACGCGUCACUCGCGCUCCGGGUCGCUUCCGCCGUCGGAUCUGCCGCUGGAGCCGCGUUUGGAGCUCCACAUGCGGCCCCACAUGGCGGCUGGAGGAGGGGAGGUGGUCGCCGGCGGCGAGAAAUGUGGAGAAGGGGGUGGGGAAUCGCUAGGGCUCGGCGGCGGCGGGGGAUAGGGUUUCGACCCGCAAACGAGCCGCAGAACCGUAGAUAUAGUGGUGAGGGCGUGCGGUUUGCGGGCCGCGGCAAAUUUUUUUGCGGGCCGGGCAAGUAUGCGGGCUCUGUUCUGGCCGAAAAAUUGAAUCAAACCCGCAUACUCGCCGGAAUUUUACGGGUCUGCGUGUUUUAUGGGGUCUGCUAGAGUUGCUCUAAUAAACUUCGUGUUACUUAUCACCCCCUUACCUUUGUCACUUAAAUCCACUUGCACACAAGCAUCGACAGUCGUGAAUGUUUUCCAGUAAUUUUUCAUGAAGAUAACAAAAGCGUUUAGAGAUACUUUCCCUCUUCCAAAAAUCUUAACCGUUCAUUAGAUGACAAGCUCUCUAGAACAUAAUAAAACUUGCUCACUUACCAGAGACCCCGGUUGGUCUAGCAGGAUGGCAUUUCGUAUUUGUAGUUUUAUCAUUUUCUUGCCGACAAUAGUGUUAGAAUUUAAUUAAUUAGUCCAUCGCAUCCGAAUACAACGGACAGGUUGUUUUGAGCGUGGCUGUUGUAACCAUCGUGUCUGUGCGAUGCGCCUCUUCAGGAGGUAUAUAUAUGUACAUCAUCGUUGUCAAUAAUCAUCUGUCAUUACUGUUUCUUUACACUGUUUCUUUACACGUUAUCACGCACUCCUAUCCAGCGAGAGCACUAGGCCACAAAACUCGUCGGAGAAGAAAGCAAACCGGUGAGGAUGUCGUCCCUCGCCUCCCUUCUCCUUGGUCUUCUCUGGGAAGAACGGCGCCAUCACUUCCUUGCCGAGCAGCGCCGCCGGUUCGUCCGCCAUCGAUGGGGGGCACCACCGGCAGUUUCUGGCCUUGGCAUUAACCGCCGCCAGAACUUCGCUGGACGACGCCGCCAUGUCGCGGCCGCUGGACGCCGCCGCCACGCCACAUCGGUGAACCGACGUCUGGCCACGCCGGUGGACAACAACCAGGGACUGGACCCAGGGCUGGUAGCCGGACCGAGUGCACCACCGCCGCUGAACUCUGACAUGGGUGCGCCAGAGCCUGGACUCGCUGCUCCCUCCCCUCCACGGUGGUGCCGUGUGCACGGGUAUGGCCCGUGCCCCACUCGCUCCAUUGGCACACGCCUGCCGUCACCAACGCCAGCAGAGGAGGAGGAGCGGGACAUCGUCGCUGACAUACCUGCACGUGGCUACAGCCCGACUCCGACGCGUCUCGCCGGUGAUGGGGGCGACGACCCCAUCUUCGUCCUGACUCCAGGACGCGAGAUGGCCACCGCGGGGACAAACAGCGCGCCAUGGGCGUUCGGUCGCUCCCCUGCUCCUCCCGGCGAGCAGCCAGUCUUCCUCUUCGGGACUGGAGGGACACGGCCCGCCACGGACGUCGCCGGCACAAGCAGCAACGCGGGUCCACCUGUCAGCAGCGCGAGCCGCCUUCUCCUCUUCGGGCGCUCCGUCGCCGCCGUCGACCGUCGUCCUGGGCGCCGUCGGGGAGCUUGGAAUCCGGCGUCGCUCGGACUUGCCAAUGGACUCCCGAACGGAGGCGGCAUCCCGGACUACACCCCCUCAUCGGACGAGGAGGAGGGCCCCAUUCCUUCACUGCCGGCGUCUCGCCGGUGAGCACGCAUCGGGCGCGGCGGCCGGAACAAAGGAGGGGUCGCGCCGCCUGGAAAGAGGAUUGUGGGCGGUAGGGGAACCCUAACCGUCAUCCUCUUUUAUGCGAUGGCCAAAGCGGCGACGGGCCUGCUGGGCCGAAAAGCCGGAUGGGCUGUGACCCAUGCCUCGUUCUGAGCCAGGAAAAGGAAGGAAAAUUGAAAAAAACUGUAGCAGUACUGUAAAAGUGGUUUGGGUCUAUUUGUUGCAGCCCAGGACCAUUUUUUUCGUUUCUCUUUUUCUGUUAAGUUAUUUGACUAGCAGUUUGAGAGUUGUGACUAGUGAUUUAGUAAUUUGUGUAAAUUACUUUAUAUUGUAUUGUUCAGUAAUUAGUGUAUAUUACUGUAUUGUACAAGUAUAAUGUAUGUCAACAUAUAUGUUCGGGCAAUUUGAGAAUUGCUAUAUGUUGAUAAAUAUACAUGCAUUGUUUUAUUUACAACACAAUUAAUUUGCUAUGAAAGUAAAUUAAUAAGCAUGAUGAUUACAUGCAGGAUAUGGCUGACAUAUCGAAAAAAGAGUUUGCUGAACUUGCCGUCGAUGGUUCUAACUAUUUGACAUGGGCAAUGGAUGUCAAAAUAAAUUUGACGGCCAAGGGACUCAAUUCCGCAAUAACCACACCUGCCCAAGGGACUUCAUCUAUAACAGACAUAACAAGAUAUUCAACGUUGCACUUCAUUCGAUAUCAUCUUCACCCUGACCUAAAAACAGAGUAUCUGAUGGAGGAGAACCCUCUGACACUCUGGAACUCCUUAAAAGAGAGGUAUGAUCAACAAAGGGCGGUGAUGUUGCUUGAAGCGCAACGGGAAUGGGCGCUAGUCCGAUUCCAAGACUUUAAGUCUGUAGCUGCAUACAAUUCUGUUGUUCAUAAGAUCAACUCCAAGUUGAGAUUCUGCAAUAAUGCAGUUUCUGAUGCUGAUCUUAUUGAAAAGAUGCUUUCUACUUUCCAUCCUUCGAUGAGGAUACUUGCUGAACAAUACCGUCAGCAAAAGUAUAAGAAGUAUUCUCAGUUGAUUUACUCGCUGCUUCAGGCAGAGAAGCACAAUGAGCUUCUUGAGAAGAACAAUUUGGCUCGUCCAACAGGAACGAUGCCUCUGCCUGAAUCACACUUCAACUCUAAGAAUACUCAAAAUUUCAAUGGUUCCAACAAGAACCGUAGAACGUUCAAUGGAAAGUGGAAGCGUAAUGAGAAGCGGAAUAAGAAUGGAGUCCAAAAGGGCAAAGGUUCUUUCAAGAAAAAUGAAAGGACUAGCAACACUGGUUGUUUUAGGUGUGGUUGUAAAGGACAUAUUGCAAAGAAGUGUGACACUUCGAACCAUUUGGUGGAAUUGUACCAACAGUCAGUUGGAAAGGGCAAGAAGGCUCAGGGGAACCAGUAUGAAGCACACUUCACUGGAAAUGAAGAUGGUACCCCUACGGUUGAUGGUUCUCAAGAUGAUUCUCUGAACAUGGACAACCAGGAGCAGAAUCAGCAAGUGGAAGAUCCAAUACUAGAUGUCGAUGACAUGCUAGUGGAAUUUGGUUCUAGUGACAUAUUUGGAGACCAGAUUUAGUCUCAUUUGUCUAAGUAUUGUAACAAUGUUAUUAGACAUAUUAUAUGUGUUGUAAAAUAAGUUAUGUCCUUAGACAUAAUGUGUUAGCUAUGUCGUGUGACAUAGGGCUUGUAAUAAGUACAAGACAUAUAUAAGUUUGUAAUGUAUGUAUUGAUUCUAUAUGAGUUUGAUUAUAUACUGAACUUUGUUCUUUUACUCUAUAGAACUUCAAGGAAUAAUACAAUGGAGGAGGAAAUGUGUUUAGUGGAUAGUGGAUCUACUAACACGAUACUUAGGGAGAUAAAGUAUUUCCAGACACUCAAGAAGAGUAAUGGAAGUGUCAUGACAAUUGCUGGUCGAGACACGGUAAUUGUUGGUUCUGGACAAGCUACAAUUACACUCCCUAUGGGUACUAAAUUGAUAAUCCAGGAUGCUCUACUGUAUCCAGUAUUGUACCUUGCUGAGUUUUAAGGAUAUUCGCAAAAAUGGUUUUCAUGUGGAAACUAAUGAAGAGAGUGGGGCUGAAUGACUACUCAUAACUCAGCAAAAGGGACUUCGAAAGGAAAUCCUUGAGAAUCUGCCUUCUCUAUCUUCUGGGUUGUAUUAUACAUACAUUAAACCAGAGACGCAUUUGGCGUACAAGAUAGUUUUUCAGAAUCUUGAUAAGUUCAAGAUUUGGCAUGGUCGCCUGGGUCAUCCUGCUAUUGGGAUGAUGAGAAAAAUUAUUGAUGGUUCUGUUGGACACAACAUAACGGAUAGAAAGUUCCCAAAAUCAUCUAAUUUUGUAUGCACUGCAUGUGCAACUGGGAAAUUGAUCACAAGGCCAUCUUAUGUGAAAUUAAAGAAUGAGCCACUUGAUUUCCUUGAACGUAUUCAAGGAGAUAUUUGUGGUCCAAUACAACCGUUAUCUGGACCAUUCAGAUAUUUCAUGGUCCUAAUUGAUGCAUCAACAAGAUGGUCAAAUGUGUGUCUACUGUCAACAAGGAACCAUGCUUUUGCAAAGCUAAUUGCUCAGAUCAUUAAAUUGAGAGCAAAUCAUCCUGAGCAUAGGAUAAAAACCAUUAGAAUGGAUAAUGCCGCAGAAUUCAGUUCUCGAGCAUUUAAUGAUUACUGCCUAGCUUUGGGCAUUUCUGUGGAGCACUCGGUACCUUAUGUACAUACCCAGAAUGGUCUUGCGGAAUCACUUAUCAAGAGGAUAAAGUUGAUAGCAAGACCGCUCCUGCAGAAUAGUAAUCUUCCAGCUUCAUGUUGGGGUCAUGCAGUUUUACAUGCUGCAGAAUUGAUACAAAUUCUACCAACUGCAUAUCAUACGGUCUCCCCGUUGCAGUUAGUGCGUGGGAACCAGCCAAGUAUUUCCCAUCUGCGACAAUUCGGUUGCGUGGUAUAUGUACCGAUAUCACCACCACAGCGUACAUCAAUGGGCCCUCAUAGAAGAAUGGGGAUCUAUGUGGGGUACAAUUCUCCGUCGAUCAUUAAGUACCUGGAACCCCUGACAGGGGAUUUGUUUACAGCCCGGUACGCUGAUUGCAUUUUUGAUGAGGACAAUUUCCCGGCAUUAGGGGGAGAGAAUAACCAUAAAGAAUGACGAGAAAUAGAUUGGGAUGUGAAAGGCAUCCAGUCCUUAGAUCCACGUACGAAUGAGUCUGAACUGGAGGUUCACAAGAUUAUAAAUUUGCAAAAUAUUGCAAAUAAUCUGCGAGAUGCAUUUACUGAUUAUAAAGGUGUCACAAAACCAAAUGUUCCCGCUAUGAAUGUGCAAGAGAGAAUAGAUGUGACCCAUAGAUCUACUCAGCCACCUAAGAGGGGGAGGAAUCUGGACACAAAGGACAAGGCUUUGCAGAAGCGUCCAAGGGGAAUGAGGAAUCCUCAAAAGGUAAAUGCAAAUCAACAAAAUGUUGAUAUUCAACCUAGGGUUGAAGGACACCUCAAGGAUGUUGGACAUCCAGAACCCAGCACGAGUGUGCACACAAAUUUUGGUGUUGGGACAUCGGAAGACCUUGAUCCAAUUGUUGAGGGAAAUCAUGAAGGAUCAAAAGGUAUUGAUGAAAUAUCCAUUAACUAUAUUGAUUCAGGAGAAUCAUACAAUAGAAAGACUACAAUUGUCGACAUUUAUUUCGCCUCUAGAAUUGCAGAAGGCCUUGAUUUGGAUUGCGAACCUAAGUCCAUGGCAGAGUGCAUGAAGCGCUCAGACUGGUCCAAAUGGAAGGCAGCAAUUGAGGAUGAAUUGCGCUCGCUCAUAAAAAGAGGGGUAUUUACUGCAGUAAUACCUACUCCUCAGCAUGUGUUCCCUGUGGGAGCAAAAUGGGUUUUCGUUCGUAAGAGGAACGAGAACAAUGAGGUGGUGAGAUACAAGGAGAGGCUUGUAGCACAGGGAUUCACGCAGAGACCCGGCAUCGAUUAUGAUGAAACAUAUUCUCCUGUUAUGAGUGGAACAACGUUCCGAUAUUUAACAUCACUGGCAGUGAAAAUGAAUUUGUCUAUCCAACUAGUGGAUGUUGUGACUGCAUAUCUAUAUGGGUCACUGGAUUCGGAUAUUUAUAUGAAAGUUCCUGAAGGAAUGAAGCUUUCGAAUCCAAAGGCUAACCGCAACAUCUAUUGCGUAAAGCUUCAGAAGUCAUUGUAUGGCUUGAAGCAGUCGGGAAGAAUGUGGUAUAACCGACUGAGUAUAUUUCUUCUUCAGAAGGGUUACUCAAACAACAAUGAUUGCCCAUGUGUGUUUAUUAAGAAAUCUAAGAAUGGAUUUUGCAUUAUUUCUGUGUAUGUGGAUGAUCUGAAUAUCAAUGGGACUACACAAGAAAUACAUGAGGCAAGUAAUCAUCUUAAGACGGAGUUUGAGAUGAAAGAUCUCGGUAAGACUAAAUUUUGUUUGGGCUUACAACUUGAACAUCUUCCUUCGGAAAUACUAGUUCAUCAGUCUGCUUAUAUCCAAAAGAUUCUUGAGAAAUUUAAUAUGGAUAAAGCAUAUCCAUCGAAAACACCAAUGGUUGUUAGAUCUCUUGAUAGAGAUAAAGACCCAUUUAGACCUAAGGGUGAUGAUGAAGAGGUAUUAGGACCUGAGUUUCCUUACCUCAAUGCUAUUGGAGCACUAAUGUAUCUAGCAAACUGCACCAGGCCUGAUAUAUCAUUUGCAGUAAAUUUAUUAGCUAGAUUCAGUGCAUCACCAAGAAAGAGGCAUUGGGUUGGUGUGAAGAACGUUUUCAGAUAUCUUCAAGGCACCAAAGAUCUUGGUUUGUUCUAUCGAAAAAAUCAAGAUAAAACUAUGGGGGGAUAUUGUGAUGCUGGAUACCUAUCGGAUCCCCAUAAUGCCAGAUCACAGACUGGCUUUGUCUUCUUGAGUGGAGGUACGGCCUUCUCUUGGAAGUCGACAAAACAAACUCUAGUGGCUACGUCCACGAAUCAUUCUGAAAUUAUUGCUUUAUUUGAAGCAUCACGUGAAUGUGCAUGGCUUCGCAGAAUGAUAAACUUUAUCGAAAGUGCAAGUGGGAUUGGAUCAUUAGAAUCACCCACCAUUAUCUAGGAAGAUAAUGCUGCAUGCAUUACACAAAUGCAAACAGGUUAUAUAAAGAGUAAUAUUACAAAGCAUAUUUCUCCUAAGUUAUUUUAUCCCCAUGAGUUACAGGAAACUCGGGAGAUAAAUAAUUUGCAAACAAAGUCAUGUGAUAAUCUUGCUGAUUUGUUUACAAAGUCAUUACCAAGUUCUUUAUUUGAGAAGUACAUAAAUGGGAUUGGUAUGAAACGACUUCGUGACUUGCAAAGUUCAGGGGGAGUGUAUCCCUAAAUAAUAAUCUGUUUGUGAUCCUCGAAUCUUUGAUAUUGCACUCUUUUCCUUUAUAAGUUUUCCUUGGAUGGUUUCUUAUGGAAGUUUUUUUUAAUGAGGCAAUAGUAAUGCAGGCAUUGUGAUAUGUCAGUUUCUUCUUAUUUUCUCACUGGGUUUUUGGAAGGAGUUCUUGAUGGCAUAUUGUACAUAUCUACUCAUAUUUUUUCUACAGGGUUUUUUGAAGGAGACUAAUCAAGUUGAUUAUGAUGAUGAUGAUGAUGUUACAAGAAUAAUUGAAGCAGAGAUUAGGGGGAGUGUUAGAAUUUAAUUAAUUAGUUUAAUUAAAUGGAAUCUCUGCCCAUGGAACCAUCGCAUCCGAAUCCAACGGACGCGUUGUUUUGAGCGUGACUGUUGUAACCAUCGCGUUUGUGCGAUGCGCCUCUUCAGAAGGUAUAUAUAUGUACAUCAUCGCUGUCAAUAAUCAUCGAUCAUUACUGUUCAUCGCACUGUUUCUUUAAAAAUAGCACAUAAGUCAUUUCGUCACAAAGCUUUACAUUUUACUAAUACACUGACAAUGUUUUCUGUAAAAAAAAGUUUCAAACAUAUUUGACUUUUUUUUACCAUUUUAAUUAAUUCGUUCUUGCUAAAUCGGGUACACGUGCACCCAGGUUCCAAAAAUCCACACCUUAUCCUCUUCCUUCUUCCCUUGGCGACUGGACGGCCUCCCCGCCAAACAUCCUCCCGCCCCAGGCACUGACAUCACCUGCAAGAGCUUCUUCCUCCUCCGUGACCGUGGCACCCAUCGAUUUCUCAUUCUUCCAGCUCUAGGUGACGAAUUGAUCAUAGCUUUGCUUGGACUAUCAUCAUUUUUGUUAUUAUCAACGACGAUCUGUUCUGUUCCGGCCGUUGCUUGUUCCGUUCUAAUCCAAAUCUUUCCCCGAACCAUCCAGUCGUUUCUGCGGAUUCGUUCCAGGCGCGAGCCGGCGAGCAUGGAGGGGCUGACGGAGAGCGAGGUCGCCGGCUUCGCGGUGGGCGCCUUUCUGCUCGGCGCCAGCAUCGCCGCGCAGAGGGUCGACGGCUUCGUCGCCGCUUCGCAGAGAAGGUCCUGUCCCUGCUCCUCCUCGCCAGCUUCUUGCUUGCUUGCUUGCUUGUUUGCCCGCUUCAGUGCCAUCUUUAGUUAUGUCCUGAAGAUUGAACGUAAUUAUACAGUAUUAAACAGCAUUGUGACCGAGAAAAGGCUGAAUUACUACGCAUUGUUUCGUGCCAUCAGGAUCACAAGAAUGAAUCAAUGAAUAGCACGGGUGUGACUGGGAAGCCAAUGCUGCAAAAUGACGUAUACACGAACUAUAUAAUCUACUGUAGAUGUUGAUGGCUGGAGCAGAGCAAUGCUCAUGGAUUUGUUCUGUUCAGCCUCAGCGCUUCUGAAGAGUGGCAAUACUCGAUUACCAUAACCUAAAGCUGCAUAUAUGUGGCUCAGAAUUUUCUGGUAGCAGUCAAUAGCAAAAGAAUUUCUGGGAAAUAGUAGCUGAAAGAUGGCACUGUAUUUCCUUCAGAUCUCAAAUAGAUGGACCCCUUUGAGUUUAGGUACACCAACAUACUGCCUUUUCUCUUGUAUGCUGUGCUUAAGUAUUAUUGUUUUCCUUUGGCAACACAACACCUGUAUGCUGUGUUUUAAGCUUAAGUAAAGUGAAAAGUCAAGUGCAUGGAUCCGAGGAUUGAACUUAAAUAAAUAGACUUGCCGAAAAUCACUUGGGGAAUUUUUAUUUCUCGUUGGGAGACCUUUGAGGCUCUUGUUUGGAGACUUUUGAGGCAUUACGCGCUUAAGAUACCACAGCAUACUUUUCGCAAAAAAGAAAGAAAGAAGAUACUAGGGCGUAAAUUACGUUGUCACCGUGCGGUUCAUUUUGAGCUUCUACUUGUGUUUGCUUUUUGCGGUUGUCAUGUCCACCUAUUUUGUCUCUCGGUUACCGUUAAAUUUUAUUCUUUCGUAAUGAUCAGUUUAUGCAAAGUUACAAACCAGUUACUCCAAUUGUUACUUUAGUUCAAAGCUGAGACACUUUCCGAUUGGAGGGUAUAUCAAACUAAAAGCGAGAGCAUAUGUGACCACAAAAAACAGAACUAUGAAAAGUGGAAGCAAAGAUGAAUUACGUCUUGGGGAAAUUUAUUCUGAAAAAAUGGACCAAGUGGGCUAAUUUGUUAUCAAAUGGGUAUGAACAUGCCUCUAAACUAUAUUGUACUGCAUUGCAGGUCUUUAAACAUGUGUAACCGUUGUGGUGAUCUUCGAAUGGUAGCAUGUUCACAAUGCAAAGGAGUAGGUUCUGUUAGAAAAGGUGGAACCUUCACAUUCGGCAUGCUGGAGGAUAUCUAUGAAUCACUUGGAGCUGAAACUAAGGCAGCUGAUUUGGUCCCUUGCUCUAAGUGUCGUUCUAAGGGCCGCCUCCCGUGUGCAGAGUGCGCCAAGGUCAGAUGACCCUUUGAUAAUGAUUGUUGAUCAGAACAUGAUACCCAGUACUAUAAACGUUCAUAUCUAUGGACUGAUUGAACCGUGGGCGAGUGCUUUUACAGUUACUCCUUAUCAACUAGUACUUGAUUAUGGUUACCAAAGAAAAGAUAAACUGACUAGAAACUCUUGCAAAAAAUCAAAAACAUCGAGCCAUUAUUUACGUCGGCCUUUAUUAUCAAAGUUUGAUUCGAACAACUAGAUCUUAUCUAUCUAAGAAAUAUAAAACACCAUCAAUGAUAGAUGCCAAAGAUGCACCCCACCCUACCUUUCGAUCCUCUCCCAUCGUUUGACGCCACGACAUAACUCUCCCUUCCUUGCGCUUGCAUCUUUCGUCCAUGUGCAACUGCCCUCCUUUCGUCCAUCCUUCGCGACAAGCGUGGGUCAGCCUUUCAUCAUUUGCAGCAGUACAACCCACCAGGAAGUUGCUUCCUCCCUAGUAGUUGUCACUACACAAGCAAGUCUCCCUCAUGUUUGUGUGGCGCAUUGCCAAUUAGUGUCGGUAAAGUGCCACUGUUGGCAACAACUGUUGUACUCACCACUGACAAAUGGACCCGGUCAUCCAUACAUGUACUUUCGGUGACACGCGUCUACACAACCCGUUUAUGGUGAUUUUUAGGCUUCAUGGUUUGCACCUAAUCCGUCGAUGAUGAACGGACCGGUAUACACUUUUCAUAGUAGUGGUCCCACCCAUACACGGGGAGAAUAAAUAUAAGAGUGGUUAGAACUGAUGAGCCAUGUUUUCUAAAAUAUUUCUGGCAGGCAAAAGGUUAGCAAAUAUCCACUUGUGUUUUCUGCAAUUUGCAAUUUUUAUACCAGGCUAAUUGGUGUUUAUUUUUAUGAACUCUCCUCGGAGAUACCGUCCUAGGCACAUUUAUGCAAACUUUCAAUCAGCUGGUUUUAGAUCUAAAAAACUAAAGAAGUGUGUGGACAAGGCAAUCUAUUCCUACACUAAACAUGGACAUGAAAUGGGCAUGGCAGAGCUCAAAGCUGAGUGUGAGAAGCCAUGUAAGUGGUUAUCCAAAAUUCCAAUUUAUGUUUGGGCUAGGUUUGCUGGGGAUCAUGAUUGCGAGACUUGUCUAGUUGUGGACAACCUUAGUGAGGCGUUCGGCAAAAUGAUACUUGAUGUUAGGAACAAACCAGUUAGGACAAUGUUUGAAGGGGUUAGGGCCUAGCAGAUGAUCAAGAGACAAAAGACUAGGGAGAAGUUACAGAUAAGUAGGUGGACAAUCACACCCAACUAUUGAGAGAUUCUAGAAGAGAAUAAGAAGUAUGCCAAGUUUUGCCAAGAAGACAAAGCUUGUCCUUCUAUUUGGCAAGUAACUAGUAAAGAAAAGCAGUAUUCUAUGAACAUUGAUACUUCUACAUGUGACUGCAAGAGGUGGGACAUGUCAGGUGUUCCUUGCAGUCAUGGUAUUUCUGCAAUGACAAAGAUGAAACUACAUCCUGAGGAUUAUGUCCAUGAUUUUUUCAAGAAGUCGCUUUAUGUGGAAAGAUACAAAGACGUUAUAUAUCGUGUCCCUGGUCCUAAUUGCUGGCUUUACACACACACACACCUGAUACUGAACCACCUGUCUUUAGAGAAAAGGUAGGUAAUAGUCACACAACAAGGAGGAAUGGGCAAUUUGAGGUGCGAGUUCCCAAAGAUACAAGCAUGAUGUCUACUAUAACUUGCUCAAACUAUGGUCUCCAAGGACACAAAUACAAUACUUGCAGCAAGCCUCUAAGGACAAAACUGCUGAUGAGAAAAAAUAAACACCAGUCCAGUCAAUUUGUUCAUUUGCAUUUUCAGUUUUCCAUUUUCAUUUGCACCUAGAUUACUGAGUUUUACAUAUUCUAUAAGGAGGAAAACAGAGCAAUCUAUGAGGAAGCACCACCUGCAACACCACCAACAACACAACCUGUAGCAUGAGCAACAUCACCAUCACCAACACAAGCACAAGGAUUGGCACAAGCACAAGUACCAGCUAGGGGGAAAAAUCUUGUACCUGCUGCAUCUGAAUCUGUUGCUACUAAAAGAACAAAAAGGGGAAGGCAUACAUGAAGAGGGAGAGGAAGAGGAACUAGUAGCUGUUGGGGAACGUUGCAUGGGAAACAAAAAAUUUCCUACGCACACGAAGACCUAUCAUGGUGAUGUCCAUCUAUGAGAGGAGAUUUGGAUCUACAUACCCUUAUAGAUCGCACAGCAGGAAGCGUUAAGAAACGCGAUUGAUGUAGUGGAACGUCUUCACGUCCCUCGAACCGCUCCACGAACCGUCCCGCGAUCCGUCCCACGAUUCGUUCCGAUCUAGUGCCGAACGGACGGCACCUCCGCGUUCAGCACACGUACAGCUCGACGAUGAUCUCAGCCUUCUUGAUCCAGCAAGCAAGACGGAGAAGUAGAUGAGUUCUCCGGCAGCGUGACGGCGCUUCGGUGGUGGUGAUGAUCUACUCCUACAGAGCUCCGUCCGAGCUCCGCAGAAAUCCGAUCUAGAGGUAGAACUAUGUGGUCAGUUGCACGUGGCAAAAGUUGUCUCAAAUCAGCCCUAAAACACCACUAUAUAUAGGAGGGAGGGGGAGGGGCUUGCCUUGAGGGCCAAUCCCUCAAGGGGUGCGCCGGCGCUAGGAGGAGGAGGACUCCUCCUCCAAUUCGGUUUGGGGAAGGAGGAGUCCUCCUCUUCCUUCCCACCUCCCCUUUUCCCUUUUUCUUUUUCUUUUCUUUUCGAAUUUCUUUAUGUGGCACCAUGGGCCCCUUGGGAUGACUCCACCAGCCCACUAGGGACUUGUGGCGCCACCCUAUGGCCUUGGUCUCACUCCUGGGUGGGUGGGCCCCUCCUGGUGAACUCUCGGAACCCAUUCGUCACUCCCGGUACACUGCCGGAAUUGCCCGAAACUUUCCGGUAACCAAAUGAAACCAUCCUAUAUAGCAAUCUUUGUUCUGGACCAUUCGGGAAACCCUCGUGACAUCCUUGGUCUCAUACGGGACUCCGAACAACAUUCGGUAACCACACAUGUAACUCAACUAUACUAAAACAUCAUCGAACCUUAAGUGUGCAGACCCUGCGGGUUCGAGAACUAUGUAGACAUGCCCCGAGGCUCUCCUCGGUCAAUAUCCAAUAGCGGGACCUGGAUGCCCAUAUUGGAUCCUACAUAUUCUCCGAAGAUCUUAUCGGUUGAACCUCAGUGUCAAGGAUUCAUAUAAUCCCGUAUGCCAUUCCCUUUGUCCUUCGAUAUGUUACUUGCCCGAGAUUCGAUCGUCGGUAUCCGCAUACCUAUUUGAAUAUCGUUACCAGCAAGUCUCUUUACUCGUUCCGUAAUACAAGAUCCCGUGACUUACACUUAGUCAUAUUGCUUGCAAGGCUUGUAUGUGAUGUUGUAUUACCGAGUGGGCCCCGAGAUACCUCUCCGUCACACGGAGUGACAAAUCCCAGUCUUGAUCCAUACUAACUCAACGGACACCUUCGGAGAUACCUGUAGAACACCUUUAUAGUCACCCAGUUACGUUGUGACGUUUGAUGCACACAAGAUAUCCCUCCGGUGCUAGUGAGUUAUAUGAUCUCAUGGUCAUAGGAACAAAUACUUGACACGUAGAAAACAAUAGAAAUAAAACGACACAAUCAAUAUGCUAUGUUCAUAGUUUGGGUCUAGUCCAUCACAUGAUUCUCCUAAUGAUGCGAUUCAGUUAUCAAGUGACAACAGUUGCACAUAGCCACAAAACCUUGACUAUCCUUGAUCAACUGGCUAGCCAACUAGAGGCUUGCUAGGGACAUUGUUUUGUCUAUGUAUCCACACAUGUAUCUAUAUUUUCAUUCAAUAUAAUUAUAGCAUGGAUAAUAAACGAUUAUCUUUAGACUGGAAAUAUAAUAAUAACUAUUUAUCAUUGCCUUUAGGGCAUAUUCCCAACAGUAGCUGGUUCAAUGCACCAAGACUUACCAUAUUUGUAGGUGAAAAUGUGGGGACUAGGAGGAGGUGGAUGCCAAACAUAAGGUUACCAAGCUACUUCAUUGCACAUGUUAACCAUAGCCACAACUUAUCCCCAACCACCAAACCACUCUAAUGGGUCCCAUCUUGCGGGAGGUCGUCGAUGAUGCGGAAGAAGUAGUUAGGGCUGAGAGGGUUGCUGCAAGGGUUUGAAGGGAUGCUGCAAGAGCAGUGGAGCGUUGCAGCAUGUGUACUAGGAUCUUGGCUGCUCGAAAUGCCAAGGAUCACAAGCAGUUCUCGGAGGUUUUUUCGGAAGGAACAAACCCCACGGAUGAUGGGAUCAUUCGUUGGGCUAGCAGGAGGGAAAACUUCAUCCGUUUCAAGUCACACACAUGAGAUGAACAAGAUGUGGUACCCAUGAAUUUGUGUCCAUUUUAUUUGCAUUUCUCUGAAAUUCUCUGAAUUGCUCUAGGUUUGGAUGUAUUUAUCUGAACUUAGGUCUUAUAUCCGAAUUUGAAUGCUGAAUUAAUCAGAACAGUUUCUUUAUUUCUCUGUGGUAUGUCACGAUACUUAAUUUAGGCCUAGAAUGCACUACACACAACUAUGUAGCCGGGUUUUUAAAACCCCAUAUACCCAAACCUUCUCCUCUCCACUUAUCUUCUCACUCAACUUCCUCCAUCACACGCCUAUCCAACUUCCAAUCCGGCGGCGAUGGCAUUUGACGACGAAUGGCAGAGGAGUCUAGAGGAGUGUUGUGCCGACGACUCCAAGAAGCUGCAGCGCACGUGCAAGGUAAACACUUGGUUCUCCAGCCCUACCAUGCUCCAGAACCAAGAGCGCGUCGUGUGGGCUGCCACCGACCAUGACGAGAGGAAGCUCAUGCCGGACCUCCACAGUCCCCUCAUCGAGAACCUGAUCUAGGUGGUUAACAAGGCAAGGGAUUGGCCUGAUCCCUACAAGCGUGCGCGUUGGUGGAUGUAUUAGGAUCGGAACACUAUACGUCAGGUUGAUGCCCUGGCUGCAUGCCGGUUGUCUGCUACGGCAACAGACAACAACGCCAGAGAUUGACACGUUGACGGAGACUGGGCUUGCGUUGGUUUUUCCCUUGAAGAGGAAAGGGUGAUGCAACACAGGAGCAGUAAGUAUUUCCCUCAGUUUGAGAACCAAGGUAUCAAUCCAGUAGGAGAAUCUCGUCAAGUCCAGAGUACCUGCGCAAACACAAAAGAGCUUGCACCCAACGCUAUAAAGGGGUUGUCAAUCCCUUCAAGAUUGAUUGCAAAGUGAGAUCUGAAGGCGGAAAGUGCAACGAAGUAAAAGAGUAAGGAUGAAAAUAUGGUGUGAAGUAGACCCGGGGGCCAUAGUGUUCACUAGAGGCUUCUCUCAAAAUAGCAAAUAUUACGGUGGGUGAACAAAUUAGUGUCGAGCAAUUGAUAGAACCGCGCAAAGUCAUGACGAUAUCUAAAGAAAUGAUCAUACAUAUAGGCAUCACGUCCGAGACAAGUAGACCGAUACUUUCUGCAUCUACUACUAUUACUCCACACAUCGACCGCUAGCCAGCAUGCAUCUAGUGUAUUGAGCUCAUGACGAACAGAGUAACGCCUUAAGCAAGAUGACAUGAUGUAGAGGGAUAAACUCAAACCAAUGAUGAAAACCCCAUCCUUUUACCCUUGAUGGCAACAACAUGAUGCGUGCCUCUCUACCCCUUCUGUCAGUGGGUGAGGUCACCGCACGGUAUGAACCCAAAACCAAGCACUUUUCCCAUUGCAAGAAUCAUAGAUCAAGAUGGCCAAACAAAACCAACAACUCGAAGAGAAUUACAAGGAUAUGAAAUCAUGCAUAUAAGAGAUCAGAAGAAACUCAAAUAAGAUUCAUAGAUAAUCUGAUCAUAAAUCCACAAUUCAUCGGAUCUCAACAAACACACCGCAAAAGAAGAUUACAUCGGAUAGAUCUCCAUGAAGAUCAUGGAGAACUUUGUAUUGAAGAUCCAAGAGAGAGAAGAAGCCAUCUAGCUACUAGCUAUGGACCCGUAGGUCUAUGGUGAACUACUCACGCAUCAUCGGAGAGGUCAUGGUGUUGAUGAAGAAGCCCUCCGUAUCCGAAUCCCCCCUCCGGCAGGGCACCAGAACGUGCCCCAGUUGGGAUCUUGCGGAGACAGAAGCUUGCGGCGGCGGAAAAGUACUUUCGAUGAUCUCCUGGUUUUUUCUGGAAUUUUUGGGAAUAUAUAGGCGAAAGACCUAGGGCAGGGGAGGCACAGGGAGCCCACAAGCCUGGGAGGCGCGGGCCCCCUGGCCGCGGCUAGGGGGCUUGUGGGGUCCCUGGUGGCCCCCUGCCUUGGUUCUCAAGUUCCCCGAUCUUCUUCUGUUUCAGAAAAAAUCUUUUUGGAAGUUUCGUUCCGUUUGGACUCCGUUUAAAAUCCUCCUCUGAAAAGGGUCAAAAAUAUGGAAAAACAGGAACUGACACUUGGCACUGAGUUAAUAAGUUAGUCCCAAAAAAGAUACAAAAGGCAUACAAAACAUCCAAAGUUUGACAAGAUAAUAGCAUGAAACCAUAAAAAAUUAUAGAUACGUUGGAGACGUAUCAAGCAUCCCCAAACUUAACUCAUGCUCGUCCUCGAGUAGGGAAGUGAUAAAGAUUGAAUUUUUGAUGUGGAAUGCUACCUAGCAUAGUUGUCCUUUGUAACUUAUUUCGUGUGACAUGAAUGUUCAGAUCCGUAAGAUUCAAAACAAUAGUUUCCUAUUGACAUGAAAACAAUAAUACUUCAAGCAAACUAGCAAGGUAAUCAUGAACUUUCAAAAUUACAAGGCCAAAGAAAGUUAUCUCUACAAAAUCAUAUGGUCUGGCUAUGCUCCAUCAUCCUCACACAACUAAUUUAAAUCAUGCACAACCCCGGUAUUGGCCAAGUAAUUGUUUUCACACUCUUACUUUCUCAAACUUUUUAUAACUAUCACGCAAUACAUGAGCGUGAGCCAUGGAUAUAGCACUGUAGGUGGAAUAGAGUGUGGUGGUGGUUGUGAGACAAAAAGGAGGAGAUGGUAACAUUGACUCGGCGUAUCAAAGGGCCAUGGACAUGCCCAUUAAUAGAUACCAAUGUGAAUGAGUAGGGAUUGCCAUACAAAGGAUGCGCUAGAGCUAUAAGUAUGUGAAAGCUCAAAAGGAGAACUAGUGGGUAUGCAUCCAACUUGCUUGCUCACGAAGACCUAGGGCAAUUUUGAUGAAAGCCCAUCACUGGAAUAUACAAGCCAAGUUAUAUAAUAAAGAUUCCCACUAGCAUAUGGUGGUGACGAAAUGAGAGGCUCUUAAUCAUGAAGAACAUGGUGCUAUUAUGAAGCACAAGUGUGGAAAAAGAUAGUAGCAUUGUCCCUUCUCUCUUUUUCUCUUUUUUUUAUUUGGGCUCUUGGGCCUCUUUCCCCCCUUUUUUUAUUUGGGCUCUUGGGCCUCUUUCCCCCCUUUUUUUAUUUGGGCUCUUUGGCCUCCUUUUUUUAUUUCCUCAUAUGGGACAAUGCUCUAAUAAUGAUGAUCAUCACACUUUUAUUUACUCACAGCUCAAAGCUUAGAACGAUGAUGACUCUAUAGGAAAUGCCUCCGGCAGUGUACCGGGAUGUGCAACGAUCUAGCUUGGCGUAUGACGUUGAAACAUCUCGCUGGCUAUCGUACGGUCAUGCAAUGGCAAUAUGAGAGUGACGGCACAUGUCAUGAGAUGAAACGGUGGGAGUUGCAUGGCAAUAUAUCUUGGAAUGGCUAUGAAAAUGCCAUAGUAGGUAGGUACGGUGGCUGUUUUGAGGAAGGCAUAUGGUAGGUUUGUGCACCGGCGAAAGUUGCACGACACUAGAGAGGCUAGCAAUGGUGGAAGGUGAAAGUGCAUCUAUACCAUGGACUCACAUUAGUCAUGAAGAACUCACAUACUUGUUGUGAAAGUUUUUAUUAGUAAUCGAAAAAAAGUGUUAAACGCAUACUCCGAGGGGAAGGGUUGGUAGGUGUUAACCAUCGCGCGAUCCCGACCUCAACACAAAGGAUGACAAUCAAUAGAUCAAUUAUGCUCCGACUUCCUAACAUAGCGGUUCACCAUACGUGCAUGCUACGGGAAUCACUAACUUCAACACAAGUAUUUCUAGAUUCACAACACCCUACUAACAUAACUCUUAAUAUUACCAAAUCCAUGUCUCAAAACUAAUUGAGAGGAAUCAAGACUUCUCUUUCUACUCAAUGCACAUGAAUAUGGAGGUUUUCGUAUCCUCUUUGGGUACCUAUCACCUUUGGGACUACUUUCAUAGCAUAAGCCAACUACCAAGUCAUGCACCGCCGUGCUCUAAAAGAUCUAAGUGAAGCACAUAGAGCAAAACUAUCUAGCUCAAAAGAUAUAAGUGAAGCACAAUGAGCAUUCUAGCAAAAUCACGAUGAGUGCAUGUCUCUCUCUCAAAAAGGUGUGCAGCAAGGAUGAUUGUGACACAACAAAAAUAAAAGACUCCUACGAUACAAGACGCUCCAAGCAAAACACAUAUCAUGUGGUGAAUAAAAAUAUAGCUCCAAGUAAUGUUACCGAUGGAUUGAAGACGAAAGAGGGGAUGCCUUCCCGGGGCAUCCCCAAGCUUAGGCUUUUUGGUGUCCUUGAAUUUGGCUUGGGAUGCCUUGGGCAUCCCCAAGCUUGAGCUCUUUCCACUCUUUACCCUUUUGUCCAUGAGAACAUCACCCAAAACUUGAAAACUUCACAACACAAAACUUAAAUAGAAACUCGUGAUAUCAUUAGCACAAGAAAACAAACUACCACCUCUUUAGGUACUGUAGCAAUCUUGAUUUCUAUUCAUAUUGGUGUUAGAUUACUGUAUUCUCACUUUUCCAUGGCUAGUACCCCCCGAUACUAUCCAUAGUUUCAUCAAAACAAGCAACCAACUCAACAAAAACAGAAUCUGUCAAAAACAGACCAGUCUGUAGCAAUCUGUAUACUUCGUAUACUUCUGGUACCUCACAAAUUCUGAACAAUUACGACUGCCUGGGCAAAAGGCAUAUCAAUCAGCAGAAAAAAGAAUCAGCUCAAAAGCUCUCUCUUAAUAAAAAUGAAAAAUAAUCUCGUGAGCGAAAAGUUUCUGUCUUUUUCCAGCAGGAUCAAACAACCAUCACCAAGACUAGUCAUAAAGGUUUUGCUUGGCUCAAACACAAAAAGAAACACAAAAGACACAAUCAUAACAGAAUUAUGAUGGUGUGGACGCAACAAAAUAGAAAGAAAAAGAAAUAAAUUCAUUGGGUUGCCUCCCAACAAGCGCUAUUGUUUAACGCCCUUAGCUAGGCAUAAGGCGAUAGAAUCACGUAUCGUCGUCUUUGGUGCUCAAACCAUAAAUAGCCCUCAUCAUGGAUUCAUAAGGCAAUCUUAUUUUCUUUCGAGGAAAGUGCUCCAUGCCCUUCUUUAAUGGAAAUUGAAAUCUAAUAUUCCCUUCCUUCAUAUCGAUGAUAGCACCGAUAGUCCUUUGGAAAGGUCUACCAAGAAUAAUAGGGCAUGUAGGAUUGCAAUCAAUGUCAAGCACAAUGAAAUCCACGGGUACAUAGUUCCUAUUUGCAAUAAUAAGAACAUCAUUGAUCCUUCCCAUGGGUUUCUUGACAGUAGAAUCCACAAGAUCCAAAUUAAGAGAACACUCCUCAAUCUCGUUAAAACCCAGAACAUCACAUAAAGACUUUGGAAUCGCGGAAACACUAGCACCCAAAUCACACAAAACAUUGUAUUCAUAGUUUUUGAUUUUGAUUUUGAUAGUAGGUUCCCACUCAUCAUGAAGCUUUCUAGGGAUAGAAACGUCCAAUUCAAGUUUCUCUUCAAGAGAUUUUAUCAUAGCUUCGACGAUAUGAUCGGUAAAGGCCUUGUUUUGGCUACAAGCGUGUGGAGAGUUUAGCAUGGAUUGCAUCAAGGAAAUGCAUUCAAUCAAGGAGCAACUAUCAUAAUUGAAUUCCUUGAAAUCCAAAGUAGUAAUUUCAUUACUACUCAAAGUUUUAAUAUCUUCUACUCCACUUUCAAUGCUUUUAGCAUCAAGAUAGAUGGACUCCGAAUCAUUGGGGCGUUUUUCAACCAAAGUGGAUUCAUAUCCAGCCCCAUCAUCAUUAGGUUUGACACAAGAAAACAAAGAUUCGAUGGGAGUCACACCAAGAACUUUAAGAUCUUCGUGAUUCUCAUCACAAAUUUCAGGUUUAGCAGCCAUUUUAUUGACUAAAGUAGCCUGUUUAUCAGAAAUCUGGCCUACCAAUUUUUCAAGACGAGCAAACUGAGAAUCUAGUGCAAGGAAUUCUUUGGCCAUAUAAUCGACUUCUUUAUUCAUAAAAGCCAAAAAUAAUUUUGCUCCUUCAGUUCUCUACGAAAUUAACUGUUGUAUUCAAACUGUGUAGACAUGAAGCCUUUAACACUAGUUUCUAUCUCUUAUCCCUUGGUUGGGCCAUACAGGUCUUAGCAGGCAGACAAGCGGGCAGAAAGCAAUCGAGAGGAAAGGGCGAACGAGGAAGGCAAACGAAAAAGGCAAAUAUUUUUUUGUAAAUUUUUGUUUUUCAGAAGUGGGGGAGAGGAAAACGAGAGGCAAAAAAAGUAAAUGCAAGAGAUGAGUUUGCGACACUUACUUGGAUGAGUUCUUGACUUGAAUCUCCCCGGCAACGGCGCCAGAAAUUCUUCUGCUAUGGCAACAGACAACAGCGCCAGAGAUUGACACGUUGACGAAGACUGGGCUUGCGUUGGUUUUUUCCUUGAAGAGGAAAGGGUGAUGCAGCACAGGAGCAGUAAGUAUUUCCCUCAGUUUGAGAACCAAGGUAUCAAUCCAGUAGGAGAAUCUCGUCAAGUCCAGAGUACCUGCGCAAACACAAAAGAGCUUGCACCCAACGCUAUAAAGGGGUUGUUAAUCCCUUCAAGAUUGAUUGCAAAGUGAGAUCUGAAGGCGGAAAGUGCAACGAAGUAAAAGAGUAAGGAUGAAAAUAUGGUGUGAAGUAGACCGGGGGCCAUAGUGUUCACUAGAGGCUUCUCUCAAAAUAGCAAAUAUUAUGGUGGGUGAACAAAUUAGCGUCGAGCAAUUGAUAGAACCGCGCAAAGUCAUGAAGAUAUCUAAGGCAAUGAUCAUACAUAUAGGCAUCACGUCCGAGACAAGUAGACCGAUACUUUCUGCAUCUACUACUAUUACUCCACACAUCGAUCGCUAUCCAGCAUGCAUCUAGAGUAUUGAGUUCAUGACGAACUGAGUAACGCCUUAAGCAAGAUGACAUGAUGUACAGGGAUAAACUGAAACCAAUGAUGAAAACCCCAUCUUUUUACCCUUGAUGGCAACAACACGAUGCGUGCCUCACUACCCCUUCUGUCACUGGGUGAGGUCACCGCACGGUAUGAACCUAAAACCAAGCACUUCUCCCAUUGCAAGAAUCAUAGAUCAAGAUGGCCAAACAAAACCAACAACUCGAAGAGAAUUACAAGGAUAUGAAAUCAUGCAUAUAAGAGAUCAGAAGAAACUCAAAUAAGAUUCAUAGAUAAUCUGAUCAUAAAUCCACAAUUCAUCGGAUCUCGACAAACACACCGCAAAACAAGAUUACAUCGGAUAGAUCUCCAUGAAGAUCAUGGAGAACUUUGUAUUGAAGAUCCAAGAGAGAGAAGAAGCCAUCUAGCUACUAGAUAUGGACCCGUAGGUCUAUGGUGAACUACUCAUGCAUCAUCGGAGAGGUCAUGGUGUUGAUGAAGAAGCCCUCCGUAUCCGAAUCCCCCUCCGGCAAGGCACCAGAACGUGCCCCAGCUGGGAUCUUGCGGAGACAGAAGCUUGCGGCGGCGGAAAAGAACUUUCGAUGAUCUCCUGGUUUUUUCUCGAAUUUUUGGGAAUAUAUAGGCGAAAGACCUAGGGCAGGGGAGGCCCAGGGAGCCCACAAGCCUGGGAGGCACGGGCCCCCUGGCCGCGACUAGGGGGCUUGUGGGGUCCCUCGUGGCCCCCUUCCUUGGUUCUCAAGUUCCCCGAUCUUCUUCUGUUUCAGAAAAAAUCUUUUUGGAAGUUUCGUUCCGUUUGGACUCCGUUUAAAAUCCUCCUCUAAAAAGGGUUAAAAACAUGGAAAAAACAGGAACUGGCACUUGGCACUGAGUUAAUAAGUUAGUCCCAAAAAAGAUAUAAAAGGCAUACAAAACAUCCAAAGUUUGACAAGAUAAUAGCAUGAAACCAUCAAAAAUUAUAGAUACGUUGGAGACGUAUCAUUGUCCCUUUCAUGCGCAUGAUGGAGAUGGAUGAGCCGCCAGCCAUGGAGCAACAAAUGCAGGAGGGAGCGGCGUCGACCAUGGAACAACCACAGAUGCAGGAUGUACCAAGAAGAAGACCAAUGACAAGAAGUACAUUGAUGUUCCUCUCCGCCAUUUCGAGCGCCUUCAUCACCUCUAGGGACAGUAAUGAUGCAGUGCUGGAGAUGUAGCAGAAACUGGAUGCACUUGUGGAUAUAUAGCAACAAGUUUAAUAUUAGCAACAAGUGCUAGUUUAAUCACGUGUUUUCUUUCUGUCAGUUCGAACUAUGUGUGAAGUUGUUUGCAUGUUAGUAUACUAUGUGUGGUUGUCUGAGUGGUGGCAUUUUGGUAUACUUAUCUGAAUCUAUGUAGUUAUCUAAAUGUGUUUGAAAUGCUUAAGUCUGAUGCAGUUAUCUCCCUACUACAUUUAUUUUUGAAAGUAUGAGAAGCUAUGUAGUUACAAACUUUGAAAAUGAGCUACAUCAGUAGAUUAGCACGUCAAUAAAUUAGCACAUGUUUCAACACACUCUGACCAUUACCACAUCUACCAACUAUCCACUCCAGAGCAGUCAAAUCUUAUGAAAUCAAACACUGAAACACUUCAUACCACUGUUACUUCUCCACUACCACACUACACCUCCACUUUGACUCCUAAAUCAACACCAUCACUUUGCUACCACACCUACACUUGCACUCUUCCACCUAUCCACCUCACUUAUGCCUCCUCACCUCACUCACAACUCUCCUCCUAUCUCGUAAUCAUGUCUGGUUCUUCAUCUGCAGCAGAUCCAUGGCUCAAUCCAUUCCCAACUGGCAAGGGUUGGGUUGCCAUGCUUCUUGGUUCAGUACGCGGUGACCAAGACCUCUUCCUCGACUACAUGAAGGUGGCCAUGAGGUACACCAGCGUCCAAAGGCUCGUAGAUGCAGCAAAUGAAGUGAGGAAGAAGACAACUAGUGAGGAGAAGCAUCACAUGUGUAACGCCUCGAACACACCCACCGGUGGUCGUUACUCAUGGCGGGAUCUAGACUGGCUCCACACAUGAAUACUAGUCUUUUCUGCACACUCUGUGCUCACUCAUGCACAUCCGGGACCAACUUACCGGUCGGUCACCCAUCCUAGAACUACUUCAAGUCAAGCACGCUUAACCUGGGAGUUCUGUUUGAAUGGGCAUACACCACCACUCAUAGGAACCGACGUCCUCGUCUAGUCAAAGGAACGUUCCUCUUGGCACAAACUUUUGUGCAUCCAGUCCAGUACAUGUGCCAUGUCAUGUGCCACGACGGAUCACAAACACCAUGAACAACAUGACCGCACACAUGUCCGCAAGGAUCCAUGUAACCGCGAGGGUCGGCUAUGAUACCAACUUGUAACGCUCUUGACACACCUGCCGGUGGUUGUUACUCAUGGUGGGAUCUAGACUCGUCCCACAGAUGAAUACUAGUCCUUUCUGCGCACUUUGUCCUCACUCAUGCGCACCUGGGACCAACUUCCCGGUCGGUCACCCGUCCUAGAACUACUCCAAGCCAAGCACGCUUAACCUAGGAGUUCUGUUCGAAUGGGCUCCAGGAAAAGAAUAAAUUCCUUAUUAAUAUGACUAGUCUAUAAUCCCUAAUAUGCGAUGCUAUCACAACAUGGAUCCCAGCUCUACGGAACCCCUGGUAAGGGGAUCCUGCCCAUCGACAUGCUGUUAUGGGCAAUGAAGGAGGCGGAGUGUGCUGAUGUCGGACAGAGGCAGCGAUGAGCAGCCCACCACGAUGUUCCUCCUGCACAACCCACGGCACCAGCUCCGGCAAAAGCUUCUGAAGAGGUGCAUCAAGACAACGACAAUGACUUACAGAUCAUAGCACCGUGUGACAGCCCGAUGCCGACGUUCCAGAAGAUUCCCCCUUUAUUUUCCGUUUCCUUCAUGUGUUUAGUUUAAUUGGUUGCAUCAUCAUUUAGUUUGCAUCAUGGCAUCUUGCAUCAUCUGUUGCGUGUGUGUGUUCUGAGUUGUGAGUGCUUCAAGUGCUCUUAGAGUCUUUAGUGCAAUAGGAAACUCCCCUCUCCUCUCCUAAUUCUUUUGAGGCAAUUCCAGUUUCUGGUUUUGCCUAAAUAAAAUGUUCCUCCUCUUUUAAAAAUACUCCCUCUUAUUUGGGCAACCCUCUGGUUUAACUUUAUUUUUUUCCUUUUGUUUUAUUUAAAAUCAGCGCCUAAUUUUAUCUAAAAAGGGUUUUAUUUUUGUUCUUAAAAAAUGCCCAAUCUAUUUCUUAUAGUUGGAGCAUGUUUUAAGGAGCCCAAAGGUAUUUUUGUUUUAGUUAAAUUCUUCUUAUUUUGGUUGUGGUAUUUUCUUUUUAUAGCGGCUAUUUUUAUUUUGUGCUAGGCAUUUUUUUAUUAGUGGGAGAGAGAGAAGCCCAGCCUGUAGCCAGCUGGGCCAAGGCCCAGACGGCCCGCCGAACCCUAGCGCCAGGGAGCGAGCCCCUCGCUCGUUUCCCUCCUGCCGCCGCCAACCCCUUCCUUCCCCCGUCUCGUUCUCCUCGUUCCUCUCCUCCCCAUCGUUCCCUCCAGCGCCGCCAUGCAUGGUAGCCAGGAGCUCAUGCCCGAAGCACUCCAGCGCCGUCACCCGAAGCCAUGCGUCACCCUGCUCAUCCUCUGCGACCCCCCCCCCUUUUCCUCUCUUUUCCAUCUCAUCUCUCUUCUCAUCCCGUUAUGUAGGUCGCCGUGGUGCCCCGAGCUCCGCCCGUCGCCGGGAACCAGCUCCCUCGACCGGGUUCGCCCGAGCCCCGCUCGUCCUCGCCCCUCCCUCCUACGCGCAGCUGCCCUUAGGUCAGGUUCGCCCGAGAGCAGUGCUUCGACCCUCCUGCUGCCUGGCCUCGUCGACGAGAGCUCCUGCCGCCGCGUCCCCACGCCAGAGCUGCGCGUGCGCGACGCUGCCCUAUGCCCCAGCGCCGGCAGAGCCUCAUGCAUGCUACUUGCUGUUGCCUGCCCACGCUGAUGAGUACCCCUCCUGUAGCUGUUGCUAGCUGUUAUGUUGCAUGUUGCUGCCGCUGAAGCUUGUCGCUGUAGCCUACUGCUGCCGCUGAUGCUUGCUUGCUGUCGCUUGCUGCUUGCUGCCGACGCUGUUGUUACCUGCUGCCGUUGCUGCUUGAUGCUGCUUGUUGCCGCUGCUGUAGGUUCCUGUUGCUAGGUAGAUUUUGCUGGUACUUGCUAGUUGUAGCUGCCAGAUAGAUUUAGUUGCUUGCUUGCCCUACUUGUCGUGUUGUUUGCUCGUGCUGCCGCCUGCGUCGCCGCGCGCACCAUCCCCGCCGUCGUGGAAUCGACGAGUUCAGGAGUACCACGACAUUCGCGACGACCCCCAGAACGUGUUCAACUACCGACGCUGAAGACCCGUGAACCGACGCCGAGAGAACGACUACCAUCGACGAGACCCAAGAACCACGACGACCACGACGAUCGUUGCUCUUCUUCACCGAACCGAACCCCUCCGAUUCGCACGCUUCGAAGGUAUACCGUUGGAACGUGUCGUGACCAUGUGCAUGUGAUGUAUCAGAUGACUGUAUGUUUGCACCGUAUGUUUGACCGUUGCACAUUGUCCCUCUUAUGUUGUGCCCGACACAUGGGAACCCAGUAACCAGGAUCACCCCAUCUUUAUUUAGCAUUCCCGCAUGCGCUUCCUAUACGUUGGCACGAUAUCCCGACGAGUUAUCGGGAUAGGAACGUUGCCGUGGCAUCGUUUCCGUUUUGCCGCCAUGGUUCCCUCUUGCUCGCCGUGGCGACACAUGUUUCUUUCUCCUCUUGCCGUGGUGUUGUAACUUGCAUGCAUGACACAUUCAUGGCAUAUAUCAUGUGUUGCAUGCCUCUUGUGCCGUAGCUCCAUUCUUUGCUCCGCGCGUUAAACGACUAGGAUGCCAUGUAGGACCGUCGCUUCACCCUUGCCAUGUUAACAACAAUUUAAUCUUGUCCUGUAAAUAAACGGGAGUGAAUUAAAUAAUUAAGCGUGGAGUUUCGUCGAUAUGCAACCCGUUGCAUAUCGAGCUUCAUUUAAUGUGUAGUUUUUGCGUGAGGUGAAUUGCCAUGCCAUCCCUUGCAUCAUUGAUCUGUUCAUGCAUCAUAUUAGGUUGUGCAUCAUGUUGUGCAUCGCGUGGUGAAUAUUUUUGUUGAUGUUUGUUUCUGGUUUGCUCCGUCUCGAUAGAGUUCCGCAAGCGUGUCAGAAUGUGAGGACCCGUUCGACUACGUGGUUCGCCGACUUCUCGGAGUUGAUCUUCUUCCAAGCGGGAUCUCAGGCAAGAUGACCAUUUCCCCAAAUACCAUUACUAUCAUUGCCAUGCUAGUUUUACCGCUUCUAUCGUUUAUGUCUCGUUGCCUACCACAUGUUGAAUAUCAGCCUCUCUACAAUGCCAUGAUAACCUUCAACUGUUCAAUCUAGCAAACCACGGAUUGGCCAUGCUACUGCUUGCUUAACCCUGUUAUUAGCGUUGCUAGUUGCAGGUGUAGUUGCUUCCAUGUGAUAACAUGGGUUCCUUGUCAUAUCACCAUAUUAAAUGCUAUUUAAUUUAAUGCACCUAUAUACUUGGUAAAAGGUGGAAGGCUCGACCUUUCUAGCCUGGUGUUUUGUUCCACCUUUCCCCCUUAGUUUCGGCUACCGGUGUUAUGUUCCAUAAUUGAGCGCUCCUAACACGAUCGGGGUUGUUAUGGGGACCCCCUUGAUAAUUCGUUUUAGAUUAAAGCUGGUCUGGCAAGGCCCAACUUUGGUACUACAUUUGCCUAACAACUAAUGAACCGCAUAGGGAGUAAUUAACCCAAGGAAAUUUAAUCAACCCCCGGGCCAGUGCUCCUCACGAGUGUUGGUCCACCGACCUAGCAGUCGGCGGUGCCACCGCAGGGCAACUCGAGGUUUGGUUCCCGUCCACUUUGCAUAGACGGUGUGUCCUGAAAACGAGAUACGCGGCUCCUAUCGGGAUCGUCGACACACGAGGUGGCCUUGCUGGAUUAGUUUUACCUUUGAUGGAAUAUCUUGUGCAUCGGGAUUCCGGUGAUGCUUUGGGUAAUCUCUGAGUUGAGGUUUUCCACUAGGUAAUCCAACGAGAUCGCGAGCUUCGUGAUUGCGGAUUUCUAUGCGGCUUGGGGUAAUUUGUGAUGGACUAGUUGGAGCGCUCCUGCAGGGUUAAAUAUUUUCGGAAAGCCGUGCCCGCGGUUAUGUGGCAACGUGGAAACUUUGUUUAACACUGGUUCUAGAUAACUUGAAGUUAACUUAUUUAAAAUAUGUCAACUGUGUGCGUAACCGUGACUGUCUCUUUCGCGAGUUCCUUCUCCGAUCGAGGACACGGUGGGGUUAUGUCUGGCGUAGGUAGGUGUUUAGGAUCAUUCAUUUGAUCAUCAGUAGUUCACGUCCGCUAUGCGUAGAUCUUCCCCCUCUUAUUUCUUGUACUCAUAAGUUUAGCCAUCAAAUAUAUGCUUAGCCGCUGCUGCAACCUCACCACUUAACCAUGCCUCAUCCAUUAAGCUUUGCUAGUCUUGAUACCUUUGGAAAUGAGAUUGCUGAGUCCCCUGUGACUCACAGAUUACUACAACACCAGUUGCAGGUAAAGGUAAAGCUUACUUGACGCGAGCGCGUUGAUUGUUCAUUUGGAGUUGCUUCUUCUUCUUCUUCUUCAUCGAUUUAGGAUGGGUUCCAGGCCGGCGGCCUGGGAUAGCAAGGAUGGACAUCGUUCUUAUUUUCUCGUUUGUUUUCGUCCGUAGUCGGACCCUGCUCUUACUCUUGAUGAUUAUGUAAUGUACUGAUGUGACUCUGAUGUAGCUUGUGGCGAGUGUAAGCCAAUUCUAUAUAUAUAUAUAUAUAUAUAUAUAUAUAUAUAUAUAUAUAUCUCUUCUUUUCAGUACAUGUACUUGUAACGAUAUCCAUUCUUGCGACACGACGAGAUGCGCUUCUAUCCCUGACGAGGCCCUCGUGGCAAAUUGAGGAUAGGGUCGCAUCUUGGGCGUGAUAAGUUGGUAUCAGAGCAGUACCGACCUAGGAGCCCCCUUGAUUGAUCGAACUUGGGCGAGUCGAGUCUAGUGAAAAACUACUUUGAGUCUAGUUAUAUAUCGGAGAGUAGGAUUCUUUUGUUCUCCUUUUCUAUGCUCUCGUGAGGAAUCUUGACGUAAUAUUUUAAUUAUACUCCUCUUCUCGCUCAAUUUUUUUUUUAGGAUCACGCGGAUAUUUUUGGAGUCUAUAUGAUGCCGAUGUGACGAAGUUCUGUCUUGGUGCCUCUCAACUGAUUUGAUUUUCUUCCGGGGAGUUGAGCUCCACGGGAUUCUCGAGCACAUCGUUAUCAUUCAGAUUUCUUAGUAUCUCAGAACGAAGGAUGUUCGUAAUUGCUUCAAUACUAGUAGUGGCGAGAUAACCCCGAUGACUCCAGUACUGCUGCAGAUUGUUCGGGAGUACUGCCAUACUUUGUAUCGUUGUGAUCACGAGGGUCUGUUGUAGACGAAGGUCCGAGAUUCUGGUCGUGUGUUGACGGAUGUGAUACAAGUGACGGGUUAGUAUAGGAGUUGUGUGUUAUUACUCCUUGUAUCCGUGUACCAGAGUGCAUGACCAGAUAUUUCGGGAAUUCAUAGGUGAGAAUUCAAGUAGUUGCUUAUAGGACAAUCUUUCAACAAAUGCAUGAUGUUAGGUUGGGGUUCAACAUCUAGUGGAUUCCUGUCCACGAAAAUAUCGAACGAAAUCUUUCUCAUGAGUUUGUUCUGGCUUGUUUCAUAAGCCUCAUCCUUUGUUUUGUUGAAUAUGGUAAUUCAAGUUGCUUCGAUGUCAAGUGGUGAUUAAUGGGAGUGAAUUAAAUAAUUAAGCAUGGAGUUUCGUCGAUAUGCAACCCGUUGCAUAUCGAGCUUCAUUUAAUGUGUAGUGUUUGCGUGAGGUGAAUUGCCAUGCCAUCCCUUGCAUCAUUGAUCUGUUCAUGCAUCAUAUUAGGUUGUGCAUCAUGUUGUGCAUCGCGUGGUGAAUAUUUGUGUUGAUGUUUGUUUCUGGUUUGCUCCGUCUCGAUAGAGUUCCGCAAGCGUGUCAGAAUGUGAGGACCCGUUCGACUACGUGGUUCGCCGACUUCUCGGAGUUGAUCCUCUUCCAAGCGGGAUCUCAGGUAAGAUGACCAUUUCCCCAGAUACCAUUACUAUCAUUGCCAUGCUAGUUUUACCGCUUCUAUCAUUUAUCUCUCGUUGCCUACCACAUGUUGAAUAUCAGCCUCUCUACAAUGCCAUGAUAACCUUCAACUGUUCAACCUAGCAAACCACGGAUUGGCCAUGUUACUGCUUGCUUAACCCUGUUAUUAGCGUUACUUGUUGCAGGUGUAGUUGCUUCCAUGUGAUAACAUGGGUUCCUUGUCAUAUCACCAUAUUAAAUGCUAUUUAAUUUAAUGCACCUAUAUACUUGGUAAAAGGUGGAAGGCUCGACCUUUCUAACCUGGUGUUUUGUUCCACCUUUGCCCCCUUAGUUUCGGCUACCGGUGUUAUGUUCCAUAAUUGAGCGCUCCUAACACGAUCGGGGUUGUUAUGGGGACCCCCUUGAUAAUUCGUUUUAGAUUAAAGCUGGUCUGGCAAGGCCCAACUUUGGUACUACAUUUGCCUAACAACUAAUGAACCGCAUAGGGAGUAAUUAACCCGAGGAAAUUUAAUCAACCCCCGGGCUAGUGCUCCUCAUGAGUGUUGGUCCACCCACCUAGCAGUCGGCGGUGCCACCACGGGGCAACUCGAGGUUUGGUUCCCGUCCACUUUGCAUAGACGGUGUGUCCUGAGAACGAGAUACGCGGCUCCUAUCGGGAUCGUCGACACACCGGGUGGCCUUGCUGGAUUAGUUUUACCUUUGAUGGAAUAUCUUGUGCAUCGGGAUUCGGGUGAUGCUUUGGGUAAUCUCAGAGUUGAGGUUUUCCACUAGGGAAUCCGACGAGAUCGCGAGCUUCGUGAUUGAGGAUUUCUAUGCGGCUUGUGGUAAUUUGUGAUGGACUAGUUGGAGCACUCCUGCAGGGUUAAAUCUUUUCGGAAAGCCUUGCCCGCGGUUAUGUGGCRACURUGGAAACUUUUGUUUAACACUGGUUCUAGAUAACUUGAAGUUAACUUAUUUAAAAUAUAUGUCAACUGUGUGGGUAACUGUGACUGUCUCUUUCGCGAGUUCCUUCUCCGAUCGAGGACACGGUGGGGUUAUGUCUGGCGUGGAUAGGUGUUCAGGAUCAUUCAUUUGAUCAUCAGUAGUUCACGUCCGCUAUGCGUGAUCUUCCCCCUCUUAUUUCUUGUACUCGUAAGUUUAGCCAUCAAAUAUAUGCUUAGCCGCUGCUGCAACCUCACCACUUAACCAUGCCUCACCCAUUAAGCUUUGCUAGUCUUGAUACCUUUGGGAAUGAGAUUGCUGAGUCCCCUGUGGCUCACAGAUUACUACAACACCAGUUGCAGGUACAGGUAAAGGUUACUUGACGCGAGCGCAUUGAUUGUUCAUUUGGAGUUGCUUCUUCUUCUUCUUCUUCUUCAUCGAUCUAGGAUGGGUUCCAGGCCGGCAGCGUGGGAUAGCAAGGAUGGACGUCAUUCUUAUUUUCUCGUUUGUUUUCGUCCGUAGUCGGACCUUGCUCUUACUCUUGAUGAUUAUGUAAUGUACUGAUGUGACUCUGAUGUAGCUUGUGGCGAGUGUAAGCCAAUUCUAUAUAUAUAUCUCUUCUUUUCAGUACAUGUACUUGUAACGAUAUCCAUUCUUGCGACACGACGAGAUGCGCUUCUAUCCCUGACGAGGCCCUCGUGCCAAAUUGAGGAUAGGGUCGCAUCUUGGGCGUGACAAGUUGGUAUCAGAGCAGUACCGACCUAGGAGCCCCUUGAUUGAUCGAACUUGGGCGAGUCGAGUCUAGUGAAAAACUACUUUGAGUCUAGUUAUAUAUCGGAGAGUAGGAUUCUUUUUUCUCCUUUUCUAUGCUCUGGUGAGGAAUCUUGAUGUAAUAUUUUAAUUCUACUCCUCUUCUCGCUCAAUUUUUUUAGGAUCACGCGGAUAUUUUUGGAGUCUAUAUGAUGCCGAUGUGACGGAGUUCUGUCUUGGUGCCUCCCGUCUGAUUUGAUUUUAUUCCGGGGAGUUGAGCUCCAGGGGAUUCUCGAGCACAUCGGUAUCAUUCAGAUUUCUUAGUAUCUCAGAACGAAGGAUGUUCGUAAUUGCUUCAAUACUAGUAGUGGCGAGAUAACCCCGAUGUCCCCAGUACUGGUGCAGAUUGUUCGGGAGUACUGCUAUACUUUGUAUCGUUGUGAUCACGAGGGUCUGUUGUAGAUGAAGGUCCGAGAUUCUGGUUGUGUGUUGACGAAUGUGAUACAGGUGACGGGUUAGUAUAGGAGUUGUGUGAUAUAUUACUCCUUGUAUCCGUGUACCAGAUUGCAUGACCAGAUAUUUCGGGAAUUCAUAGGUGGGAAUUCAAGUAGUUGCUUAUAGGACAAUCUUCCAACAAAUGCAUGAUGUUAGGUUGGGGUUCGACAUCUAGUGGAUUCGUUUGUUGACGGUCGACUUACAGCGGUACACGUUGUGUCUUAAAGAGUCCUUGUAGCUUGCUACGACUCGGGGACGCUUCGCAUGUCGGGUGCACUGCCUUGCACUUGAUGGCUACUAUAAGGAUCGAGCCCGUGCGAUCCUGUCCACGAAAAUAUCAGACGAAAUUUUUGUCAUGAGUUUGUUCUGGUUUCUUUCGUAAGCCUCGUCCCUUUGUUUUGGUUGAAUAUGGUAAUUCAAGUUGCUUCGAUGUCAGGUGGUGAUUUCAGAUCUUUCCUAAGUGGUGUUCUCAUAUUUUUAUGAGAGUGCUAAUCCUUUUGCUUAAUCAAUUGUCUUAUCAAUUCUUGUCAACCGGAGUCAUCGUAUCAAUUCUAUUCAACCGGUGUGCUUCUCUGCAACUGAAUUCAAUCCUCUCUAAUUGAUGAAGAUCAUUCUCUCUUUUAUUCCGGAGUUCAUCUCAUCUGUCCCAAGUUGUCUUGUUUUCCCCCGCCCUCCCGCCCUUUUUCUCCAGUGAUUGGAUUUCAUCCAAGUACCUUCUUAUUCAGUGAUGCUUCCGCCAUCUCUUCUUCCUUUUGUAUCCGGUGGUUCAUUAUGAAGAUUCUCAGGAGCUUCAUGUUCAUCUUUAUUCAAUCUUGGUAUCUCUACCGGUGAAUUCUAUUCAAUUAUCCGUGUUCAUUAUAUCCUAUUCAUCUUUCAAUUCUUUCCCAUGUUGGAGAUUCUUAUCAGUCUAUCUUGUUUAUUCAGUUAUCUCUAUUCUAUCCGGAGCAUUGGAGAUGUCUCAGAGUUUCUUGUCUUCAGGUCUUUCUAUUAUUUCGAGGUGCUAAGCUCAUCUAGUUUUCUUUUUACCGGUGCAAUAUCUCUCUUUCUAAGAAAUCAUUUCAACGGUGGUUUCUUUGAGUGGGCCCAUAACCCACAGGUUUUUCCCGGGAUCUUAUAUGUCUCUUCUAAUUUUCUGGGGAUCUCUAAAUCGUUUCAACUACGACGUAAGUAUGAAUUUCAUCAGUCAUAUUCCUUCUUCAAGAACUAUUUGAAUUAAUUCUCAUAUUGGCUCAACCUUUCAUUCUUCUUUAUUCCGGAGUGUCUCAGCUAUUCUUGGUGUUGUUUCUCGUCUUCAUUCUCAGCUUGCAAAUUCGAAGGAGUGUUUAUCUCAGUCUUGUUCCACUCUUGUGAAGAAUGUCAUCUCAGCUUCGUGUGUCCUCUCAUUUGUUGUCAAUCAUGAGUAAUCCCUUUCUUGUUAUCCGGUGCAUUUCUGAGUUGUUUUAUUUCUCGACCCUCCGAAGGCCAUCAUUUUAGAAGAUUCUUCAUUCUCAGCUGUCAGCUUUCAUCCUCAAUUCUUCUCCAUUGUUGUCUCUUCGUUCGUCUCUCGUUUAUUCGGUGCCUUGUUCUAGUUUUUCUCUCAGGUGGCUUAUGAUCUCUUCAUUUUCAUGUAUCUCCAUUAAUUCGUGGUGUUCCCAUUUAUUUGUGAAUUCUUACCGGUGCUUCCUUCAAUUUUGCCUCAAGUGGUGCUUAUCUCUCUGUCUCUUCAAGAUUCUUUCAAGAGGAAUAAGUUGUAUGCUAAAUCCGUUGCUUGUCAUCAAUUAAACUUGAUGAAGGACUAGCAUAACAUAAUUCUUAUUCUUGUUUCAUCAAAUGAUUUCAAUUCUUCUUUCGGAGUGGCUCAUGAUAUCAAUUCUUUUCUCAAGUGCUUAUCUUCCUUUUCCGGAGUUCCAAGUUCUAUCAAGUAUCUCUUUGUGAGGCAUCAUCUAAACCUUGGCAGGUCAUAAUCAUAUUCUUUUCUUCCUUCAUAUCGUUGCAUCAUUCAUUUGUAUAUGGAGGUCCUUCAUGGUGGUUCAUCAAGGUUUCAAUUCAUUCUCAAAGUAUUCUUUAAGAUUCUUGUUGGAGUACCUCAAGUAUGCUUUCUCUUCCAUUUCCAGUGCAUUUGUUCUUCCUUUAUCCUUGGAGGUGGUAUUAUAGCAUUCUUGUUAGUGUAGGAGCCUGAAGAGUUUUUCCUUUCAAGAAUGAGAUAAUUAAACCCAUUAAUUCUAUGAUCAUGAGAUAUUUUUCAACCCAUGAUUUCUUCAUUGAGCUAUCUUUGUUUGGAUUUCACCUAAAGCUUUUCCUAUGGAUUGUUGCUAUCAUGGUGCUUGUCAUUAAUCCAAGUUCUCAAUGUAUCCUCUUGGUGUAAGAAAUUGUUCAUAUCUUGUUUCUCCCAAUCAACCCUUGUUUCUGUUAGUGGUUGGUUGUCACUUCAUUAGUUUGAAAGGUUUCCAUUAGCCCACUACUAUCUUGUUCUUUUCGUUGUUGUUUUCCAACAACUCCGUUCAAUUCUUCUCGCAAGGGUGCUUGUCAAGUUCAUUUGAGAUAGUAGUUGUCAUUCUUUUCUUCAUUCUCUUGUUCCGUAUGAGUUAGUUCCUAUUCUAUAGUUCCGGAGGCAUUGUGAUGUUGCUCUUUUGGGUCAAUCUUGUUGUUCUAUCAAGAUCAUGGUGUUCCCUUGCUCUAUUUAGUUGUUUGUUAUGAAUGUUGUCUAAUUCUCUCUUCUUAUUGAACUUUUUGUCCCAUUUUCCUACCGAAGUGCUGCCGAAAGUUUCCGUGAAUUCUUGCUUGUUUCUCAUAUCGUUCCUCUUCUCUUUGCAACCUUCAAGGAUUGUUGGUGUCACUCGUUUGUCAAAGAAGCGACUAAGUUUUUACCUCUUGUUCUUUCUCGUCCUCUCCCCCCUUUUCAUUCUUGGAUCUCGGGGCGAGAUCCUCUUGUAGUGUAGGAGAGUUGUGACAGCCCGAUGCCGACGUUACAGAAGAUUCCCCCUUUAUUUUCCGUUUUCGUCAUGUGUUUAGUUUUAUUGAUUGCAUCAUCAUUUAGUUUGCAUCAUGGCAUCUUGCAUCAUCUGUUGCGUGUGUGUGUUCUUAGUUGUGAGUGCUUCAAGUGCUCUCAGAGUCUUUAGUGCAAUAGGAAACUCCCCUCUCCUCUCCUAAUUCUUUUGAGGCAAUUCCAGUUUCUGAUUUUGCCUAAAUAAAAUGUUCCUCCUCUUUUAAAAAUACUCCCUCUUAUUUGGGGCAACCCUCUGGUUUAACUUUAUUUUUUUUCCUUUUGUUUAUUUAAAACCAGCGCCUAAUUUUAUCUAAAAAGGGUUUUAUUUUUCUUCUUCAAAAAUGCCCAAUCUAUUUUUUAUAGUUGGAGCAUGUUUUAAGGAGCCCAAAGGUAUUUUUGUUUUAGUUAAAUUCUUCUUCUUUUGGUUGUGGUAUUUUCUUUUUAUAGCGGCUAUUUUUAUUUUGUGCAAGGCAUUUUUUAUUAGUGGGAGAGAGAAGCCCAGCCUGUAGCCAGCUAGGCCAAGGCCCAGACAGCCCGCCGAACCCUAGCGCCAGGGAGCGAGCUCCUCGCUCGUUUCCCUCCUGCCGCCGCCAACCCCUUCCUUCCCCGUCUCGUUCUCCUCGUUCCUCUCCUCUCCAUCGUUCCCUCCAGCGCCGCCAUGCAUGGUACCGAGGAGCUCGUGCCUGAAGCACUCCAGCGUCGUCGCCCGAAGCCAUGCGUCGCCCUACUCAUCCUCUGCCGACCCCCCCCCCCCUUUUCUCUCUUUCCCAUCUCAUCUCUCUUCUCAUCCCGUUCUGUAGGUCGCCGUGGUGCCCUGAGCUCCGCCCGUCGUCGGGAACCAUCUCCCUCGGUCGGGUUCGCCCGAGCCCCGCUCGUCCUCGCCCCUCCCUCCUGCGCGUUGCUGCCCUCAGUUCGGGUUCGCCUGAGAGCAGUGCUUCGACCCUCCUGCUGCCUGGCCUCGUAGAGGAGAGCUCCUGCCGCUGCGUCCCCACGCCAGAGCCGCGUGCGCGUGACGCUGCCCUGUGCCCCAGCGCCGGCAGAGCCGCAUGCAUGCUACUUGUUGUUGCCUGCCCACACCGAUGAGUACCCCUGCUGUAGCUGUUGUGUUGCAUGCUGCUGCCGCUGAAGCUUGUCGUUGUAGCCUACUGCUGCCGCUGAUGCUUGCUUGCUGUCGCACUGCUUGCUAUCGUUUGCUCUUGCUGCCGCCGUUGUUGUUACCUGCUGCCGUUGCUGCUUGCUGCCGCUGCUGUAGGUUGCUGUUGCUAGGUAGAUUUUGCUGCUGCUUGCUAGCUGUAGCUGCCAGAUAGAUUUAGUUGCUUGCUUGCCCUACUUGCCGUGUUGUUUGCUCGUGCUGCCGCCUGCGUCGCCGCGCGCACCAUCCCCGCCGACGUGGAAUCACAAGUUCACGAGUACCACGGCGUCCGCGACGACCCCCGGAACGUGUUCGACUACCGACGCCGAAGACCCGUGAACCGACGCCGAGAGAACGACUACCGUCGACGAGACCCGAGAACCACGAUGACCAUGACGAUCGUUGUUCUUCUUCACCGAACCGAACCCCUCCGAUUCGCACGCUUCGAAGGUAAUACCGUUGGAACGUGUCGUGACCGUGUGCAUGUAAUGUAUGAGAUGAAUGUAUGUUUGCACCGUAUGUUUGACCGUUGCACGUUGUACCUCUUAUGUUGUGCCCGACACAUGGGAACCCGGUAACCGGGAUCACCCCAUCUUUAUUUAGCGUUCCCGCACGCGCUUCCUAUACGUUGGCACGAUAUCCCGACGAGUUAUCGGGAUAGGAACGUUGCCGUGGCAUCGUUUCUGUUUUGCCGCCAUGGUUCCCUCUCGCUCGGCGUGGCGACACAUGUUUCUUUCUCCUCUUGCCGUGGUGUUGUACCUUGCAUGCAUGACGCAUUCAUGGCAUAUAUCGUGUGUUGCAUGCCUCUUGUGUCGUAGCUCCGUUCUUUGCUCCGCGCGUUAAACGACUAGGAUGCCAUGUAGGACCGUCGCUUCACCCUUUCCAUGUUAACAACAAUUUAAUCUUGUCGUGUAAAUAAACGGGAGUGAAUAAAAUAAUGGGAUUAUUCCAUGUGUGCCCCCAAUUCCUUAGUUGUGCUCAGUUUUCCCCACGCUUCAGACUUUUGCUCACUUUUCCCCUCUCCCUUAGCUGAAACUCUCACAAAUGUUGAUAACACGCGUUUGCCGUCUUGGCCGUUAACUAACUUGUGGGGCCAUGUUGGACUCUGUUGACUGUGGAUGUGGCUUCGCUGGUUGGGCCGUGUUUGUGUUCAUAGGACGGGCCCGUUAGUUUGUUGGUAAUAAAUUAAAAAAGCCUACUAUCGAUGGAUGCAGCCUGCUAUGCAUGCCCGGCUUUGGCAUCGAUGUAGCCUGCUAUGCAUGCGAACACCGCCACACACGCAUCUAGUGACCUAGACCUAAACGCAUGCAUGCACGCCGACACGCACGCAUCGAUCCGUGCCGCACGGUUGCCAGUGGAUUCAGUCGCUCCGCAACAUCUUUCACGCGUCGCACGCAUACGUGCCGGUGGCAGAAGUGGCAGGCUGCACGCACGCUCGCACGCUCGCGUCCAUAAGUUGAGGCAUCAGUUCACGCCGCACGGCUGCCGCUCGAUUCAGUUGUGCUGGUGGCAGAAGGGGCAGGCACAAGGGGCAGCCGCCAACGCAGAGCACGCAGAAGGGGGAGGCAGGCAGCCGCCAACGCAGCAGGGGGAGGCAGCCGCCAACGCAGAGCAUGCAGAGCCGCCAACGCAGAGCACGCUCGCUUCGAUUCACAUUCACACAUUGAUGAUCGGAUCGGUUCACACAGCAGCACUGAGUCACGAUCUACGCCGUUUGCGCGUGUACCCACUUCGUCUCCCCCGGCUAUUUAAACUGCCCUUCAUUGCCUCUUCUUCUACAGAUCCAUCUGUGCCUCCCACUUCUCUUCUUCCCCCAAAAUCCAGAGCGGUUCGACUCAGCGAAGCGUUCAGAUAUAAUGCACCAUGUUGUCACUGCAUUCCGACAGUCCACCAUUGAUUGGAAAAUGGUACCUACACUAAGCUCAGGUUUUUCCCUGUUCCACUCAAUUGUUGGCAUGUCAUCACCAUUGUAUUCAUCCUCGAUUAAGCUGUCCAUGUUCUCCACCUUCUCUUCAUCGUCAGUGUUAUCAAACCUAGCUUGGCUGAUGGGCUCCUCCAUAUAUUCGUCAUCCACUGCUUGCUGACUGGCUACAUCGACCAGUUCAGGGAACAUCAUCUCGUCUUCAUCAUCAUUGCCUCGUCAGGUUCUGCAUCCUCUUCUACACCAACUGCAGAAGUUACACGAGAAGCAGCAGCUGAAUCGGAACCACAAUUGGCAGCAGGCAUGUUGUGGCUCCAUGAACCACUUGCUUUGCUUGGUGUCGACCUACAAGGAGUGCCGGGGUGCUGGCUAUUAGCACAGACAGAUGAUGUCUGAACUCCCUUCCCCUUCACCCGUUCUGCGCGUGGCUGAAGCACAUCGAUUUGGAGUUUACCGAAUCGGCAGCCAACAAUCCCAGCAAAAAGCAACGGCAUAUGAUCGUCGCAAGUUAGUGGGAGAAAUCUUUGCUCGUCACUGCUGAAGUAAUUCAGUUCAACAGCAUCGGCAUCACUCCAGGGAUAGGUGUUUCUUAGCUCAUCUUGCAAAUCUUUGAAAGAUAUGCUGGUUUCUACCACUUUGGGAUAGAAAAAUGAUGAAAUCAAAUGCGGUUUAGUACCACGCAGCACACUAGUUUCCAUUCUAAUCGCCAGCCGGAAAGCCAGCGCGGGAUCAAUCCUAUUUUGUUGAAGGAAAUAAAGGCUUCAGUUAGCCGGGUAAAAUCGAGCACAAAUUCGAACGAUUCAAGCAAACAGAAGUCAAAUACGGCCUACAAUACGACUUAGAACAUCAAGUCGAGAGGAAACAAUGCUUACCCAGGUUUAAUCCAUGAAUUAUCCGCCGCGGAUUCGACCCAAUCCUCUCCACGGUCGACUGCAUUCCGGGCGUCCUCACUCAACAUCGCCAUGUAAUCCUAGAUGGGGAGGUGGGCUAUAUCUGGCGGAGACGCGGCAUCGCCGACGAACGGAAUAGGGGCAUAGGGUGGAGGAAACAACUGCGGUGGACGCGGCACGACGCCGGCGGAGGAGGCGGGGCGGUGCGGUGCAGUGCGGCCUGUCUAGAUAUGUUUCAGAUUCAGACAAGCUGCCCAAUACGUGUCUCCUUGCGGUCCCACCCAUCAGCCAGCAACAGUCAGACGAAGACUCGGUCCCACUCGUCAGCAAUUAACGGUCAAUGGACGUUCAAGACGACAAACGGACGCUAUGAGCAUUUGUGAGAGUUUCAGCUAAGGAAGAGGGGAAAAGUGAGCAAACGUUUGGAGCGUGGGGAAAAGUGAGCACAAUUAAGGAACAAGGGGCACUAAUUUAAAUAUCCCUUAAAUAAUUAAGUGUGGAGUUUCGUCGAUAUGCAACCCGUUGCAUAUCGAGCUUCAUUUAAUGUGUAGUGUUUGUGUGAGGUGAAUUGCCAUGCCAUCCCUUGCAUCAUUGAUCUGUUCAUGCAUCAUAUUAGGUUGUGCAUCAUGUUGUGCAUCGCGUGGUGAAUAUUUGUGUUGAUGUUUGUUUCCGGUUUGCUCCGUCUCGAUAGAGUUCCGCAAGCGUGUCGGAAUGUGAGGACCCGUUCGACUACGUGGUUCGCCGACUUCUCGGAGUUGAUCUUCUUCCAAGCGGGAUCUCAGGCAAGAUGACCAUUUCCCCAGAUACCAUUACUAUCAUUGCCAUGCUAGUUUUAUCGCUUCUAUCGUUUAUGUCUCAUUGCCUACCACAUGUUGAAUAUCAGCCUAUCUACAAUGCCAUGAUAACCUUCAACUGUUCAACCUAGCAAACCACGGAUUGGCCAUGUUACUGCUUGCUUAACCCUGUUGUUAGCGUUGCUAGUUGCAGGUGUAGUUGCUUCCAUGUGAUAACAUGGAUUCCUUGUCAUAUCACCAUAUUAAAUGCUAUUUAAUUUAAUGCACCUAUAUACUUGGUAAAAGGUGGAAGGCUCGGCCUUUCUAGCCUGGUGUUUUGUUCCACCUUUGCCCCCUUAGUUUCGGCUACUGGUGUUAUGUUCCAUAAUUGAGCGCUCCUAACAUGAUCGGGGUUGUUAUGGGGACCCCCUUGAUAAUUCGUUUUAGAUUAAAGCUGGUCUAGCAAGGCCCAACUUUGGUACUACAUUUGCCUAACAACUAAUGAACCGCAUAGGGAGUAAUUAACCCGAGGAAAUUUAAUCAACCCCCGGGCUAGUGCUCCUCAUGAGUGUUGGUCCACCCACCUAGCAGUCGGCGGUGCCACCAUGGGGCAACUCAAGGUUUGGUUCCCGUCCACUUUGCAUAGAUGGUGUGUCCUGAGAACGAGAUACGCGGCUCCUAUCGGGAUCGUCGACACACCGGGUGGCCUUGCUGGAUUAGUUUUACCUUUGACGGAAUAUCUUGUGCAUCCGGAUUCCGAUGAUGCUUUGGGUAAUCUCAUAGUUGAGGUUUUCCACUAGGGAAUCCGACGAGAUCGCGAGCUUCGUGAUUGAGGAUUUCUAUGCGGCUUGUGGUAAUUUGUGAUGGACUAGUUGGAGCACCCCUGCAGGGUUAAAUCUUUUCGGAAAGCCGUGCCCGCGGUUAUGUGGCAACGUGGAAACUUUUUUUAACACUGGUUCUAGAUAACUUGAUGUUAACUUAUUUAAAAUAUGCCAACUGUGUGCGUAACCGUGACUGUCUCUUUCGCGAGUUCCUUCUCCGAUCGAGGAAACGGUGGGGUUAUGUCUGACGUAGGUAGGUGUUCAGGAUCAUUCAUUUGAUCAUCAGUAGUUCACGUACACUAUGCGUAGAUCUUCCCCCUCUUAUUUCUUGUACUCGUAAGUUUAGCCAUCAAAUAUAUGCUUAGCCGCUGCUGCAACCUCACCACUCAACCAUGCCUCACCCAUUAAGCUUUGCUAGUCUUGAUACCUUUGGAAAUGAGAUUGCUAAGUCCCGUGUGGCUCACAGAUUACUACAACACCAGUUGCAGGUACAGGUAAAGGUUACUUGACGCGAGCGUGUUGAUUGUUCACUUGGAGUUGCUGCUUCUUCUUCUUCUUCAUCGAUCUAGGAUGGGUUCCAGGCCGGCAGCCUGGGAUAGCAAGGAUGGACGUCGUCCUUAUUUUCUCGUUUGUUUUCGUCCGUAGUCGGACCCUGCUCUUACUCUUGAGGAUUAUGUAAUGUACUGAUGUGGCUCUGAUGUAGCUUGUAGCGAGUGUAAGCCAAUUAUAUAUAUAUAUAUAUAUCUUGUUUUCAGUACAUGUACUUGUAACGAUAUCCAUUCUUGCGACACGACGAGAUGCGCUUCUAUAGGCCCUCGUGCCAAAUUGAGGAUAGGGUCGCAUCUUGGGCGUGACACACCGCCAGCAAUGCAGGCUCGUUGCCUUCCUCCUCCCAUCAUUUUCGUUGAUGAAAACAAAGAGGACGAGGGGUUUCCAACCACAUGCUACAACUUCACUCCUUCAUGACAACUUCCUUUAUUUUGUCCAACUUUUCCUUGCAACCAUGACCUACCUUCAAAAGCUCAGCUAUGACUUAUUCCAUCUUCUUUUUCUCUUCUUUGAGGAGGUCUUUGUCCACCUCUAUCUCCUUCAUGGCCUUCCUUGUGUUCUGGAUAUCAACUUGAGUCUCAAGAAUGCACCUCUGUUCUUUUCUUAACUUAAGUUUCUCCAUUUGAAUUUCAAUCUUUGUUUGCUCCUCAAGCUGCAUCUUCUUAUCCUUUAGUUCAUUGAUUUCCUGGCUUGUGUAAUCCAUGCCAUGAGAUUUCAUUCCAUCCUGAUAAUCAAACAUGCUUGAUACAUCAUUCACAAGCUGGCUGUACUAAUUGCCCAAUGUAUCAAGUUCCUUUUUCAGCUUUGCCGCCUCUUCUUUUCAUGAGCCUCAUUAUCCUGGACUCUACCAAAGUUCUGCUCAUGAUACAUAUCCAACAACUUAGUUAAGCACCUUUGCAGAAUUAGUCAUCAUGGGAGCAUCUACCCAUUGCACCACACCACAGUUCACACCAUCCUGAAAAUUCAGUAAACACAAUAUUCUUCAGAAACAAACAAAUUCAAUGGAGUGAAAUUCAGUAAAUUACAAGGAUACACAUGCUAGCUAGCUAGCUACAUAAAUAUGACAAUGCUAAAACCUAGCUCUGUUUCCAACGACAAACAACUUCAAAACAACAAAUUCACUCAAAUCCACAGCAAUGUUGGUACGCCAAAGCAACAUUCAGAAGAAUUCAUACAUAGUUUAUUACCUAAAAAUCAUUUAUAAUCAAAUUCAAUUGCUAAAUGGAGUAACACCAUUUUAUUAUAUCAGUAGCGCACCCAAUAAAUCUCCUCCCAGUGUUUGUAACUUCAAAACCAACAAAUUUGCCGGGCCUCUUCCUGUGCAAUAUGCACUUAGGCUCAAAUUCAACAACCAGCCCAAAGAACUUGAGUCUAUGACAGUUUCAUGAGUUUGCUGCACCAACAAAUACACACAUAUCAACUACAUGGACAUAUAGGAACUGAAAUUGAAGAAACCAAACAAUCUUCAAACCCUAACCCCAACCGCAAGCCUAGUAGAGGAGAGGAGAGGAGAGAGACUUACAAAGUACUCCAUGUGCAUGCUACUAAACUUGCUCAUGUACUCGUCAUCGUCGGAGCUCUCGUUGUUGGGCCACGACGGCAUGGUGUCGGUGUGUCGCCAUCGCCAUAGUGAGAGCAGAGGAGUGAAGAAGGUGAGAGAGCUCGGGGAGAGUGAGAGAUGUGGGGGGAGUGAGUCGACCGGGCUGUUUGAGCUGGUUCAGACUGGCCAACUAACGGCUAAAGGGUUGCCGACCGUUAAUGCGGCCACGUGGCUUGAAAUGUGGGCUAGACCUGCCAGUUUUUUUAUUUAAAUCCAAUAAAAUGGUGUUUAGUUGAAACUAGUAAUUUUUAGGGACACUUAAGAAAAAAAGUGCUAGUUUUUGGUCAAAAUUUAAAACUUGGUAGUUCAGUGGGACAACAACCCCAAUACCGGUAGUUUUUUGUCAAUUACUCCUUCCAAUCAGGGAUUGAUCACCUCAAGGAGCACCUAAACAGUUAGCUUCUUGGGCCAUAUGGACCACAAGGGAUGAUUUUAGCUUCAAGCACAUUCGUCCGAGUCUAUAUGUUUGCAAGAAAAAAAUUCAAGCAAGAGCUUAAAUGGAUCUUAAUACAGAGUAAUUAGGAAUCCCUAUGGAGGCUUUGCAGAUUGGAUGGAAACAUUGAGGUGAUACUGCAAAGGACCACCUUGUAUUUAUACUACCACCUUGUAUUUAUACUUUGUGUAUAUUUCCUGUUUGUUUGUUUGUAGUUGUAAUUUUCUCCUAGCUCCUUUUAGCUUCUUUGGUUUGGCGUGUAUGGUUCUUUUUCUCCUUUGAACUAUUUUCUGUAUUACUUUCUAUAUUUCUAAAUAAUUAUAACUGGGAAGAACUAGUUUUCUUCGACUACAGUUAUUUGGUGGGAAUGGAGGGAGUAUAUUUUAAAAAGGCAACACAAAUAUGCAGCGGAGUCCUGCUGUUUCCCUUCAAACAAAAGAAGCGCCAUCGCUCCGCCAAUACUACCGUACAAAUCAAGCCCACGAGACACGUGGCGAGCCGAGGUUACAUACGGCUGCCAUACAGAUACAGGUACAAGGCCCCGACGGAAUCGUCGCGACAGACACACACACACACCCUACACAAGCCUCGCCCCCGCUUUUCCUCCUCCUCCGCCGGAAAUGCUCUGCCUCUCGCCGCGCGCCCCGGCGCCGUGCCUCCACGGCCCGCACGCAGCGAAGGCCCCGCCCUCCUCCGUCGCCGGCGGCAAUGCGGGCCGCCUUCCGCCGCGGCGGUGGCGGCUCGCGAGGCCCCGCGGCUGCUCGGCCGCCGCGCCGCUCGCGAAGGCGGUGCCCGUGGCGCCGCGGACGACGGCGGAGAGGUGGGGGUCGCUGCGGGAGAUGCGGCGGGUGUGGUGGGUGUGCGGGGCCGGGUACUGGGUGCAGGGGUUCCGCUGCUUCCCGUGGCUGGCCCUCAACUUCCACCUCACCCGCGGGCUCGGGCUCAGCCCCGUCGCGCUGCAGCUCGUGCAGAACGCCGGCAGCCUCCCGCUCGUCGCCAAGCCGCUCUUCGGCGUCCUCUCCGACGCCGUCUACAUCGGCCGCGAGCACCGCCUCCCCUACAUCUCCAUCGGAGGUGCGUGCGUGUGCUGUGCUUGACUUCGUCCGCCCCCACACCACUUUCCCCUUUCCCUUUACUACGAUUACGACCCCUUCUUCUUCUUCCUCGUUUGCUGGAAAUCGUCGUGCCUGUCCAUAUUACUGUCGAUUCUCUCAAAAUUCAGUCGAAACAAAUGUGACAAUCGAGUUCAUCUCGGCUUAAAAUUCUCGUCUCGGAAGCACUGACGGCCGAACGAAUACAGUACCUGGUAAUAGUUUCAGGUAUCUGUCUGAAAAUUGGAAACUCUUAUGAGCACAAGGGUUCAACAGCUGCAGCUAUAUUGUCCAAUUUCACAAGAGCUGGGAAAACUAGGGAGCUCCUCAGCUCACUGAUAGUGACAAAAUAUAAUUCGUAUUGAGACCGCAUAUUCUUAUGGGUACCAAUUUCACUGUCCGACUGGGAUUGCUUUGAUUUGCCUCAAGAGAUUACUACUAUUUCUCUGUAUUGUAGUAUUUAUUAUCGACCAACAGAUUGGCCGAACUGAUCCCUUGAUAGCUGGGGGGGUCAGCUGUUGUAGUUUAAGCAACUUCUACUAGAGUAGUCGGCACCUCUUCUUUCGAGAAAGAGAUUGGUUCGGAAAGCAGCAUGGGUAUCUACUAGAGUAGUCGGCACUUGUUCUUUCUAGAUGAAGGCUUGUCUGCAUCAUGGGUAUCUACAGUAGUCGGUACCUGCUCUAGUGAAAGAUCCGUUUUGGAAACACGCUGCACCUUCCUGCCCGGUGUGUGCACGACACUCUUAUUGCUGGUCACACAAUUUGAGCUUCGCCAAGUUGGUAAAUCCCAGAGAUUACUUGCCCUUAUUCUGGUGGCUCCUGAUACAUCCAUGUUUUACUCAGAAUGAUUGGUGGUCACACAAUCUGAGCCUUGCCAAGAGAAUUCUCGAGAGAGCGCCCCGUGCCCUCUGGGGUGCUUGUGAGAAGUUGCUAGAGGCUGUUUUGUGGUCCACUAAUCUCUGAAAGCUGCCUCUAAGAUUCUCCACCCCCCAUGCCAUUUCGUACGGUGAUUGGGACAGGAUCUCUGUGAUGUUUGUCCUAGUUUAGGAGGAUGAUCCAAAUGAAAUGAUGCCGAUUUGUUUGUUUGUUACCUGCUUGUUUAAUUUCCUGUUUGUGACUAUGUAAGAACACUCUGGUCCUAUAACUUUUACUGUCAAGGUAUAAAACCGGCUGCUGGUAAAUUGCUGACAAACUGAAUAACAACCAUAUUUCCUUGUUCAGUGGUUAUCUUUUUAUGCUAAAAUUUAUACUCUGAAAAUUGAAUGUUAUUCAAGAUGAUUUUUUUAAGGAAACAAAGCCUUUUCUAAAAAAAAGGAAACAAAGCCUUCAAAUUGAAUGAAUUUUUCAGGUGGUUUGUGCUAAUGUUGGCUAUUGUUGUGAACUUUCAGCAUUACUACAGCUUACUGCUUGGGGCACACUCGCGAUCAUGCCAGUUACGGGUGACACAUUUCCAACUCACAUGAUAUGCAUUCUGAUUGGAAAUCUUGGAGCAUCUGUGACGGAAGUUGUAAGCGAUGCUGUUGUCACGGAGUUCAGCAGAACACAGAGGACCGGCGUACUACAGUCUUAUGCAUUCAUAGGUCUGGCAGCUGGAGCCCUCCUAGGAAACUUGUCGGGUGGAUACGUUCUGUUGAGAACACAGGAACCAAAGCUUAUGUUCACAGCAUUCUCUGUCCUCCUUGGCCUCCAACUAGCACUCUCCAUAGGCACAAAGGAAACACUGCCAAGCUCCCAUGGAAACUCCAGAAGCCUUCUUCUCAAAAGCUCUUUGCCGGCCAAUCUUCGUAAGCAGUUCUCAAACCUGAUGACAGCGGUCCGCGAGGAAAGGAUAUUCUACCCACUUGCAUGGAUCAUGACCUCGUUUGCUGUCGUGCCUGUUCUCUCUGGAACCAUGUUCUGCUUUCAAACACAGCAUCUGAAGCUCGAUUCAUCGAUCAUCGGUCUUUCAAAAGUCAUGGGACAGGUCAUGGUCGUCUCCCUUACCGUCCUCUACAACCGCUAUCUCAAAAGGAUUCCCCUGAGGCGCCUCGUGUGUGGAGUUCAGAUAAUGUAUGCUUUCGCGGUGCUGUCGGAGUUGAUCCUAGUGAAGCAAGUAAACCUUAUGCUAGGGAUACCAAAUGAGGUAUAUGUGUUUUGUUUCUCAGCUCUCGCAGAAGCAAUCGCUCAGUUCAAGGUCCUGCCGUUCUCGAUCUUGUUGUCAAGCGUCUGCCCCCCUGGCUGCGAAGGUUCGCUCUUCGCCUUCUUCACAUCUGGAUUGGUCUUUUCAGCAAUUCUGAGUGGUGUGUAUGGGGUUGGACUGUCUGCCCUGAUCGGGCUGUCCUCUGGGGACUACUCAAGCUUGCCUUUGGGUAUUCUGCUGCAAAGUUUGGCCGCAUUGUUACCUUUGGCGUGGCUAUCUUUUGUGCCUGAAAACUGGACUGCCGACGGGAAGAUUGUAAAGCAAAGAUGAUGAGCGUAUUGACAUCAGAAGUAGAUCUUGUUAGGUACUGAAUGACAUUGUACAGGAAUUUCUUCUAGCCCAAGCAACUCAAUGGGAUUACAUGUAUAGGUAUCCAAAUGUGUUCUUUAUUGACCAUCAGUGUACACAACACACACACACACAGAUUCCAAAAUAGGAAAAUACAUCCUACUACAAGGUGUAGUUACACCUACGUCAAUAUAUACUUAUUGGGUAGUGUAUAAUAUAUAUGCUACUCCCUCUUUCCCAAAAUAUGAGAAUAUAAUACACAUACAUCUUUGACAAGUAGCAGGUGCAUUGCAUAAACCAAAAGUCAUACGUCUAUAAGCAUAAGUUUCAAAAGGACGCAUGAAAGUAGUUUCUCUUGGUCCUCUUUUGACACAAGUAUUUGAGAAAAACCAAAGUAUCCUUCAAGAAAGCAAAAAGGUGUGUGCUUAGAUAGCCUUUUUAACAUUUGACCAAUAAAAGAUAAGGGGUAAUGUUCUUUUCUAGUAGCUUUGUUUAAUUUACUGAAAUUAAUUACCAUCCUAUAACUGGUUACGAUUCUUUGUGGGCUAAGUUCAUUUUUAUCAUUAGGCACAACACUUAUACCUCCGUUCUUAGAAACACAGUGAACAUGACUUACCCAUCUAUUAUCAGCAAUUGGAUAAAUUAUAUCUGCCUUCAGAAGCUUUAAAAUUUUAGUUCUUACCACCUCCUUCAUCUUAGGAUUUAAGCGUCGUUGGUGAUCAACGACAGGUUUAGCAUCUGGUUCCAUAUUAAUUUUGUGCUGACAUAGAGUGGGACUGAUGUCCUUAAGAUCAUCCAGAGUAUAUCCAAUAGCAGCCCUGUGCUUCUUCAAAGUUUUAAGCAAUCUAUUUUCUUCAUGCUCAGAAAGGUUUGCACUAAUAAUAAUAGGAUAUAUCUUUUUUUCAUCAAGAUAUGCAUAUUUCAAAGUAUCAGGUAAUUUCUUUAGUGCAAACACGGGAUCUCCCUUAAGUGGAGGAGGACCCCCUAAAAUGUCAACACGAAUUUGUGUUUAAGAAUAUGUGUUUGUCUAAGAAAAAUAUCAUCUAUCUCAUUUCUCUCAUUCAUAUGCAUAUCAUUCUCGUCGUCUAGCAAGUGUUGUUUUAAAGGAUCAGUAGGAGGCACUUCAAUAGAAGCAAGACCAGUAAUUUCAUAUUUGCUAGAUAAUUCUUUCUCAUGUGGUUGUCUACCAAACUUAGAGAGAUUAAAUUUAUGAGACACAUCACCAAAUUAAGCUUAUUUUAACCUUUUCAGUAACACAAUUAAUUUCAGCAUUAACAGUAUUUAAGAAUGGUCUAUCAAAUAUAAUGGGACAAAAGCUAUCUUGUUUUGAACCAAGUACUAAGAAAUUAGUAGGAUACUUAAUUUUUACACACAAGACUUCAACAUCUCUAACAAUCUCAAGUGGUGAAAUAGUCUCUCUGUUUGUAAGUUUAAUAGUGACAUCAAUAUCUUCAAUUUCAGAGGGUGCUAUAUCAUGCAUUAUAAGGUAAAAGGUAUAACACUAACACUAGCACCCAUGUCACACAAGUCAUGAUAACAAUGAUCUCCAAUUAUAAGAGGAACAAUAGGCAUGCCAACAACUGGUUUAUUUUAUCUAACUCAUCCUACUUGUUUCUAACAGGUUUUGCAGUUCUAGGAGCUUCAUCACAGAAGUAAAUAAACCGCCCAUCGAUAUUAUCAACUAGGAGAUCUGUAACCAUAACAAUAUUAGGCUCAACAUUUAUUUGUUCAAAGUCCUAAUAUAACUUUUAUUAACCACGGUUGCAGCUUUAGUAUGUUCCUUAAUCCUAACAGGAGAAUGUGGUUUUUCAAUAUAAGAAGUAGGCAUAGCUUGAUCAACAUGGUAAACAAUUGUUUCUUGUUUAACUUUAAUUAAUAGGUUCCUCUAAUAAUUUCUCAAUAGGUUGAUGAUAUUUAAACCACCUCUCCUUAGGGAGAUGAACAUGAGUAGCAAAUGAUUCACACAAAAGUAGCUACUAUCUCAAAGCCAAGCCCAUAUUUAUUACAAAACUUAUGAAAAGUAACAGUUUUCAUAAAAAGAUUUAACACAAUCUAACUCAAUCUUUAUACCUAACUCUUUACCUUUGUCGAGUUCCCAACCUUCAGAGUUGCGUUUAAUUAUUUUCAAAAUAUUCCAGUUGAAUUCAAUAUUUCACUUCAUGUAGGAACCAGUAGAAGAAGAAUCGAGUAUUAAUUAAUCAUCAUGAGAAAGCCAAGCAUAUAUUUUUGUAUAAUCAUUUAUGUUGAUAACUCAUGGUUGGGGCAAGUGUGCAUCAUUGAUUUAAGCCUCUCCAAGCUUGAGCGGUGCUUUCCACUUUACGAGGCCAGAAAUUAUAUAUAUAGUUUCAAUCACGAUGAACUAUAUGCAUAGGAUAAAACUUCUGAUGAAAUUCCAGCUGUAAGAGCACAAUUUCUCCUAAGAAAUUUUGAUGGUUGAUGAUGAUACCCUUAGCGGACUAAUCGUGUGCGGUAUGCUUUCAGAGCAUUAUCAAGUGGCACGAGAUGGUUAUAUUCCCCUCAGUAAGGGAAAGUGAAGACGAUGCUUAGCUAUUGAUUUAGGGUUGGUGGACUCGAGUCAUAGAUAAUCCCGCACUAUCAAGAGGGGAUAUGUGACAUCCUCGACUUUUGCUACAGUAAAUAUUGUAAUUAAGCUAGAGUGAUCACCCGCAAAUGAUGCCACAUCAUCGAGAAUUACCGUCGUUGACCCGCAUUGAAUUUCUAUCUGGAUUCCGAAAUUGAAAACAAAAGAUAAUUAUAAUUAUAAAUUCAUAUUAACUAUUAAAGAAAGAAAGUAUUAAAAAUAAUAAUGAUAAAAGAAAGAAAAGAAAUUAAAAGAAAAAAAAUAAAUUAGAAAGAAGAAAUAAUAGAAAAGGAAAACAAAGCAAAACAAAACAAAACAAAAAAAAGAAAAAGAGGAAACCCCCCACCCCCGUGGUCGACUCGACCAAAGUGGCCCAGCCGAGCCAGCCCACCCCGCACCCCCCUCAAACCCUAGGGCGAGGGAGCCCUUCCCCUGCCUCGCUCCCUCCCUCCCACUUGCNACCCCUCCCCACGAGAGGCUCUCUCCCUCCCAGUUCCCCCACGCACCAGACCCCCCCACGAUCUUCCUCUCCCACCCCGAGCCUCCUCUCCACCUCGCCCCCACCCCGGUCGGCGAGCUCCCCCCACCACCGGCCUCUCCCUCCACCGGCCUCUUCCUCCCCACCCCGAGGCCUCCUCCUCCCCACCCCGAGGCCUCCUCCUCCCCUCGUGCCUCCAGAUCUCCCUCCCUACCCCGAGGCCUCCCUUUUCUCGGCCUCGCCUCACUCCCCACCGGCCAUCCCGACAACCACCUCGGCUGCCCCCCCCCUCAACUCCGGCGACCGUCAUGACCGGCCGGCCUCCCUCCCCUUGAGGCCGGGGCAACCCUCGCCGGAUCCGGCCGGUCCCUUCUUCACCGGAGGGCUCUCCUCUCCGGCCACGACUCCGGGAGGCCCCCUCCGGCGACCGUCACCGCCGCCACCACGUCCUCACCGGCACCACCGUCAUCACCGCGCCAUCACCACCGUCGCCUCCGCCUUCCCGCGAACUCCGGCUUCACCGGGCCAUCUCAUCAACGUUGGUGAGCCCCUCCUCGGGCUCCUCCCACCAUCGCGCUCCCCUCACCAUCCCGGUUCCGUUCCGGCAAACGGGGCUCCGAUCCGUCGACGUUUGACUCCGGUAGGAGGAGAUGAAGUUGGCUCUCUUCUAUGUUGAGGAAGUUAACAGAGACUCUCUGUUGUGUUCUCUGUUGUCUGUUAACAGAGAGAGAUGAGAGUGUUAAGAGUUAAAAGAAAAUAAAACAAAAGAUGUAUUAGAUGUCGUAUGUAUGUAUGUAUGUAUGUAUGUAUGAGAUGCGAUGUAUGUAUUUGCGUAUAUAGAUAUUUGGAGGAAUACGAUAUUUACAUGAUUAUGUAUAUGUGAAUAAAAUCGAGUAUUUGGCCUAAGGUCACUUACCGGUGGGGCCAACGCACCCGCUGUCUAUGACAGGGAGGCCCCACGCGAUAAUUAAAUAAAUAAAAAUAACGUUAAUGUUUUUAUUAAAUAAAUAUAUAUAUAUAUUAGUUAAAUUAAUUAAUUAGAAUAAUUAGAGUAUGACACGUGGGUCCCCCACUAAAUUAAUCUGAUUAAUUAAUAUUUAAUCUUAAUUAAAACUUGUGCCUAUAACGUUCGGGACCCGCUCGUCAGUUGACCAGUCAACUCUUGAUGUCAGCAUGACAUCAUGCUGAUGUCAUAAUAGCUUUUUAUUAAAUUAUUUAAACCUGUUUUUAAUUCCUAAUUAUUGAAUAAAACUUUAAAAAUUAAUAUUAAAUAAUCCGUAAGUCAGAUCAAAAUAUUUUCAACAUGAAAGUUGAUGAGCAGAACGAGACGAACCCGGAUACACGGUCCAUUCGUCUGUCACGCGUCCCUAGCAUGGCAAACAUGGAACAUUUCCAUCGUUUCCAGUAUGACCGGUAGUAGCCCGAGACCCGGAAAAUAUCGUCAGAUAUUCUUCCGACCCGUCUAUGACGGAUGUUGCUGCGUUAGCUCAUGUCUAGCCUGCAUCUUGCCAUGUCAUGCUUUGUAUUGCACCGUUGCUAUUAUUUAUUGUUUCUUCCCCCUCUUCUUACCGGUAGACCCCGAGACUGACGCUGCUGCCGGGUACAUCUACGACCCUGCCGAUCAGUCCUUUGCCGCAGAGCAGCAAGGCAAGCAAACCCCCCCUUGAUCAUUCCUAUAUCGCCUAUGUCUUUCUUCCUACUGCUUGCAUUAGUAUUUUGCUACUGUUGUAGUUAGCUCCUAUAUCUGAUGCAUAGCCUAUUUUUGAUGAACUGCUACUUUCAGUCCUGUACCUUUAAUAUGCCUAGUAUAGGUGGAGCAGUCAUCCCCUCUGACCCCGUCGUUCAGUUGCCCUGCUUGUUUUCAAUCUCGAUCCCUGAUCGACGAGCCAGACCCGACACAUCACAUACACCCCCCUUCGUUGUACGACGCUACAGAGAUACUAUCGGGUACCGAGGGUGACACCUCGCUAAGUACUCCUGAUGAUAUCUCUGUAGUAUAGCUAGUCGGUCGUGGUUAUCGAGGGUGAUUCCUCUUUCACCAUUCCCGAUGACGCCUCUGUCGUGCAACCCCUCAAGUGUGGGACCCCCGAGGGUGAUUCCUCCAAGCCCACCUUGACGGGUACAUCGUUCGGAAUCCAACGAGGGUGAUACCUCAGAUUCCCCCCGAUGUUACAACCACACAGUUACUCGACCAUGUUACUGGGAUCUUUGGUGUUUAGUUGUAAGACGGGUGGAUUCCCGUGAUACUGUGUUGAUAGCCUAAUUAAAAUGUUAAUGGAUUUGGGUAUUUGAUGUGGGUUGGUCGGAGACCUUUUCGCACUAACCGGCUACGCGGGAAGAAUUAUGGGUACUCGGCGUCGCGGUAUCAGCCAAAGCUUUUCAGAUGUCAGCAAUCGUAGUGGCGCGCGCCCGAGUGGUCCCGAGAUGCAUUGCGCUUGUGAUUAAGGGAUGCUAGGACUGACGUCGGCCGCCCUCGCAUCAUGCAGGAGCGCGGAGGGGAACUGGGCCCAUGAACCCUUUGCGCUUAGGAUUUAGACCGACGGGCUGACCUCUCUGAUUAGUCUUAGGUGGGGCUGCGACGUGUCGAUAUUCCGAGGCCGGGCAGGACCCAGAAAAGUAUGUCCGGCCAGAGUGCUAUCGAGCGUGACGGAACAUGUGGUGCACCCCUGCAGGGAUGAAAAUUAACUAUUCGGAUAGCCGUGUCCACGGUUACAGGACGACUUGGAGUUGUGCCCCGAUCUUAUACAACUACAAUUGUUACUUAACUGGAAUUAGUUUGCCUCGGGAUUGCUUCCUCGCAGGGAGUCGAGGGAGGAUCUUUAGGCGUGACCUCACUUUAAUAUUGCUGCAACAAUAUGACUAUUAAUGUUUUACCCGUGUUCUACUCUCGUCUAUUGCUGCAAGACCCUGAAGAUGCUAGUCUUCGAUAGGACUAGGCCUUCUCUCUCUAUUCUCGCAUUGCUGCAGUCAGUCCACAUAUAACCCUCUCCCUUCUUUGUUACUGAUGCAUAAUUACAGUAGUUCUGAUGUAAGACUUGCGAGUACUUUGGAUGAGUACUCACCGCUGCUUUGCUCCCCCUCUUGUCCCCUCGAUCCGUUUGUUGCGACCAGAUGAUGGAGCCCAGGAGAUGGAGGUCCCCGCCGCCGACGACUGCUACCCCGACGGUGCCUACUACUACGUGGAGGCCGCUGAUGAUCAGGAGUAGUUAGGAGGCUCCCAGGAAGGAGGCCUCGCCUCGUUCGAUCGUUGUAUCUUUUGUGCUAGCCUUCUCUAAGGCACCCCAUGUUUUAUGUCUGUACUCAGAUAUUUGUUGCUUCCGCUGACUCGUGUGUUUAUCGAGCUUCCGUAUUCUAGCCCUCGAGGCCCCUGGCUUGUAAUAUGAAGCUGAUGUUUAUUUUUAUUUGUGUCUAGAGUUGUGUUGUGAUAUCUUCACGUGAGUCCUUGGGUUUUAUCGUACGCAUUUGCGUGUAUGUUUAGCGUACGACUAAAACGAGGGUGUCACACGAUCCAUGUUUGGAAAAGUUGGUAGAACACUAUCUCUCAUUCUUGCUCUCCAUCCCUUUUAUGGAGCAAAGGAGCUGCCCUCAAAUAGUGUCGAGGAAAUUGCAGAAGCGGUAGUACCGCUCCAGUGGUACUGCUGCCCACGAGAGCCGGACUCUCUACCGCUUGUUUUAUUUCUUUGGUGUUUGGGGACCUUUUUCUUUGUUUGGGCGGAAGUACCGCCCAGGGGAGCUCUAGUACCGCUCCAACGGUACUGCUGCCUCCUUCUGUCGCGCCCACUUCCGCUUCGUAAUUUCCUCUGGUGUCUUACCUCUCCUCGACCAGGCUGAGCAAAAGUAUCGCUCCUACAGGACGGUAGUACUGCCCUAGUGCACGGUACUACCGCUGAGCUGGGCCAGUAGGGGAUGGUAACGACCAGAUUCCCCCACUAUAAAUAGGGUCUUCUUCCCCGAGGAGAUCUCACCUUUUCCUCUCCCGCUUCAUUGUUCCUCCAAAAGCUCAAACUUGCCCGAUCUCCCUCCCUAGCCAUCAACUCUUGUUGAUUCUCUAGGGUUUGCAGAAGAAGGCCUUCCCCCACACUUCCACCAAGAGAAAAGUUGUUCCUCCCAUUAAUCCCUCGUGGAUCUUGUUACUCUUGGGUGUUUGAGCACCCUAGACGGAAGAGGUCACCUCGAAGCCAUAUUCCAUUGUGGUGAAGCUUCGUGGUCUUGUUCGGAGCCUCCAAUUAAGUUGUGGAGAUUGCCCCAACCUUGUUUGUAAAGGUUCGGUCGCCGCCUUCAAGGGCGCCACUUAGUGGAAUCACGACACCUCACAUUGUGUGAGGGCGCGAGGAUAAUAUAGUGGCCUUAGUAGCAUCUUGAGGAGCAGGGGCUAUCUCGAAGUUGAGGUCUUCCACUGGGAUUCCGAGGAGACUAUCGGUUUUUUCGUGGUUGAGGUUUCCCACACAGCUUAUGGUAGUUUGUGAUGGAGAUGCUCUAAGCUGCUCCCGUGAAGCAAAUGGAGUAGCGGAUAGCAUAGCAAAAGCUUCUCAUAGUAGUAGAUCUUCUUAAGUUAUGUUAGCAAUAGCCAUACCCAUGAACUAUUUAUAUUUAACAUGGGACAUAAUCAGGUAUGUUUUUGCAGGUUGGAAAUUGGCGGGAAGUGAAGCCAUUUGUGAUCACUUUCCAUGUACUCUUGGUAUUUGACAAAUGAUUUGCUCUUUGAGGGAAGAACCCAUUCUAUAUGCUCAAAUUUUACUGGGCAUGCUUAUUAACUGGUCCAUUCAAGCAAUGCCAUCCAGUUUCAAUUUACUAGGCGUGCUUAUUAACUUCUCAAAAUUUAUUUGGCGUGAUUAUUAAUUGCUCAUAUUUUCCUAGCAAAUGCUUAAGUAAUUGAUUGAAUUGAUAGUUCCCAACCCUAAUCGAUUCAUAUUAAUGAUCAAGCCUGAUACAAUUACACUAGCAAAUGCUUAAUUAGUGGACAAGUAGAUCAUGACAUUUCCAUGUAUGUGUGCAGGCCUUGCUCUCUUCUCCAUGAGCCCCAAUCCAUACUCCCAAGCAUGUAGAUGGCAUUCUCCAAGUGCAAAACACAUUCAAACGCUAUAACUAAGAGGGUAUAAAUUCAGUUAGUUUAUAUCUAAUCCCCAUGUUAAAAUUACUCUGAUUACCAUCCUUACAAAUAAAGGCAGUGUAGGCUACAACGAUGACAUUGGCAUUUAUGAUUGGUGCAAUUUGAGCCCCAUCGAAGUAAUUGGAGCAUAGUUUUUAGGUUAGCUUUGAGUACUCUGGACAAUAUUUUCUUUUCUAUUUCCAACAGUAGAUCUUAAAUAUCAUACAUCAGUUGAUAGUGUUAAUUAACUUAGCUAGAACCAGGCUGGUACCUUAACAUUAUUUUCAGGUUGAUCCAGUUGUGUGGAUUCACAUACUUCUUUGCUGUUCAUGUGGAGAAUUGUUGUUAACAAAUAAAUAUGAUACAUACUGUUGUAUUGUGAUUUGUUUUGCAAGUUUAGGUAUGUAUUAGUACAUUGAUAUCAACCCUCAAAUUAAUAGUACUACCCUAAAUUAUCCAAAUUAUGUCGAAUUUAGGGAGCCGAGCUGAGUGUAAUUUUCAAAGCCAACUCAUACUAUUGUACAAAUUCUUAAGCGUGCAUGAAAACAUUGUUUUCAUGUACAUGAAAACAGUGAAUAUUACACGUCGUUUCACCCAGUUUGUGUGUUGCCCUCUUCUGUGUUCUUAUAAGAAACUAGAACCGUGUUUGAAACCGGUCAUGGACAAUAUUUUCCUGGAGUGAACUUGCUAUCGUUUUCAGAUUUUGUACAUAGUGGAAGAAUUCAGCACAACUUUUUUUAUGGGAAUUUCAUCAUGUUUCAUAUCUGUCCUUUUGCUUUUUGUCCAUACUAUUACUUUGCAUGUUCUCAUUUUGAAGCUAAUUGAAUAUCCGCAGGCUUCCAAUGAAGAUGUGUAAUAUACAAAUGAUUGGUCGGGCUGUACGUGGUCACAGGCGAGUCUAGCUACACAAAUGUGUAUAAUCUCUGGAUGGGAGACAUUUGACGAUCGAGGCCAGAAGGGUUGCUCCCGUCCAAUGUUCAUUUUUAGUGGUUUGAAGGUUUGUUUGGCGAACAUAAUUUUUAGUUAAUUAAUGUGGCAAGGUCAGCUCUAUUCCAGAUUAUGUGCAAUGCUCAUUGUUGUGACACACUGAGUUGUUGACCCGUAUUCUCUCUUGACAUGUAAAAAAAGUUGCAACACAAAAUUCACUGGGUUUUAUUUGCUAUUGGUGCGUGAUAACACAAUUCUAUCCUAUCGAUUCUAUAAUCCAGGAUAAUAUGUUCUCAAUGAGUGCUUACAAUAUAUAUAGUACUGUUUAACCUUGUUAAUUCUUCUCAAAGUCUAAUUUCAUAUUUUAUGUGCACUAUUUUAUUGUAUUUUGUACUAUGUCUCUAAACCAUUCAGAUGAUGAAUUACUGUAUUUUUUUGCCAAAUUCUAAAGCAUGCACUAGAGCUGGGAGUUGAGAAGUGACGAGUGGAGGGUUGCCGAACAAGUUUUUCCUUGCUACUGAAGUUCAUAAGUCACACAGAAUAUCUAAGAUUUAGACAUUUUUUUCUAAGGUGCAUGUGUGUGCCAUGUAGUUAAUACUUGACCAUAGUGCGGCUAAGGUGAGGAGGACACCAUCUCAUCAUCACCCAUAAUAGUGUGCUUUGUUGGGCCAUGGGUGAGGACGACACUUGACGGUGUUGUGAUGAUGAGAUGGUGUGUGAACAAAAUGGUAAUAUGUGCUACGAUUGAUCAAGGAUAUGCGAGGGCAGGUCAGGAGACAAGAUGGUGUCAAAAUGGGAGGCAAUGUAGCCGGGGAGAUAUGGGAUGGGAAGGAGAGGUGGAGCGGGGAUAGGGUGGUUGUAGAUAAAGGAGAUGGAUAGAUUGGACAAAGAGAUCCGCUAUGCCACGAGAGACAUACACAAAGAGAGAAAUAACUGAAAAGCUCGAUAGAGGAAGAUGGACACACAUACUGACAUGGUUAGAAACUACACACGACACCUUUUUUAAUCAAAUGUCACUAUAUAUCCUUUUUAUGUCGCCACAAAGUAAAAUUAUGCUCCCAUUGCAACACAUGAGUAAUUUCAAAGUGCAGUAAACAAACACGCAAAGAGGGAUCAUAGCGGGGCGAUUGGCGCGGGACUCCUAGGCACUACGUGAGGAAGUACAAUGUGAAGGGAAGAGGGCGUCAUGAGAAAGUUGAGGUGGGCGUCAACCGGUUUUAAAGGAGAGGGCUCUAGCGAGAAAUGUAGGAAACCAAAGAGGGAGAGGAGGUUCUGGCAGGAAAAGGAAAGGGUGUGCGGUGGGGUGGGAGUUUUAUGUUGGGCGAGCGUGUUGGAUAUAACAUGAUGGAUAGUCUGGACAACCACAUCCCAACAGAUGAUCUAGAUUGGGUGGUACCCUCGGUGUUUAGACGGUUGAAUUUUACGAAGCGUGUUGGGUGCAUGUUUGAUGUCCGAACAAGCUUGGAUCAUAUGAGUAAGAAAUAAGCUUCGGUGUGGGAGACAAUUUUAAUUAUAUGUUUGAUUUAUCUAUUGCAUUAUAGCCCUCUACUACUAGUAGUAGAUCUUCUAAAGUUUGGGAUAGCUCAAUCAGUCCUGACCAAACGGCCCGGCCCAGCCUGGCACGGCCCGACCCGUCACAAUCGUGCCAGGCACGACACGGCACGCCGAGGCCCGAUUAUUAGCCGGGCCGUGCCGUGCCGGCCCACCGGCGCAGCCUCCCAGCCCAGGCACGACAAGGAGGCUAUACGAGCCGGCCCGUAGGCACGCCAGGCCCGCUAAUCUGUUAGUUUUUUUACGCUGUUAUUUGGGCUAAUUUUGACCUGUUAGGCUGUUUUUUGGGCCGACUUUAGUAUAUUGGACAGUGUUUUGGAUCGAUUUUAGCCUAUUAGGUUAUUUUUUUAUCCUAUAUAUAUAAAAAUAAAUAAUAAAAUGGUAAACGGGCCGUGCCGUGCCGGCCCGCGUGCCCAGCCCUCAGGCCUAGGCACGGCCCGAGGCGGGCCGCGUGCCUAACACGGCCCGUUUAAGUCGUGCCAGGCCCGGCCCAUGGCGUGCCUGGCUGGCGUGCUUUCGGACUGGCCCAGAAAGCACGGCCCGUUUGGCCAGCUUUGAGCUCAAUACUGUAAAAAAAAAAAAAAACGCGCCCGGCUGUUGCCGUUGCCUUGGGCGCGAGCGCACCACGCGGGCGCUCUCUUUUCGCGCCAGCGAAUUUCCCGAGGGGGCCGAACGGACCAAAAAUCCUCUGGAAUCCGAUCCCCGGGAAUCUCAGCGCCACGAUCCAUCAUCCCGUGAUCCAAACGCGACGAUCCUGAGGACUCUCGGAAUCCCGUGAAAAAUCCCCCUCCCCCUCCAAUGGACCCAAAGCCGGCCUGAAUCCCUUUCUUUCUUCACCAUCUGGCCGGCCCUCUCUCUCCUUCCUCCUGCUCCGCCGCCCACGGCCCCACCUCCACGCCAGUGGCCCUCCCCCACAAGCUGCUCCUCCUCGGCCGACGAGGCUGCCACCACCAUCCCCACCACCACCCUCGCGCCGCUCCACCUCACAACCGUCGGGCCGGGCCGUGCUCCACCGCCGACCAGCCUCCGCCUCCUCCUGUCCAGGUCGCCGUCCGCCGGCCAGUCCCUCCAGAUCCGCCGCUCGCCUGCUCCGGAUCCGAGGGCCGCUCCACCCCUUUCCAGGUCUCCGUAUCCAAUUCAACAGUGACUGAAGGUUAGCUCCGAUUUUCCGGAAAUUCAGCAGCGACGCGCACUUCUUCAGUUAAUCAUUUGGAUUUGCCCUGGUGUUAAGCUGCGUGCGCCUGUGUGUAGCCUGCUGGUCCGGGCGGCGGCGGCAAGAUGAGGCUUCUGCGGGUGGCCACCUGCAACCUCAACCAGUGGGCCAUGGACUUCGACACCAACCUCCGCAACGUCAAGGAGUCCAUCUCCCGGGCCAAGGCCGCCGGGGCCGUCGUCCGCAUCGGCCCCGAGCUCGAGCUCACCGGAUACGGCUGCGAGGACCAUUUCCUCGAGCAGGACACCACGGCGCACGCGUGAGUGCCCCUUCUCCGUAGCCUACUCACUACCGAUGAGUUGAAGAACCCUGCACAAAACAUGUACUCUCAUAGCAGUGCUAAGAUGCUAGUACUAAUUUCUCUGUUUGUUUAUGUGGUCACGGUUGAAAAAAAAAGGCACCGCGGAAACGCUAAUUUCAUUAACCUGUUUAGCUUUAUUUAUGUGUGUUAUGCAAACUUCACUGUAUGCAUUCGGAACUGAAUUUGUAUGGUAACCCUUUGAGUGCCCAUUGCCGUUUAAUGGUAGAGAUAUUUCUAAAGUGUAAUAAAAAAUGAAUAAUGCCUAGUAAUGAUAUUCUGCCUAGGAUUUCACAUUUUUAUUAGUGGUAUAAUAUUUGCAACCUUCAUAUUAUACUCUUAUGUUAAUUACUCUUUUCUAUAUGAACAACCUGCAGAUGGGAGUGCCUCAAGGACAUUCUGUCUGGUGACUAUACAGACAACAUCUUGUGCAGCAUAGGAAUGCCUAUCAUUUUCAAGAGUGUACGGUACAACUGCCAGGUUUUCUGCCUAAAUCGCAAGAUAAUUAUGAUUCGGCCCAAGAUGUCCCUUGCAAAUGACGGGAACUAUCGUGAAUUUCGAUGGUUUUCUGCUUGGACAUAUAAAGAUGAACUUGUCGACUUUCAACUCCCUAUUGAUGUCUCAGAAGCUAUAGACCAGGAAACUGUGCCUUUUGGUUAUGGUUAUCUUCAGUUUCUUGACGUGUAAGUACUAUUGCUAAAUUGUUUCUUUAUGAUUGGGAACAUGUGAUUUCAGCCUGAUUCUAUCUUGGCUAUCAUACUGGAUAGGGCAAUGUUUUGUGAAUAUUUUCUAAACCAAGUUGGAUACAGAACCUAAGUGUCUAGGUAUAGGAUGUUUUUAUUUUGUUAAUAAUUAUUUAUAGUCCUCUAUGAUCAUUUUGAGCCAAUGUCCCUGCGAUGCCUUUUCCUGCCUCUUUACAAUAUUCAGAAUGCAUCUCUAGUUCUUGAUACCUAGUUAGUCCUUUUAUCUAAUGUAAAUGUGCUACAACAUGUUUAUGAUUUUUAGCAUAUAUGCUCAAUUUGCCCUUUGCUAAUAUGAUUUAUGUUAUUACACAUUCUUAAUUAGUAAUUGUAUAUGUUAUGUGAUUGAUGAUCUUGCAUUUCUUGAUGAUAUUAGACUGCUUAAUUAACCUGAUUCUGUUACAGCUUUUCAUUUUAGUUAUUAAUUUCAGAUCUUUGGCUGCUGAAACCUGUGAAGAGCUAUUUACUGCAAAUGCUCCUCGGAUUGACCUAGCAUUCAGUGGCGUCGAGGUCUUCAUGAAUGCAAGUGGAAGCCAUCAUCAGUUAAGGAAGCUCAAUCUUCGGAUUGAUUCCAUGAGAAAUGCAACCCGCUUAUGUGGUGGUGUAUACAUGUAUGCUAAUCACCAGGGUUGUGAUGGUGGCCGCCUUUAUUAUGGUAUGCUAAUAUGUCGGUGUUUUCUCUCUGUUUUUCUUUGCAUUAUCCUAUCCCUUGGGAGCUUUUAAACUUCAUAGCACUUUAUUAUCAGUUCUAGUUCGAUGUUUAGGUUCCACCGUUGUUCUUUCCAACAUUAAGGUUGCAGUCGAUUGAGGGUCGCUUUGAAGUGUGUGUGAUUGGAAUUCCUCAAGUGUUCCUUCUAGAAUAACCUUUGUAUUUGGAUAUACCUGACACAUUGUUGACUGUGGUAACAGUAAUGGUAUUUUGCACAAGCUGAACUUCGAGUGACAUUUCAGUAUUCUACUGAAUUGGCACUACUGACAUCAUAUGGUGAUUCUUUUCUUGUUUUGUUGCACAAGUUGCAGUGAUGAUAUAUAGUGCUUUUGGUUCUGUUGUUUCUGACAUCCAUGUAUCAUUGAAACCUUUGUCUUCAAUCCAGUAAUAGCUUUCUUAUUCAAGACUAAACAAAAGACUCGAGUAUAGAAGGCCAGUGAGUGAAGUACACAAGCUAGAGAAAAUGCCUUAAGCAAUACAACCAUCCAUAGCAUACCUACAUUGUGAAUCCAGCAGUAGUUUAGUGCUAAGUUGAUCUAUGCAUUUAUGAAUUGACUUUAUCAGAGUUGCAUGAUUUGAUUCAUUUGUUCUAAGUCGUCCUGAAUGUUCCUCACUAGAUGGCUGCUGCUGCAUUGCGGUGAAUGGUGAUGUGGUUGCCCAGGGAUCACAAUUCUCAUUGAAGGAUGUUGAAGUGUUGGAUGCUUUGAUAGAUCUGGAUGCUGUAAGUUCUAGCUCCUUCGGAUUUUAGUUGCAGUCAUAUAGUGCUGCUAGUGGUUCCUAAUUUCCUAUUAUUCUUUGAAUUAGUUGGUUUCCAUAAUUGAAGGAUCUUGAAUCAAUAUUAAUGGCAGUAUGAAAACAUGUUUCGUAGGAGUACUUCAGAAUAGGGUAAUCAAGCUACACUCACACAGACAAACAGUUUCUACUCAGUUCUGUAAAUUUGUUAGUUUACUUUCUUUGUUUUUGCCUGGAAGAAUAUUUGCCAACUGUUGCAUCAUUAUAUGCUGUUCAGAAAUUACUUGCAUCUCCACCAUGUUUAAUUUUAUUCUUGUGUUGGUUGAAUUAUGAUUGUGUAUAGGGUUCUCUAAGGUCAUAAGUUUUCGGUUCUUCUCCUUUAUAUUUGUUAAGAGAGCUUUUCUAGCCUGUAAUUACUACUUCUAGUAGAUAACGGUUUAUCCUCGACGUAAUUAUAUGGAUUGAAUUUUCGCAUAACUGAACAUUCUUUUGUGGAACCAGGUAUCGAGUUAUCGAGCAUGUGUUUCUAGUUUUAGGGAGCAAGCAAGCCACGUAACAAAAGUACCUUGUGUUAAGGUACAAUAUAAGCUUUGCCAAACAUUUCGUGAUGGAAUGAUCCCAACUGAUCCAAUUGAGGUUAGUUUCUGUUUCUGGAUUUGAUCCAUUUCUGGAACGCUGCAGUAUAUUAUAUUUUACUUUUUAACCGUGUCCGAAAGAGACCGAUUUGUUUUAGAACCCACCGUAUCGUAGGAUCACGAUACUCUUAGAUUUAUAUUUCCAAUUAUAAUUGUUUUGUGUGUUAUAUCUAAUAAUAUCUGAGAUGAAUUAUCUAACACAAUUUCUUACUAGCACCGCUGGAACAUUUUUUAGCGAAUGCAAAUUGUGCUCCUAAUUCCAAAUGAAAUUGCUGCCCAGCUUGCAACCGUUCGGAUGUCCAUUGUUUCUCCUAUGGAAUGAGAAGAAGCAAAUAUUUGGCCCACUGCCAAAUGAUGACACAGCAGCAACGAACUAGAGUUUAGUACCACAUCACGAAUAACCUAGGCAUGGACAUGCUUAUAAACCUUUGCACGUGCACCGACCUGCUUAAAUUAAGUGGGUUGCCAUGUUGCACUGUUCUUUCUCCUGUUAACCCUGGAGAAGACCUUAUUGUGACCCCAGCUAAUCUACCGAUGGGACCACAGUCUGACAAGUGAUAACAAUUCUAGAAAAUUACAAUAAAAGUGUUAUAUGUACUACUUCGGCCUGUUAGAGUUCUAAGAAUGCAUGAUACGAUCUGUAUCGCUGUCCUGAAAGCCUUGUUCUAGACAGCGCACAAAUAUAGUUUAUGAGAUGACAAAGCUUUGAAGUCAUGUUGGCUAGACGGCUGGUGCAUUAUUAGUUACUAAGCUGCCUUCUUACUUUCAUAGUUGAGUCGAAGAAGUAAAUUCUUGAACUGGGUUAAGGUAUGGUCAUAUGGGUCAAUGGACAACAGGGGUGCUUAGUGAACUUUUUAUGUCUUAAUACUCCGCAAUGAUUAGGAUUUGCCGCUGUCAUAUUUUUGUUUUAUUUUUCUUUGUAGUGCUUGAAAAAAAUCCGAAAUGCGGACCGAGAUGAGUAGUGUUGGAAAGUCAUAUGCAAACUUUGACAAGCCACAGUUGAUUUUUUCUGAAGUUUUGACUAACCUUUUUUUAUCACCUCUGAAGAUUAUGUAUCACUGUCCUGAAGAGGAGAUUGCGUUUGGACCUAGUUGCUGGCUAUGGGAUUAUCUUCGCAGAAGUCGAGCGUCGGGAUUUUUGCUUCCACUUUCUGGUGGUGCGGAUAGUUCAUCUGUUGCAGCAAUUGUUGGCUGCAUGUGCCAGCUUGUCAUAAAAGGUCAGGUCAAAAAGUCUUUCUUAGUUUUCUCCAUUGGCAUAAUUUUCUAUAAAUGCCUUUUGGGAUGUACUAUCUCCUUGCCAAAUUAUGUACUAUAAAUGCCUUGUUUAUGCUUCAUGCAUUGGUUCAUGGAGCCUCUGGGUCAUCAAUUUGGUAAGGAGGAAGUAGGUCGCAGGAAAGUAGUUAAAUAGUUUAUCCGCACACUGAUAUGUCCUCCUUAGAAAAGAAAUAGGAGCUAUUACAUGCCCGUCUGUGCAACUAUCAGCACUGAUCCUCUAGAUAUUCUUAGCUGUAGUGUUCUUAUUCUUUUCAUUUCAGUAAUAGUAGGUUCAUUAAGACAAUACUGCCUAAAUAUAAGGCGUAUUUUGACGGUCCCAGUUCAAGUGUUUAUCGUAAUUAUCUUGUACAUUAUAUUUUUAAGAGCGAGAAAAAUCAUGAUCAUAAUUUCUUUUAAAUACGAAUUGAACAGUACCAAAUUUGUAUGCAUAACCUACACGUUAUUAUCAUCGAAUUAAUUGUUGGUCAAAGCUUGGACUUGGAAGUUAAAAUUUGCCUUAUAUUUCUGAAUGGAGGGAAUAUUUAUGAGGCUAAUGAUCUUUUCAUACACCCAACUUGCAGAUAUAAAUAAAGGAGAUGAGCAAGUUAAGGCUGAUGCUAUGCGGAUUGGUCAGUAUAAAGAUGGGGAGUUCCCCACAGACAGCAGAGAACUUGCAAAACGUUUAUUUUAUACUGUUUACAUGGGAACAGAAAAUAGGUAAUCUUUGGCUUAAGGAUUCAGUUCUUUUCAGUGUAUCUUUCUCUAGAGUACCGUCCUUCUCAUUUGACACGCAUCAGUAUAUUCUCUAUGUAAAUUGAUUAACUUGAUAAUGAUGAUAUGUACUGUAUUUUCUCCCAAGCCCUGCUCGACUUGUAUCAUUUGUGUUAUAUCUCAUGGAACUGAAACUAGCAUUUCGGACAUCCAUGGCGAAAACUGUAUAUCCUCACUUCAGUUCCAUGAGAGUACCAAUGAAAUUGGCAUUGGUUGACUAUUGGGAGAGUCAUCUCAUGGAACUGAAGUUGGCAUUGAUCUCUGAAACCAGGACAAUAUGGUUUACUACUGAAAUAGCUACCAGAAUUUCACAGGCAUUGGACCUUUCACAUAUGCUGCUGAUUGUUUCUUCAUUAAUUUAUAUCUUUAUUAUUUCUUAAUGUUCUUCAUAGAGUGUAUAUAUGCUUUACAUAUACUUUGCUUGCCACAUAGUAUUUUUUUUCCCCCUUAUUCAUAGUAUUAUUUCUCCACAGUUCUGAAGAUACCAGAUCACGCGCCAAAAGGCUGGCGGAAGAGAUUGGUUCAUUCCACUUCGAUGUACCUAUUGACAGUGUAGUGUCUGCAUUUCUUUCUUUGUUUGAAAGGUUAACCGGCAAGCGACCACGCUAUAAGGUAUUUUGAUACCAUGGCAUUCUAAUCUACUAAAGAAACUGCCUAAAUGCAUUCUGCGAACAUCUUUAUUUAUAACAACAUUUUGUUUAUAUGGCUAACACAAAAUGUUGAACUGAAGUUUUUGUCUUAUAUCCUUGGUGGUGGGUAAAUGUUAACUUGUUGAAUGCAAUAUUUGUGAAAUGCAAAAUAUCCCAGACUUAAGUACUCAUCCAUUCUGAAGUAUAUGAGCAGAGAAACAUUUCUUUGUAAUUAUGGAAGUAGAAACUGAAAGAAAACCAAGAACAAGCGCUAUGUGUGCUCCUUUCAAGUACUCCCUCCGUCCCAAAAUAAGUGACUCAAAAAUGACUCAACUUUGUAUAAAGUUGAGUNUAAAGUGGAUAAUCAUUUAUCACAUGGCAUAAAAUUCUGAAAUCCCAUUUCCUAGUUUGAGAAACCAAAUGUUUAAUUUAGAUAACCUACCAAGCAACAACUAUCAUAAAUCAUGAAGUGACCGGGACCAGUGACAUGCUUGCAUUUGGUUCCUUGACAAGCUGGAAGCAGUUGAGGUAAAUUUUGAUGAUCAGUAUCUAUGCUAAAUAAUUCAGGUUGACGGAGGAUCACAUACUGAGAAUCUGGGAUUACAAAAUAUUCAAGCUCGAAUCAGGAUGGUGCUUGCCUUUAUGAUGGCUUCUUUAAUGCCAUGGGUUCAUAACAAGUCUGGGUUCUAUCUUGUUCUUGGAAGCUCAAAUGUGGAUGAAGGAUUGCGUGGUUACUUGACGAAAGUAAGUUAAAAGUUUAACAGAUGUCUGCUCCCUUUUAGAUACAAUGUUCUCACCCAUGUUGGCCCUAGGGAACCAAGUAUAUAUUUUCCUUCAUGAAUCCAUCAUUUCAAGUCAGCACUUGUUGGGACUCUUUGAUAGUCUGUGAUGACAACUAAUGACUAAUGACAAUAACCAUUGCUUCGUCUGUUAAGUAUGACUGCAGUUCAGCCGAUAUAAACCCCAUUGGAAGUGUAAGUAAGCAAGAUCUUAGGGCUUUCCUACGAUGGGCAGCAGUUAAUCUUCAGUAUUCAUCAUUGGCUGAGGUUGAAGCUGCACCUCCUACUGCAGAGCUUGAGCCAAUCCGCAUGGAUUAUAACCAGGUGAGUUUGAACACCCAGAAGUUUGUUACUAGGCCAGCUCUAGUUUGUUGACGGGAACUUGGUGUUCCCAGUGCUUUUGACCCUGCUCCUCCGCCCCCCUCCCUAUUGAUAUUUCGAAUUCAUUAUAGCUUAAAAAUCUAUGUAAUGCUGCUUGUGUCUCGUGAUUGGUAACAGAACAUUGUUUAACUCAGUUGUUACAUUGCCCUCAAAGUAUUCCAUUAGUACUCCCCCCGGUCCUUCUUAGUCUGCAUAUAGGUUUUGUCCGAAGUCGAAGUAUCUCUACUUUGACCAAACUUAUAGAAGAAAGUAUCAACAUUCACAAUCCAAAUCAAUAUUGUUAGAUUCAUUAUGAAAUUUAGUUUCAUAGUAUAUAUAUUUGAUAUUGUAGAUAUUGAUAUUUUUUAAUAUAAAUUUGGUCAAACUGUGCCAAGUUUGACUUCACAAAUCUAAUACGCUAAGUAAAAAGGACUGGAGGGAGUAUAUUAUUCAUUAAAGUUUCAGUUAUACUUGUGCAUACAAUUGUCUUAGCCAGCUAUCCACAAAAAUUAUAUUCCCAAAUAUUCUCGUUUGAUGCUAUUUCCGUUUAAAUAGUUGGAUGAAGUGGACAUGGGGAUGACGUACGAGGAGUUAUCGAUAUAUGGGAGAUUAAGGAAAAUAUUCCGAUGCGGUCCUGUUUCGAUGUUUCAGGUUGGUCUACAGCUGACUUUAUUAUUUGUUUACUAAUCUAAAAUUAGAAUUCAAGGCAUCCUUUUGCUCCACACUUAAGUGUAUGUAUGAUGUCGAGCUUUAGCUGCAUAUUUGACAAAAAAUGUCUGUAAUUCCAUGGGUUAUGCCUAUAUGAGGAAAAUGCCAUUUGUUUGUAGUUACUGUUAUAUGAAUUAUGUCUGCUUUGUCAAGGAGUUUCCUUUUUUUAAUGUUUUUCCAUGGAUUGCAAUACAGUUUCUUUCAGUUAAGUGAUACUUAAAAGGGGAUGGCUACACAAAGUUCAGUGUUUUACUCGCUUGCAUGUUCUUCACCUCUCCUCUCACUACUAUGAUGAAUAGUACUCCCUCCGUCCCAUAAUAUAAGAGCGUUUUUUACAUUAGUGUAGUGUUAAAAACGUUCUUGUAUUAUGGGGCGGAGGGAGUAGAUGGUAGAAAAGGUCCGUUUGAAGUUAAAAAACUGACACUUCCACAUACUUAUUUUGACACUUCAAUAAUAAAACUUACCAAUAGACAUCAGUAAUAAAACUUACCAAUAGACAUCAAAAGUCAAUCUGUGUAAUAACAAUACUGGGAGCAUCCAGUGUUGUUUCUCUAAUGUAUAUAUGUGGUAGGAACCGCUAGGGUUCUACCGGGUCUAGGGCGGAGGUUGUAGGGGAUGAAGCGGAGCUGGCGAGGGCUGGAGCGCGACGGCCUGCGGCGGGGCGCCGUUGCGCGCGAGAGGGAGACGGCGGCGGUGGAAGGCGGCGGCGCAGCUAGGGUUUCGGCUCCUCUGGGAGCCGGGCAAUAGAGUUAUGACUAUAUUGCUUAAUUCCAAAAGAGUUGGUUACAUCGGUUUAUAUAAUCUCGAUAACUUGGACUCUAAGAUAACUUGGACACUGAGAUAACUAAGAUAACUUGGGCUAAGCCCGUAACUAAUCCUGCCCAUUGGGCCUCCUAACAUCUCUCCCGCCUGCGCAAACAGCUCGUCCUCGAGCUGGAAGUCUGGAUAGUGCCGACUGAAUUCGUUGAAAACCGCCCAUCCUACCGGUUGACCAUCAUCCGCCGCUUCCGUCCUAGCCGUCUUCGGGUCAACCGGUAGGAUGGGCGGGGGCGGUCGGCCAUAGACCACCUCGAACUGCGUGGCGCGCAAGGCGAGGUGAUAAGAGGUGUUGUAGCAGUACUCCGCCCAGGCAAGCUAGUCCACCCAAGCACGAGGACGAUCACCUGUAACACAAUGCAAAUACAUGGCAAUCACCUUGUUGACCACCUCGGAUUGACUGUCCGUCUGAGGAUGGAACGCCGUGCUCAAGUCCGCUUCACGCCCGCCAUCCUGAAGAGAUCGCGCCAGACAUGCCCCGUGAACACCGGGUUCCGGUCGCUGACGAUCGAAGAGGGAAACCCGUGUAGGCGAACGAUGCUGUNAGGUGGCGGUGUAAGGAUGGCCAAGCGCGAUGAAGUGGCGUACUUGGAGAAGCGAUCGACCACUAUGAGGAUGACGGACUUGCCGCCCACCUUGGGAAGGCCCUCAAUGAAGUCCAUGGAGAUAUCGGCCCAGACCUGAGAAGGCACCUCCAAGGGCUGUAGCAGCCCUACCGGUCGCUGUGUCUCCGUCUUGUUACGCUGGCAUGUCGCACAAGACCGCACCCAGUCUCGAACCAGGGCCCGAUCGCCCGGGAUGUAGAAGUUGGCGCGGAGACGGUGGAGGGUCUUCUGCACACCCUUGUGGCCUGCCGAGUGGGCCAGCAACAACACCUGAUGACGGAGGUCGCUGUGAUCCGGCACGAAGAGGCGUCGCCCAUGCAGGAGCAGGCCCUCCGCUAAACACCACGGCUCCUUCAGGUUAUCGGCAUCAAGGCGCCGCCGAAGGGACUGUGCGUCGGGCGCGUCCGUGGUGGCCCGGCGGAUGUCGUCGAAGAGGGCGAACGAGGGCCCUAAGCGGAUGCAGAGGGCCGCCCCGUCGGAGUUGCCCGCGUUAGCGUCGUGGUCGUCGCGGCGGGACAGAGCGUCGGUCCAAUAGGAACUUGAGGCUGUAGUGAUACUCGAUGGUGAAGUCGAAGCCAAAGAGCUUGCUGAUCCACUGGUGCUGCGGCAUGGUAGAUAGCCUCUGGUCCAAUAGGAACUUGAGGCUGUAGUGAUGCGUGCGAAUCCGAAACGACCGUCCCCAAAGAUAUGGCCGCCAGUGGCGUAUGGCCUGCACCAGACCAAUGAGCUCCCUCAUAGGCUGCGAGCUUGUGAUGGCGCGUGGCGAAAGGCCUGCUAAAGAACGCGAGGGGCCCGUCGCCCUGAUGAAGGACGGCGUCGAACCCCACGCCGGAGUCGUAGUCGACCAUGAACGGUCGGUCGAAGUCGGGCAUCUGAAGGACGGGACCUGUCGUAAGGGCCCGUUUGAGGGCAUCAAACGCCUCCGUGGCCUCCGAAUCCCAGGCGAAGGCAUCCGCGGGAGUGCGCCGUUGGCCAGGCCGCAACGGCCGCCACCUUGUCGGCGUCCAUAGCAACACCCUCGGUCGAGAUGACGUGGCUGAGGUAGGUGACAGAAGGCGUCCCGAACGAGCACUUCGAGCGCUUAAGAUGAAGAUGGUGCGCUCGAAGCUCGUUGAAGACGAUGGCGACGUGCUGAAGAUGUUUCGCCCAUGUCGUGUUGUAGAUAAGAAUGUCAUCAAAGAAAACAAGCACAAACCGACGCAAGUAGGGCUGGAGGACGUUGUUCAUCAAGGCCUGAAAAGUCGUCGGAGCGUUGGAGAGGCCAAAAGGCAUCACCAAGAACUCGAAGUGGCCGUGAUGAGUUUGAAAUGCCGUCUUUGCGACGUCGUCCGGGUGCAUCCGCACCUGGUGGUAGCCCGAACGGAGGUCAAGCUUGGUGAAGAAGCACGCCCCAUGCAGUUUGUCCAGGAGCUCGUCGACGACCGGAAUGGGAAAUUUGUCUUUGAGCGUCUGGGCGUUAAGAGCGCGGUAGUCGAUGCAGAAGCGCCACGAGUUGUCCGACUUGCGGACGAGGAGGACCGGCGCCGAAAACGGUGAAGUGGAGAUCCGGAUGAUGCCCAGGGCUAGCAUGAGCGAACACUGCCGUUCCAGCUCGUCCUUCUGCAGCUGGGGGUAGCGGUAGGGAUGCACCGCCACCGGCGCCGUGCCUGGCAGGAGAUGGAUGCGGUGGUCAUACACCCGGGCCGGCGGCAGACCCUAUGGCUCGUCAAAGAGGUCGCUGUGCUGCUGCAGGAGAUGGUCCAACAGAGGGUGCACGGACUCGGUAGCAGUCGUGGCCAGUUGCCGCUGUGGCGUCGCUGGUGGGGCGCCACCCGCGCCCUCCCACCGGACGCGGCGACCCAGGCGCCAGAAGGUCAUCGUCAUGGCGUCGAAGUCCCAGAGAAUGGGACCUAGGGUCCGUAAGAAGUCGACGCCGAGGAUGAAGUCGAAGCAGCCCAAGUCGAUGCCAGCGCAUGUGAUGGUGAAGUGUUCGUCGCUGAUGGUGAUGGGGACGUCCAGUGCGAACCCAUGACAUCGGAGACGGUCGCCGUUAGCCACGGUGACCCGCAACUACUCCCCGCCCGUCGGCUGAAGUGCCAAGCGACGCAUGGUCUACUCGGGCAGGAAGUUAUGUGUGGAGCCCGUAUCCAGAAAGGCCAGGAGGCGCUCGCCGUGGAUCAUUUCUGACAGGAGCAGAGUCUUCUCCGCUCGUAUACCCGCGAGGGCAUGGAGGGAGACCACGAGAGCUGUCGCCGGUGCCGGUGCGACCUCCGCAGCAGCUGGUGCGGCGAAGUCGCCGAGCUCGUCGGCGGGCGUGUCCUCGUUGACGUAGUCGGCCGCCUCCAAGUAGAAGAGACGCGGGCAGACGUGGCCUUGCACGUAGGGCUCGUCGCAGUUAAAGAACAGCCCCUGGCAACGGCGCUCGAGCUGCUCGGCCGGGGUGAGCUGGUGGAAGGGCCGCGUCGAGGCCGAAGUGGUAGUCGCAGGAGGGACCGGGGGCGGAUGGCCCGGCACAGCUGUAGGCUAGGGAAACCGGGUAGGCUGUCGGCCACUUCGUGUCGGCGCCGCCUGCUGCAAAGCCUGCGCACGACGCUUGAAGGCGCGGGCGUAGUACAUGGCCGUCUGGAGGUCCUUGGGCCCCCGAAGCUCCACGUCCACGCGGAUGUGAUCCGGCAGACCACCGACGAAGAGCUCGGCCCGCUGCUGAGCCGUCACGCCAGGGCCUGGAACCGGUCGGCGAAGUCCUGUACCGUGGAGGUGAAGGGCAGUUGGCCGAGCUCCGCCAACCGGCUCCCUUGUAUCGGAGGUCCGAAGCGAAGGAGGCAGAGCUCGCGGAAGCGUUCCCAUGAGGGCAUGUCGCCCUCGUCCUGCUCGAGGGCGUAAUACCACGUCUGUGCGGCGCCUCAAAGGUGAUAUGAGGCGAGCCAAGUGCGGUGCGACGCGAGUGUGCAUUGCCCCCGGAAGAACUGCUCACACUGAUUGAGCCACUUGAGGGGGGUCCUCCGUACCGUCGUAGGCGGCUAAGUCAAUCUUGGCGAAGCGCGGCGGUGUCUGAGUAAGACCGCCGUGUCCGUACGGCUCGGUGGUGCGGAGCAAGGGUGACGUUGCCGGGUCGGUGGCCACCGGGGGUCCCCCUUGGAAAGACGGCCCGUCGCGGCUGGCGUAGCGGCCCGCGGAGCUUGAGGGCCCUCCAUACUACACAGCGGUCGCCGGCUGCUCCGACGCCAUCGUGUAGACCGGCAGCGGAACGGACCCGGCCAACCAGGCCGUAAGGGGGGGCGGUGAGGGCGGGAACCGGACUUGCUGGAUCGGGACGCCUGGUGUUGUGGCGGGCGGCCUGGAGAUGAACUGCUGUGGCCCCGGCAGCUGCAGCGGCAAGGGGGCGGCCGGCGCGGCCGACGCCGCAAGCGCCUGAGUCGGCCAGGGCGACCAAGGCAGCGUGGUGGCUGGAGGGGGCGGCAGCUGCAGUGACCAGGCGAUCGCGGGUCCCGGCGGUGGUGGCUGGUGCCUGGGAAGCAGCUGCAACCCGCCGCCGGGGGCAGGCAGCGCCGCCGGUGGCGGACCGUAGGGGCCGGCUAGAUAAAGGCGGAUCCCCUGGACCGCGGUGGCGAGGUCGCGCAGGGCCCCCAUGACCUCCUCCGGGGUGUAGAUGACAGGGGCCGGGGCGGCAGUGGUAGGCGGUGGCGGCUGCCGUACCAGGCGGCGUGGUGGAGAUGGCCGGCAGCAGGGUGGUGGUGGUGAUCGGGAGGGUGGUGGCGGCCGGCGAGGAUGACAUGAUCGGCCUGAAGUCUCUAGAUACCAAAUUGGUAGGAACCGUAGGGUUCUACCGGGUCUAGGGCGGAUGUUGUAGGAGAUGAAGCGGAGCUGGUGACGGCUGGAGCGCGGCGGUGGAAGGCGGUGGCGCAGCUAGGGUUUCGGCUCCUCUAGGAGCCGGGCAAUAGAGUUAUGACUAUAUUGCUUAAUUCCAAAAAAAGUUGUUUACAUCGGUUUAUAUAAUCACGAUAACUUGGACUCUAAGAUAACUAAGAUAACUUGGACACUGAGAUAACUAAGAUAACUUGGGCUAAGCCCGUAACUAAUCCUGCCCAUUGGGCCUCCUCCUUUGGUACGUAGUACCGGUCAUAACAAUAUGUGAGAAUUUUUCAUGAGUUUUAUGGGUUUAUUUUUGAAGUUAAAUAGUGCGGUGGUGCUGCCGUGUGUUUCUAUUGUGUUUAGUAGUGUUUUUUAUUUAUUUCAGUAGCCUUAUUAUUGCAAUGCUUUUGCUGAAAGAAAUGUUGGAUUAGAUACAGGAAAUAACUAGCUGAUCUUUAAAUUAUAAGUGAAAUUAUUGUAGUUAUUAUCAUCGGUGCAAAUAUGUUUCCAAGUAUUAAGUGCUAAAACAUCUUGCUACAGAACCUCUGCCACAGGUGGUGUGGGCGACUAUCCCCCUCAGAAGUGGCUGAUAAAGUGAAGCACUUCUUCAAGUACUACGCCAUAAACCGGCACAAGAUGACGGUCUUGACACCAUCCUAUCACGCCGAGGUGCUCGCCUGUUCCAGUCUGUAGACACAAGACCUGCCGCCUUAUGCUGCUGCUAUAACCUUAGCCUACUAUUUUUUGCAGAGCUAUUCACCAGAGGACAACAGGUUUGAUCUCCGGCAAUUCCUAUACAACUCGACAUGGCCAUACCAGUUUCGGAAGAUUGAUCAGCUUGUGCAAGAUAUCGACAAAGAUGGCAAAUGGGUGGACGAUCGUCGUGCAGACUCGCAGCUGAGACAACGCGCAGCCGCUAGGCCUGCGCAGGGAGGUGGAAUGGGAGUCGUGGCCGCGGGAUCUGCCAAUCCCAGUGUUGGGUUGUAACAAAAUAGGGCAUGCUGACUUACGGAGUAGGUCACGCAAGGUAAAGUGUUUUUUCAGUCAUUAUCUCAGUGGAGCUUUUACUCGGUUAUUAUUACCAUGUCCUGUAAACUUUAUGUUUGUUGGUGGCUUGAGGUGGCUUCUUGGUGCUGAUGGAUACUUUGGCUUUGCUGCAGGUUGGAUAGACUGGAAAACCAGAAUAGUACAUAGAAUAAUUGUCAAGGGCCAAACACAAGAGUUCCUCAAGGCAUGGACGAUUGAUGUUUUGUUUUCAAAUUCUUCUCCCUGCCUCCUCCUUGUCCUUUUAAUUGCACCAGUUCAGUUAACUGAAGUAACUUUGGUUGCACCGUUCAAGUUAACAAUGCGAAAUGCAGUGCCAACUAGGCACAGCAAGUUUGCUGGCCACGUAGGCCGGAACAUAAAAAAACCAAGACGAAGCCGAAAGCAAUCGACAACGCUGACCGGCUUGCAGACGGCACGAACCAUACAAAACAGUAAGCUAUUUAAUGAGUAUGGAGUUUGGCGAGAUAUCUUGUGGUAGAAGUAAAUGAGCAAGUGUACUCUUAGCCAGGUUUAGACGUUUAUUUAAUGAUUGUGCGUGAGAGUUUGGCUGGCAACUUGCAAAGUAGUUUGCACUUUAGAAGGAGGGAAAAUUUUGUUUUUACCAUUCCAGUUUUUGCCUAUUUUCCUUAUGCCACUCUAGGUUUUAACAAUUCACUUUUGUCACUCUUAGCUUUUGACAAUUAUUAUAAUUGACAUUCCGUGACAAAAGCACACUAAUUUUAUUUCACUUUUGCCACUCUUAGAUUUUGACAGUGGAUCAUAAUUGCCACUCUGAAAAUUUUGUUUAUGCCACAGAAUGGCAAUUGUGAUAAUUGUCAACAACUAAGAGUGGCAAAAGUGAAAUGUCAAAUCUAGAGUGACAUAAGGAAAAAUUGGCAAAAGCUAGAGUUGCAAAAACAAUAUUUUUUCCGAAGGAGGAACCUUCUAGCUAGGGGAUAAACUAGAGCAAUGGAGCAGGCUGGAGGAUCUGAUCCUGAUAAGCGGAUAUGGCUCGGCUGGAAAGUCAAAACGGCCAAUUCAGUGUCGAAUCUCUUGCUCUUGCCGUGCAAAGUGUUGGCGAAGUUGCUUUUAACGGGUUUUUAUGGCAGUCUCUGGGUCAAAGCUUCUUCUCUAUGUAGUCCUAAAGAAAAGUGUCACGUGAUCUGGUACUAUGUUUUUUGGGAAAGUCUUACAUUUCACCGACUGAUCCGCGUGAUCCAUCCGCCGUUCGCUUGUCCGUUGGAUUUGGCGUCGAUCUGAUCGCGAACCGUUCCUGAAACUGGAUCGUUGUUUCAGAAACUGGGCAGUUGUUUUGCAAAAUUGCCCAUCCGUGUCUCCGCCUCCGCCUUGGCCCCGACGACCUCGCCGCUGCCGGCCUGCUGCAUCUCGCCGCCCCUCCGCCGCCGGCAUGCCCGCCCCCUUCCGUCGCCCUUGCUCGCCCUCCGCCGCCGCCCCGCGCCACGGCCCCGCCUCGUCGGCCUGCACCGCGGCCCUCCGUCGCCGGCCUGCAUGCCGCCCUCCGCCGCUGCCCCGCGCCACGGCCCNGCCCCGCCCCGUCGGCCUGCACCGCGGCCCUCCGUCGCCGGGCUGCCCGUCGCCCUCCGCUGCCGCCCCGCGCCACGGCCCCGCCCCGUCGGCCUGCACCGCGGCCCUCCGUCGCCGGCCUGCACGCAGCCCUCCGCCGCCCCUGCCCGCCCUCCGCCGCUGCCCCGCGCCACGCGUUCUGCAACUCGACCUUUGUUGCAAAAAGUUUCCUGCAACACGACAUUUUGUUGCAAAAAUUUCUUCCGUAAAAAUACCUAUGUUACAGAAAGACGAAGAAAAAAAUAUUCUGCAACAAGCAAAUUGUUUCUGAAACUCGACCGUUGUUUCAGGAAUUAACAGAUCCAAAGUUUAUUUUUUGCAACAAAGCGAAAGUUUCUGCAACUCGAGCAUCGUUUCAGAAAUUGCGUCCAGAGCGGAUCAGACGCAGCGGAUCGGACGGCUACACGCGCGAGAUCGAACGGCUGUCGAGGUGGUGGAUAUUUAAUAAAUAUCCAUCGGUAGAUGCGUAGCAGUCCCUAUGUUUUUUUGGGUACGGAACUGUAACCGGUGCAACAAAAAUGGCGAUUGGCGAUGGGCGUACGUACUCUGACUGACAGCGGCGUAGAGAAAUGGACCGGAUCGGGUGCAGCUGAGCUUAAUGUUUGCUCCCAUAUUUUAGGUCAGCAGCAAGCACAAGACAGACAUCCUGGAAUAUAGUUGCUGGCCUGGCCACGCUAGCCACGUAUGCGGAUCAUUACGCACGAUCGGGUUUUUCAAUUCCGUUGGAAUCGAAACGGGCGUGGGUGCUUUGGUUGGUGCCAUCCGCUCUGUCUGUCUUGUCAUCGUCGUGCGAGGCAAAAUGUUUCAUUUCGUGUCGGUGUCGCCUGCUCCGUUCACAAGGGUAGUACUCUACUACAUUGCCGGCUUUGAAAAAAAGGGACAGCUACGCAUUCACCGGUUGAUGUGUGUUAUACAUCCAUCACACCGAUAGCCGUUGGAUCUACGUACGGGCAGUGUCCGAUCGAUUUGCUGUCACGUCCUGCUUGUCCCCUACCUCACUCGUUAAUUCCCACAACAACGACUUUGUUGCAGAAACAUUUAUAACAGAGAUGAUGUUGCAGAUUCCUGCAACAAUAGUUUUGUUGCAGAAACAUUUAUAAUAGAGAUUGUGUCGUAGUUUUUUUUUUUUUGCUAAUAAAGGUUAUGUUGCGGAAUUUUUUUGACUAACAGAGGUUGCAAGGUCACCGAUGCAGCUGUGCCUACUGCAGCGCACCCUGCACUCAAUGGAGUUGUCGUGCUUGUAGAUAUGAACCUUCAGGUCGAGGCCAAAGAUGAGCAUCACGAUGAGGACGUCUGGGAUGAUCCUGUGACGACGAUAGAAGUACUGUCAUUCCCGACCAAGCAUCGUAUGGCCGACGAAGUUGUGGACUUGAACUAGCAUGAUGAACACAUUAUUACGCAUGAGCACUGAGCAUGAACAUGAAACACAACAACUAUCUACCAUGCCCAUGAACAAAAUGCACAUCAUGAGCAGCACUAAGCACUAAGCAGAACACACUAUGCUUGAAUAUGAAACACACAACAAUUGGCAUGGCUAUUAAUACAACUAUCCUGCCUAUAAACACUACUAAGCAUGCACAUCAAACACCUAACAAGCAAAAACACUACUAUCCCGCCUAUGAACAGUAUCAUGCAAGAAGGGAUUGAAUACAAUUGAUUCGUUUUGAUUCGAUUGGAAUCAAAUCGAAUCCAAUUCAUGCUAAUGAUGAAAACCCUAAUCUACACAUCUACGAGCAAAGAAGGGAUUUCAUCCUUACCGGAGCGGCUGGAGUGCACGGGAAUCGGGGAGAAAACCCCGACGGGAAGGAGAUGUCCGGUGAAGAAGAGGAGGAGCCGCCAAUGCCGUCGGCCGCCGGCAUUGGCCUGGUGCUUGUGGCCACGUGCGCUGUCAAGGAGGAGGGCGCCAGCGUCCAUGGAACAAACCCUCGGAUGUGGAAGAAAACCCACCAACAGGGGUUCCGACCAACAGCGCGGUCGCGCCCCCUCCGACGACGUCAUCGAACCCAUGUCGACGAGGUCCGGAUACGGCGGAGGAGCUGGAGCGACCGACACCGCAUUGGCUGGACGUGAUGGCUUGGUGCACAGCGGAGACGACGCCCACAGAGCCCGCAUCAGAUCCACCCUAGAGUUCACCAAGCCGGUAACCCCACCGCUCGUGGAUGCGGUUCUGGCCGGCGCUGAUGGGGGUCAAUAGAUGGCACAACGGCGGCCUAUUCACCGAAGGAGAGGAGAGGAGAGCAACGGGGCGUGAGGGGAAUGAGAGGGAGUGGUGUGAAUGGAGGAGUGGACAGUGACAGGAGAGGGAAAGGGAGUUAUGAGACAUCUCGUCCAUCUUCCACGCUUCCCGAGGCAUGCAACCAAGAGCCACGCGUGGGUCGCGCUUCGCCUGACAACGGAAAAACUGUUGAUUCGGCAGUAGCUCGUGGGCCAGGCCCGAAACUACUUUAAGUUCCAUGCAGGUGAAAACAUGGUACAGUCCAAACAACCAAACAAUGUAAUUUCGUCCCGCGAGACCUGGUUAGGGCAUCUCCAGCCGUUUGACCUCUGUAGGGUCGUUUUUUUUCAUCGGCGAGAGGUGAGCCAGCGGAAGUUUUAGGCUGGGGGCUUGUUAUUCCUAGCCGCCUCCCAUGCCACGUAUUUUCCUUGCUUCCGAUUGGUGCAUGCCGCAUGCCGGUCUUGUUCUAUCCGUAGUCCGGUCGCAUGCAUAUGAAGAAAAGAGAGAAGAGAGGAGAGAGAGAUCCAAUAGCCCAUAGUCAGCCAUGCAAAAAAGUAACGCUGGCACACCUAUUCGCCCCAGGGGGCUGGGCACAACCUGUGUCCGCUGACGCAAUUUUUGGUUAAAUCCGACGAAAAACAAGCUCUUGGGGACAUGAAUGAGAAUAUUUUUUCUUUGGCCGGCGUUAGAAAAUGAUGUUGAAAGGCCUUUGGGGAGACGGACGACUGGAGAUGCUCUUCUUUCCCUAAUAAUAAAGCACAUAAUGCUUCUGCCAUACGUCGUGGCUGUUUUACAGUAAACCCCCCGUGUUUUGCCAAAAUCAACCCGCAUUACAUACAUAAGUGGGAGAGCGAAUCGUUCUUUGCAGUUUUAUGAUAAAACCCCUGUGUUUUCCCGAAAUCAACCCGCAGUACGUACAUAAGUGUGAGAACGAAUCGUUUUUUGCAAUUUAUAUAGAAACGUCCUUCAGUUUUAUAUUAAUUAAUCUCCAGUUUAAUUAAAAGUGACAAAUACUUAAAAAAAUCAUAUCUUUUAAACGGUAACUCCAAUUUUAAAUUAUUAUACAUGAAAUUUUAUUAGAAACAUACGUAGAAUCUGAAUAUAAUGUUAGUUUAUUUAUUUCACUUUUUUAAAUUCUGUUUAUAAUGUAAUUUUCAUCAAUAGUGAUGCGUAGAGUCUAAAUAUGAUGUUAUUUUAUUUAUUUAACAAUUUUAAAAUUCUAUUUAUGCUGUAAUUUUAAUCAGUAGGGCAUAAUUCAUUUUUUCGUACUGAAGUCGAUCCGUGUUGCAAAUGAACACCUCGUCAAAAUGAGAUUCUAGACAAAAAAAACUAUCAAUAAUCGGCAAAACAUUACAUGAAAACAGAAAAGUUGAUGUUCACCUUAGGGAGAGAGAGAGUUAGAGAGAGAGCAUAGAUGUAUUCACAAAAAAAAGGCAAUGUAAAUCUGAGUUUAAAUAAAGAUCUUAAGUCAUGAUUAUUAUGUUAGGACGUGUCAUAUGGUUUGUUUUCGUUGCAACGCACGGGCUGUAAUCCAAAUGCCUCUUAGAGGUACCGAUCGAGACAUGCGGAGAGAAAGAGGACGACGAAUUGAGGCGUGGAAGGAAAUACUACCACUUGCGACUACUAUACAAGGGGAGGGGGUGCCGUCUCGUUUACAAGCGUGACCUCGACAGUGACAUCCUUCCUCCUAGUUUUCUGCAAGGUUGGAUCAGCUGCUCCUUUUGCUACGGCCACUCUACACAGAGUACUUUUCUGUUUACUUUGAACCCUCCAAAAAGAUGCUUUUGAUAGUUCUUUUAGAAGAAAGGGGAUUUCUUCCCGAUUACACUAACGAAACCAUAAUACUAGGUCCUUAAUACAAGCUACAACCAUCGGCUCAAACAUGAAACAUGAAAGUUUUGCAAGCUCGACAUAUUACCUUUGUCCUGAUUUAUUAACCACCUUCAUAUUUUGUGCAGAUUUGAUCAUAGGUUUAACCGACAAAAUAUUAAUGCAUGUCAUCAAAAAAUAAACAUAGUUGCAUUUGUAUUUAAACAUAGUUUCCGAUAAUAUUAUUUUUGCUACGUGAAACUUAUAUUUUAUUCGUUAAAAUCAUGAUUAAAAUAUAACACUAAAUAUGACGAGACUAAUAAAUCAGAACGGAGGUAGUCCUCAAAACACAACACAGUACUCUAUAGCUCUUCAUUAUUUGCAAAUAGCUGCCCCUACAACUGCAACACAUAAGAGCAUCCACAACCGACCUUUUCAAGCCUUGCUCAAACGUCCAUGAAUGCAUUCAGUUAGUGACCAGACAUGAAAGAAAAGAAAAAAUAUGUCUAAAUUAACUUUUUAUAUCAUCCAUAUACGUCUCUAUUGUUCACUACGUAGGAUGCGUCCCCUCCAGACCACCUUUUCCUUUUUUUUCUUUCUUUUUUAUCUUCAUCUCACCAAUCACAUGCAAGUGAUCAAAAAUAUAAAAAUAAAAUAAAAAACAUGGCUAUAUAAAAGAAUAAAUAGGGACUCAAAACGGACAUGUCCGGACACUCGCCACGUUCACAAACGUUUAGAGGCCAGAUUUAGUAGUUUCGGUUGGCGGUUGUAGAUGCUCUAAAUAUCGUGUGUCCUUGAGACUGAUCAUGGUCACCUUAGAGCAUUUACAGCCGGAUCCCUCAAAUGACCCUCAUACGUCCGCGAACGCACUCGGUCAGUGACCGGACAGGAGAGAGAAGGAAAAAAGUGACAUAAUCAGAUCCCUCAUAUCGUUCCUAUAUGUUCGGGUUGUCCGUAAACCCUCAUAUCCAUCCCAAAUAUGGUGUGGAUAUGAGGGCUCGCGGACGCGUCCGGGCGCUCCCGCUCAGUCCGUCAUAUAGGACGCGACCCCAUCCUGAAUCAACUAUUUCUUUUCUUUAUUCAUUAUUUUCUCUCCCUCUCUCUUUCUUUUCAUCAAUCACAUGUAAAUGAUUGAAUAUAUAAAGAAGAAAAUAAAAAAUAUGGUUGCAUGGGUGAAUAAAUAGAGGACACGUUUCGAAUUUGCAAGGCCCGACUAUAGAUGCUCUUACUCUACAAGCUGACAAGUAACAACCGACCGCUCUACCACUGAGCUACUGAGGAACAAGGGGGGAUUCGACCUCCUAGAGUUCAACUCCCGCUCUCAACCCAUGAACAAUAUGAGUCCGAAGCUUCUUUCGUAACUUCCAUAAUUUCACCGUGGAAUCUUAUCUUUGUCUGGCUCCGAUCUCUGGAAGCGAUUAAACUUCUUCUACGGGUUAUUCUUCUACUGCUUAUUGCCGGAACUUGUGCACCACUUAUCUGCUUCCCUGGCCACCAUUAGCUAUACAAUACACUCGUCAAGAACGUGUCCAAUAAAUGCAUGUCAUCAAAAAGUAAACAUAGUUGCAUUUGUAUUUAAACAUAGUUUUCGAUAAUAUUAAUUUUGCUAUGUGAAAUUUAUAUUUUAUUUGUUAAAAUCAUGAUUAAAAUAUAGCGUUAAAUAUGAUAGACUAAUAAAUCAUAACAGAGGCAGUCCUUGAAACACAACACAAGUACGCUACAACUUUUCAUUAUUUGCGAAUGGCUACCCCUACAACUGCAACACAUAAGAGCAUCUAUGUUGGCGUAUUCAAAUUCUGCUCAAACGUUCAUGGACGCGUCCAGUCAGUGAUCAGAUAUAAAAAAGUAAAUCUAAAUUAACUCUUCAUAUUAAAAUCCUUACUCUGCAAGCUGACAAGCACCGAGAACUUGUGCACCACUUAUCUGCUUCCCUGGCCACCAUUAGAUAUAAAAUACACUCGUCAAGAACGUGUCCGCUAAACAAGUGUAGGCACACCCCCGGUGGAUCGGAGCAAUUAAGCAAUCAUUGUAUUUUCUAAUGGUGAAUUGGAUUAUUAGUUUGAAUAGAAUCCUUGCGAUUACGUCCUCUUGUGAAUUUUGUAUCGUGAUGAUGAAACUCAUUAACUCAGUCUCUGAUCGGGUCAUAUAUACUGUAUAUAAUCACAACCAUAAAAACAACAAUAAAAAUGAGAGACUUGCUUGGCCAGUUGGAGCUAUAAAAAAAUAUCACGCGAGCGAAACAGAAGAGAAGAGAGCACCAUCAGCUCUCACCAUCCAAAGAAUCCCUCUGCUCGUGCUCGUUGGCUCCGUCCGUGGAAUCUCCGGCCAUGGCCGCGCUGCAGAGCCCGCUCCUCGGCGGCGCCGUCUCGCCGGACGUGAUCCCUCCGCGCCGCAGGGUCCGCCGCCCGUGCGCCGCGCUGGGCAUCGCCGUUGCGCUGCUCGCCCUGGCCGGCGUCCUCCUGCUGCUCCUGGGCUCCGGCGCGGAGCCUGCCGCUGAUCGGAGCCGGAGACCGAGGGUGUCUGGCGCGCGGGAGAGCCGGCACGAGGUGGAGUCCGGCGCGGCCGCGGUGGCGGCGGACGACGGGCGGUGCUCGGAGGUGGGCGCCGCGGCGCUGCGUGCCGGCGGGCACGCCGUGGACGCGGCCGUGGCGGCGGCGCUGUGCCUCGGCGUGGUGCACCCCAUGUCCAGCGGCCUCGGCGGCGGCGCGUUCAUCGUCGUCAGGGACGCGGCCUCCGGCGACGCCGUCGCCCUCGACGCCCGCGAGACGGCGCCGGCCGCGGCCACGCCGGUACGUUUGCUCCGCUCUACUACGUCGCAAUCAUUCAUGAGACCGGCACGACAGCGAAAAGCGAGAGAUUUUUUUCGCUCGCUCGCUCGUUCCGCUGAUGCGUAUGGCAUGUGGGUCCCAUGCCAGCCGCUAUGGUUUGGGCGGGAGGUCACUGUCUGGUGGACCCGUCGUGCUCUUGCUUGAGGUCACUGUGCGGUGGGCCUAACAUGCUUGUGCUCUUUUUUUUCUCUCGCUCAAGGCAUGCUUGUGCUCUCGCUCAAAAUUUAAAUAUUUCAGUUCUAAAAAAUAUGAAUACAAAAUUCAAAUACUAUAUGCGUGUAAAUUUUAAGGUCGAAACGCGUUAAAGCGAGAGGUACACAAAAAAGACAAAUAAGUGGCUUUUUAGCAUAUAGUAUACCGUAUCCUCAAAGUUCAUGAUUUUUUUUUGUUUUCUGUACAGCACACAAUUUAGAGUAUUCAUCCAGAAAUUUUAGACACAUACUUCCUCCAUCCCAAAAUUCUUGUCUUAGAUUUAUCUAGAUAUGAAUGUAUCUAGUCACGUUUUAGUAUUUAGAUACAUUCAUUUAUAUGGUCCAGUGAAAUUUAGCUUAUCGUUGAGCUCGACCCAUCCUUGAACUCGAUGAGCACGACUAGAAUUAGCCUUAGGGCUUGUUCGAUUAAUCCCUUCCAUAAGGGGAUUGGGAGGGAUUACCCUUCAAUCCCCUCCAAUCCCCUCCAAACCCCUUCGAAUCUGAAGUAACCGAACAAGGCCUUAAUUAAUUUCUCUCCCUAGCUGUAGUGGUAAGUCCAUCGAGUUGAAACAAUUUCUUAAGAGAAGGCUUUGCUAUCUUUCCACCUACUCCAUUUCGACAUGAUGAGGGAAAUAAAUAUUACAAUGUGUAACAUGCGAGUGUGACCAAAUGAUUCAUUCACUUUUUUCUAAUAGCUUUGCUAAUGUUUAAUUGCCUGAAAUUAAAUAAUGUCUCACUCGACGAUGCGGUUCGAAAGCAAGUGGAGGCGCGGGCGUGUGUGUGUGCGCCUGUGUGGGAGACUAGACAGAGCACGAGAUGAUUUGGAAGAGGAAGAAGGGGGGCAGCUGAAAAAUGAUGAAUAAUGCUCGAGGGCAGGGGAGGCGUUGGAUUCACAUCCAACCAUUCACGCAAAAUGGACGGAAACAUUUUCAUUUUCCACCCAACUGCUAUAGAUUUCCCCGUAUUUUUUAAUCUUCUCUCUCCCAUCUUUACUCUACUUUACCAUGUGUCAAAACUCAAAACAACGAUUUUGCUGAAUUACGCAAGUCUAAUUAACUCCACGGAUGGUUGGCUGAAAUGAUGUGCAAUGUGUUUACCAGAUCAUGUACGCGGCCGACCCGACGACCAAGUUCAAGGGCGCGCUGGCCAUGGGUGUCCCCGGGGAGCUCGCCGGACUGCACGCCGCGUGGUCGCGCUACGGCCGGCUACCGUGGAAGUCCCUCUUCGCGCCGGCGAUCGCGCUCGCGCGCGACGGCUACACCAUCGUGUCAUACGUGGCCAACGCGCUCAAGGACGAGGAGGUCGACGUGCUUGCCGACCCCGGCCUCCGCGCCGUGUUCGCGCCCGGCGGCCGGCUCCUGCGCGAAGGCGAGCUCUGCCGCAACCCGGCGCUGGGGGACGUGCUGGAGACCCUGGCGGAGGACGGCAUCACGGCGUUCUAUGGCGGCGCCGUCGGGGAGAGGCUCGUGGAGGAUGUGAGGCGGGCGGGGGGCAUUGUGACGGUGGAGGACCUGAAGGGGUACAGGGUCGGGGUGAGCAAGGCCAUGGAAGCUGACGCCAUGGGGUUCACCUUCCUCGGCAUGCCGCCGCCGUCCAGCGGCACCGUCGGCUUGGCGCUGGUGCUGAAUGUAUUGGGCGGGUACAAGUCGGCGGAGUUCCUGAGGGGCUUCCUCGGCGUGCACCGGCUGAUCGAGGCGGUGAAGCACAUGCUCGCCGUCCGGAUGGACCUCGGUGACCCCGGCUUCGUCAACGUCGCCGGCAAAGUCUCCGAGAUGAUGUCGCCGGAGUUCGCGGACAAGAUCCGGCGGAGGAUCGCCGACAACACCACCUUCCCUCCCACCUACUACCUCGCAAAGUACGUACGUUCGAACAAUUUUAUUUAUGGAUGCCAUUGCCGAUCAUCAACAUUUGUGCAUGUGUCGAUCGUACGUACCCUUGCACCGACAAUUGACAUGUUUUGUGUGCGUCGAUCGAUCAGAUGGAGCCAGCUGCGUGACAAUGGCACGAGCCACCUGUGCGUGGUGGACGGCGACAGGAACGCGGUGGCGAUGACGACGACGGUGAACUCCUACUUCGGCGCGCACGUGCUGUCGCCGUCCACGGGCGUCGUGCUCAACAACGAGAUGGACGACUUCUCGGUGCCGUCGUCCAGCCCGACCCCGGACAAGCUCCCGCCGGCGCCGGCCAACUUCAUCGCGCCUGGCAAACGACCGCUCUCCUCCAUGACGCCGACGAUCAUCCUCAAGGACGGGCAGCUCGCCGGCGUGGUGGGCGCCAGCGGGGGCACCAACAUCAUCACGGCGGUGAUGCAGGUGUUCCUGAACCACUUCGUCCUUGGGAUGAGCCCGCUCGCCGCAGUGCAGAGCCCCAGGGUGUACCACAAGCUGGUGCCGAACGUGGUGCGGUACGAGGACGACAUGAUGGCCGACGGCGAGGUCAUCGAGUUCAGCACGGAGGCGAUGGAGUUUCUGCGGGCAAGGGGCCAUGUGCUGGAGAGCACGUUGCCCGGGGCCGUGUGCCAGCUGAUCGUGCAGGACUUGCUGGCGCCGGUCUCCAGGGGCGGGGACGACGGCGGCGGGAAUGUGUUCCACGGGAUGCUGACGGCGGUGAGCGACCCGAGGAAAGGCGGCAGCCCUGCCGGAGUAUGAUGGACAUAUUGUUCAGGCGUGUCAGGUGUACAUACAGUCGAACAUAUUGUUCUGAACCCAACUUCUCACACCUUUCUAAAUUUUACUACCUCCGUCCCAUAAUCUCGAGGGCGAUGGAUGGAGGUGAUGAGCUCCAGCUUCACUCAGUUUGAUAUGACGUCUGCAUAUAAAUUUUAUACGAAGUCAAAGUAUCUUUAGUUUUUCUUGCAAAAAUAUAUAUUUCUACUUUGAUCAAAUUUUUUAAAAAAAAUCAACAUUCACACUGCCAAAUCAAUAUUAUUAGAUUCAUUAUUAAAUGUAGUUUCAUAGUACAUGUAUUUGCUUGGAUGCAGAGUUUCUGCUCCCGAGCUCAUUUGAGUUUGGUGAACAAUAAAUUCGAUAUAUUUUUUAGAAACAUUCAAAAAAUUCUCAAUUUUUUUGUGAGCAACACUGACAAUUUUCUUAAACGCAUGCAAAAAUGUGGCCUGAAAUAAUAUUUUUAUAAAGCAUGGUAAAAAAAACAUAAUCGAUACUCUCAAAAUGCGCAUUUUUAGAGUAUCGAUUUCGUUAUUUUUUGUCACACCUUAUAGGAAUGUUAUUUCCGGCCAAACUUUUUCACGUACUUAGAGCUUUUGUCAAUGUUGUUCACAAAAAAAAAACAAAAUUUUUUAAAUGGUUUUUGAUUUUUUUUUUCAAUUUUUGCGUUCAUCGAGCUCAUUUGAGCUCGGGAGCAGAAGGACACUUUUCUAUAUGCUUGUGUUACAUAUGGAAGACAACCUAAUGAAUGCGUGCAUGCAUAUUUUUAAUUAGGUAAAGGUUUGCCGCUGGUGCGCCGGCCGAACGCUUCGGCCGGUCUCGCCCACUCAUUCGCGUCUACAGUGAAUCAAAUCAGAAGGGCUCAUCAUGUUAUCUCUUUCCUCAUCCCCGCGUCCUUCUCCUUUCUUUUUUCCAACCUUCCAGUUGUCAUGGAAAAUUUUACCCCGACGAUCUCCUCCAGCGAGCCCCCGUCUUCUUCUCCGGCGAGCACCCUCAUAUCCUACUACCGAACGAGUGUCCUUCCCUCGAUUCCCCCUCUCUCAACUGCUCCAUGGCGACCGGACCUACAACGGAUGUGGCCGGCGAAGUUGCAUCCAUGGUCGAAGGCGUAUUUAACUACAUGCUUCAAACGGCAUCGAAAUUUGCUACAACCAGCUGAGGGAGUUCCGGAUUAAGGGUCCUCGAGCAGUCGGGUUAUCCCUCAUGGGUCGAUCAUAUGGGCUGCGUCAUUGAAGAAUCGGAUUAUCCGACGACUACGUGAUCAAGAUGGCAGGCUCUGAAGACAGGCGUGCACUCCAAGGCGGGAUGACCACUGCGGUCCAUCUACUCCCGAUCUAUGUCGGUAACAUGUAACUCUAGGGGCCCCGAUGUCUAUAUAAACCGGUAGCCCUUAUACGCAGGGAGGGUGUCUCAUCUAGGAUUAGCUCGUACGAUCUCGAGGUAGAUCAACUCUGUAACCAUUGUUCCCCAUCAAUAUAAUCAAGCGGGACGUAGGGUUUUACCUCCUCAAGAGGGCCCGAACCUGGGUAAACAUCGUGUCCCACUCUCUCCUGCAACCCAUCGAUCUAAGUUCCAUGGUUCGGGACACCCUACGCGAGAUCUGCCGGUUUUGACGCCGACACCGACACCGCAUUUUGCUACCACCGGUGUCGCAUUUUGCUACAUCGCACAUGACGUCGUGAUUUUUACUACAGUCGAUGCUUCAUUUUGCUACAACCGGCAUAACGUUUUGCUACAUCCAUCACGACUGAGUUGCGACCCGUGACGGUGGAACCAUGCUUGCAUUUGUUGCAACCGUUGAUGGAAAAAAGUUUCAACGAUAAAUGAAAAGUGUUUCAAUCGGCAAUAGAGAAAGUUUCAUCCAGAGAGUUAUUUUGCCACAUACAUCAUGAGGAGCUGGUAUCGACGGUGAGGGGCGACGACCAGGGAUGACCGACGAUGAGAGAAGAUGAGGAAGCGAGGCGUGUGCGGGGGCGACACCCUCCUUUCCUCUCUUUCUUCCAUGCGGGAGGUUGAAGAUGGGAUGUGGAAGAUAACGAGGGAGAUCUGACGGCUACGCGCGUGCAAAUUGAACGGAUCCGGGUUGACCGGCCGAAAUAUUGGGCCGGCGUGCCGGCGCAGAGUACUACCCUUUUAAUUAUAUGUCAUGCAUCCUCCAACGUGCAUGAUUUAUUUUCAGCCUUUGCUAGCCAAUGACCUUGUACUAAGCAUAAAUUCUGCCUGUGCAUCCAACCUACUUAAACUCAAUCACUCUCAUAAUUAAGUCCUUAUUUGAUAGAAGAGGUUUGGAGAGGUUUAGAGAGGAAUAUCCUCGAGCGGUUCAGAAACCCCCAAAAUGCUACACCUACGUACAACUACAUGUUGUUACGUAAUCUUCCUUCACUAAUCUUUUCCGCCCCUUGAUUUCAGUCGGGGUGGGCCCCAGUCACUAAUCCUUGUCCAAUAAAUUACCUCCACAUCAUUCUUCACGUAAAAAUCCUCACGUAAGUUUACUUGGGUCUAGCAUUGCUCCAGAAACCCCAAGAAUUUCGAGUCACCAUUUGGUAGACAGUUUGCGGUAGCAAAAUAAGACCUAUUCUGGGCCAUACAGUGCAUUGUCUACUGCAAAAUGUGUGGCCCACUUGCUCUCGCUGGUAGGCCGGCUCAUGUGUUCAGGCGACAAUUCGCCGCAACGAGCGGUAAAUAAGGUUUUGCAGCAUUUACUGGGCUCAUCUUAGAAGGAAAGCAAACAAUCAUCUACUAAGAGCGGCGUUGCAAAGGACAUACUGGAUGGAGUCCCUUUUUUAUUUCUUUUAGAAAAUAUAUGUUUCAAGGAAUGAAAAAUGACAUUUUUUUGAAAUAAAUACAUAUGUGUGUUCUUCACGUAUGUAUAAAGUUUCAUCAAAAUUUCUGAUCGGUCAAACAUCUUUAUUAAUCAAUAACUAGGUUUACAGGAAUAACAAAAAGGGUCAUGAAAAAGCCCUGCCCCAAGUGGUGUUCCGUUUCCAAGGAAUUAGGAAAUUUAACUAAGUUAUGUGCCUCUUUGUUCAUGUCUUGACCUUCAAACAAAAAAUUCUCAAGCAGUAAACUCAUGUGCCCUCGCACUGAUCUCCCUGAUGAUAGGUCUGUAUCUUCCUUCAGUUCCUCCUUUAAUCUCCAAAACAACAGAUUUGCAGUCACAUGAAAUGACAAUUCUUUGUAGUGAGAGGUCUAGAGCAAGAACUAUAGCUUGACGACACGCAAGCGUUUCCAACGUUGCCGGAUCCGUUAACAACAAAGAAAAAGCCCACUGUAAUCUAUGCAUUUGUUGUUUUUGUUUACAUCACAUAUGGACAUAUAUAUUCAUGAAAUUUUAUAUGUAUAUACUACAAAAACAUGUCUAAAUAUACACUUUUCCAUAUUUUUUUGAGGUAUGAAAAAUGUAUUUUUUAGCUGGAAAACUAAUAAAGAGCUCUAUGGAGCUCGACCUCUGCUUCCACUUUUCGGCAUCUACUGGAUUAGGGUUGGACCGAUGCACGCAUGUAAGUUGUUAUGUGUUGAAAUCAGAUUAAACAGCAACAAAAUUGACCAAUGCAUCGAAAUCCAACAGGGGGAAUAUAAAUUGAUUGGGAUGCUUUUGAUCUUUAGCUGAUCAAAAUUGAUAAAAGACAUAAAAUAAGAUUUCAACUGGUACUAGAGACUAUAUAUAUAGCUAGUUGUCCAAGGCGAUGAAUGCUUUCAGCAGCUCCUUGGCCACGUCCGGGGUGGAGAUGAAAUCGAUGCAGUAGUCUUCAAGCCCCUUGCAACGGUGACGGCGCGCCAGCUUCACAGUGGCCAACACGUUAUCUUUUGUCAAGGACUCGCACAAAAGGUUUACACACAUGGCCUUCAAUCUCCUCAGCCCAAACCGGCACGCUGCCGUGAGCAUGCAUGUCCCCAGCCAGCAAUCUAGUACCGUCCCCAGGAAGGAGCUCGUCGGUGUAGAUAAAAUGGAGCACGGCCUUGAACACCGCAUCCUUCAUGACAGUGGAAUGAUCAUCCUCCUCCUCCUUGGUGCCCGCCACCGCGCCGUGUAAGGCCGGUGACCGCGCGGCGAUUACGAGCCUGUGCGCACGGAUCUCGCUCUCCUCGACUAGGAAGCCGACGUCCGAGCCAUUUUUGUAGAGUUAAUCAUGUUGUUUUUUUAGGAUUAGGAAAGAAAGCCAAACCGAGUCAUAGUAGUAUUAGGAUUCCUAGUCCUAGUUUAUUUUCAUAGUCCUUUGUGGACGUGUAUAAAAGACAUCCUAGGGGUGUUGAUUGUAACACCAGAAAAACGAAAAGCAAUACAAAGCAAAGGCUCGACACGGGCCUUUUAGCCAUCAAAUCAAUCGAUCAGUUUUAUUCGUGUCGCUAGUUACACAAGUUCCGUCAAGUAGCCGGCUGAAGCAAGAAUCGCGUAGGCACGCCUGUACAGCUGCAUACGCACGUUCAAAAGCCAACAAUUGGUAUCUAGAGCCUCGACGAUUUACGAUCUACGAUGACGGACAGUGACGCUGAGUCGGUCAAGUCCGGCAGCGGCGGUGCUAAGGCGAACAAGAACGGCGACAAGGUGAAGAAGGGCGUCAAGUCAGCAACCAGUGGUGGAGGAACGAGCGGCGCCAACGUCCAGUCGCAUCGCAACAUCGCCAUCCAGUACCCGAUGCUCACGGACGCCAACUACGGCGUGUGGGCGGUGAAGAUGAAGAUUAUUCUCCGAACCCUCCGAGUGUGGCAGGCAAUCACGGACGACGACGUCGAUGACGAGUCCGACGAAGGUGCCAUGGCCGCCAUAGCCUAGUCCGUGCCGGAUUCCGUGCUGAUGACAUUGGCGGAGUUCGAGACGGCAAGAGAGGCGUGGAACGCACUCAAGGAGAUGAGGAUCGGAGAAGAUCGCGUCACCAAGGCACGGGCACAAGUGCUGAAGCGCCAAUUUCACAAGUUGCAGAUGGAGGAAACUGAAUCGGUGAACGACUAUGCCAUGCGUCUUACUACUUUGGUGGGAGAGAUCCGCGCGCUUGGUGCAAAGCUCAAGGAGACCGAGAUUGUGAAGAAAUUUUUCAGUUCAGUGACUGACAAAUUCACGUACAUCAUCGGCACGCUCGAGCAGCUUUACGACAUCGACGACAUGACCAUAACGGAGGCGAUCGGACGCCUGCGAACGUGGGAAGAGAAUGCUCGUGGCUGUCGAAAAGGCAAAGGAGGAGGUAGUGACCAACUCAUGUACUCGCGCGCAGAUUGGGAGGCCCCAAGUAGCAAAGGAAGACGUGACGGUGGCGAAGGCUCAAGUAACACGAAGGGCGAUGGACAAACCGGAAAAGGCAAAGGAAAAGGCAAACCACAAGGUCGUGGUAAGGCGGGCCAAUCUAAAGAGCAGAAACCACGGAACUUGGACUUGUCCGAGGUCAAGUGCUAUAACUGCAAUAAGAUGGGUCACUUUGCGAAGGAUUGUCCAAAGCCUAACAAGCGGGAGAUCAAGGCAAAUUUGGCAAAGCAGGAAGACGAAGGUCCAGGUCUUCUGAUGGCCGAAGUUUGUGAUCUCGCUGAAACGGUGGUUGUGAAACCAAGCCGGAAGGUGCUACUUCAUGAGGAAAAAGUGACACCAAAGUUAUCCGGUGAUCAGAACGUGUCGUGGUAUCUCGACACGGGUGCCAGUAACCACAUGACGGGGUGCAAGGAGAAAUUACUCGAGCUGGAAUACGAUGUUGAAGGCUCGGUCAAGUUCGGUGAUGGUUCAGCUGUGGAGAUUUGCGGGCAAGGAUCUGUCCUCUUUGAGGGUCUCACAGGCGAACAUCGCAUACUCACCGGAGUGUACUACAUCCCACGGCUGCGCAACAACAUCAUCUCUAUUGGGAAGCUUGACGAGAAUGGAUGCAAGGUGAAUAUCGAGAGCGGAGUGAUGACGAUCUUCGACAACCUCCGAAACGUGCUAGCUCGUGUUAAUCGCACACGGAAUAGGCUAUAUAUCCUCAACCUUGAUCAAUCUCAACCGGAGUGUUGGCUCGCCAAGAGUGAUGAUGAUUCGUGGUUAUGGCAUGCUAGAUUUGGACACGCUAACUUCUACACCUUGAAGAAGAUGUCAAAGAUGGAGAUGGUAUCCGGGAUGCCAGUUAUCGACCAUGUUGAUCGAGUAUGUGACGGGUGCUUGGUUGGAAAACAGCACCGCAGGCCAUUCCCUGCUCAGUCUACCUAUCGUGCAAGUGAUGCACUCGAGCUGCUCCAUGGUGAUCUAUGUGGCCCUAUCACCCCGGCAACUCACGCUGGAAAGAAGUAUUUCUUCCUUGUGGUAGACGACUACUCGAGAUAUAUGUGGGUCAUUCUCCUACGAUCUAAAGAUGAGGCGUUUGAAGCAUUCAAGAAGCUGAAGGCUGCAACAGAGAUGGAACACAAGCUGAAGGUUCGCGCUCUACGGACAGAUCGCGGCGGAGAGUUUACGUCGAAUGAGUUCAACGACUACUGCGAGAAGAUUGUCAUAAAGAGGUUCCUCACGUCACCUUACACGCCGCAGCAGAAUGGGGUCGUUGAAAGGCGCAAUCGAACCGUCGUUGACAUGGCAAGGAGUUUACUCAAGAGCAAGAACCUGUCGGGGAUUUUUUGGGGAGAAGCUGUCUCGACGGCGGUCUAUCUUCUCAACCGGGCUCCAACGAAGGCGGUGAUCGGCAAGACCGUAUGAAGCAAUUUACGGACGUAAGCCGAAUGUGUCUCAUCUACGGACAUUCGGGUGCGUGGCACAUGUGAAGACGGCGGAGCCGCACCUCUCAAAGCUUNNNNNNNNNNNNNNNNNNNNNNNNNNNNNNNNNNNNNNNNNNNNNNNNNNNNNNNNNNNNNNNNNNNNNNNNNNNNNNNNNNNNNNNNNNNNNNNNNNNNUAGCAGGUUCGAUGUAGUGCUUUGUAAUAGUGUUCUAGUUACGUAAUGAACGAGUGUAAGAUUCUUGUUUCUUGAUCAAUAUAUGGAUGUGGGUGUUAAAAAAAUAGUGUGGAUACAAAUAGAUAAACAUGUGUGCUUUCAAUCAAACAAAUACAUCACGUGGCUACAGUCUACACAUGAAUCUUUUUUAGAUGAGCGGGCAAGAUGCAGUUUUAUGUUACAAAGUUGUACUAAAGUUGCUUCAAUUAAUUUGGAUCUGAAAGAGUAAUUAAGCCCGAUGUAGACCGGUUAAACUGUUUUUCAGUUUAAUCAUACAAUAUUAUUUGUCACUUAGUAACAUUUUCCCCUUACGAUCUACAGCAGCACACAUGAAACACAUAUUUAAUUUUAGUUUUCCAGUCACUUUCAUUCUUUCACACCAUUAUGCCACAAAAUUUUGAUAUGGGUUGUAGGUCCAUGUACUCUUAUUAUCUGGGCCGUUCAUUCGAAUCUUUCAAGAUAUGGGAUAGAGCCAUAUCGUGGCGUCCACUACUACUAGGCACAACGAUGUGGCUCUAUCCCAUAUCCUAGGAUUAAUAGGAACUAUUUGACUUAUUUGACUCUUCUUCUUCCAUUUCUCAGGACAAAGAUGAUGAGAUUUAGAAAUAUUAAAACCGCCAAAAAAAAUCAGGGGAGCACAAGUUGUCCUAACCUGUUGAUAAUAAGGAAAUCGUCCCAUCAACAACACCAACAUGUUUGUCUUAAAAAGUUAAAAGAAUAUGUUUGUAAAAAGUUAAAAGAACAUUUGUCUUUACGUACAGCUAGAUGAAUAACAAUACAAUUAAAUACAAUUUAUACCAUGCAUAUAAAAGAAAGAAAACCAUGGUCAGAAAUACACAAAACACAUGCAUGUCGCUCAAAAAAGAUGACACGUAAAAAUAAAGUAUUGAAGCUUCUUUUGGGAAAUCUAAAGAGUCUUGAUGCUUCACGCUAAAAAAUGAGCAUAUGUCUAAUUGAAUUAAUAAUAAAUUUCAUACCCACCAUGAAAAAAAGAAUUUUGGACAAACGAAUGAAAAUACAAAAAUCACUCCCUAAUAGCUUCCAGAUAAUACCACUCCUAGGUCAACAGAGUUUUAAUACAUUUGGAGAAAUUUGCAUAAACUGCAUGCAUGGAAAAUUCAUAUACAAACAUAAACUAUUCUUCCAGAAUAUACUUUUUCUAAUAGGGGGGUUUGCCACGCAGAUGAUUGUGUAUUUCAAAUAGGAAUAUUUCCAAACCACAUCCAUAUACUUCUACAAAUAAAAUAAUUUUCAAUUAUUAAGAUAUACUCUAAUAUUUAAAUUGAUGCUAGGAUAUAUUAUUAGUUCCGAUGCUAAAAACAACAUCCACGUCGCAAUUCCCACAAAAACAAAAAUGCUUUGCAUGUACUCUUGGAUAGAGGAAAAUUGCACAUGCAAAUAAGGUGCCNNNNNNNNNNNNNNNNNNNNNNNNNNNNNNNNNNNNNNNNNNNNNNNNNNNNNNNNNNNNNNNNNNNNNNNNNNNNNNNNNNNNNNNNNNNNNNNNNNNNUACACGCGCGAGAUCGAACGGCUGUCGAGGUGUGGAUAGUUUAUAAAUAUACCAUCGGUAGAUGUCGUAGCAGUCCCUAYCGUUUUUUUGGGUACGGAACKUGUAACCGGUGCACAAAAAUGGCGAUUGGCGAUGGGCGUACGUACUCUGACUGACAGCGGCGUAGAGAAAUGGACCGGAUCGGGUGCAGCUGAGCUUAAUGUUUGCUCCCAUAUUUUAGGUCAGCAGCAAGCACAAGACAGACAUCCUGGAAUAUAGUUGCUGGCCUGGCCACGCUAGCCACGUAUGCGGAUCAUUACGCACGAUCGGGUUUUUCAAUUCCGUUGGAAUCGAAACGGGCGUGGGUGCUUUGGUUGGUGCCAUCCGCUCUGUCUGUCUUGUCAUCGUCGUGCGAGGCAAAAUGUUUCAUUUCGUGUCGGUGUCGCCUGCUCCGUUCACAAGGGUAGUACUCUACUACAUUGCCGGCUUUGAAAAAAAGGGACAGCUACGCAUUCACCGGUUGAUGUGUGUUAUACAUCCAUCACACCGAUAGCCGUUGGAUCUACGUACGGGCAGUGUCCGAUCGAUUUGCUGUCACGUCCUGCUUGUCCCCUACCUCACUCGUUAAUUCCCACAACAACGACUUUGUUGCAGAAACAUUUAUAACAGAGAUGAUGUUGCAGAUUCCUGCAACAAUAGUUUUGUUGCAGAAACAUUUAUAAUAGAGAUUGUGUCGUAGUUUUUUUUUUUGCAAUAAAGGUUAUGUUGCGGAAUUUUUUGACAACAGAGGUUGCAAGGUCACCGAUGCAGCUGUGCCUACUGCAGCGCACCCUGCACUCAAUGGAGUUGUCGUGCUUGUAGAUAUGAACCUUCAGGUCGAGGCCAAAGAUGAGCAUCACGAUGAGGACGUCUGGGAUGAUCCUGUGACGACGAUAGAAGUACUGUCAUUCCCGACCAAGCAUCGUAUGGCCGACGAAGUUGUGGACUUGAACUAGCAUGAUGAACACAUUAUUACGCAUGAGCACUGAGCAUGAACAUGAAACACAACAACUAUCUACCAUGCCCAUGAACAAAAUGCACAUCAUGAGCAGCACUAAGCACUAAGCAGAACACACUAUGCUUGAAUAUGAAACACACAACAAUUGGCAUGGCUAUUAAUACAACUAUCCUGCCUAUAAACACUACUAAGCAUGCACAUCAAACACCUAACAAGCAAAAACACUACUAUCCCGCCUAUGAACAGUAUCAUGCAAGAAGGGAUUGAAUAUCAAAUUGAUUCGUUUUGAUUCGAUUGGAAUCAAAUCGAAUCCAAUUCAUGCUAAUGANNNNNNNNNNNNNNNNNNNNNNNNNNNNNNNNNNNNNNNNNNNNNNNNNNNNNNNNNNNNNNNNNNNNNNNNNNNNNNNNNNNNNNNNNNNNNNNNNNNNUAUAUCUCUUCUUUUCAGUACAUGUACUUGUAACGAUAUCCAUUCUUGCGACACGACGAGAUGCGCUUCUAUCCCUGACGAGGCCCUCGUGGCAAAUUGAGGAUAGGGUCGCAUCUUGGGCGUGAUAAGUUGGUAUCAGAGCAGUACCGACCUAGGAGCCCCCUUGAUUGAUCGAACUUGGGCGAGUCGAGUCUAGUGAAAAACUACUUUGAGUCUAGUUAUAUAUCGGAGAGUAGGAUUCUUUUGUUCUCCUUUUCUAUGCUCUCGUGAGGAAUCUUGACGUAAUAUUUUAAUUAUACUCCUCUUCUCGCUCAAUUUUUUUUUUAGGAUCACGCGGAUAUUUUUGGAGUCUAUAUGAUGCCGAUGUGACGAAGUUCUGUCUUGGUGCCUCUCAACUGAUUUGAUUUUCUUCCGGGGAGUUGAGCUCCACGGGAUUCUCGAGCACAUCGUUAUCAUUCAGAUUUCUUAGUAUCUCAGAACGAAGGAUGUUCGUAAUUGCUUCAAUACUAGUAGUGGCGAGAUAACCCCGAUGACUCCAGUACUGCUGCAGAUUGUUCGGGAGUACUGCCAUACUUUGUAUCGUUGUGAUCACGAGGGUCUGUUGUAGACGAAGGUCCGAGAUUCUGGUCGUGUGUUGACGGAUGUGAUACAAGUGACGGGUUAGUAUAGGAGUUGUGUGUUAUUACUCCUUGUAUCCGUGUACCAGAGUGCAUGACCAGAUAUUUCGGGAAUUCAUAGGUGAGAAUUCAAGUAGUUGCUUAUAGGACAAUCUUUCAACAAAUGCAUGAUGUUAGGUUGGGGUUCAACAUCUAGUGGAUUCCUGUCCACGAAAAUAUCGAACGAAAUCUUUCUCAUGAGUUUGUUCUGGCUUGUUUCAUAAGCCUCAUCCUUUGUUUUGUUGAAUAUGGUAAUUCAAGUUGCUUCGAUGUCAAGUGGUGAUUAAUGGGAGUGAAUUAAAUAAUUAAGCAUGGAGUUUCGUCGAUAUGCAACCCGUUGCAUAUCGAGCUUCAUUUAAUGUGUAGUGUUUGCGUGAGGUGAAUUGCCAUGCCAUCCCUUGCAUCAUUGAUCUGUUCAUGCAUCAUAUUAGGUUGUGCAUCAUGUUGUGCAUCGCGUGGUGAAUAUUUGUGUUGAUGUUUGUUUCUGGUUUGCUCCGUCUCGAUAGAGUUCCGCAAGCGUGUCAGAAUGUGAGGACCCGUUCGACUACGUGGUUCGCCGACUUCUCGGAGUUGAUCCUCUUCCAAGCGGGAUCUCAGGUAAGAUGACCAUUUCCCCAGAUACCAUUACUAUCAUUGCCAUGCUAGUUUUACCGCUUCUAUCAUUUAUCUCUCGUUGCCUACCACAUGUUGAAUAUCAGCCUCUCUACAAUGCCAUGAUAACCUUCAACUGUUCAACCUAGCAAACCACGGAUUGGCCAUGUUACUGCUUGCUUAACCCUGUUAUUAGCGUUACUUGUUGCAGGUGUAGUUGCUUCCAUGUGAUAACAUGGGUUCCUUGUCAUAUCACCAUAUUAAAUGCUAUUUAAUUUAAUGCACCUAUAUACUUGGUAAAAGGUGGAAGGCUCGACCUUUCUAACCUGGUGUUUUGUUCCACCUUUGCCCCCUUAGUUUCGGCUACCGGUGUUAUGUUCCAUAAUUGAGCGCUCCUAACACGAUCGGGGUUGUUAUGGGGACCCCCUUGAUAAUUCGUUUUAGAUUAAAGCUGGUCUGGCAAGGCCCAACUUUGGUACUACAUUUGCCUAACAACUAAUGAACCGCAUAGGGAGUAAUUAACCCGAGGAAAUUUAAUCAACCCCCGGGCUAGUGCUCCUCAUGAGUGUUGGUCCACCCACCUAGCAGUCGGCGGUGCCACCACGGGGCAACUCGAGGUUUGGUUCCCGUCCACUUUGCAUAGACGGUGUGUCCUGAGAACGAGAUACGCGGCUCCUAUCGGGAUCGUCGACACACCGGGUGGCCUUGCUGGAUUAGUUUUACCUUUGAUGGAAUAUCUUGUGCAUCGGGAUUCGGGUGAUGCUUUGGGUAAUCUCAGAGUUGAGGUUUUCCACUAGGGAAUCCGACGAGAUCGCGAGCUUCGUGAUUGAGGAUUUCUAUGCGGCUUGUGGUAAUUUGUGAUGGACUAGUUGGAGCACUCCUGCAGGGUUAAAUCUUUUCGGAAAGCCUUGCCCGCGGUUAUGUGGCAACAUGGAAACUUUGUUUAACACUGGUUCUAGAUAACUUGAAGUUAACUUAUUUAAAAUAUGUCAACUGUGUGGGUAACUGUGACUGUCUCUUUCGCGAGUUCCUUCUCCGAUCGAGGACACGGUGGGGUUAUGUCUGGCGUGGAUAGGUGUUCAGGAUCAUUCAUUUGAUCAUCAGUAGUUCACGUCCGCUAUGCGUGAUCUUCCCCCUCUUAUUUCUUGUACUCGUAAGUUUAGCCAUCAAAUAUAUGCUUAGCCGCUGCUGCAACCUCACCACUUAACCAUGCCUCACCCAUUAAGCUUUGCUAGUCUUGAUACCUUUGGGAAUGAGAUUGCUGAGUCCCCUGUGGCUCACAGAUUACUACAACACCAGUUGCAGGUACAGGUAAAGGUUACUUGACGCGAGCGCAUUGAUUGUUCAUUUGGAGUUGCUUCUUCUUCUUCUUCUUCUUCAUCGAUCUAGGAUGGGUUCCAGGCCGGCAGCGUGGGAUAGCAAGGAUGGACGUCAUUCUUAUUUUCUCGUUUGUUUUCGUCCGUAGUCGGACCUUGCUCUUACUCUUGAUGAUUAUGUAAUGUACUGAUGUGACUCUGAUGUAGCUUGUGGCGAGUGUAAGCCAAUUCNNNNNNNNNNNNNNNNNNNNNNNNNNNNNNNNNNNNNNNNNNNNNNNNNNNNNNNNNNNNNNNNNNNNNNNNNNNNNNNNNNNNNNNNNNNNNNNNNNNNUACGCCAACAUAGAUGCUCUUAUGUGUUGCAGUUGGUAGGGGUAGCCAUUCGCAAAUAAUGAAAAGUUGUAGCGUACUUGUGUUGUGUUUCAAGGACUGCCUCUGUUAUGAUUUAUUAGUCUAUCAUAUUUAACGCUAUAUUUUAAUCAUGAUUUUAACAAAUAAAAUAUAAAUUUCACAUAGCAAAAUUAAUAUUAUCGAAAACUAUGUUUAAAUACAAAUGCAACUAUGUUACCUUUUUUGACCUUGACGAUCGUCGAUUAUUGGACACGGUCUUGACGAGUGUAUUGUUAUAGCUAAUGGUGGCCAGGGAAGCAGAUAAGUGGUGCACAAGUUCCGGCAAUAAGCAGUAGAAGAAUAACCCGUAGAAGAAGUUUAAUCGCUUCCAGAGAUCGGAGCCAGACAAAGAUAAGAUUCCACGGUGAAAUUAUGGAAGUUACGAAAGAAGCUUCGGACUCAUAUUGUUCAUGGGUUGAGAGCGGGAGUUGAACUCUAGGAGGUCGAAUCCCCCCUUGUUCCUCAGUAGCUCAGUGGUAGAGCGGUCGGUUGUUACUUGUCAGCUUGUAGAGUAAGAGCAUCUAUAGUCGGGCCUUGCAAAUUCGAAACGUGUCCUCUAUUUAUUCACCCAUGCAACCAUAUUUUUUAUUUUCUUCUUUAUAUAUUCAAUCAUUUACAUGUGAUUGAUGAAAAGAAAGAGAGAGGGAGAGAAAAUAAUGAAUAAAGAAAAGAAAUAGUUGAUUCAGGAUGGGGUCGCGUCCUAUAUGACGGACUGAGCGGGAGCGCCCGGACGCGUCCGCGAGCCCUCAUAUCCACACCAUAUUUGGGAUGGAUAUGAGGGUUUACGGACAACCCGAACAUAUAGGAACGAUAUGAGGGAUCUGAUUAUGUCACUUUUUUCCUUCUCUCUCCUGUCCGGUCACUGACCGAGUGCGUUCGCGGACGUAUGAGGGUCAUUUGAGGGAUCCGGCUGUAAAUGCUCUAAGGUGACCAUGAUCAGUCUCAAGGACACACGAUAUUUAGAGCAUCUACAACCGCCAACCGAAACUACUAAAUCUGGCCUCUAAACGUUUGUGAACGUGGCGAGUGUCCGGACAUGUCCGUUUUGAGUCCCUAUUUAUUCUUUUAUAUAGCCAUGUUUUUUAUUUAUUUUUAUAUUUUUGAUCACUUGCAUGUGAUUGGUGAGAUGAAGAUAAAAAAGAAAGAAAAAAAAGGAAAAGGUGGUCUGGAGGGGACGCAUCCUACGUAGUGAACAAUAGAGACGUAUAUGGAUGAUAUAAAAAGUUAAUUUAGACAUAUUUUUCUUUUCUUUCAUGUCUGGUCACUAACUGAAUGCAUUCAUGGACGUUUGAGCAAGGCUUGAAAAGGUCGGUUGUGGAUGCUCUUAUGUGUUGCAGUUGUAGGGGCAGCUAUUUGCAAAUAAGUGAAGAGCUAUAGAGUACUGUGUUGUGUUUUGAGGACAWACACUSSGWKSWGAUUUAUUGGGUGCGCUACUGAUAUAAAUAAAAAUGGUGUUACUCCAUUUAGCAAUUGAAUUUGAUUAUAAAUGAUUUUUAGGUAAUAAACUAUGUAUGAAUUCUUCUGAAUGUUGCUUUGGCGUACCAACAUUGCUGUGGAUUUGAGUGAAUUUGUUGUUUUGAAGUUGUUUGUUCGUUGGAAACAGAGCUAGGUUUUAGCAUUGUCAUAUUUAUGUAGCUAGCUAGCUAGCAUGUGUAUCCUUGUAAUUUACUGAAUUUACACUCCAUUGAAUUUGUUUGUUUCUGAAGAAUAUUGUGUUUACUGAAUUUUCAGGAUGGUAGUGAACUGUGGUGUGGUGCAAUGGGUAGAUGCUCCCAUGAUGACUAAUUCUGCAAAGGUGCUUAACUAAGUUGUUGGAUAUGUACCCUNAUGAGCUAGAACUUUGGUAGAGUCCAGGAUAAUGAGGCUCAUNNNNNNNNNNNNNNNNNNNNNNNNNNNNNNNNNNNNNNNNNNNNNNNNNNNNNNNNNNNNNNNNNNNNNNNNNNNNNNNNNNNNNNNNNNNNNNNNNNNNGGGACUUUUUUAAGUCCCAAAACCAAUAAGUCCCUGAAAACAAACACCCUCUAAACCAAACACAAGGGACUUAUUGGGACUUAUUGUGGUGAUUUGGGACUUAUCAAAUAAGACUCUAAGGGAGGAGCUUAUUGGGACUUAUCCCGGGCCGGACCUACCCCGCGUCGCUCCAGGCUCGUUCCCUGCACGCUGCCCCGCCUCUCGGUCCAAUCGCCGCCGCCGCCCCGCCUCUCGCCCCGUCGCCGCCCCGCCUCUCGCCCUGUCGCCGCCCCGCCUCUCGCCCCGUCGCCGCCCCGCCUCUCGCUCCGGUCGCCGCCCCGUCGCCACCCCGCCUCGGUUCGUUCUGCCUCGGUUCGCCGCCCCGUCGCCGUCCCGCCUCGGUUCGUUCUGCCUCGGUUCGUUGCAGCGGUGCCUCCAAUCGCCGGACAGGCUCUCUCCUGAGCCUCGUUGCAGCGGUGCUUAUCCUGUGUGCCGUACGCGUUGGCUGAUGACGAUCCAUGUGAACAAGUGUAUUAUUAGGUGCAACAUGGACUUAUAAGUCCGUGUAAACAAACAAGUAGGGACUCGGGACUUAUAAGUCCCGGUAAACAAACAGGUAGGGACUUAUGACUUAUAAGUUGGGACUUAAAAAAGUCCUAGGACUUAUGAAAUAAACAGGGCCUAUGGCUCAUGUGUGAGAACAUAUUGUCCGAGAGCAUGUGUGUCGCGUCAGUCAUGUCAACGUUGAUGGAGGUCCAAGGCCGGCAUAGCUGCCGGGCGGUGGAGGCCUCAUGCAUCGAGUACAUGGCAUCAGAUCCUGCCGUCUAUGCCGCCGUGAAGGCGACAGAUGACUACAAGGAAUUGAAGGAGAGUUGUUGCUCUUUCCUACUCGAGGUCGCCGAGAAAGUAGCAGCCGUCAACAUGGUUCAUAACAUGUGCUGCAAUGCUCCUUCCUCCUCCGGCAGCCGGCUGCAGACGGACGCGUCCACGCUUACCUCAUUGGAGGUGGUCGAGGGCGCACACGAGUUUAAAAUUCCGUGUUUUCUCUUUGUGCAAAGGAGGCAUGGAGUUGGCAAAGAAAUCAGUUCGGAAGCUUUCCAGGUCGGUGGUUACAGUUGGAAGAUAAAGGUAUACCCGUCGUCAUCAUCAGAGAAGGCACAAGGGCACAUCUCCGUGUACGCCGAGCUAUUGACUGAUCCUGGAACCGAAGGUAUCAACGUCACAUUGGGCUUCAAGUUGGAUGAUCAUAGUGGCCAGUCACGGCAUUUGAUAAAAUGGUUAGAGAAAACCUUUAUAACCAAGUCAGACUGGGGAUAUGCGAAGUUCGUCACCAUUGAAUCCGCCAAGUCAUGGCACCUAGCACGUGAUGCCUCCCUUACCAUACGUUGCGAUGUUGCCAUCACCAAGAACAAGAAGAUCUACAUCAGUACUAAUAGCACCACCUCCGUCAGCACCGGAGCCAUAAUGCCACCGUCCGAUAUCGCCUCGCACCUGAAGCAGUUGUUGGUGACUGAGCACGGGUCANNNNNNNNNNNNNNNNNNNNNNNNNNNNNNNNNNNNNNNNNNNNNNNNNNNNNNNNNNNNNNNNNNNNNNNNNNNNNNNNNNNNNNNNNNNNNNNNNNNNGUGUUAAUUAAGAUAGGCCGAUGAUCAGACUUAUCAUACUCCUCAUUGGAGACCCCAUAGUCUGGAAACAUAUCAGCCCAUCGCACGUUACUCACCGCUCGAUCCAGACGUUCUCGGAUAGUUCCUCUAUGCCAGGUGAAGAUGUCCCCCACAUAUCCAAGAUCAUCCAGCCCGCAGUCAGACUGUGCAUCACUAAACGCCCGCAAGCAUCGGAUCGGUCGUGAAACACCCCCUUCCUUCUCAUAAUUGUGCAGAAUUUCGUUAAAAUCCCCUGCUAUAAGCCAGGGGAGGCUUGUCAUCGCAUGUAGUUGCCUUAGAUAUUCCCAGGUAAGAUGUUUUCUUUCUCCACUAGGUUCCCCAUAUAGUCCCGUGAAUCGCCAUCCAUCCGGGGAAUUCUCAUUGAUACGAAGAUCGAUGAAAUUUGCAUGAAUCUCUACUGACGUGACUCCCACGUUAGCUUGCCAAAGCAUCAAGAGACCACCACUUCUUCCAUCGCUUUCCGACACUGUCAUUUGAUCAAAGCCCAGACGCCUCAUCAGUUUUCCUGCCCUUGCUUUGUUCAGAUGUGUCUGAGACAGGAAAAACACAUCUGGUUUUACUCGCCCGUGGAUCCCCACAAGCGCACGCACUGCCGCAGGCUUCCGUAUCCCGCGGCAGUUCCAGCUCAUAAGUUUCAUUGCGUCCGGUCGACCUCCUUCUCGGAGCUCGCCUAUAUCUGAUGACUAGCAUCCAUGAUGGUAUUACAACCUGUUCUUGAUCGCUUCGAGUCCUGAGACGACACAUCGUCCUCCUCCUCCCCUUCUGCAGUAGUGUUGGCAUCCAGUUCAUCCAUUGGUAUAGUUCCCACCGCCGCAGCCUCCAAGAGGAGGGGACGCUUCGGUUUCCUGGUCUCUGUUGUUAGCUCUUCAUAAGUUAAUCUUUUCUGAGAUUUUCCCCCUUCAUACACUGCCCCAACUGCCACUUUGUGUGGGCUACUAGAAUCAUCCUGUAACUCCUUCGCCAAUGGCCUCCCCUGAUCAGUUCUGCCCUGGGGGUUGACCUUAUUUCCCCCUGUAGCCUGCUGCCUAGUCCCUUGUGGUUGACCCACUGAUCUAGCAGCAAGGAUCCAGUCUUCCCAUGCCAUGGCCUCUCUGUCGUGCUUCCCAUUACCAUGUUCCAAGAAAGUAUGCCCCAUAUGUCCACAUACGUAGCAGAACACCGGCAUUUUCUCAUAAAGAAUGGGGUAGUAGACUUUCCGUUGAUUCCUGGUUAUGGAGACAAACCUCAUCAGCGGUUCGUUGACACUCAGCCUGACCCGGACCCUGACAAUCCUUCCAUCACCCCAUCUAGGGUUUAGUAUUACACUCGAUACCUCCCCAACUUUCCUGGUCAACGAGCGUAUCACCUGUUCCUUCCUGUACAUCGGAGGUAGGUCAACAAUUUGGAUCCACACUGCGAGUUUAUCCAGCAUCACCUCAUCAAAUUUUGUGAAUCCGUCAUAUGGUUCCAUCAAAACCCCAUGGUCCCGAAAUAGCCAAGGUCCUUCUUCCGUGAUUCUCUUCCAAUCGCCCAUGCAAUUGACCGUGAUCGAGAAGAGGUUUGCUCCUAGCGCACUGAAAGUCGCCCCCUGUGCCAAGCUCGAAGCCAUGCGCAUGCUCUCAUAGAACGCCCCCCUGGAGAAGGGUUUUUCGGUAUGAACUUUGGCUAUCACCAUAAACUCAGCUCCCGCAGAUUCCUCCGGGAACUCCUCAUCGAAGUUGAGAUCGUCCUCCUCUCUCUCUUGCAGGUUCAGUUUUCCUAUCAGAUCAUCCACACCCAUCGCCUUAUCCGCCAUGGUUGCGCUACUCGCCGAAGAUCUCGAUCCCGACGUCGCCAUAGACCACAGCAGAAUUCCGGCACAGGAUCCGAGCGCUACCCUGGUGCGGGUAUAUGUAGAUCGUCCCCCUGUCCCGGAGGGGAGGUGUAUUCCGAUUGCACGAAGGAACCCUAGAUGUUUCCGCCAGGGGAGAAAAACCCUAGGCCGCCGCUAGGGUAGCACUCAGGUUAUUAUGUUUGAUUACCGCUGAGAGGAGUUGUCAGGAAAGGCCAUCCGGUACGUACAUGGAUGGAUCAUUUGAGAUGGAUGGAGUACACAAGCAUGAUCGAUGAUUUCUUAGGUCGUCGUUGACGCACGGACUACGGCCGCUAAUUAAUGGACCUUGCCUCCAGUAGGAGGACGUUGUAGCCCACGCCGGACGUACGUUGGGCACGACAUGACAGGCCGGGCCGGAGUCGCUCGCUGGAGCAUGGCCACACCCACACCCACGCCCACGCCCACGCGGAGGGAGGCGAUGGACGUUAGAGCAUCUCCAACAACCGCGUAAAAAGGCGCGCGAAAAGGCGUUUGGCGCGGUAAACAGACAUUUUAGCGCGCGCGGGACAGUUUGGCGCGCUCCAGCGGCGGCGGGAAAAACGCGUGCGGGAAUCGCUUGCGCGCGCGCGAAAAGGCGGCAGCUCUCGCCCAUCUUUGCCGCGCCGCUUCCCGCGCGCCUAUAAAACGCAGCGCUCUCCACCGCUCCCUCGCGCGCCCCCACCGUUCUCUCUGUUGGGGAACGUCGCAUGGGAAACAAAAAAUUUCCUACGCGCACGAAGACCUAUCAUGGUGAUGUCCAUCUAUGAGAGGGGAUGAGUGAUCUACGUACCCUUGUGGACCGUACAGCAGAAGCGUUAGUGAAUGCGGUUCAUGCAGUGGAACGUCCUCACGUCCCUCGAUCCGCCCUGCGAACUAUCCUGCGAUCAGUCCCACGAUCUAGUGCCGAACGGACGGCACCUCCGCGUUCAGCACAUGUACAGCUCGACGAUGAUCUCGGCCUUCUUGAUCCAGCAAGAGAGACGGAGAGGUAGAAGAGUUCUCCGGCAGCGUGACGGCGCUCCGGAGGUUGGUGAUGAUCUCGUCUCAGCAGGGCUCCGCCCGAGCUCCGCAGAAACGCGAUCUAGAGGAAAAACCGUGGAGGUAUGUGGUCGGGCUGUCGUGGAAAUAUCGUCUCAAAUCAGCCCUAAAACCUCCAUAUAUAUAGGUGGGAGAGGGGGGACCUUGCCUUGGGGCUCAAGGAGCCCCAAGGGGGUCGGCCGAGCCAAAGGGGGGAAGGACUCCCCCCAAACUGAGUCCUACUUGGUUUGGUGGGUGGAGUCCUUCUUUCCUUUCCCACCUCCUCCUUUUUUUCUUUUCUCUUUGAUUUUUUCUUCCAAUGCGCAUAGGGCCCUUUUGGGCUGUCCCACCAUCCCACUAAGGGCUGGUGCGCCACCCUCAAGGCCUAUGGGCUUCCCCGGGGUGGGUUCGCCCCCCCCCCCCGGUGAACUCCCGGAACCCAUUCGUCAUUUCCGGUACAUUCCCGGUAACUCCGAAAACCUUCCGGUAAUCAAAUGAGGUCAUCCUAUAUAUCAAUCUUCGUUUCCGGACCAUUCUGGAAACCCUCGUGACGUCCGUGAUCUCAUCCGGGACUCCGAACAACAUUCGGUAACCAACCAUAUAACUCAAAUACGCAUAAAACAACGUCGAACCUUAAGUGUGCAGACCCUGCGGGUUCGAGAACUAUGUAGACAUGACCCGAGAGACUCCUCGGUCAAAAUCCAAUAGCGGGACCUGGAUGCCCAUAUUGGAUCCUACAUAUUCUACGAAGAUCUUAUCGUUUGAACCUCAGUGCCAAGAAUUCAUAUAAUCCCGUAUGUCAUUCCCUUUGUCCUUCGGUAUGUUACUUGCCCGAGAUUCGAUCAUGAGUAUCCGCAUACCUAUUUCAAUCUCGUUUACCGGCAAGUCUCUUUACUCGUUCCGUAAUACAAGAUCCCGUAACUUACACUAAGUUACAUUGCUUGCAAGGCUUGUAUGUGAUGUUGUAUUAUCGAGUGGGCCCCGAGAUACCUCUCCGUCACACGGAGUGACAAAUCCCAGUCUUGAUCCAUACUAACUCAACGAACACCUUCAGAUAUACCUGUAGAGCAUUUUUAUAGUCACCCAGUUAAGUUGCGACGUUUGAUACACACAAAGUAUUCCUCUGGUGUUAGUGAGUUAUAUGAUCUCAUGGUCAUAGGAACAAAUACUUGAGACGCAGAAAAUAGUAGCAACAAAAUGGCACGAUCAACAUGCUACGUCUAUUAGUUUGGGUCUAGUCCAUCACGUGAUUCUCCUAAUGACAUGAUCCAGUUAUCAAGAAACAACACCUUGUUUAUAAUCAGAAGACACUGACUAUCUUUGAUCAACUGGCUAGCCAACUAGAGGCUUGCUAGGGACAGUGUUUUGUCUAUGUAUCCACACAUGUAAAUGAGUCUUCAUUCAAUACAAUUAUAGCAUGGAUAAUAAACGAUUAUCUUGAUACAGGAAUUAUAAUAAUAACUAUAUUUAUUAUUGCCUCUAGGGCAUAAUUCCAACAGUCUCCCACUUGCACUAGAGUCAAUAAUCUAGCCCUCACAUCAUCAUGUGAAUUACAUUGUAAUAAAUCUAACACCCAUACAGUUCUGGUGUUGAUCAUGCUUUGGUCGUGGAAGAGGUUUAGUCAGCGGGUCUGCUACAUUCAGAUCCGUGUGCACUUUGCAUAUAUUUACGUCCUCUCCUUCGACGUAGUCGCGGAUGAGGUUGAAGCGUCGUUUGAUGUGUCUGGACUUCUUGUGAAACCGUGGUUCCUUUGCUAAGGCAAUGGCACUCGUGUUGUCACAGAACAAGGUUAUUGGAUUCAGUGCGCUUGGCACCACUCCAAGAUCCGUCAUGAACUGCUUCAUCUAGACACCCUCCUUAGCCGCCUCCGAGGCAGCCAUGUACUCCACUUCACAUGUAGAAUCUGCUACGAUGCUGUGCUUGGAACUGCACCAGCUUACCGCACCCCCAUUAAGAAUAAAUACGUAUCCAGUUUGCGACUUAGAGUCAUCCGGAUCUGUGUCAAAGCUUGCAUCGACGUAACCUUUUACGGCGAGAUCUUCGUCACCUCCAUACACGAGAAACAUCUCCUUAGUCCUUUUCAGGUACUUCAAGAUAUUCUUGACCGUUGUCCAGUGAUCCACUCCUGGAUUACUCUCGAACCUACCUGCCAUACUUAUGGCCAGGCUAACGUCCGGUCUAGUGCACAGCAUUGCAUACAUGAUAGAACGUAUGGCUGAAGCAUAGGGGACGGAGCGCAUAUGCUCUCUAUCUUCAUCAGUUGCUGGGCACUGAGUCUUACUCAAUCUCGUACCUUGUAAAACUGGCAAGAACCCCUUCUUGGACUGUUCCAUUUUGAACCUCUUCAAAACUUUAUCAAGGUAUGUGCUUUGUGAAAGUCCUAUCAGGCGUUUUGAUCUAUCCCUAUAGAUCUUAAUGCCUAGAAUGUAAGCAGCUUCUCCUAGAUCCUUCAUAGAGAAACUUUUAUUCAAGUAAUCCUUUAUGCUCUCCAAAAACUCUACGUUGUUUCCAAUCAGCAAUAUGUCAUCCACAUAUAAUAUUAGAAACGCCACAGAGCUCCCACUCACUUUCUUGUAAAUACAAGAUUCUCCAACCACUUGUAUAAACCCAAAUGCUUUGAUCACCUCAUCAAAGCGUUUGUUCCAACUCCGAGAUGCUUGCACCAGUCCAUAAAUGGAUCGCUGGAGCUUGCACACCUUGUUAGCAUUCUUAGGAUCGACAAAACCUUUGGGUUGCAUCAUAUACAAUUCUUCCUUAAGGAAACCUUUAAGGAACGCCGUUUUGAUAUCCAUCUGCCAGAUUUCAUAAUCGAAAAAUGCAGCUAUUGCUAACAUGAUUCUGACGGACUUAAGCAUCGCUACGGGUGAGAAUGUCUCAUCGUAGUCAACUCCUUGAACUUGUGAAAAACCCUUUGCCACAAGUCGAGCUUUAUAAACGGUCACAUUACCGUUAGCAUACGUCUUCCUCUUAAAGAUCCAUUUGUUCUAAAUAGCCUUGCGGCCCUCAGGCAGUACCUCCAAAGUCCACACUUUGUUCUCAUACAUGGAUCCUAUCUCGGACUUCAUGGCUUCUAGCCAUUUGUUGGAAUCUAGGCCCACCAUUGCUUCUUCAUAAUUUGCAGGUUCAUUGUUGUCCAACAACAUGAUUGAUAAGACGGGAUUACCAUACCUCUCUGGAGCAGCACGUGGUCUCGUCGACCUGCGUGGUUCGAUAGAAACUUGAACCGGAGUUUCAUGAUCAUCAUCAUUAACUUCCUCCUCAACCGGCGUCGCAACGACAUAGGUUUCCCCUUGCCCUGCGCCACCAUCCAGAGGGGUGAGAGGUUCGACAACCUCGUCAAGUUCUAUCUUCCUCCCACUCAAUUCUCUCGAGAGAAACUCCUUCUCGAGAAAAGCUCCGUUUUUUAGCAACAAACACUUUGCUCUCGGAUUUGAGAUAGAAGGUGUACCCAACUGUCUCUUUUGGGUAACCUAUGAAGAUGCACUUUUCCGCUUUGGGUUCCAGCUUUUCAGGCUGAAGCUUUUUGACAUAAGCAUCACAUCCCCAAACUUUAAGAAACGACAACUUUGGCCUUUUGCCAUACCACAGUUCGUAUGGUGUCGUCUCAACGGAUUUUGAUGGUGCCCUAUUUAAAGUGAAUGCAGCUGUUUCUAAUGCAUAACCCCAAAACGAUAACGGCAAAUCGGUAAGAGACAUCAUAGAUCGCACCAUCUCUAAUAAAGUACGAUUACGACGUUCGUACACACCAUUACGUUGUGGUGUUCCAGGCGGUGUCAACUGUGAAACAAUUCCACAUUGUCUUAAGUGAGCACCAAACUCGAAACUCAGAUAUUCACCCCCACGAUCAGACCGUAGGAACUUGAUCUUCUUGUUACGAUGAUUUUCAACUUCACUCUGAAAUUGCUUGAACUUUUCAAAUGUUUCAGACUUGUGCUUCAUUAAGCAGACAUAACCCUAUCUACUCAAAUCGUCAGUGAAGGUGAGAAAAUAACGAUAUCCGCCGCGUGCCUCUACGCUCAUCGGACCACACACAUCGGUAUGUAUGAUUUCCAACAAGUCACUUGCACGCUCCAUUGUUCCGGAGAACGGAGUUUUAGUCAUCUUGCCCAUGAGGCAUGGUUCGCACGUGUCAAGUGAAUCAAAGUCAAGUGACUCCAAAAGUCCAUCGGCAUGGAGUUUCUUCAUGCGCUUUACACCAAUAUGACCUAAGCGGCAGUGCCACAAAAAUAUGGCGUUAUCAUUGUUAACUCUAACUCUUUUGGUCUCAAUGUUAUGUAUGUGUGUAUCGCUAUCAAGAUUCAAUAUGAACAAUCCUCUCACAUUGGGUGCAUGACCAUAAAAGAUGUUACUCAUAGAAAUAGAACAACCAUUAUUCUCUGACUUAAAAGAGUAACCGUCUCGCAAUAAACAAGAUCCAUAUAUAAUGUUCAUGCUCAACGCAGGCACUAAAUAACAAUGAUUCAAGUUCAUAACUAAUCCUGAUGGUAACUGAAGUGAAACUGUGCCGACGGUGAUUGCAUCAACCUUGGAACCAUUUCCUACACGCAUCGUCACUUCAUCUUUCGCCAGCCUUCGUCUAUUCCGCAGUUCCUGUUUCGAGUUGCAAAUAUGAGCAACAGAACCGGUAUCGAAUACCCAGGCUCUACUACGAGAGCCGGUUAAGUACACAUCAAUAACAUGUAUAUCAAAUAUACCUGAUUUUUCUUUGGCCGCCUUCUUAUCUGCCAGAUACUUGGGGCAAUUGCGCUUCCAGUGACCCAUACCCUUGCAAUAGUAACACUCUGUUUCAGGCUUAGGUCCAGCUUUGGGUUUCUUGGUCGGAUUGGCAACAGGCUUGCCGCUCUUCUUUGAAUUACCCUUCUUGCCUUUGUCGUUUCUCUUGAAACUAGUGGUCUUAUUCACCAUCAACACUUGAUGCUCUUUACAAAGUUCAGACUCUGCGACUUUCAGCAUCGCAAACAACUCGCCGGGUGACUUGUUCAUCCCUUGCAUGUUGUAGUUCAACACAAAGCCUUUAUAGCUUGGCGGAGUGAUUGAAGGAUUCUGUCAGUGAUAGCCUCUUGCGGGAGUUCAAUCCCCAGCUCAGCCAGACGGUUUGAGUACCCACACAUUUUGAGCACAUAUUCACUGACAGACGAGUUCUCCUCCAUCUUGCAAGCAUAGAAUUUAUCGGAGGUCUCAUACCUCUCGAUCCGGGCGUUCUUCUGAAAGAUAAACUUCAACUCCUGGAACAUCUCAAAUGCUCCAUGACGCUCAAAGCAACGUUGAAGUCCCGGUUCUAAGCCAUACAAGACUGCACAUUGAACUACUGAGUAGUCCUCCUUACGUGCUAACCAAGCGUUCUUAACAUCCUGAUCAGCCGUAGCGGGUGGUUCAUCUCCUAGCGCAGCAUUAAAGACAUAAUCCUUCUUCCCAGCUUGUAAGAUUAGCUUAAGAUUACGAGCCCAGUCUACAAAGUUGCUUCCAUCAUCUUUCAACUUAGCUUUCUCUAGGAACGUAUUAAAAUUCAGGGUGACUGUCGCAAGAUAUAUUCAAAGUGGACUUAGACUAUGUUCAAGAUAAUUAGAGUUUAACUUGAUCAAAUUAUUCGCUAAACUCCCACUCAAAAAGUACAUCUCUCUAGUCAUUUGAGUGGUUCAUGAUCCACUUACACUAGCUCAAGUCCGAUCAUCACGUGAGUUGAGUAUUGUUUCAGUGGUAAGCAUCCCUAUGCUAAUCAUAUCAUCUAUAUGAUUCAUGAUUGACCUUUCGGUCUCAUGUGUUCCGAGGCCAUGUCUGCACAUGCUAGGCUCGUCAAGCUUAACCCGAGUGUUCCGCGUGCGCAACUGUUUUGCACCCGUUGUAUGUGAACGUUGAGUCUAUCACACCCGAUCAUCACGUGGUGUCUCGAAACGACGAACUGUAGCAACGGUGCACAGUCGGGGAGAACACAAUUUCGUCUUGAAAUUUUAGUGAGAGAUCACCUCAUAAUGCUACCGUCGUUCUAAGCAAAAUAAGGUGCAUAAAAGGAUUAACAUCACAUGCAAUUCAUAAGUGACAUGAUAUGGCCAUCAUCACGUGCUUCUUGAUCUCCAUCACCAAAGCACCGGCACGAUCUUCUUGUCACCGGCGCCACACCAUGAUCUCCAUCAACGUGUCGCCAUCGGGGUUGUCGUGCUACUCAUGCUAUUACUACUAAAGCUACAUCCUAGCAAAAUAGUAAACGCAUCUGCAAGCACAAACAUUAGUAUAAAGACAACCCUAUGGCUCCUGUCGGUUGCCGUACCAUCGACGUGCAAGUCGAUAUUAUCUAUUACAACAUGAUCAUCUCAUACAUCCAAUAUAUCACAUCACAUCGUUGGCCAUAUCACAUCACAAGCAUACCCUGUAAAAACAAGUUAGACGUCCUCUAAUUUUGUUGUUGCAUGUUUUACGUGGUGACCAUGGGUAUCUAGUAGGAUCGCAUCUUACUUACGCAAAUACCACAACGAAGAUAUAUGAGUUGCUAUUUAACCUCAUCCAAGGAUCUGCUCGGUCAAAUCCGAUUCAACUAAAGUUGGACAAACCGACACUUGCCAGUCAUCUUGAGCAACGGGGUUACUCGUAGCGAUGAAACCAGUCUCUCGUAAGCGUACGAGUAAUGUCGGUCCAAGCCGCUUCAAUCCAACAAUACCGCGGAAUCAAGAAAAGACUAAGGAGGGCAGCAAAACGCACAUCACCGCCCACAAAAAACUUUUGUGUUCUACUCGAGAAGACAUCUACGCAUGAACCUAGCUCAUGAUGCCACUGUUGGGGAACGUCUCAUGGGAAACAAAAAAUUUCCUACGUGCACGAAGACCUAUCAUGGUGAUGUCCAUCUACGAGAGGGGAUGAGUGAUCUACGUACCCAUGUAGACCGUACAGCAGAAGCGUUAGUGAACGCGGUUGAUGUAGUGGAACGUCCUCACGUCCCUCAAUCCGCCCCACGAACUAUCCCGCGAUCAGUCCCACGAUCUAGUGCCGAACGGACGGCACCUCCGCGUUCAGCACACGUACAGCUCGACGAUGAUCUCGGCCUUCUUGAUCCAGCAAGAGAGACGGAGAGGUAGAAGAGUUCUCCGGCAGCGUGACGGCGCUCCGGAGGUUGGUGAUGAUCUCGUCUCAGCAGGGCUCCGCCCGAGCUCCGCAGAAACGCGAUCUAGAAGAAAAACCGUGGAGGUAUGUGGUCGGGCUGACGUGGAAAAAUCGUCUCAAAUCAGCCCUAAAACCUCCGUAUAUAUAGGUGGGAGAGGGGGGACCUUGCCUUGGGGCUCAAGGAGCCUCAAGGGGGUCGGACGAGCCAAAGGGGGGAAGGACUCCCCCCCAAACCGAGUCCUACUUGGUUUGGUGGGUGGAGUCCUUCUUUCCUUUCCCACCUCCUCCUUUUUUUUCUUUUCUCUUUGAUUUUUUCUUCCAAUGCGCAUAGGGCCCCUUUUUGGGCUGUCCCACCAGCCCACUAAGGGCUGGUGCGCCACCCUCAAGGCCUAUGGGCUUCCCCGGGGUGGGUUCCCCCCCCCCCCCGGUCGAACUCCCGGAACCCAUUCGUCAUUCCCGGUAACUCCGAAAACCUUCUGGUAAUCAAAUGAGGUCAUCCUAUAUAUCAAUCUUCGUUUCUGGAGCAUUUCGGAAACCCUCAUGACGUCCGUGAUCUCAUCCGGGACUCCGAACAACAUUCGGUAACCAACCAUAUAACUCAAAUACGCAUAAAACAACGUCGAACCUUAAGUGUGCAGACCCUGCGGGUUCGAGAACUAUGUAGACAUGACCUGAGAGACUCCUCGGUCAAUAUCCAAUUGCGGGACCUGGAUGCCCAUGUUGGAUCCUACAUAUUCUACGAAGAUCUUAUCGUUUGAACCUCAGUGCCAAGGAUUCAUAUAAUCCCGUAUGUCAUUCCAUUUGUCCUUCGGUAUGUUACUUGCCCGAGAUUCGAUCGUCAGUAUCCGCAUACCUAUUUCAAUCUCGUUUACCGGCAAGUCUCUUUACUCGUUCCGUAAUACAAGAUUCCGCAACUUACACUAAGUUACAUUGCUUGCAAGGCUUGUAUGUGAUGUUGUAUUACCGAGUGGGCCCCGAGAUACCUCUCCGUCACACGGAGUGACAAAUCCCAGUCUUGAUCCAUACUAACUCAACGAACACCUUUGGAGAUACCUGUAGAGCAUCUUUAUAGUCACCCAGUUACGUUGCGACGUUUGAUACACACAAAGUAUUCUUCCGGUGUUAGUGAGUUAUAUGAUCUCAUGGUCAUAGGAACAAAUACUUGACACGCAGAAAACAGUAGCAACAAAAUGACACGAUCAACAUGGUACGUCUAUUAGUUUGGGUCUAGUCCAUCACGUGAUUCUCCUAAUGACGUGAUCCAGUUAUCAAGCAACAACACCUUAUUCAUAAUCAGAAGACACUGACUAUCUUUGAUCAACUGGCUAGCCAACUAGAGGCUUGCUAGGGACAGUGUUUUGUCUAUGUAUCCACACAUGUAAAUGAGUCUUCAUUCAAUACAAUUAUAGCAUGGAUAAUAAACGAUUAUCUUGAUACAGGAAUUAUAAUAAUAACUAUAUUUAUUAUUGCCUCUAGGGCAUAAUUCCAACACUCUCUUCCUCUACCUCGCGCGCCGCCACCGCCCCACACUACAAGGAAUAUGCUAAUACACGACGCUAUUUUUUCGUCCCUACAUCGUCACUGUUUUUAAUUUACGACGAUCUCACGACGAAAAACCAAGCGUCGAAAACGGAGCGUCACAAAUGAACAGCAGUGAUGUUUUGAUCAAAAUCGUCGUAACUUUUACGACGAUUCCUGGAUCGUCAUAACCUUUACGACGAUACUAAAUUGUCGUUGGCAAUCUAACCGAGUCCUACGUGGCAGUCCUACAUGGCAAAACGUCAUGAUUGAAAUCAGCCCAACCCAUUUCAAUUGAUCACAUGGGCUGGUUUUUUUUUGGGCUUUUCUUAUUGGGCUUCUUUUUGGGCCUUAGCCUAUUUACAGCCACUUCUAGUAUUUUUUUUGUAUCAUUAUAAUUUGGGCCUGAGCCUUUUAGUGCCCAAAUACAUUUGGUCCAGUUUCAGUUUUGGCCUUUUUUUCAUUUUUGAAUUCAGCAACUUUUUGUUCCAAACUUGGUUUCAUUUCUAUUUGUUGGGCCUUUUCAACCCAAUUAUUUGUCCAAUAUAAAAUCUAACACUAUUUCAUAUUCAAAUCAGGAAAACUCCAAGUCGAAUUAAAAUCAUCAAUCAUAUAACAUCACAUAAUACAUCUCCCAGUUUUACAUAACACAAUACAUCUUCCAGGUUCACAUAAACAUCUCCCAGGUUCACAUAAUACAUCUCCCAGGUUUACAUAAUACAUCCAAACUCCAAGUCGAUCUCCUCCUUGGACUGGAUGGGGCUUGCAGCAGCCACCUGCUUCUGCAUCUCCUUGGCGAUCCUAUUCAAGUGCUCCAUGUUAUCAGGACCUGCAACAAAUAGAUAGAUUUUAAAACCAUGCUUCACAGGAUACCACCCACCCACCCAGCAGCCUGAAGAAAUAUCAAAUAUCCAUUCAGGUUUCAGCUUCUUGUUACCAACAUUAUCUAGAACAGGUUGCUUUGCUCAUCAGGCAGAGAGCACAAGAGGGCCACAUCCACGACCCAACCAUCCACACGCGCACUAACAUGCCAUCAUCAUCAACUUGUGCGUGCUUGUGCCCCCCUUUUGGCACCUGGAGAUGGUGGCACACGAAACGAUACAAGAUAGUGAUCAAUUGAAUUGAAGUUGCAGGGAAUGGUCACAACCUAAACACAAAUGAGAUAUGAUUAUAGCUGGCAAAAGAUUAUCCAACAGUUCAUUGAGCACAAAAUGGCACGUAAUUAAUGCUAGCAGAGCCAAUUUCUUAUACUCGAAAAACAAGCAAGGAUCAGCACAGGGCUUAAGCUGCUCAUAUCACAAGGAGGUUACCGUACUCAACUGCAGACACAAUAUCUUCCAUAGCAAACCAGUCUAUAAAUUCCGCCACAAGCGGAACGUAUCUCUCUCAUGAGGAUGCAUAAGUUACAUGCCUCUGAUCCCGCAAGAGCCAAUGAAAACUGACGCCACGUAUUAUCCAGAGUUUUCUGGAAUUAAUGAGAUGGGGAAGAUAUGAUGAUGCUACAGCCCACUAAAAGACCUGAGAAAUGUUGUACGUCAUGGGCACAGGAAAUUAGUGUGUCGUUUUCUUCAACGGCAGUGAGCACCUCCACUCAAUCAGUAACAUAAGACUCAUGGAUGACAGCUAGUUAGCCCAAAUCGCUAAAUCAGUAACACAUGGCACCAACAACAACAUGUAAUUCCUGACAGGGCAAGUGUGCAAGUGCACAAUCAUGUUACUAGCUAUCAGAUGGCCCAGAAAUGGCAAUCAGCACAUGCCAACUGCGCUUCCAUGACACGUGGACAGAAACCCCCUCUAAACCCUAGUGCGUGCAACACAGACAUAGCAGAGCAACAUCAAUCAUUUGGAUUUGGAGCAUCCAACAACUGGCCCAACUUGGAUUACGCCGAAUUUAAGCACGAGUACUCGGACUAGAAACCUAGCUAGCGCACAUACGCGCGUGCGCGCACGCUUCCCCGGCCCGUGGUCCGUACGACGUGCAUAGGCGCAGAUUCAAAAAAAAGGAAGGCUCAGGCUUGCAAAAACCGCGCGCCCGCUCACAGAAAUCAUCAUCCGGAACUACUAGCAACAGCAACCUCGGGAUGGAUGGAUGGAUGGCGCACAUACGUACCUUGCCCCUGUAGAGGUCGUCGUCGCUGAUCUCCCGGACCGACCAGGGGAGCACCGCGUCCUCCAAAUCCGCCUCCCCCAUGUCGCCGCCGCGCGGCCGGGGCUAGCGCGCUCUCCCCUCGCGAGCACCCGAGCAAACAGGCAGCAUUCGCGAGGAGAGGGAUGAGGAGGAAGGGGGUUUGGUUUCGUGGUGUGGUGGUUGUCCUGCGUGGAGAAAAGGCAGAGCAGGAGCACGCAACGCCGAAAAGCAGCGCCAAAUCUUCAUGCAGCAGCUCCAGGAUCACCUGCCAGAAGAGAGAAAAAAUUAUGCUACGGUUAGACUAAGUUGACAGAUGAUGCUUCAUGUAAGAGCAGUAGUAGUAGAGCAAGAUAUGAUGCAAAUCUGCUGUCAACAACAGGAAGGGGGAAUAAUAAGCAACACUGGGCUUAGUGCAGGUCAGCAUCAGGAAAGCAAAGCGUUUUAUUAGGUGAAUUGCUGCUUUGAUCCAGCACGAUGAUGAUCCCGGGAAAGAUCGCCCCGCGUUUCUUAUCAUUGGGGGGGGGGGAUGAUCUUUGCCUAAUACUACUACUUCUAAACUGCUUUAUGGAGUGCUCCAACUUCGAAUUUACUGCAGGGGUCCGAGAUAAAGGAAUCUCUGGAUGUUCUUUCUUAGUGACAAAUCUAUGAAGAUACUGCGGUUAUUAUUACUAAAUCCUUGCUUUCGCAGUUGGGCCCAUGACUAGAUGUCAACCGGCAUGAAACCUUCGCAUAUAUAUGGCAUGAUCCGAAGAAUGUGGCGACACGAUCUCUAGCAUAGGAACUUAACAAACUUAUAAUGAUAUCAACCAAAUCAAAGUCAUUGAUUGCAUAAAAAGGUUAUGGCCAUGUUAUUCUCAGCAUUCACUUUCUUCAAGGCCGUGCUCCAUCACGCACUGGUCCACGGUGGGCAAGACGAGGAUGUCGUUCGUGAGCCUAGAUGCUGUCGUAGAAUGACCCCCAGGGCCAGGGCAUGAAGUUCCGAGGAAUCAGGUACAGGUACUACAUGGAGCACCAGCAGAGCAGCACAAAAGCAGCAGCAUUGGACAUCGUUCGUGUGCAGGUCGGGUGACAUAAUGACAUUUUUUUAGCCGAGCAUGGUGACAUAAUGACAUGUGAGACCACACCUAACAAUUCAACAGAGGCUGAUUCUUCAGGUUACAGUCCUACAAAGUUGAUAGUAUACUGAACAUUUAUGUCUUAGAGAAAUGAAUCAGUGCAUUCCAUGUCGUACUACUCCCUCCUCUUCGGUUCCUAGUAGUUGAUAGACUGAUUAGACAUUCUACUAUUCUCCGUUGGCACAAGCGCUAGCAAUAAUGAGGACCCAUGAUACUUUUGUAAAAAUUAGUCUCCCUUUUGCAGCUGUGAACAUUGUGCAUGACAAAUUAACAAUUAUAUGUGCUGCUCAUAAUUAACUAUGAGUCUAAGCAAGGGUUGGGCAUUCAUCCCCAUGAACUGAAGCUAAUGGCAGUAAUAGACAGUUAAUUGCUAAAGGAUAAGAUAUAUACAGGAGUGACACAAUGUCAGUUCAUGUCUCAUAUAACCGACGCACGCGGCAUAGAUUGUUCGAAAUUCCUGAGCACAAAACCACGAGUUGCCCGUUUCGUCCGACCGAGGCACCAAAUGCACCAAGCUGGGUGCCCGGAAAAGGCAUCGAAAAUCUCCCAAAAUAGGCGGCACGCGCGGACGGCUUGGAAGUGUGACGAACUUACACAGGUAGGCGACGCGGGGGCGCUCGAGCUCGAUCUCGGCAGCGACACGCAGGAUCGGGGCGAUGCUGCUGAGCGAGGACGGCACCACCUCGUUGUCGAAGACCUCCAUGGAGAAGGCGGGCAUGGCGGCGCUCCUCGGCCCCCGCCGGUUGAGCCCCGACGUCGGUGUGUUGGGCUCGGUCAUCGAAGCGGCAGCGGCGGAGGCUGCCGACGCCCCGACGUCGUCAUCUCCGCCUCCACCACCUCGCGAUCUCGGGGGCUUCCGCCUGCAUUCGGGGCAGCGGGUCAGCGCCGACUAGCCAGGGCCGAUCGAUUCGGCCGGGAUAGAGAGUGGGGAGAGGGCGCGGAAGAACCCUAGCGCGAGCGGCCGCGAGCGCGCUCCGCUUCCCUUCCGCCUCCGCCUCCGCCUCGCGCGUCCUGCCGUCCUGCGCUGGAAUGGAAUGGUAGAACCAAACGGGGGAGGUGGUCGGGGAGGCAAGUACAGGAAUAGGCACGGCCGCCGACAGCCCACCCAGCCGCCGGUGUGGUGGGGAUAGGAGAGGAGGUCGUCGGCUGCGAUCUGGGGAGGUGGCGGCUGCGAUUUGAAAAGGAGGAGGAGGCGUGUUCGAUCUGGAUGGGCUAGGGUUCCCUGUGCGGGGAAGAGAGAGGAGCUGGGUGGGUGAGAGGGUGAGGGGUUUGGGCCGUUGGAUCUGUACGAUUUGGACGGCUCAGAUCGUUUUUAGUAGGGUGAUCCGUGGACUCUAUUCUGAUUGGUCGAGACAUGUGUCACUUAAAAUAAUCUCUAAGUGCUAAAAACAAUGAAGAUUUAUGAAGAAACUACCAAUAAUAUUUUGCAAAAUGCCACUACUAAAAUUUUCACUCAAGGUAUACCACAUUUUAUGGAUAAUAACCAACUUCUAUGCAUUUUCUUUGGACGAAAAAUUCAUUUUCCAUUUUUCGAGGACCCCAAAAUGAGUUGUUUUGUGAAGGACCUACCAUAUAUUUGUUGCGAAAUUGAACCAAAUAAUUUUUCUAAAAUACUAGGCCAUAUUAAAUGCACAAUUAACCAAAUGGUUGGGUGUCAAAAUCUUUUUAUCCACCUCUCGUCGAAAAAGACAAAUGUUCGUCGAAUCAGCUGGAAACGGAUCAAAUUUGAACUGCAAUUGCCUCAUAGUUUGUUUUUAUUUUUUCUAAAAAUAAUUUAUCGGUACAAAAGUAUCUAUUUAAUCAUAGAAACAUCAAAAGUUUUCCAAGAUUCAACCAACGGUCAUACUCGCUGUUUUGACCGCAUUUUGAAAUGGCCAUGAGAAAUUCAAAAAAAAACUCAAAAAAAAUUGAAAAACCUUUGCGUUGUGUCAUUAUAUGUCACAAAUUUACCAGGAAAAAUAAUAAACUUGUAAUACGGCAAUUAUUUUUAAAAAGUGUUCUUAGAAAUGAGUUAUCAUAUGUGAACAUUCAUGGUUUUCAAUCCAAAUGAUCAAUCUUAUGGCCACAUUUAUUACAUAGUUUAUUCAAAUGAUCUAAUAUUAUGCAUAACGGUGCAUAUUGGAAUGGCAAACAACGUUGAUUAAGGAAGUUUUCAUUUUCGUUGUAUGUAAAAUUCAUUUUACAUUUUUUAAGUGUCCAAAAUGAGUUUUUUUAAGGACCUAUCAUAUAUUUGUUUUAAAAUUAGACCAAAUCAUUUUUCUAAAAUACUAGGGCACCUUUAAUUGAUAAUUGACAAAAUGAUUGGGUGUUAAAACUUCACACCUGUUUCUCUUCAAAACUGUCUUAUCAAAAUCAGCUCCAAAUGCCUGGCGUCUCGUGCGCAGCCUCUUAUUCCUUUAAUUAUUCAUCAAGAUCAAUCUGGAUUCAUUAAAGGCAGAGGUAUCGCUGAUAAUUUUAUUUACGUUGCUGAUAUUAUUCAAACUUGUUUCAAGCGUAAAAAAUCAACGAUUGUUCUUAAAUUAGACUUCCAUAAAGCAUUUGAUUCUGUUUCCUGGGAGGCUUUGGCGGCAAUUCUAAUUGCGAAAGGAUUCCCUUCGAUAUGGUGUGAUUGGAUCCAGAAUCUCAAUCAAACCAGUCAAUCGGCCAUUCUCCUUAAUGAUAAGCCGGGACCCUGGAUUUCUUGCAAAAAGGGUCUUCGACAAUGUUUGUUUAUUCAGAAAAACUUCAUGCGUUUCAAAAACUGUUUGUGAAUUUAAAAAUAAAAUCCUGCAACAUAAAAAAUUAUGUUCGUCUUUUUUCUUGAAUUGGUCGCCAAUUCAAAAGAAAAUAUUUAAACUCGUUCGAAAUAUAAAAAAUAUUCAUGAUUUUUAGUAAAUUUUUGUAAAUUAUAAAAAAAUGUUCUUGAUUUUAAAAUUGUUCUCAUAUUUGUAAAAUUGUUCACGAAAGAUUUAAUGUGUGUAGUUAAACAUUAAUGCUUCUAAGUCUUUGUGACAAUAUACCUGUGUGAAUUUUGAAGAAUUAACUGUUGGAUUGAUCGGAUUAUUAUUGUAUGUUUUUUUAAAAAAUUCUUGAAAUUCAGAAUAAAUCUUUGAGUUACCAAGAUUUUUGACAACCAUGAUAUAUAUAUUUUUUAAAUGUAAAGGUUGCUUCAACUUGUGAAUAAAUUUAAAAGAAGAAAUAUUUUCUUGCAUUUGUGUACAAAAUUUCUAAAUCAAGCGAUGAUAUGUGAACAUAAUGUGGUCACCAUCAUUGGAGAUUAUGUUUUUUUCUUCCGUGACAACGCACGGACCAUUUUGCUAGUACACAAUAAAGGAAAUAUUGUGUAUAGGAAAAGAACAAAAAGGCGACAAUAUAGGUAGCUAGCUAGGAGAGAUAGCUGUUUAGAUCAAAUGAAAAAACAUUUUGGUAUAUAUGUACAAAUUAAGCUGCAUACUACAAAUAUAUACUUUCAACCUCUUACAUCAAUUCCCCUGAAAGAUAGCUUUCUAUUCUUAAACGAGAGUACAAGACGUCUGUUUGAACUUCCAACUGCUCCAUUGAUGAGUAAGCAAACAGAAAGCACGUGCAUUGGUUCAACACACACUCUGCGAGUCAAACUGUCGGCUCGUCUUGGGACAGUUGGGGCGAACGUUGAGAUACCACUAGCAAGUAGUGGCAGCUGGUACAUGCGAAAGUACCUUUCUAAACUCGAGCUCAAAUGUUUCUGCGGUGAAAAGUAAAAUCAAAAACAAUUUAGAAAAUUCGAACUUUUUUGGUGGCAAACUUUAAGAAAUGUUUGAAUUGCAUGCAAAUUUUCAUCACAAAAACGCAUUGGUGAAAUUCGUAUAAAAAGAUUAGAGCUCCAAAAUGCAUUUGAAAAUAACAUUCAGAGUAUCAAUAUUCUUUUUUCACGGCUUGACCGAUGUGAUUUCGUGCGAUAAUUUUUUACAUGCUAUAUCCAAACAUUCCUUAAAGUUUGACAAACAAAAUCAUAUUUUUUAAAGAAAUCAUAAUCUAGUUCACACUACUGGCUACCGUACAAAAAUAAUUGAGCAUACCUGAUUUCGUAGAAAGAGUCAUCAUUAUUAUUUUUCAAUUCUCAACAUCCACAUCUUCCUGUACAAUAAACACACACAUGAAAUAAAGAUUGUAUUUUACAAACUUAAAGAUCUAAAUAUAUGUCACUUACGUUUUCAUUGCAUGUAUCAUCUUCAUUAUUUUAAAAAUCCUCCGAAGGUAAAUUAUCAUAUGAAGACCAUGAUUCAUUGGCGCUAUUAUAAUCAUCAUCAUUAAUAGAACUGUUAUCAGUUUCAUCGACGGUAUCUAUAUCAUACUCAUCCUUCGAAUAACCAGUUUCCUCCUUCAUUCAAACACACCUCAAGCACUAUACAACAAUAAAAAAUAAAAAAUUACAAUUAAAGUUUUGUAUAAGACUCAGUUUUAUUUCAACAACUUAGGCAGGGGAUGAUCCUCGACGGGGCGGUGGCGUGGUGAUCGGGAACGAGGCGGCGGAGUGGUGGUCGGGAACGGGGCGACGUUGUCGGCGGCAUGGGUAGACGUUCAGCAGCGGUGAACGUGGACGGGUCGGCGGCGUGGUGAGUCGGGAACGGGGCGACGGAGUGGUGGUCGGGCACGGGGCGACGUCGUCGGCGGCGAUGGGGUAGAUGUGCGGCAGCGCUGAACGUGGACGGACCAGCGGCGGGGUGAUCGGCAAUGGAGCGACGAUGUGGUGGUCGGGAACGGGGCGGCGACGUCGGCGGCGAUGUGGAGGAGGUGCGGCGAGCUGAUCGUGAUGGGGCGUCCGCGGCGGCGAGGUCAACCACGUGCGACGCUGAAUUAGGUCAAGCGACGGGCCCCCGACGCGCCACUAUGUCGUCGCGCCGCCGUUCUGCGUCGGGCUACCGCGGCGUCCGUCAGCGCCCCAACGGCGGGUUCUACGCCGACAUACGCUCCGGCGAUCUCCGUCUCAGCCUCGGCACGUACGACACGGCGCACGAGGCCGCCCGCGCGUUCGACGCGGCGGCGUGGCGCCUAGGUAGGCCGCGCCGCCAGAUGAACUUCCAGGACGUCCACACGCUCCAGCAGGCACUGGACGUCGCCCCCCCCCCAGCCUCGUCUAAACUCCGCACAAGACCGUGCGGAGCACACUGCGCGGCAGCACCGCCUCCUCCUUGCCCAGGAGGACGAGCUGGUCAUGGCGGAAUGGCACGGCGCCACCCGGAGGACGUCGCCUACGAGCAGGAUUAUUGGGCAAGGCGCCGCGAGGAGGACACGCGUCGGCGCCGCGAGGAGCGGUUAGACAGGCGUCAACGGAAGGCAUUGGCGAGUGCCCAGGCCGACAUCGUCGCAGCAGGCGGGAGGUCCUUCUUCACUGAAGAAGAUGACCGUUGGUUGGACAUCUGGCUGUCAACCUCUGACGACACCAACGACGAUGACGAUGGUGGUGAUGAUUGGAGCGACUGGGGUUAACAAAAGUUUUAUGUUUCCGAAUUAUCUAUCUACUUGCACCGAACUAUCUAUCUAUAUUUUCGAACUAUCUAUCUAGUUGCAAUCUAUGUAAAAUAACUUUGUAUCUUUUUUAUUUUAUGCAAUCUUUUUAUUAUUUUCCCCAUUUUUGCAAUUGAAAAUGUUGUGCGCGCGCGUUGCAUUUUUUACGCGCUGUUGGAACGGCGCGCGCUGCACUUUAACGCUGCUGUUGGAGCCAGCGCUGCGCGACGCACCAAACCAGGCGAUGAACGCGCGGCAAACAGAUUUUUUAAGAACGGCGCGAAGCGCGGAUGCUCUUAGAUGGAAAGCGAGAGCGAGCGUGAAAAGCAUGGCCGGCCGGUGACGGAAUUGGGGAAGAAUUAGCUCGUCCGAGAUCUGAUCUUGUUGUGUGAUGAAGAAGAGAAGAACUCAUUCCUUUUUUUUUUACGGUAGGAUUGGAGUUGGAGUUGGUCCAUGCAUGAUCCGGGGAGAAAAAGACGGCCCAUGCAUGCAUGCAUGAUCCGGGGAACUACUGCAGUAGUUGCAGCGAUGGGUGUCACUCCGGCGAGCAGUCCGCCACCGAUCAACUCGGAGAGAAGACAAGAGUAUGCAUGCAUGCAUGGGGAGACAAAUAUAAUGCACCCUUUUUGAUGGAUGGAGGACGACGGCAAACGUGGUUGGGCGGGGCGAGUCGCGAAACUGCUGGGUGGACGAACGAACAAGUCGUGCAUCGUGGGUGGGUCCCACUCCGAACCCCACUUGCAUGGCCGGCCGGGCGGUGUGCAUGCAUAUGCUUUGCUGCUGGCGCGUCCGUCCGUGCCUUCUUUUUUCCUGUUCUUGAUGGUGAAAAUCAAAGUCGGAGGGGGGGGGGGGGGGGCAUGCAUAUACGUGCGUGCACGGGAAACUCACGCUUGUCCGAGGCACACGCCAGUUUCAGAUCGUCGGCUACGGCGUGCGCAAGGUCAGCAACCCCAUCAGGUCCGGCGGCCACACCUGGGCACUCGCCUGUGGAUUUGUUGACCAAGGAGAUGAUCACCUCACCAGGCGUCCAUCACCCUCGAGAUGGUCGGAAACAACAAAAACAACGUCGUCGCGAUGGUCAGCCUCCGCAUAGACGACCCGUACGUGCGGACGGUGGCCGGCUGCGGUGUGGAGGAGCGACGACCCCAACGUCUUCUCCAAAACCCGCAACACCUGGAAGCUGACGGUGCCAGAUUUGUUCCGUGGCCAUGAGGCGCGCUACGUGGAGAACGACCGCCUCACCAUCCUCUGUGUUGAAAUUUGGAGGUGGGCUUUAGGCCCAUUAGAGAAUUUCAGAAAAAUCUCCAAGGACCCAUGUAGGUGGUGGCAUGACAAGGUGGUGGGAGUUUAGUCCCACCCCGCUAGUGUAGGAUAGUUUGGACCCCUUUAUAAGGGUCUCUCUUCCACAUGCUAUUGAGAGUGAGAAGAGAAGUUGUCCUCGCACACUCCUCCUCCGCCGCCCGCCUCCCAUCCAUGUCGCCAUCGUCCGGCCCAGCGGCAGGCAACUUGAGGAAUCCUGCAUUCAGUAUAUUGAUGCCUCUGAACAGACACCUCUUUUUCGUGCCUCUUCCAGAUGUAUAUAUACUUAAGAAUCAAUAAAAACAUUCCAGAUGUAUAUAUACUUAAGAAUCAAUAAAAACAUUCAAUCUCGUUUUACUCUAACACGUUAUCAGCACGUAGUCUUCUUCGCUGAGAAAGAGGCCAAGCCGCCGCCCCGCAGCGCCGUGCCCCGCGCUAGACCGGCUCCGUGUCCGUCCGUCCGUAUCGUGGCCGCCGCCGCGCGAGGCCGUCAACAGGUCGUAGGUGCAAAGCACGCAACGGCCAGGGAUGCAGAGCGCAUAACACGCUGGCGCAUCAGAUCGCAUGCAAAGGCAUGCAUGCAUCCAUUGGAGAAAUCAAUCAUGAGAAGGCUAAUUUGGUUUUCAUUUUGAGAUUAGCAUCAGCGACCACUCGUUGUGUCUCUCGUGAACGGAGAGGAAUCUUCUUUUUACAUCACAAGAAAUCACCCUGCGGCAUCAUCAUUUCCUCAAAGAACGGAGAGCAAAUUGAGUUACCUGCGGCAUGCAUUCGUACAGGAAAUUAAUCAUUAAUAUUAAUUAUGUUUGUCUUCUUAUGAUUAAAAGGAAUCUCAUCCAUUCUGCCUUGUGCUACAAUCGCUUCAUCAAAUCGGGCCUUUGGCCGGUACCCUUUAGUCCCGGCAUGUCUCUGGGCCGGGACUAAAGGCCUAUCCACGUCGUCCCAAUUCUCAAUACCUCCUUCAAGGCUUUAGUCCUGGCCCGUAAGGAGCCUUUAGUCCCGGUUCGUGUCCCAAACCGGGACUAAAGGGCUACGCGGUGGGCAGCCCGCAUGUGUGCCACCUUUAGUCCCGGUUUGUGUCUCAAACCGGGACUAAAGUCCUUUGCCUAUAUAUAGCACAGCCCCCCUCUCCCCUCUUCCUUGCAUUUUUUGGAUGGAGGAUUGUGGGUGUGUGCUAACUCUCCACUUUUUUUUUAUACAUUAGAGGUGUUUGUUGAAAUGUGUGUUAGAGUGAUGCCGCUUCAGUUCACCGAACACAACUACGAUAUGAGAUGCCUGAGCCACGCUUAAACCUCUUCCUCUUUAUUUCUACUUAUUCUAAAAGGUUAGCAACUAUAGUUCCUCGUUUAGACCGUGCGGUACUAAUUUUUAGGAUCGUGAUUGUAUUUGAUAUACUGUCGUAUAACACAGAUGAGCCAUCCAUGGAUGUACGGGGAUCGACGCACAACCGCUUACAAAAAAGGCGUGCAUUCUUUUCGAGAUGCAGCCGAUGCGAACAAGCAUGGUGGUGGAUAUAUGUUUUGUCCAUGUGUUGAAUGUCGGAAUGAGAAGGAUUACACUUCCUCAAGAGUCAUUCAGAGCCACCUGCUUCGGUCCGGUUUUAUGUCGGACUAUUAUGUUUGGACCAAGCAUGGAGAAAGAUGGGUUAUGAUGGAAGACGACGAUGAAGAAGAAGAGAACGAUGAUGACAACUACCGAUCUAUGUUCCCUGAGUAUGCUGAUACCGCAAUGAAAGACAAUGAAGAAGAAGAUCAGGAUGAAGAACGGGAACCAGAUGAGCCCGCUGAUGAUCUUGGCCGGGUCAUUUCUGAUGCACGGCGAGGUUGCGACACAAAAAAGGAGAUGUUGCAGUUCGAGCAGAUGUUAUAGGACCACAACAAAUUGUUGUACCCAACUUGUGAAGAUGGCCAGAAGAAGCUGGGUAGCACACUGGAAUUGCUGAAGUGGAAGGCAGAGACCGGUGUGACUGACUCGUCAUUCGAAAAGUUGCUGGUACUGAUGAAGAAGAUGCUUCCAAGAAGGAACGAAUUGCCCGCCAGCACGUACGAAGCAAAGAAGCUUGUCUGCCCUCUAGGAUUAGACGUGCACAAGAUACAUGCAUGCCCUAAUGACUGCAUCCUCUACCGCGGUGAGAAGUACGAGAAUAUGAAUAAAUGCCCGGUAUGCACUGCAUUGCGGUAUAAGAUCAGAAAAGAUGACCCUGGUGAUAUUAAGGGCGAGCCACCCAGGAAGAGGGUUCCUGCCAAGGUGAUGCGGUAUGCUCCUAUAAUACCACGAUUGAAACGUCUGUUCAGAAAUAAAGAUCAUGCGAAGUUGUUGCGAUGGCACAUGGAAGAUCGUAUGAAAGACGAUAAGUUGAGGCACACCGCUGAUGGUCGGCAGUGGAGAAAAAUCGAGAGAGAGUUCCCGAGAUUUGCAGCUGACGCAAGGAACUUAUGGUUAGGUCUGAGUACAGAUGGCAUGAAUCCUUUUGGGUAGCAGAGUUGCAGUCACAGCACCUGGCCCGUUACUCUAUGUAUGUACAACCUUCCUCCUUGGUUGUGCAUGAAGCGGAAGUUCAUUAUGAUGUCAGUGCUUAUCCAAGGUCCAAAGAAACCCGGCAACGAUAUUGAUGUGUACCUAAGGCCAUUAGUUGAUGAACUUUUACAGCUGUGGGCCGAACCAGGUGUACGUGUGUGGGACGAGCACAAACAAGAGGAAUUUGACCUUCGAGGUUGCUUUUCGUAACCAUCAAUGAUUGGCCUGCUCUUAGUAACAUUUCAGGACAGUCAAACAAGGGAUACAAUGCAUGCACGCACUGUUUGGAUCAGACAGAAAGUAUAUAUCUGGACAAAUGUAGGAAGAAUGUGUACCCGUACAAUCAUCGUUUUCUUCCGCCCAAGCAUCCCUUAAAAAAAAGGCAAGCAUUUCAAUGGCAAGGCAGAACCCCGGGGGAAGCCUGUCAUCCGUACUGGUGCUGAAGUAUUUGAUAUGGUCAAAGAUUUAAAAGUAACCUUUGGAAUGGGUCCUGGCAGCCAACCUGUUCCUAACGGCCCUGAUAAGCGCGUACCCAUGUGAAAGAAGAAAUCUAUAUUUUGGAAGCUACCCUACUGGGAAGUCCAUGAGGUCCGCUCGGCAAUCGACGUGAUGUAUCUGACGAAGAAUCUCUGCGUGAAUAUUCUAGGCUUCCUGGGCUUGUAUGGGAAGUCAGAAGAUACACCGGAAGCACGGGAGGACCAGGAACGUCAUAAAGGAAGAGAUGGCAUGCAUCCAGGGCAGUUUCAAGGGCCUGCCAGCUACGCUCUUGUUGAGGAACGUCGCAUGGGAAACAAAAAUUUCCUACGCGCACGAAGACCUAUCAUGGUGAUGUCCAUCUACGAGAGGGGAUGAGUGAUCUACGUACCCUUGUAGAUCGUACAGCAGAAGCGUUAGAGAACGCGGUUGAUGUAGUGGAACGUCCUCACGUCCCUCGAUCCGCCCCGCGAACAAUCCCGCGAUCAGUCCCACGAUCUAGUACCGAACGGACGGCACCUCCGCGUUCAGCACACGUACAGCUCGACGAUGAUCUCGGCCUUCUUGAUCCAGCAAGAGAGACGGAGAGGUAGAAGAGUUCUCCAGCAGCGUGACGGCGCUCCGGAGGUUGGUGAUGAUCUUGUCUCAGCAGGGCUCCGCCCGAGCUCCGUAGAAACGCGAUCUAGAGGAAAAACUAUGGAGGUAUGUGGUCGGGCAGCCGUGAGAAAGUCGUCUCAAAUCUGCCCUAAAAGCUCCAUAUAUAUAGGAGGAGGGAGGGGGACCUUGCCUUGGGGUCCAAGGGACCCUCAAGGGGUCGGCCGAGCCAAGGGGGAGGACCUCCCCCCAAACCGAGUUGGACUUGGUUUGGUGGGAGGAGUCCCCUCCCUUCCCACUUCCUCCCUCUUUUUUUUCUUUUCCUUUGAUUUCUUUUUCUUGGCGCAUAGGCCCACUAAGUGCUGGUGUGUCUCCCCAAAGCCUAUGGGCUUCCCCGGGGUGGGUUGCCCCCUCCCCCCCGGUGAACUCCCGGAACCCAUUCGUCAUUCCCGGUACAUUCCCGGUAAUUCCGAAAACCUUCCGGUAAUCAAAUGAGGUCAUCCUAUAUAUCAAUCUUCGUUUCCGGACCAUUCCGGAAACCCUCGUGACGUCCGUGAUCUCAUCCGGGACUCCGAACAACAUUCGGUAACCAACCAUAUAACUCAAAUACGCAUAAAACAACGUCGAACCUUAAGUGUGCAGACCCUGCGGGUUCGAGAACUAUGUAGACAUGACCCAAGAGACUCCUCGGUCAAUAUCCAAUAGCGGGACCUGGAUGCCCAUAUUGGAUCCUACAUAUUCUACGAAGAUCUUAUCGUUUGAACCUCAGUGCCAAGGAUUCGUAUAAUCCCGUAUGUCAUUCCCUUUGUCCUUCGGUAUGUUACUUGCCCGAGAUUCGAUCGUCAGUAUCCGCAUACCUAUUUCAAUCUCGUUUACCGGCAAGUCUCUUUACUCGUUCCGUAAUACAAGAUCCCGCAACUUUACAUUAAGUUACAUUGCUUGCAAGGCUUAUGUGUGAUGCUGUAUUACCGAGUGGGCCCCGAGAUACCUCUCCAUCACACGGAGUAACAAAUCCCAGUCUUGAUCCAUACUAACUCAACUAACACCUUCGGAGAUACCUGUAGAGCAUCUUUAUAGUCACCCAGUUACGUGGCGACGUUUGAUACACACAAAGCAUUUCUCCGGUGUCAGUGAGUUAUAUGAUCUCAUGGUCAUAGGAAUAAAUACUUGACACGCAGAAAACAGUAGCAACAAAAUGACACGAUCAACAUGCUACGUCUAUUAGUUUGGGUCUAGUCCAUCACGUGAUUCUCCCAAUGACGUGAUCCAGUUAUCAAGCAACAACACCUUGUUCAUAAUCAGAAGACACUGACUAUCAUUGAUCAACUGGCUAGCCAACUAGAGGCAUGCUAGGGACGGUGUUUCGUCUAUGUAUCCACACAUGUAAAUGAGUCUUCAUUCAAUACAAUUAUAGCAUGUAUAAUAAACUAUUAUCUUGAUACAGGAAUUAUAAUAAUAACUAUACAUUUAUUAUUGCCUCUAGGGCAUAAUUCCAACAGCUCUUACUAAGGAAGAGAAGGAAAUAUUCUUUGAAGUCCUUUUCAAUAUCAAGGUCCCGACUGGCUUCUCGUCGAAUAUAAAGGGAAUCGUAAAUAUGAAAGACAAAAAAUUCCAAAACCUAAAGUCUCAUGACUGCCACGUGCUUAUGACGCAAUUGCUUCCGGUUGCAUUGAGGGGAAUUCUACCGGAAAAUGUUCGCCCAGCAAUUGUGAAGGUAUGUGCAUUCCUCAAUGCAAUGAGUUUUCAAUGGCAUGUACGAUUGCACUAUUUUCUCUUAUGAGUUUUCUCUCAAAGUUUUUCAUAAUGGUUUUUAGUGAGGCAAUAUCUUCUCAAAGAUCAUAUGUCAUACUUUCUAUUUUCCCUACCAGGAUUUUUAAAGGAAGUACUCAAGACAUAUUAAUUGUUCUCUAAACUUGUCAAUGAGUUUUUUCCUUCUUCAAAGGUUUUCUCAUAUGAGUUAUCAAGAGACAAUAAUCAUCAUAUGUUGCAUCUUUUCCUCCUUAUUUUUCCCAUUGGGUUUAAAGGAGUUUUAGCAACAUAUCUACUCUAUUCUCCUCAUAUUUUUCCCACAGGGUUUUUGGGGGAGACUCUCAAGAUUAUCUGGAAGAUUUCUCAAGAUGGAAGAUCUAUAUGCAAGAAGCUUUCAACGAUGAAACAUUCAAGGAGCGGUGUUGUACAAGGAAGAGUGUUAGAAAUUAAUUAGUAGAUUAAUCCAAGGGAUGUGUCCAACCCCGAACAGUCGUGUCUCCGCUCUCUCUAUAUUGCCAACAGGCACCUGUUCUGGAAGGAUGCCUCCGAACAGACACCUCUUCUUCGUGCCUCUUCCAGAUGUAUAUAUACUUGAGAAUCAAUAGAAAUCAGGACUAAUCGUCCAUUCAUUUUCAUUCAAUCUCGUUUUACUCUAACAGCCACGACUGGAGGAUAAGUUUGUACCCAUCAGGGAAUGCCGCGGUGGAGGGCGACAAGUACAUCUCCGUCUACCUCCAGCUGGUGUCGGACCUUCCUGCCGGAACCGCCGCCGGCGUGAAGACGUCCAUCUGCUUAAAAAUCCAAGACCCCAGCGGGACGUCGCCGUUGAAGGUGUGUAGCUCUUCACACAACCGUACUAGCAAAUCUAGGACAUGGGGGUACGAGAAGUUCAUUUCCUUGGAAGCUGCCAAAUCAAAGUACAUGGCACAUGAUGGAUCCUUAACCGUACGCUGCCAAGUCGAUGUCCUUAAGGAGCCGGAGCCCUACACUAGUUUGGCGAGCGCCGGAGUCACCGUCAUCGUGCCGCCCUCCGAAAUCUCCACGCAACUCGAGCAGCUGCUCACCAGCGAGAAUUGUUGGCUUUUGAACGUGCGUAUGCAGCUGUACAGGUGUGCCUACGCGAUUCUUGCUUCGGCCGGCUACUUUACGGAACUUGUGUAACUAGCGACACGAAUAAAACUGAUCAAUGGAUUUGAUGGCUAAAAGGCCCGUGUCGAGCCUUUGCUUUGUAUUGCUUUUCGUUUUUCUGGUGUUACAAUCAACACCCCUAGGAUGUCUUUUAUACACGUCCACAAGGGACUAUGAAAAUAGACUAGGACUAGGAAUCCUAAUACUACUAGGACUCGGUUUGGCUUUCUUUCCUAAUCCUAAAGAAACAACAUGAUUAACUUCUACAUUCACCUCCUUAAUCUUGUUGCUUCACUUCACUUCUUGCACUCCGACUUUCCUCCUCAUCUCGAUGAACUUCUGUCGACCGAGGGACUUGGUGAAAAUAUCGGCAAGUUGGUCUUUCGUGUUCACAUGUUGAACCUCGAUCAACCCUUCUUCAAUGCACUCCCGGAUAUGGUGGAACCGGGUAUCUAUGUGCUUGCUCCUUUCGUGAUGAACCGGAUUUUUGCACAACGAGAUUGCAGCUUGGUUAUCGAUCUUCAGUGACACCUUCUGCACCUCCCGCUUUGCAAGAAUAGCUAGGAGUCUUCUCAGCCACACUGCUUGACAAGCCGUCGUGCUUGCCGCUAUGUAUUCUGCCUCGCAUGAAGACAGUGCCACCACCUUUUUGCUUCUGAGAAUUCCAGCUAAUCGGAUUCGUGCCAAGGUAGAAAACCAUGCCCGUUGUGCUCUUUCGGUCAUCAACAUCACCUGCCAUGUCACUAUCUGAAUAUCCACGAAGGAUCAAUCCUUCCUUUCCCUUUCUGUACGUGCAACCAAGAUUAAUGGUGCCUUUCACAUAGCGCAAGAUUUGAUUGACCGCGCUCAUGUGUUCGGUUGUUGGAUUCUCCAUGAAACGACUCACGAUCCGGACUGAAUACGCCAAGUCAGGUCGGGUAUGCACCAAAUAUCUCAGGCUGCCCACAACGCUUCGAUACAUUGUGGUGUCCACUGGCGGAUUUGAGCUACGCUUGCUCAACUUGUGACGUUGGUCCAUUGGAACUUGUGUCGCGUAGCAAUCUGACAUGCCACACUUGUCCAAUAACUUGACAGCGUAAGCCGAUUGACAUAGGGAAAUCUCUCCGGAGCUUUGCUUCACUUCGAUGCCCAAGUAAUAGCUGAGUAAUCCCAGAUCACUCAUGCUAAACUUGUUCUUCAUUUGCGCCUUGAAAUGUUCAAUUUCAUGUACGCUAUCUCCGGUGAUAAUCAGAUCGUCGACAUAAACUCCAACUAGCAGGUUUGAGCCUUUGGAGUUCUUUGUAUAGACUGCGUGCUCGAGGGGACAUCUCUUGAACCCGAGCGAGACCAGACUUCGGUCUAACUUUGAGUUCCAAGCUCUUGGCGCUUGCUUCAACCCAUAAAGUGCCUUCUUGAGCUUGUAAACUUUUCCUUCUUCGCCUUUCUUCUCGUAGCCGAGGGGUUGUUCCACGUACACUUUUUCUGUGAGAUCGCCGUUGAGGAAAGCGGAUUUAACAUCCAUAUGAUGAACCUUCCAAUCCUCUUGUGCUGCCAAAGCUAGGAGCACUCUCACCGUCUCGAUUCGAGCAACCGGUGCAAACACCUCAUCAUAGUCAACUCCUUGACGUUGAACGUAGCCCUUUGCAAUGAGUCUUGCCUUGUACUUCACAAUGGCACCCUGUGUGUCCUUCUUUAACUUGUAAACCCACUUCAAACCUAUGGUCUUUUGGUUUGGAGGUCGGGUUACCAAAGUCCACGUGCCAUUGCUCUCAAUUGCCUUCAUCUCCUCAUCCAUGGCGUGCGUCCAGCUAGGACUUUUGCUCGCCUCUACGAAGUUCGCCGGCUCCUCAACUCCGAACAAACAUAGUCCGGAGUACUCGAGUGUAACUGGCUUUGUGUACUUGUAGACUUUCUUGAGGGUCUUGUAGCGACGAGGCCCUGAGGAGUCCGUUGUGGCUUGCGAAGGAGACGACACAAAUUGUGUCGGUGUUGAUGCACUUGAGGAAGAUGGCUGAGACCCUGGUGUAUCAUCGACAUCCGUGUCGUCGGCGUAGUCGUCGUGACCGUGACCAUCAUCUUGAUUGUCGUCGUCACUAUGCGCCUCGUUGUCGAUGUUGUCGUUGAGAUCUCUGCCUGUGUGUGCGCGGCAUUGUCGCUAUCUCCUUGCGACCUAUGCGCGUCGUUGUCGGUGUCGGCACCAUGAUGAUCACUAUCAUUGUGGUCACCUUGGUUGGGCGUCUUGCCAACCACCUGGACAUCCUCCCCUGCAUCAUCAUCAGUUGGAAAUUCAACUGCAAAUAUGUUACUGUUUGGAGCAUCGUCGGCUGCGGCGCUCCAAUUCCACGCUUGGUUUUCUUCAAACACGGCGUCGCGUGAAAUUCGUAGACGCUUGGUUUGUGGAUCGUAGAAACGGUAUGCCUUGGUGCCAGAACUGCUCUCGUAUCCGAUGAACACCAUCUUGGUGCUACGAUCGGCNNNNNNNNNNNNNNNNNNNNNNNNNNNNNNNNNNNNNNNNNNNNNNNNNNNNNNNNNNNNNNNNNNNNNNNNNNNNNNNNNNNNNNNNNNNNNNNNNNNNGAAGGGAUUAAUCGAACAAGCCCUAAGGCUAAUUCUAGUCGUGCUCAUCGAGUUCAAGGAUGGGUCGAGCUCAACGAUAAGCUAAAUUUCACUGGACCAUAUAAAUGAAUGUAUCUAAAUACUAAAACGUGACUAGAUACAUUCAUAUCUAGAUAAAUCUAAGACAAGAAUUUUGGGAUGGAGGAAGUAUGUGUCUAAAAUUUCUGGAUGAAUACUCUAAAUUGUGUGCUGUACAGAAAACAAAAAAUACAUGAACUUUGAGGAUACGGUAUACUAUAUGCUAAAAAGCCACUUAUUUGUCUUUUUGUGUACCUCUCGCUUUAACGCGUUUCGACCUUAAAAUUUACACGCAUAUAGUAUUUGAAUUUUGUAUUCAUAUUUUUAGAACUGAAAUAUUUAAAUUUUGAGCGAGAGCACAAGCAUGCCUUGAGCGAGAGAAAAAAGAGCACAAGCAUGUUAGGCCCACCGCACAGUGACCUCAAGCAAGAGCACGACGGGUCCACCAGACAGUGACCUCCCGCCCAAACCAUAGCGGCUGGCAUGGGACCCACAUGCCAUACGCAUCAGCGGAACGAGCGAGCGAGCGAAAAAAUCUCUCGCUUUUCGCUGUCGUGCCGGUCUCAUGAAUGAUUGCGACGUAGUAGAGCGGAGCAAACGUACCGGCGUGGCCGCGGCCGGCGCCGUCUCGCGGGCGUCGAGGGCGACGGCGUCGCCGGAGGCCGCGUCCCUGACGACGAUGAACGCGCCGCCGCCGAGGCCGCUGGACAUGGGGUGCACCACGCCGAGGCACAGCGCCGCCGCCACGGCCGCGUCCACGGCGUGCCCGCCGGCACGCAGCGCCGCGGCGCCCACCUCCGAGCACCGCCCGUCGUCCGCCGCCACCGCGGCCGCGCCGGACUCCACCUCGUGCCGGCUCUCCCGCGCGCCAGACACCCUCGGUCUCCGGCUCCGAUCAGCGGCAGGCUCCGCGCCGGAGCCCAGGAGCAGCAGGAGGACGCCGGCCAGGGCGAGCAGCGCNNNNNNNNNNNNNNNNNNNNNNNNNNNNNNNNNNNNNNNNNNNNNNNNNNNNNNNNNNNNNNNNNNNNNNNNNNNNNNNNNNNNNNNNNNNNNNNNNNNNUUAGUCCCGGCAUGUCUCUGGGCCGGGACUAAAGGCCUAUCCACGUCGUCCCAAUUCUCAAUACCUCCUUCAAGGCUUUAGUCCUGGCCCGUAAGGAGCCUUUAGUCCCGGUUCGUGUCCCAAACCGGGACUAAAGGGCUACGCGGUGGGCAGCCCGCAUGUGUGCCACCUUUAGUCCCGGUUUGUGUCUCAAACCGGGACUAAAGUCCUUUGCCUAUAUAUAGCACAGCCCCCUCUCCCCUCUUCCUUGCAUUUUUGGAUGGAGGAUUGUGGGUGUGUGCUAACUCUCCACUUUUUUUAUACAUUAGAGGUGUUUGUUGAAAUGUGUGUUAGAGUGAUGCCGCUUCAGUUCACCGAACACAACUACGAUAUGAGAUGCCUGAGCCACGCUUAAACCUCUUCCUCUUUAUUUCUACUUAUUCUAAAAGGUUAGCAACUAUAGUUCCUCGUUUAGACCGUGCGGUACUAAUUUUAGGAUCGUGAUUGUAUUUGAUAUACUGUCGUAUAACACAGAUGAGCCAUCCAUGGAUGUACGGGGAUCGACGCACAACCGCUUACAAAAAGGCGUGCAUUCUUUUCGAGAUGCAGCCGAUGCGAACAAGCAUGGUGGUGGAUAUAUGUUUUGUCCAUGUGUUGAAUGUCGGAAUGAGAAGGAUUACACUUCCUCAAGAGUCAUUCAGAGCCACCUGCUUCGGUCCGGUUUUAUGUCGGACUAUUAUGUUUGGACCAAGCAUGGAGAAAGAUGGGUUAUGAUGGAAGACGACGAUGAAGAAGAAGAGAACGAUGAUGACAACUACCGAUCUAUGUUCCCUGAGUAUGCUGAUACCGCAAUGAAAGACAAUGAAGAAGAAGAUCAGGAUGAAGAACGGGAACCAGAUGAGCCCGCUGAUGAUCUUGGCCGGGUCAUUUCUGAUGCACGGCGAGGUUGCGACACAAAARGAGAUGUUGCAGUNNNNNNNNNNNNNNNNNNNNNNNNNNNNNNNNNNNNNNNNNNNNNNNNNNNNNNNNNNNNNNNNNNNNNNNNNNNNNNNNNNNNNNNNNNNNNNNNNNNNAUGUCACUGUCGAGGUCACGCUUGUAAACGAGACGGCACCCCCUCCCCUUGUAUAGUAGUCGCAAGUGGUAGUAUUUCCUUCCACGCCUCAAUUCGUCGUCCUCUUUCUCUCCGCAUGUCUCGAUCGGUACCUCUAAGAGGCAUUUGGAUUACAGCCCGUGCGUUGCAACGAAAACAAACCAUAUGACACGUCCUAACAUAAUAAUCAUGACUUAAGAUCUUUAUUUAAACUCAGAUUUACAUUGCCUUUUUGUGAAUACAUCUAUGCUCUCUCUCUAACUCUCUCUCUCCCUAAGGUGAACAUCAACUUUUCUGUUUUCAUGUAAUGUUUUGCCGAUUAUUGAUAGUUUUUUGUCUAGAAUCUCAUUUUGACGAGGUGUUCAUUUGCAACACGGAUCGACUUCAGUACGAAAAAAUGAAUUAUGCCCUACUGAUUAAAAUUACAGCAUAAAUAGAAUUUUAAAAUUGUUAAAUAAAUAAAAUAACAUCAUAUUUAGACUCUACGCAUCACUAUUGAUGAAAAUUACAUUAUAAACAGAAUUUAAAAAAGUAGAAAUAAAUAAACUAACAUUAUAUUCAGAUUCUACGUAUGUUUCUAAUAAAAUUUCAUGUAUAAUAAUUUAAAAUUGGAGUUACCGUUUAAAAGAUAUGAUUUUUUUAAGUAUUUGUCACUUUUAAUUAAACUGGAGAUUAAUUAAUAUAAAACUGAAGGACGUUUNNNNNNNNNNNNNNNNNNNNNNNNNNNNNNNNNNNNNNNNNNNNNNNNNNNNNNNNNNNNNNNNNNNNNNNNNNNNNNNNNNNNNNNNNNNNNNNNNNNNUUUUCGUUGACUCCUCUAGGGUUCCUGGAAUAUUAGGGGUAUUUAUUAGAGCUCACAUAUGGUUGAGGAGGUGCCCCGAGGCCCCUCACUACCCACCAGGCCGCGCCCUGGUGCCUAUUGGGUCGCAUAGGCCUCCUCUGAUGAUCAUACUUGGUCCUCAAGUUCCUUUUGGUCCAAAAAUAUCUUCAAAAAGUUUCGUGGCAUUUGGACUUCAUCUGGUAUUGAUUUUGUCCUAAGGACAAAACAAACAACAAAUAGCAACUGGCAGUGGGCACUAUGUCAAUAGGUUAGUCCCAAAAUGAUAUAAAGUUGCUAUAAAUGAUCAUAAACAUCCAAGAAUGAUAAUGCAACAUCAUGGAAUAAUAAAAUUAAUAGAUACGUUGGAUAUGUAUCAGCAUCCCCAAGCUUAAUUCCUUCUCAUCCUCGAGUAGGUAAAUGAUAAAACGGAAUUUUUGAUGUCGAAUGAUGCCUAACAUGUUCAUCAUAUUCUUUUCUUUUUAGUCAUGAACAUAUGGACUUGUAGAUGAAGCAAAGCAAUAGUCUAUAAUUUUGACAUGAAAACUUCANNNNNNNNNNNNNNNNNNNNNNNNNNNNNNNNNNNNNNNNNNNNNNNNNNNNNNNNNNNNNNNNNNNNNNNNNNNNNNNNNNNNNNNNNNNNNNNNNNNNAUGGGUUUCAGCACAUAGGACCAGAUUCCUUUUUGGCCUUUCAGCGGGGAUGGUUCUGGGACAUGCCAUGGGAAGUUCAGGUUCAGCUGUUUGAGGGCGUCAGUCAUGAAAAUCAUUUGUUGCCCGAGCGUGGGCGUGCAAGCCUGCCAUCCGUGGCUUGGAUUUCAGGUUUGAUGGCAAGAAGCUCUUGCCGAUUUUCCAAAAUAUCCUAAUUCAGAAACUGAAACCUUUUCUCUCGGUCCUCUGCUUCCACUGAAUUCUUUUUCAGGUUUUGCAAAGAGUGAAAAUCAGACACAAACAUGAUCGUAACUACCACCAAAAAUCCCGAUGAUUCUGGACAAGUUUAAAUCGCCUCUAAUAGAUUAUACACGCCACAUUAAAAUCUACAGUUCUCCAACACCAUGGCGGGCAGUGGCACGAAAUUGAACGGGGCACGAGUAAACAAAUAAACACCACUAGAGAAAUGGGACAGCUAAUCUGCAUUUGCAACAGCAACGAUUUAGGCAAGCAGACAGAAGGUCGGGACCUGAAACUGAGUCCAUACAACGAAAUAGACUUGCAAUGGCAUCACCAAAUCGCGUCCUGCAAGUUCAGAAUUCAUAAUCCAGCAGAGAAACUUUUUCUGCCGGUUCAGAGUCGUUGUCUGCAGAGAAUUACAGAGAAGCACAAGCUUCCAUAACAGAUCGAACCAAGACAAAGUAACACGAACAGGNNNNNNNNNNNNNNNNNNNNNNNNNNNNNNNNNNNNNNNNNNNNNNNNNNNNNNNNNNNNNNNNNNNNNNNNNNNNNNNNNNNNNNNNNNNNNNNNNNNNAUGUUUCCGAAUUAUCUAUCUACUUGCACGAACUAUCUAUCUAUAUUUUCGAACUAUCUAUCUAGUUGCAAUCUAUGUAAAUAACUUUGUAUCUUUAUUUAUGCAAUCUUUAUAUUUCCCCAUUUUGCAAUUGAAAAUGUUGUGCGCGCGCGUUGCAUUUUACGCGCUGUUGGAACGGCGCGCGCUGCACUUUAACGCUGCUGUUGGAGCCAGCGCUGCGCGACGCACCAAACCAGGCGAUGAACGCGCGGCAAACAGAUUUUAAGAACGGCGCGAAGCGCGGAUGCUCUUAGAUGGAAAGCGAGAGCGAGCGUGAAAGCAUGGCCGGCCGGUGACGGAAUUGGGGAAGAAUUAGCUCGUCCGAGAUCUGAUCUUGUUGUGUGAUGAAGAAGAGAAGAACUCAUUCCUUUUUUUACGGAGGAUUGGAGGUUGGAGUUGGUCCAUGCAUGAUCCGGGGAGAAAAAGACGGCCCAUGCAUGCAUGCAUGAUCCGGGGAACUACUGCAGUAGUUGCAGCGAUGGGUGUCACUCCGGCGAGCAGUCCGCCACCGAUCAACUCGGAGAGAAGACAAGAGUAUGCAUGCAUGCAUGGGGAGACAAAUAUAAUGCACCCUUUUUGAUGGAUGGAGGACGACGGCAAACGUGGUUGGNNNNNNNNNNNNNNNNNNNNNNNNNNNNNNNNNNNNNNNNNNNNNNNNNNNNNNNNNNNNNNNNNNNNNNNNNNNNNNNNNNNNNNNNNNNNNNNNNNNNACUAACUUUAGUACAAAGUUGAGUCAUUUUUUGAGUCACUUAUUUUGGGACGAAGGGAGUAUAUACUAAAUCAGCAAACUUUCCAGUUUCCUAGUUUUUGUACUUUUUUGCCUUCUACUGUUCAAUUACGUGGGCAGCUAUUAAUAGUAGUUGUUUUAGUUUUUCUUACCUUCUACUGUUUAAAUUACAUGUGUAGCUAUGAAUAGUAAUAUUAAACAAUACAUACAUCGAAGAGUGGUCGGAUGUGCCAUCGACGAACAAUGCCUAUUUGAACAGUGCAUUCUGAAAGGAGUAAAGGAAAAAAAAUAACGCACAUCAAAGAAGAAAAAAGCUUUCAAAGAAGAAAAAAUAAGGCACGUCAAAAAACUUUCUUACACAACAUUUCUUUCUUCCUCAUCCACCAUCACGUUCUUAUAAAGAGAAGGGUUAAGAUUUAGGGAUUUUUUUAUACAUUAUUUCUCUUCAUCGAUGUACCGACACAAAACCAUCUCAAUUGUCUCUCGAUCCUUUUCGAUGAUGCUGUUGCUAGGGCACAAAACAGUAGGCUGGAACAGUAUAUUCGCAUGAACAGUAAUUUAUUGGAAAAGUCUUCAUCGAUUACUGUCCAUUUUACAUGACGACAUCAGCGAAUAGUUCACUACCAAACAACCAAAUAAUAUCUUAAUAANNNNNNNNNNNNNNNNNNNNNNNNNNNNNNNNNNNNNNNNNNNNNNNNNNNNNNNNNNNNNNNNNNNNNNNNNNNNNNNNNNNNNNNNNNNNNNNNNNNNCGCGGCUGUUAUAGGCCUGCGCAUCCAUGGCAAAAGAGUGCAUAUUGCAUGCACGUGCACUCAAUAAUACUCCCCUAGUACUAGCUAAGUACUGCCAUGCUGUUGGAGAUUCUUUCUCUCAUCACCGUGCGUGUAUGGAAUGACAUCAUCAAGUUUUUCCUAAUGUUUGAAAUUUAAAAGUUUUAUCUUCAAAACCGUUAAUUCGAUUGAUGAUCUGUUUUCAUCAUUGACUUUGUCGCAACGUGAUUUUUCGAAACUAGAUCCCAUGUUGAUAUGUUUCGACUAUUUUUUUGUCCGUACUUGCCACUAUUUUUUUCAUUCACUUGUCAUAUUAUCAACCACUUACUUGUCUGACAAAAAGUAGCUUAACUGCCAUAUUUUUUAUGUUGUUCCUGUACUAAGCUUGUCGGUGCUUAUAAAUCCAGUUGCCACAAUGUUUUGAUGUGCUUGUCAUUUUUAAUUCUGCCUAGAUGUCAUGUUGUCCCAUAAAACUUGUCAGUGGUUAUAUAAUCCUGUUGCCACAAAUGUUUUGUCGUGCUUGUCAUUUUUAUUCUACCUAGUUAUCAUAUUGUCUCACAAUGCUUGUCACUUAUGUAAAAAAUUUGUGGCCGUGGUGUUUUGUUGUACUUACGAGUCUUAAUUCUACCUAGUUGUCAUGUUGUCUCAUGAAAAGCUUGUCGAUUGUUCUAAAACCUAGUUGUUAUGCUGUUUUGUUGUAUUUAUCAAUUUAUUUCUACNNNNNNNNNNNNNNNNNNNNNNNNNNNNNNNNNNNNNNNNNNNNNNNNNNNNNNNNNNNNNNNNNNNNNNNNNNNNNNNNNNNNNNNNNNNNNNNNNNNNGGCGCGCUCGAGCGCCGCGUGGAGGCCCCACGGAGUCGAGCCCGUGGAGGCUCGCCCUGACCCUGCACCCCGCGGCGCGGCGGCGCAGCGAGGGGAGCGGCGGCAGCCUCGCGGCGCCGGCCCCCGCGACGGCGCGCGGGAGCGAGGGGAGCAGCGAGGAGGAGAGCAGCGCCUUGGCCAUCGCGGGCGGCGGCUGGGCUGGGCUGGGGCUGGGGCCGCGGCGGGCUAGGGUUCAUGCACGGCGGGAGCGAGCGGCGAGUGGUGGUGGUGGUGGAGCGGAGGGGAGAGGAGCGGAAGAGGAGGAGAGGACGGUCGUUGGAGAGAGAGGUGGACGAUGAUGCUUUAUCCUCUCCGGCGCUAGUGGACUCGGCGCACCGAAUGCUUCCGGUGUUUUUUUGGGACCGGUUUGAGAGAAAUCCAUUGCAAAUUGUUUCAUUUUCAAAUGCACCGGGCAAAAAAACACUAUUAUUAGUUUAAAAUAAAACUGGAUAUUUUGAUAUAAACAACGACUAUGUACGAAAUGAAAUGAGCGAACAAACACACUAUAAUAACGAAAGGAGAGAGUAGAACUUUACAUGAGACUAGUGCCAAGUCUGCCAUAGUUGAAAUAUAGUGUAACAUGAAAGCGCCCUUCUACUCCUAAGCUCAAAAUGAGCUUGUUGAACAGUAAAACCAGAAAAACAUUAGAAAUUAAAAAACUAAAAAUUAAGACCAACGUUGACAGAAGUUGUGACUAUGUGUAAAAUUUCAACAUCAAAUAACAUUUCUAUGAGGCAUGGUCAAAAAAAUGAUUUUUACUAAAAAAACCCGGCUUGUGGGUGAGGCACUUUGUGUGUUUUGGUGUUAGUGUUGAGGUGAUGGUCUUCUUCUUUGAGUCUUUUUUGUAGUGGUUGUGGUGUUGUGGACUGCGGGUAACUUCGACGGCAAAAGACCGCUCCUUGGAAAUGGGAGCGGUGUUCCCCCUGUCCGUUUUUGCGGCACAUACAAGGUCAUUGCCUACUACUUUAUUCCCCUAGGCGUCNNNNNNNNNNNNNNNNNNNNNNNNNNNNNNNNNNNNNNNNNNNNNNNNNNNNNNNNNNNNNNNNNNNNNNNNNNNNNNNNNNNNNNNNNNNNNNNNNNNNAUGCUCUUUCUAGAAAUUCUCUUUUAGUUCUAAGCAUAGGGUUCAUUCUUACUUUCAUCUAUGGAAACAUAUAAAGCUUUAAUUGAUUCAUUAAUAUAAACCUUAGGGAAAAAAUUAUUCCUGAGAUUUUCUACAUCACGCGGAAUUCUAUCAAUGCUUCUAGACAUAUCAUCAAUCUUAUUCCACUUUUCUUCUAUCGUGGUAUUGAAAGCUUUUUUGCACAUUGAUAAAAGGAGAAGGACGCGGGGAUGAGGAAAGAGAUAACAUGAUGAGCCCUUCUGAUUUUGAUUCACUGUAGACGCGAAUGAGUGGGCGAGACCGGCCGAAGCGUUCGGCCGGCGCACCAGCGGCAAACCUUUACCUAAUUAAAAAUAUGCAUGCACGCAUUCAUUAGGUUGUCUUCCAUAUGUAACACAAGCAUAUAGAAAAGUGUCCUUCUGCUCCCGAGCUCAAAUGAGCUCGAUGAACGCAAAAAUUGAAAAAAAUCAAAAACCAUUUAAAAAAUUUGUUUUUGUUGAACAACAUUGACAAAAGCUCUAAGUACGUGAAAAAGUUUGGCCGGAAAUAACAUUCCUAUAAGGUGUGACAAAAAAUAACGAAAUCGAUACUCUAAAAAUGCGCAUUUUGAGAGUAUCGAUUAUUGUUUUUUUACCAUGCUUUAUAAAAAUAUUAUUUCAGGCCACAUUUUUGCAUGCGUUUAAGAAAAUUGUCAGUGUUGCUCACAAAAAUUGAGAAUUUUUGAAUGUUUCUAAAAAAUAUAUCGAAUUUAUUGUUCACCAAACUCAAAUGAGCUCGGGAGCAGAAACUCUGCAUCCAAGCAAAUACAUGUACUAUGAAACUACAUUUAAUAAUGAAUCUAAUAAUAUUGAUUUGGCAGUGUGAAUGUUGAUUUUUUWAAAAWUUGAUCAAAGUAGAAAUAUAUAUUUUUGCAAGAAAAACUAAAGAUACUUUGACUUCGUAUAAAAUUUAUAUGCAGACGUCAUAUCAAAACNNNNNNNNNNNNNNNNNNNNNNNNNNNNNNNNNNNNNNNNNNNNNNNNNNNNNNNNNNNNNNNNNNNNNNNNNNNNNNNNNNNNNNNNNNNNNNNNNNNNAAAAUGAUUUCUAAAACCCGGCUUGUGGGUGAGGCACUUUGUGUGUUUGGUGUUAGUGUUGAGGUGAUGGUCUUCUUCUUUGAGCUUUUUGUAGUGGUUGUGGUGUUGUGGACUGCGGGUAACUUCGACGGCAAAAGACCGCUCCUUGGAAAUGGGAGCGGUGUUCCCCCUGUCCGUUUUGCGGCACAUACAAGGUCAUUGCCUACUACUUUAUUCCCCUAGGCGUCUCCCUAGCCGGCAUAUUGUUAUGUGGUGGUUCGUUCCUCCUCUUCGUCAAAACAUCACCGUCUCUGAUGUCGUCGCGAAAUUGCCGGAAGGUUUGUUUAGGAGAUGGUUCGAAUAUGGGAUUUUUAUCUACACAAGGUUUACAACGAUGGCUUUUCUCUGGGGCAUUAGUCCAACUGAAUCUAAACACAAUGAUUUUCCAACCACAUGAUACAACGUUAGUCUCACUUCGAUUACGAAGCAAAAGCGGUGGCGUGCCUUCGGCUUGUGAUAUAGAUUGAGUUUGUUUUGAUCUGUUGUCAUUUCCUUGUUUUUAGGUGGCUUGUAUCAUUAGAAAUUUUAAUUAGAACCAAAGCUUUAUUAAAAAUGAAAUGUGAUAUACCCGACUUAUAUGGCCUUUUGUAUUUACUCAUACAUGUUUCGUGUUGCUCUUCUCUUGCUAUGGUCUCACUUGUNNNNNNNNNNNNNNNNNNNNNNNNNNNNNNNNNNNNNNNNNNNNNNNNNNNNNNNNNNNNNNNNNNNNNNNNNNNNNNNNNNNNNNNNNNNNNNNNNNNNUACACGACGCUAUUUUCGUCCCUACAUCGUCACUGUUUUAAUUUACGACGAUCUCACGACGAAAACCAAGCGUCGAAAACGGAGCGUCACAAAUGAACAGCAGUGAUGUUUUGAUCAAAAUCGUCGUAACUUUUACGACGAUUCCUGGAUCGUCAUAACCUUUACGACGAUACUAAAUUGUCGUUGGCAAUCUAACCGAGUCCUACGUGGCAGUCCUACAUGGCAAAACGUCAUGAUUGAAAUCAGCCCAACCCAUUUCAAUUGAUCACAUGGGCUGGUUUUUUUGGGCUUUUCUUAUUGGGCUUCUUUUUGGGCCUUAGCCUAUUUACAGCCACUUCUAGUAUUUUUUGUAUCAUUAUAAUUUGGGCCUGAGCCUUUUAGUGCCCAAAUACAUUUGGUCCAGUUUCAGUUUUGGCCUUUUUUUCAUUUUUGAAUUCAGCAACUUUUUGUUCCAAACUUGGUUUCAUUUCUAUUUGUUGGGCCUUUUNAACCCAAUUAUUUGUCCAAUAUAAAAUCUAACACUAAUUUCAUAUUCAAAUCAGGAAAACUCCAAGUCGAAUUAAAAUCAAUCAAAUCAUAUAACAUCACAUAAUACAUCUCCCAGUUUUACAUAACACAAUACAUNNNNNNNNNNNNNNNNNNNNNNNNNNNNNNNNNNNNNNNNNNNNNNNNNNNNNNNNNNNNNNNNNNNNNNNNNNNNNNNNNNNNNNNNNNNNNNNNNNNNUCAUCGGCCGACAGUAGAGGAAACUACGGGGAAGCAACGUGUGUCGUCAACUGCUGCGUCUUCAGAAGAUGUCGACGAGAAUGAAGGCUUUGAAGAUGAAGAUGACAACAAUGCUUUUCGAGAGGUAAAUUUUGAAUUGUGUACAUAGUUCUGGGUGCAAAUUCAUCUUCUUUUGUGCUAGCUAAUUGUGUGCAUUGUUAUUUUUGUUGGAAAUGUCUACUUGUUAUUUUGUUUGAAUUGUGUACUUGUUAUUUUGUUUAGAAAACAUUGCCAAGGCUGAUUGGACAGACGCGAAUAUUACUGUAUUUUGUAACAUCGUCUGUGAGGAAGCUAGGGAUGGACACUGUGUGAUGGGUUGUGGUCAUUGAAACAACAAUGAUAUGAAGAAGUGUUCUUCGCUUAUGUAAUUUCUGUUAUCUCGGUUGUUAUGUACUCUCUCUUAUUUUGGUUCUUAUGAACAAGUGUUAAUUCGUUUGUAUGAAUAAUUUAUUUGGUUGUCACUAUUCUGUAAUUCGUUUGUAUGAACAAGAGUUAUGUGAACAAGUGUAUUAUUUAGGUGCAACAUGGACUUAUAAGUAGGGACUCGGGACUUAUAAGUCCCUGUAAAUAAACAGGUAGGGACUUAUGAUUUAUAAGUUGGGACUUAAAAAGUCCUAGGACUUAUGAAACAAACAGGGUCUUAGGUAGGNNNNNNNNNNNNNNNNNNNNNNNNNNNNNNNNNNNNNNNNNNNNNNNNNNNNNNNNNNNNNNNNNNNNNNNNNNNNNNNNNNNNNNNNNNNNNNNNNNNNGCUAACGAGGUAAGCUAACCCUGCAUCAUUCCUACUCUACAGCACCGAGGAAAUAAACAAAAGGGCUGCCGAGGGGAUUCGAACCCACGCCCUCUCAUCAGGCAGCUACGCUCGCUACCACUACGCUACGAUACGGGCGACUGACAGAGAAGGAACCUAAAGCAAGGUAAACUAACGCGAGCACGCGGUGCUCUGCACAGCGCGCAGGUCGCGUCGACAGGGAGGUCGCAUUGAUCUCUGCUGCUGCUGCGCACCAAGAGGGGAAACGCACGCCUGCUGAUGCUGCUACGCGGGGGAAAGUUCCCUGCUACUACUGCAUCGCCGAGACACACCACAACCUACUGCACCACUGCAUCUACCGUCGGCUACCUGACGGAGAGAAACGCGAGCACUUCCACGACGGAUCUACGACGGAAUCGAGGAGGAAGAAGGAAGGGGAGGUGCAGCCUCACCUUGGGAAGGAAGGGGGGCUCCGAUCUGAAGGGAAGGAAGCCGGACCGGAGGGGAAGAAGACGUGCCGAGGGAGAUCCUGCCGUAGACCGAAACAAGUCCCACGAUCUAGUACCGAACGGACGGCACCUCCGCGUUCAGCACACGUACAGCUCGACGAUGAUCUCGGCCUUCUUGAUCCAGCAAGAGAGACGGAGAGGUAGAAGAGUUCUCCAGCAGCGUGACGGCGCUCCGGAGGUUGGUGAUGAUCUUGUCUCAGCAGGGCUCCGCCCGAGCUCCGAUCAAUCGUUAAGGAUGACAACAGUUGAAUCUAUGCUUUAUGCCUAGCUAGGGGCGUAAAACGAUAGCGCUUAUUGGGAGGCAACCCAAUGAAUAAAAUUUAUUUUUCACUUUUGCUUUCUGUUCUUGAGUGUUUGCAAAAUUAUGCUACUAUUAUGAUUGUGUUUUUUUAUGUUUUAGUUAGUGUUUGUGCCAAGUAAAUCCUUUAAGAUCAUGUGGGGUGAUAGUUGCUUUGAUCUUGUUGAAAAAACAAAACUUUUUGCGUUCAGUAGAAAAAAAAUCUAGAAAAUCACAGAAGCAUCUAAAAGUGUCUGAAUUUUUACACAACAUUGAUAUACAAAUUACCUAUGUUUNNNNNNNNNNNNNNNNNNNNNNNNNNNNNNNNNNNNNNNNNNNNNNNNNNNNNNNNNNNNNNNNNNNNNNNNNNNNNNNNNNNNNNNNNNNNNNNNNNNNACGGAUCCUGCUUUCGCGUCCACCGUCUCCUUGUUCGUCACGUGGCCGGGGCAGACGAGCCGUGACCCGUUUCCUGUAAACAACUCCAUUGUUUCAGGACGUUGUUCCUGCAACUUGGAAGUAGUUGCAGAACGAGGGACCCAGGCAUGGCGACGACGGCUUCCACGGGAAGAGCUCGCCGGCCGCCCCGCCGCCGGCCGCCUCGCCGCCUAGAGCUCGCCGGCCGCCCCGCCCCGCCGCCAAGAGCUCGCCGGCCGCCCCGCCGCCUAGAGCUCGCCGGCCGCCCCGCCGCCAAGAGUUUCCCUGCUCGCUAGGUAGUGGUUCUGCAAUUUGAGCUUUGUUGCAAAAAUUCCUGAAACAUGACCUUUGUUGCAAAAAUUCUCCCGCAAAACGAAGAAAAUCCUGCAACAAGCAAAUUGUUUCUGAAACUCGACCGUUGUUUCAGGAAUUAACAGAUCCAAAGUUUAUUUCUUGCAACAAAGCGAAAGUUUCCGCAACUCGAGCAUCGUUUCAGAACCAUGCGGCGGGGAUGCGGGGCGUUAGAUCGCCAUCCGACGGCUAGCUAGGUGACGGAUAAUUUUAGAAAUCAUCCGACGGAUGCGUAGCGUUCCCUUUUCCUUGGCGCAACAUUUCCCUUUCCUUUGUAUGUUUCGUACUACAAAAAGUGUGUAUACACAUUUUAUCCGCUUGACCAAACACUUAAAUAUAGGUCAACAACGUGCACAUGCAGCCAGCUCAGUCUUGCUUACCAAGUCUAUAAACGAUUUAUUUAACCACUUGAGCCAGAGUAUCUUCCCUGAGCAAUUUGUAACAAAUUAACUUCGACCUCUCCGAACAAGUACUUACAAAGUUAGAGCAUCUCCAACAAGCGUCGAACGCGCCGCGCGACAAAAAAUUGGUUUGCCGCGCGCCCCAUCGCCUGGAUUGGCGCGGCGCGCAGCACGGGCUCCAGCAACCGCGUUAAAAUGUAGCGCGCGCGGCUCCAGCAGCCCGACAAAAAUACAGCGCGCGCGACUCGCCGGGUUUUCAUUUUAACAUAUAUGGCAUUUUGGACAACAAAAUGAGUUCGCCUGCUCAACGAAUGAGCUCNNNNNNNNNNNNNNNNNNNNNNNNNNNNNNNNNNNNNNNNNNNNNNNNNNNNNNNNNNNNNNNNNNNNNNNNNNNNNNNNNNNNNNNNNNNNNNNNNNNNGCCGAUCGUAGCACCAAGAUGGUGUUCAUCGGAUACGAGAGCAGUUCUGGCACCAAGGCAUACCGUUUCUACGAUCCACAAACCAAGCGUCUACGAAUUUCACGCGACGCCGUGUUUGAAGAAAACCAAGCGUGGAAUUGGAGCGCCGCAGCCGACGAUGCUCCAAACAGUAACAUAUUUGCAGUUGAAUUUCCAACUGAUGAUGAUGCAGGGGAGGAUGUCCAGGUGGUUGGCAAGACGCCCAACCAAGGUGACCACAAUGAUAGUGAUCAUCAUGGUGCCGACACCGACAACGACGCGCAUAGGUCGCAAGGAGAUAGCGACAAUGCCGCGCACACACAGGCAGAGAUCUCAACGACAACAUCGACAACGAGGCGCAUAGUGACGACGACAAUCAAGAUGAUGGUCACGGUCACGACGACUACGCCGACGACACGGAUGUCGAUGAUACACCAGGGUCUCAGCCAUCUUCCUCAAGUGCAUCAACACCGACACAAUUUGUGUCGUCUCCUUCGCAAGCCACAACGGACUCCUCAGGGCCUCGUCGCUACAAGACCCUCAAGAAAGUCUACAAGUACACAAAGCCAGUUACACUCGAGUACUCCGGACUAUGUUUGUUCGGAGUUGAGGAGCCGGCGAACUUCGUAGAGGCGAGCAAAAGUCCUAGCUGGACGCACGCCAUGGAUGAGGAGAUGAAGGCAAUUGAGAGCAAUGGCACGUGGACUUUGGUAACCCGACCUCCAAACCAAAAGACCAUAGGUUUGAAGUGGGUUUACAAGUUAAAGAAGGACACACAGGGUGCCAUUGUGAAGUACAAGGCAAGACUCAUUGCAAAGGGCUACGUUCAACGUCAAGGAGUUGACUAUGAUGAGGUGUUUGCACCGGUUGCUCGAAUCGAGACGGUGAGAGUGCUCCUAGCUUUGGCAGCACAAGAGGAUUGGAAGGUUCAUCAUAUGGAUGUUAAAUCCGCUUUCCUCAACGGCGAUCUCACAGAAAAAGUGUACGUGGAACAACCCCUCGGCUACGAGAAGAAAGGCGAAGAAGGAAAAGUUUACAAGCUCAAGAAGGCACUUUAUGGGUUGAAGCAAGCGCCAAGAGCUUGGAACUCAAAGUUAGACCGAAGUCUGGUCUCGCUCGGGUUCAAGAGAUGUCCCCUCGAGCACGCAGUCUAUACAAAGAACUCCAAAGGCUCAAACCUGCUAGUUGGAGUUUAUGUCGACGAUCUGAUUAUCACCGGAGAUAGCGUACAUGAAAUUGAACAUUUCAAGGCGCAAAUGAAGAACAAGUUUAGCAUGAGUGAUCUGGGAUUACUCAGCUAUUACUUGGGCAUCGAAGUGAAGCAAAGCUCCGGAGAGAUUUCCCUAUGUCAAUCGGCUUACGCUGUCAAGUUAUUGGACAAGUGUGGCAUGUCAGAUUGCUACGCGACACAAGUUCCAAUGGACCAACGUCACAAGUUGAGCAAGCGUAGCUCAAAUCCGCCAGUGGACACCACAAUGUAUCGAAGCGUUGUGGGCAGCCUGAGAUAUUUGGUGCAUACCCGACCUGACUUGGCGUAUUCAGUCCGGAUCGUGAGUCGUUUCAUGGAGAAUCCAACAACCGAACACAUGAGCGCGGUCAAUCAAAUCUUGCGCUAUGUGAAAGGCACCAUUAAUCUUGGUUGCACGUACAGAAAGGGAAAGGAAGGAUUGAUCCUUCGUGGAUAUUCAGAUAGUGACAUGGCAGGUGAUGUUGAUGACCGAAAGAGCACAACGGGCAUGGUUUUCUACCUUGGCACGAAUCCGAUUAGCUGGAAUUCUCAGAAGCAAAAGGUGGUGGCACUGUCUUCAUGCGAGGCAGAAUACAUAGCGGCAAGCACGACGGCUUGUCAAGCAGUGUGGCUGAGAAGACUCCUAGCUAUUCUUGCAAAGCGGGAGGUGCAGAAGGUGUCACUGAAGAUCGAUAACCAAGCUGCAAUCUCGUUGUGCAAAAAUCCGGUUCAUCACGAAAGGAGCAAGCACAUAGAUACCCGGUUCCACCAUAUCCGGGAGUGCAUUGAAGAAGGGUUGAUCGAGGUUCAACAUGUGAACACGAAAGACCAACUUGCCGAUAUUUUCACCAAGUCCCUCGGUCGACAGAAGUUCAUCGAGAUGAGGAGGAAAGUCGGAGUGCAAGAAGUGAAGUGAAGCAACAAGAUUAAGGAGGUGAAUGUAGAAGUUAAUCAUGUUGUUUCUUUAGGAUUAGGAAAGAAAGCCAAACCGAGUCCUAGUAGUAUUAGGAUUCCUAGUCCUAGUCUAUUUUCAUAGUCCCUUGUGGACGUGUAUAAAAGACAUCCUAGGGGUGUUGAUUGUAACACCAGAAAAACGAAAAGCAAUACAAAGCAAAGGCUCGACACGGGCCUUUUAGCCAUCAAAUCCAUUGAUCAGUUUUAUUCGUGUCGCUAGUUACACAAGUUCCGUAAAGUAGCCGGCCGAAGCAAGAAUCGCGUAGGCACACCUGUACAGCUGCAUACGCACGUUCAAAAGCCAACAAUUCUCGCUGGUGAGCAGCUGCUCGAGUUGCGUGGAGAUUUCGGAGGGCGGCACGAUGACGGUGACUCCGGCGCUCGCCAAACUAGUGUAGGGCUCCGGCUCCUUAAGGACAUCGACUUGGCAGCGUACGGUUAAGGAUCCAUCAUGUGCCAUGUACUUUGAUUUGGCAGCUUCCAAGGAAAUGAACUUCUCGUACCCCCAUGUCCUAGAUUUGCUAGUACGGUUGUGUGAAGAGCUACACACCUUCAACGGCGACGUCCCGCUGGGGUCUUGGAUUUUUAAGCAGAUGGACGUCUUCACGCCGGCGGCGGUUCCGGCAGGAAGGUCCGACACCAGCUGGAGGUAGACGGAGAUGUACUUGUCGCCCUCCACCGCGGCAUUCCCUGAUGGGUACAAACUUAUCCUCCAGUCGUGGCUGUUAGAGUAAAACGAGAUUGAAUGAAAAUGAAUGGACGAUUAGUCCUGAUUUCUAUUGAUUCUCAAGUAUAUAUACAUCUGGAAGAGGCACGAAGAAGAGGUGUCUGUUCGGAGGCAUCCUUCCAGAACAGGUGCCUGUUGGCAAUAUAGAGAGAGCGGAGACACGACUGUUCGGGGUUGGACACAUCCCUUGGAUUAAUCUACUAAUUAAUUUCUAACACUCUUCCUUGUACAACACCGCUCCUUGAAUGUUUCAUCGUUGAAAGCUUCUUGCAUAUAGAUCUUCCAUCUUGAGAAAUCUUCCAGAUAAUCUUGAGAGUCUCCCCCAAAAACCCUGUGGGAAAAAUAUGAGGAGAAUAGAGUAGAUAUGUUGCUAAAACUCCUUUAAACCCAAUGGGAAAAAUAAGGAGGAAAAGAUGCAACAUAUGAUGAUUAUUGUCUCUUGAUAACUCAUAUGAGAAAACCUUUGAAGAAGGAAAAAACUCAUUGACAAGUUUAGAGAACAAUUAAUAUGUCUUGAGUACUUCCUUUAAAAAUCCUGGUAGGGAAAAUAGAAAGUAUGACAUAUGAUCUUUGAGAAGAUAUUGCCUCACUAAAAACCAUUAUGAAAAACUUUGAGAGAAAACUCAUAAGAGAAAAUAGUGCAAUCGUACAUGCCAUUGAAAACUCAUUGCAUUGAGGAAUGCACAUACCUUCACAAUUGCUGGGCGAACAUUUUCCGGUAGAAUUCCCCUCAAUGCAACCGGAAGCAAUUGCGUCAUAAGCACGUGGCAGUCAUGAGACUUUAGGUUUUGGAAUUUUUUGUCUUUCAUAUUUACGAUUCCCUUUAUAUUCGACGAGAAGCCAGUCGGGACCUUGAUAUUGAAAAGGACUUCAAAGAAUAUUUCCUUCUCUUCCUUAGUAAGAGCNNNNNNNNNNNNNNNNNNNNNNNNNNNNNNNNNNNNNNNNNNNNNNNNNNNNNNNNNNNNNNNNNNNNNNNNNNNNNNNNNNNNNNNNNNNNNNNNNNNNCUCCCCCUUUUUGGUAGUUGAUGACAACAUAUACAUAGGUCUCAAAAAAGAUUUAACAUACAUUAUAGCCUUGGAGAGGUUUAGUACGGAGCUCCCCCUUAGUAUGUGCAUGAUAAAAUAUCGGAGCUCCCUUUUAAUGUGUGUAUCGAACAUAUAAUGGAUCAUCAUGUAAAGAUAAUAGAUCAUCAUAGAAAGACAAUAGAUCAUCAUAGAAGUAGUGGAGCAAAACAUAAUAGCCUAUGAUGAUAUCAUAGCAAUCCAUAGCAAUCACAACAUUCAUAAGUAGCCAUACAUGAGUUUAUCCAUUACAUUACACAACCAUGCAAAUUUAGACUAAAUCUCCAAAGACUAAAAACUACGAUACAUUACUCCCCCUUUGGCACCAAGUACCAAAAAGGGAGGCACCAACAUCAUCAACCAUGCUCAGAGCUCAUCAGCAUCAUCAUCAUCAUCAUCCUCAUCGUUAGGCAAGCCAUUGCCACCAGCCUCGUCAAGAAAAUCAGCCCACUCAGGACGAGAUGGGAAGCCAAAGUCAGAAGGAGGGGCAGCAGGAAGGGCCUCAUCAUCACUCACAUCAAGAGCGCCCGAGUCUCUCAUACGAGCCUUGAGGGCAUUCUUGGAGGAGACUAGGCGAGAAACCACAUCAUGGGUUUGACCACACUGGAAUGAGACGGCCUUCAUCAUAUCCCBAGUGUGCCUUGCCAAUGAAUUUGGCAAAGCGACCGAGAGGAGCGGAGCUAGAUGAGGGGGUUGCUGACCGGGCAGCAGUACGACGAGUGGAUGUGGAGGAUGGGGUUUUCUUGGGAGCAUAGUUAUCCGCCAUGUGAGCGGGAAUGACCCACUUGUGAUGUGUGUGAGUGACAGCAACAGAGAAAUCAGCAACAUGAUUAAUAAGAGCCUGGAUGAAGGGGGCAUGAGGGAAGGCUCGCUUGUAUUGAAAACUAGCAAGCCGAAUCUCAUGCCAUAGAAAGUGAGGCACAUUAAUUUUGCUCUUGGGGUGCUCGUACAAGUGUGACAUGAUGUCAAUACAGUAGCCACUGCAAGAUCCCUUAUCACCCAUCUUGGGAUAGAUGGUGCGGAUAAGACACUGAAAGAUGAUAAAGUAAGGUGAGCGCCAGAUGGAUACCUGGUUAAGAUCCUUCAUGCGUUCAUCCACAUCAAGUUCACGGAGUGGUUUGAGGAGAUACCCACACGCCUCAAUUGGCUUAUGUGCAUGGUUAGGAUCAUUCUUAUGUAUUUUGAAGCCGGAGUUGGGGAAACCAAGUGCGGCAACAAACAUAUCAUAAGAGGCUGUGAAGUGAACGUCAGAGGUGAUCCAGCUAACAAUGUGGUUUGGACCAAAGAAGCAUGUGGCAUAAAACUGGUGAAUGGCAGCAGCGUUAAAAUUGCGACGAAAAGCAAAUGGGGCAGCAAGCCCCGAUGAAUCAAUAAGCUCAAUGGCACACGGGUAUUUCGCCGGGUGCGUGCGAAUAUGCUCAAGAUCUAUGAAGUGAUGAACAGAGAGACCCUUAGGAACUAUGACUAUAGUAAAGAUGUCCGCCUGGACGUUUGUGCGGAAACGUGAGUCCAUAGAGUCACGUACGACAGAGAAUUGAUCAAUGUCGUGGCGGAAAGUGAGGUAUGAAGACUUGGCAAGCGUGGUGAAGUUCGUGACUUCAUGACCUAAGGUAGCAGGGGGUUCAAGUGAGAUGCGACGAGCUUCACCUUCGGGUUGAGCAGGAGGAGGUGGUGGCAUAUAGGACGGCCUGCGAGUCCCGGGCUUUGGCAUGGACCUCCGAACGGCGGGCUGGUCAGCACGGUCCUCGGCGGCAAGCUCAUCCUCGAAGUCAGAGCCAUCAGACGACGAGGGGAGCUGUUGAGACGGAGGACGUCGGGAAGUCCGUUUGAAGGGACGACGUUGCCCUUCCGAGUCCGACCCCGUGCCAGUAGGGGCACGAGCGGAUGAGCCAGCAGCGUCCUUCCGGGCGGCGUGCUUAAUCUUGGGCAUGAUGCACAAAAGCCUACACGGAUGGAAACCCAAUGGGAACGAUCAUGGUCAAACCAUAUGAACGAACAUGUGGACUUGGGAGAAAGGGAACCAAACGCGAGGGGAACGGAGGAGAUACCUGCAGAUGGAUCCCGCGGAGGAAGAAGAGAUGGAUCCCGCGGAGGAGAUCAGGCAGAUCUCGGAGGUGGGGGCGCGGGUGAGCGCUCCUGGUGCUGGCGGCGGCGGCUGCUGGGGAAAAAGGAGGCGCGUGAGGGCUAGGGCAAGGCCCAGCCCCACACCCUUCUAUUUAUAGGCCCCGAGGUGUUGGACGUCUGACAGGCGUCGGACGUCCGGAGAGGAUUUUGCCGUCGGACGACUGACACUGGCCGGACGUCCGGAAUGAGGUUAGCCGCCGGACGUCCGAGACACGUCGGACGACCGAGAGAGAGGAGGAGACAGAGGCUGAUUCUGAAAUUUUUGAUGAUGAGAUGAUGAUUUUUCAUGGUUUCUCACAAAGAAUACGAACAUAGUUGCCUACAAGAAUUACAUAUAAUACUUGUGGACAGAAGUUGAUUUAUGCAUACUUUGUAAGCUCAAAACACAGAAUUAUGACCCACUCCCCCUAAAUGCAUGCCCACAUCAAGACACAAACAUAAUGUGAGUGUGUGUAUGUGUGCAAGAUUUCAAGUUAUGUUAUCAAGCUCCAAGAUACCUAGUUCACGCCUAAGUUGACAGAACCUUGCUACGCUAAGUGGCUUGGUGAAAAUGUCAGCGAGCUGCAUGUCGGUAUCCACAUGGGUAAUAUCAAUGUCACCCUUUUGCACAUGGUCUCUCAAGAAAUGAUACCUAAUAUCAAUAUGUUUUGUGCGAGGGUGAUCAAUGGAGUUCUCGGAGAUCUUUAUGGCACUUUCAUUAUCACAGAGAAGAGGAACGUGUCGAUACGUGAUACCAUAAUCCUUUAGGGUUUGCCUCAUUCACAACAGUUGGGUUGCACAGCUUGCGGCUGCAAUAUAUUCGGCCUCGGCCGUGGAGAGAGAAACACAAUUCUGCUUUUUCGAGGACCAACUUACCAAGGAGCGUCCAAGAAACUGACAUGCACCGGAAGUGGAUUUCUGUCCCACUUUGUCACCGGCCGAAUCCGCAUCGGAGUACCCUAUAAGAUCGAACUUUGCAUCCUUAGGGUACCAUAAGCCUAACUUUGGGGUGUGAACAAGGUAUCUAAGAAUAUGCUUAACCGCCGUAUGAUGGCUUUCCCUAGGGGAAGCUUGAAAUCUAGCACAUAUGCCUACACUUAACAUGAUGUCCGGUCUAGAUGCGCAAAGAUAAAGUAACGAACCGAUCAUGGAGCGGUAAGUAGAUGGGUCAAAAGGAAUACCGUUGGUGUCUUCAUUUAGAACUACAUCUGUGGCCAUGGGUGUCUUCAUUGGUUUAGCAUUUGUCAUAUCAAAUUUUUCAAGAAUGUCCUUGAGGUACUUAGUUUGAGACAAGAAAAUUCCUUCUUGAAAUUGUUGUAUUUGAAACCCAAGAAAGAACUUCAAGUCCGUGUUGAGUGACAUCUGAAAGGUCUUGGUCAUGGAGGCCGCAAACUUCUUGCAUAAAUGGAUGUUAGGAGAACCAAAAAUGAUGUCAUCUACAUAGAUUUGGCAUAAGAUCAAAUCACCAUUUUCCCUCUUAGUAAAAAGAGUGGGAUCGAUCACCCCCACCACAAAGCCAUCAUCGAGUAGAAACUUCUUAAGAUGAUCGUACCAAGCACGGGGUGCUUGUUUGAGGCCAUACAAAGCCUUGUGAAGUUUGUAUACAUGGUAUUUGUGGUGAGGGUCAACAAACCCAGGUGGUUGUGAUACAUAUACCUCUUCUUGUAGAGGACCAUUAAGAAAAGCACUUUUCACAUCCAUUUGAUGCAAAGUAAAACCAUUGAAAGCAGCAUAGGCCAAUAAAAUGCGAAUGGAUUCAAGACGAGCAACAGGGGCGAAAGUCUUACCAAAGUCCAAACCUUCAACUUGGGAGUACCCCUGUGCUACUAACCUUGCCUUGUUGCGUAGGACAGUUCCAUUCUCAUCUUCCUUGUUCUUGAAAAUCCAUUUAGUUCCAAUGACAUUGUGUUCCUCAGUUGGUCGUUCUACCAAUGACCAUACUUCAUUGCGUGUAAAACGGUUUAACUCUUCUUGCAUAGCAAGGAGCCAGUCAUUAUCACACAAUGCAUACUGAACCCUGUGUGGCACGGUACUAGAGACAAACGAAAAGUGAGCACAAAAGUUUGUUAAUUGUUUACGAGUCACUCUACCUUCCGACACGCCGGUGAGGAUUUGAUCAAUAUCAACACGACCGACCACACGUGGCAUGAUGGAGGUCAGGGUUUCACGAGGUUCGACUUUGUUUCCAUCAUCAACGUCCUCAACAUAUGGAUCAUUUAUGUGCGGUGGAAGAUAUUCCUCUUCGCGUUGCACCUGUUGAAGUUCAUCAUCAAGCAUAUCCAUACUUUGGUCUAGCUCUUGAAGAUCAACUUGUUCUUGAGUGUGAUCAGAGUGAGAGACAUGUUCUCCCACUUGAUCCUCAACAACUGGCAUGAUAUGUGUGCUAGUAUCUUGUGGAGGUACGGGCAGUGAACUGUCUUGAGGAUGAGAAGUACUCUCAUCAUCUUCAUCAUCAUCAUCGGGUCUUUGUUCCAUGGGAAGAAGUGCACCUACACCCAUGUUCAAGAUAUCUUGCGAGGAAUCUUCUUCACCUGCAUCACUUAGAUCAACUUGCUCCCCAUGGGAGCGGUUAAAUUCAUCAAACGUCACGUCACAGGUUUCUAUAACACAUCCAGUGGAUUUGUUGUAGACUCUGUAGGCGUGAGAGUUUGAUCCAUAGCCAACAAAAAUCCCUUCAGUUGUUUUGGAUUGAAAUUUUCCUAACCGUUCUCGUUUGUUGAGGAUGAAACACUUGCAUCCAAACACACGAAAGUACUUAACAUUGGGCUUGUUCCCAGUUAGGAUCUCAUAUGGAGUCUUCUCCAAUAUUGAUCAAAGGAAGAGCCGGUUUGAUGCAUGACAUGCUGUGUUGACGGCCUGAGCCCAAAAACUAUGUGGUGACUUGUAUUCGUCUAACAUGGACCUUGCCAUUUCCACAAGUGUCCGGUUCUUCCUCUCUGCUACACCAUUUUGCUGAGGGGUGUAAGGUGCGGAGUACUAAUGUUCAAUUCCCUCAUCACUAAGAAAUUCUUCUAGGGUGUAGUUCUUGAACUCGGAGCCAUUAUCACUUCUUAUUGCCUUGAUGUCCUUGUCAAACUUCCGCUGGGCUUGUUUGGCAAAAUCAAUGAAGGUGAUCUUCGUCUCGUCCUUGGACUUGAGAAAGAAUACCCAUGUGUAUCUUGAGUAAUCAUCAACAAUGACUAGGCCAUACUUUUUCCCUCCAAGACCUGCCCAUGAAGGAGGCCCAAACAGAUCCACAUGAAGGAGCUCUAACGGCCUCGAAGUGGAUACAAUGUUCUUGGGUGGAUGUUUUGAUUGAUGUUGUUUCCCAGCUAUGCAUGCACUGCACACACGAUCUUUCUUAAAAGAUACAUUUGUUAGUCCUAGGAUGUGAUUUCCGUUUAAGAGAUUUUGAAGAUUUCUCAUGCCGACAUGGGCGAGCCGGCGAUGCCACAACCAUCCCAUGUCGGCCUUGGCCAUUAGACAAGUUGUAUGGAAGGUGCUCUCUUUUGAGAAAUCAACCGUGUAAAGGUUGCCAUCCAACUCUCCAACAAAGGCCACUUUGAGAGUGUCUCUCUUAAAGACUUUCACAUCCGUUAGUCCGAAUAGUGUGUCAUAACCAACGGAAGCCAAUUGGCGAACUGAAAGUAAAUGAUAUUGAAGAGAUUGGACAAGCAUGACAUUUGCAAUAGACAUGUCAUUAGUGAUUGCCACCUUGCCCAACCCAAUUACCUGCCCUUUCGACCCUCCACCAAAUACAAUGCUCAUGUAUGGUCGAAUGGCUUGCAUGAAGUCAUAGAGCAAGUUACUAUCUUCGGUCAUAUGAUUGGUGCAUCCACUGUCGAUCACCCAUUUGGCUCCUCCGGAGAAGACAUACUGCAAUGAAUUAAGACUUGGUUUGAGGUGCCCAUUUCAUCAUGGGGCCUCUUGUUGGAAUUAUGCCCUAGAGGCAAUAAUAAAUGUAUAGUUAUUAUUAUAAUUCCUGUAUCAAGAUAAUAGUUUAUUAUCCAUGCUAUAAUUGUAUUGAAUGAAGACUCAUUUACAUGUGUGGAUACAUAGACAAAACACCGUUCCUAGCAUGCCUCUAGUUGGCUAGCCAGUUGAUCGAUGAUAGUCAGAGUCUUCUGAUUAUGAACAAGGUGUUGUUGCUUGAUAACUGGAUCACGUCAUUGGGAGAAUCACGUGAUGGACUAGACCCAAACUAAUAGACGUAGCAUGUUGAUCGUGUCAUUUUGUUGCUACUGUUUUCUGCGUGUCAAGUAUUUAUUCCUAUGACCAUGAGAUCAUAUAACUCACUGACUCCGGAGGAAUGCUUUGUGUGUAUCAAACGUCGCAACGUAACUGGGUGACUAUAAAGAUGCUCUACAGGUAUCUCCGAAGGUGUUAGUUGAGUUAGUAUGGAUCAAGACUGGGAUUUGUCACUCCGUGUGACGGAGAGGUAUCUCGGGGCCCACUCGGUAAUACAACAUCACACAUAAGCCUUGCAAGCAAUGUAACUUAGUGUAAGUUGCGGGAUCUUGUAUUACGGAACGAGUAAAGAGACUUGCCGGUAAACGAGAUUGAAAUAGGUAUGCGGAUGCUGACGAUCGAAUCUCGGGCAAGUAACAUACCGAAGGACAAAGGGAAUGACAUACGGGAUUAUACGAAUCCUUGGCACUGAGGUUCAAACGAUAAGAUCUUCGUAGAAUAUGUAGGAUCCAAUAUGGGCAUCCAGGUCCCGCUAUUGGAUAUUGACCGAGGAGUCUCUCGGGUCAUGUCUACAUAGUUCUCGAACCCGCAGGGUCUGCACACUUAAGGUUCGACGUUGUUUUAUGCGUAUUUGAGUUAUAUGGUUGGUUACCGAAUGUUGUUCGGAGUCCCGGAUGAGAUCACGGACGUCACGAGGGUUUCCGGAAUAGUCCGGAAACGAAGAUUGAUAUAUAGGAUGACCUCAUUUGAUUACCGGAAGGUUUUCGGAGUUACCGGGAAUGUACCGGGAAUGACGAAUGGGUUCCGGGGGUUCACCGGAGGGGGGCAACCCACUCCGGGGAAGCCCAUAGGUAUUUGGGGGGGUCACACCAGCCCUUGGUGGGCUGGUGGGACAGCCCACCAAAUCCUAUGCGCCAAGGAAGAAAAAUCAAAGGAAGAAAGAAAAAAAAAAGGGGAAGUGGGAAAGGGGAAGGACUCCCUCCCACCAAACCAAGUAGGACUCGGUUUGGGGGGGGGGAGAGUCCUCCCCCCUGGCUCGGCCGACCCCUUGGGGUUCCCUUGGACCCCAAGGCAAGGUCCCCCUCCCUCCUCCUAUAUAUAUGGGGCUUUUAGGGCAGAUUUGAGACGACUUUCUCACGGCUGCCCGACCACAUACCUCCAUAGUUUUUCCUCUAGAUCGUGUUUCUGCGGAGCUCGGGCGGAGCCCUGCUGAGACAAGAUCAUCACCAACCUCCGGAGCGCCGUCACGCUGCCGGAGAACUCUUCUACCUCUCCGUCUCUAUUGCUGGAUCAAGAAGGCCGAGAUCAUCGUCGAGCUGUACGUGUGCUGAACGCGGAGGUGCCGUCCGUUCGGUACUAGAUCGUGGGACUGAUCGCGGGAUUGUUCGCGGGGCGGAUCGAGGGACGUGAGGACGUUCCACUACAUCAACCGCGGUCUCUAAUCGCUUCUGUUGUAUGAUCUACAAGGGUACGUAGAUCACUCAUCCCCUCUCGUAGAUGGACAUCACCAUGAUAGGUCUUCGUGCGCGUAGGAAAUUUUUUGUUUCCCAUGCGAUGUUCCCCAACAGUGGUAUCAGAGCUAGGUUCAUGCGUAGAUGUCUUCUCGAGUAGAACACAAAAGGUUUUGUGGGCGGUGAUGUGCGUUUUGUUGCCCUCCUUAGUCUUUUCUUGAUUCCACGGCAUUGUUGGAUUGAAGCGGCUUGGACCGACAUUACUCGUACGCUUACGAGAGACUGGUUUCAUCGUUACGAGUAACCCCUUUGCUCAAAGAUGACUGGCAAGUGACGGUUUCUCCAACUUUAGUUGAAUCGGAUUUGACCGAGGAGGUCCUUGGAUGAGGUUAAAUAGCAACUCAUAUAUCUCCGUUGUGGUGUUUGCGUAAGUAAGAUGCGAUCCUACUAGAUACCCUUGGUCACCACGUAAAACAUGCAACAACAAAAUUAGAGGACGUCUAACUUGUUUUUGCAGGGUAUGAUUGUGAUGUGAUAUGGCCAAUGAUGUGAUGUGAUAUAUUGGAUGUAUGAGAUGAUCAUGUUGUAAUAGAAAUAUCGACUUGCACGUCGAUGGUACGGCAACCGGCAGGAGCCAUAGGGUUGUCUUUAUACUAACAUAUGUGCUUGCAGAUGCGUUUACUAUUUUGCUAGGAUGUAGCUUUAGUAGUGAUAGCAUAAGUAGCACGACAACCCCGAUGGCGACACGUUGAUGGAGAUCAUGAUGAUGGAGAUCAUGGUGUGGCGCCGGUGACAAGAAGAUCGUGCCGGUGCUUUGGUGAUGGAGAUCAAGAAGCACGUGAUAAUGGCCAUAUCAUGUCACUUAUGAAUUGCAUGUGAUGUUAAUCCUUUUAUGCACCUUAUUUUGCUUAGAACGACGGUAGCAUUAUGAGGUGAUCUCUCACUAAAAUUUCAAGACGAAAUUGUGUUCUCCCCGACUGUGCACCGUUGCUACAGUUCGUCGUUUCGAGACACCACGUGAUGAUCGGGUGUGAUAGACUCAACGUUCACAUACAACGGGUGUAAAACAGUUGCGCACGCGGAACACUCGGGUUAAGCUUGACGAGCCUAGCAUGUGCAGACAUGGCCUCGGAACACAUGAGACCGAAAGGUCGAUCAUGAAUCAUAUAGUUGAUAUGAUUAGCAUAGGGAUGCUUACCACUGAAACUACUCUCGACUCACGUGAUGAUCGGACUUGGGAUAGCGUAAGUGGAUCAUGAACCACUCAAAUGACUAGAGAGAUGUACUUUUUGAGUGGGAGUUUAGCAUAUAAUUUGAUUAAGUAGAACUCUAAUUAUCUUGAACAUAGUCUAAGUCCACUUUGAAUAUAUUUGUGUUGUAGAUCAUGGCUCACGCAAGUGUCAUCCUCAAUUUUAAUACGUUCCUAGAGAAAGCUAAGUUGAAAGAUGAUGGAAGCAACUUUGUAGACUGGGCUCGUAAUCUUAAGCUAAUCUUACAAGCUGGAAAGAAGGAUUAUGUCCUUAAUGCUGCGCUAGGAGAUGAACCACCCGCUACGGCUGAUCAGGAUGUUAAGAACGCUUGGCUAUCACGUAAGGAGGACUACUCAAUAGUUCAAUGUGCAGUCUUGUAUGGCUUAGAGCCGGGACUUCAACGUCGCUUUGAGCGUCAUGGAGCAUUUGAGAUGUUCCAGGAGUUGAAGUUUAUCUUUCAGAAGAACGCCCGGAUCGAGAGGUAUGAGACCUUCGAUAAAUUCUAUGCUUGCAAGAUGGAGGAAAGCUCGUCUGUCAGUGAACAUGUGCUCAAGAUGUCUGGGUACUCAAACCGUCUAGCUGAACUAGGGAUUGAAUUCCCGCAAGAAGCUAUCACUGACAGAAUUCUCCAAUCACUGCCGCCAAGCUAUAAAGGCUUUGUGUUGAACUACAACAUGCAAGGGAUGAACAAGUCUCCCGGCGAGUUGUUUGCGAUGCUGAAAGUCGCAGAGUCUGAACUCCGUAAAGAGCAUCAAGUGUUGAUGGUGAGCAAGACCACUAGUUUCAAGAGAAACGACAAAGGCAAGAAGGGCAAUUCGAAGAAGAGCGGCAAGCCUGUUGCCAAUCCGCCGAAGAAACCCAAGGCUGGACCUAAGCCUGAAACAGAGUGCUUCUAUUGCAAGGGUAUGGGUCAGUGGAAGCGCAAUUGCCCCAAGUAUCUGGCAGAUAAGAAGGCGGGCAAAGAAAAAUCAGGUAUAUUUGAUAUACAUGUUAUUGAUGUGUACUUAACCGGCUCUCGUAGUAGUGCCUGGGUAUUCGAUACCGGUUCUGUUGCUCACAUUUGCAACUCGAAACAGGAACUGCGGAAUAGACGGAGGCUGGCGAAAGACGAAGUGACGUUGCGCGUAGGAAACGGUUCCAAGGUUGAUGCAAUCGCCGUCGGCACCGUGUCACUUCAACUACCAUCGGGAUUAGUGAUGAACUUAAAUCAUUGUUAUUUAGUGCCUGCGUUGAGCAUGAACAUUAUAUCUGGAUCUUGUUUAUUGCGAGACGGUUACUCUUUUAAGUCUGAGAAUAAUGGUUGUUCCAUUUCUAUGAGUAACAUCUUUUAUGGUCAUGCACUGAAUGUGAGAGGAUUUUUCAUAUUGAAUCUUGAUAGAGAUACGCAUAUACAUAACAUUGAGACCAAAAGAGUUAGAGUAAACAAUGAUAGCACCAUAUUUUUGUGGCACUGCCGCUUGGGUCAUAUUGGUGUAAAGCGCAUGAAGAAACUCCAUGCUGAUGGACUUUUGGAGUCACUUGACUUUGAUUCACUUGACACGUGCGAACCAUGCCUCAUGGGCAAGAUGACUAAAACUCCGUUCUCUGGAACAAUGGAGCGUGCAAGUGACUUGUUGGAAAUCAUACAUACCGAUGUGUGUGGUCCAAUGAGCGUGGAGGCACGCGGCGGAUAUCGUUAUUUUCUCACCUUCACUGACGAUCUAAGUAGAUAUGGUUAUGUCUACUUGAUGAAGCACAAGUCUGAAACAUUUGAAAAGUUCAAGCAAUUUCAGAGUGAAGUGGAAAAUCAUCGUAACAAGAAGAUCAAGUUCCUACGGUCUGAUCGUGGGGGUGAGUAUCUGAGUUUCGAGUUUGGUACUCACUUAAGACAAUGUGGAAUUGUUUCGCAGUUAACACCGCCUGGAACACCACAGCGUAAUGGUGUGUCCAAACGUCGUAAUCGUACUUUAUUAGAAAUGGUGCGAUCUAUGAUGUCUCUUACUGAUUUGCCGUUAUCGUUUUGGGGUUAUGCAUUAGAAACAGCUGCAUUCACUUAAAAUAGGGCACCAUCGAAAUCCGUUGAGACGACACCAUACAAACUGUGGUGUGGCAAAAGGCCAAAGUUGUCGUUUCUUAAAGUUUGGGGAUGUGAUGCUUAUGUCAAAAAGCUUCAGCCUGAAAAGCUGGAACCCAAAGCGGAAAAAUGCGUCUUCAUAGGUUACCCAAAAGAGACAGUUGGGUACACCUUCUAUCUCAAAUCCGAGGGCAAAGUGUUUGUUGCUAAGAACGGAACUUUUCUCGAAAAGGAGUUUCUCUCGAGAGAAUUGAGUGGGAGGAAGAUAGAACUUGACGAGGUUGUCGAACCUCUCAUCCCUCUGGAUGGUGGCACAGGGCAAGGGGAAACCUCUGUUAUUGCGACGCCGGUUGAGGAGGAAGUUAAUGAUGAUGAUCAUGAAACUCCAGUUCAAGUUUCUGUUGAACCACGCAGGUCGACGAGAUCACGCGUUGCUCCAGAGUGGUACGGUAAUCCCGUCUUAUCAAUCAUGUUGUUAGACAACAAUGAACCUGCAAAUUAUGAAGAAGCAAUGGUGGGCCCAGAUUCCAACAAAUGGCUAGAAGCCAUGAAAUCCGAGAUAGGAUCCAUGUAUGAGAACAAAGUGUGGACUUUGGAGAUACUGCCUGAGGGCCGCAAGGCUAUUCAGAACAAAUGGAUCUUUAAGAAGAAGACGGACGCUGACGGUAAUGUGACCGUUUAUAAAGCUCGACUUGUGGCAAAGGGUUUUUCACAAGUUCCAGGAAUUGACUACGAUGAGACUUUCUCUCCCGUAGCGAUGCUUAAGUCCGUCAGAAUCAUGUUAGCAAUAGCUGCAUUUUUCGAUUAUGAAAUUUGGCAGAUGGAUGUCAAAACGGCGUUCCUUAACGGUUUCCUUAAGGAAGAGUUGUAUAUGAUGCAACCCGAAGGUUUUGUCGAUCCUAAAAAUGCUGACAAAGUGUGUAAGCUCCAGCGAUCCAUUUAUGGACUGGUGCAAGCAUCUCGAAGUUGGAACAAACGCUUUGAUGAGGUGAUCAAAGCAUUUGGGUUUAUACAAGUGGUUGGAGAAUCUUGUAUUUACAAGAAAGUGAGUGGGAGCUCUGUGGCGUUUCUAAUACUAUAUGUGGAUGACAUAUUACUGAUUGGAAACAACGUAGAGUUUUUGGAGAGCAUAAAAGGUUACUUGAAUAAAAGUUUCUCUAUGAAGGACCUAGGAGAAGCUGCUUACAUUCUAGGCAUUAAGAUCUAUAGGGAUAGAUCAAAACGCCUGAUAGGACUUUCACAAAGCACAUACCUUGAUAAAGUUUUGAAGAGGUUCAAAAUGGAACAGUCCAAGAAAGGGUUCUUGCCAGUGUUACAAGGUACGAGAUUGAGUAAGACUCAGUGCCCAGCAACUGAUGAAGAUAGAGAGCAUAUGCGCUCCGUCCCCUAUGCUUCAGCCAUAGGUUCUAUCAUGUAUGCGAUGUUGUGCACUAGACCGGAUGUUAGCCUGGCCAUAAGUAUGGCAGGUAGGUUCCAGAGUAAUCCAGGAGUGGAUCACUGGACGGCGGUCAAGAAUAUCCUGAAGUACCUGAAAAGGACUAAGGAGAUGUUUCUCGUGUAUGGAGGUGACGAAGAGCUCGCCGUAAAAGGUUACGUCGAUGCAAGCUUUGACACAGAUCCGGACGACUCUAAGUCGCAAACCGGAUACGUAUUUAUUCUUAAUGGGGGUGCAGUAAGCUGGUGCAGUUCCAAGCAAAGCGUCGUAGCAGAUUCUACAUGUGAAGCGGAGUACAUGGCUGCCUCGGAGGCGGCUAAGGAGGGUGUCUGGAUGAAGCAGUUCAUGACGGAUCUUGGAGUGGUGCCAAGUGCACUGGAUCCAAUAACCUUGUUCUGUGACAACACUGGUGCCAUUGCCUUAGCAAAGGAACCAAGGUUUCACAAGAAGACCAGACACAUCAAACGACGCUUCAACCUCAUCCGCGACUACGUCGAGGAGGAGGACGUAAAUAUAUGCAAGGUGCACACGGAUCUGAAUGUAGCAGACCCGCUGACUAAACCUCUUCCACGGCCAAAACAUGAUCGACACCAGAACUGUAUGGGUGUUAGAUUUAUUACAAUGUAAUUCACAUGGUGAUGUGAGGGCUAGAUUAUUGACUCUAGUGCAAGUGGNNNNNNNNNNNNNNNNNNNNNNNNNNNNNNNNNNNNNNNNNNNNNNNNNNNNNNNNNNNNNNNNNNNNNNNNNNNNNNNNNNNNNNNNNNNNNNNNNNNNUGCCCAGGUGUGGCCGCCGGACCUGAUGGGUUGCUGACCUUGCGCACGCCGUAGCCGACGAUCUCGAAACUCGGCGUGUGCCUCGGACAAGCGUGAGUUUCCCGUGCACGCACGUAUAUGCAUGCCCCCCCCCCCCCCCCCCCCCCCUCGAUUUGAUUUUCACCAUCAAGAACAGGAAAAAAAGAAGGCACGGACGGACGCGCCAGCAGCAAAGCAUAUGCAUGCACACCGCCCGGCCGGCCAUGCAAGUGGGGUUCGGAGUGGGACCCACCCACGAUGCACGACUUGUUCGUUCGUCCACCCAGCAGUUUCGCGACUCGCCCCGCCCAACCACGUUUGCCGUCGUCCUCCAUCCAUCAAAAAGGGUGCAUUAUAUUUGUCUCCCCAUGCAUGCAUGCAUACUCUUGUCUUCUCUCCGAGUUGAUCGGUGGCGGACUGCUCGCCGGAGUGACACCCAUCGCUGCAACUACUGCAGUAGUUCCCCGGAUCAUGCAUGCAUGCAUGGGCCGUCUUUUUCUCCCCGGAUCAUGCAUGGACCAACUCCAACUCCAAUCCUCCGUAAAAAAAAAAAGGAUGAGUUCUUCUCUUCUUCAUCACACAACAAGAUCAGAUCUCGGACGAGCUAAUUCUUCCCCAAUUCCGUCACCGGCCGGCCAUGCUUUUCACGCUCGCUCUCGCUUUCCAUCUAAGAGCAUCCGCGCUUCGCGCCGUUCUUAAAAAAUCUGUUUGCCGCGCGUUCAUCGCCUGGUUUGGUGCGUCGCGCAGCGCUGGCUCCAACAGCAGCGUUAAAGUGCAGCGCGCGCCGUUCCAACAGCGCGUAAAAAUGCAACGCGCGCGCACAACAUUUUCAAUUGCAAAAUGGGGAAAAUAAUAAAAAGAUUGCAUAAAAUAAAAAAGAUACAAAGUUAUUUUACAUAGAUUGCAACUAGAUAGAUAGUUCGAAAAUAUAGAUAGAUAGUUCGGUGCAAGUAGAUAGAUAAUUCGGAAACAUAAAACUUUUGUUAACCCCAGUCGCUCCAAUCAUCACCACCAUCGUCAUCGUCGUUGGUGUCGUCAGAGGUUGACAGCCAGAUGUCCAACCAACGGUCAUCUUCUUCAGUGAAGAAGGACCUCCCGCCUGCUGCGACGAUGUCGGCCUGGGCACUCGCCAAUGCCUUCCGUUGACGCCUGUCUAACCGCUCCUCGCGGCGCCGACGCGUGUCCUCCUCGCGGCGCCUUGCCCAAUAAUCCUGCUCGUAGGCGACGUCCUCCGGGUGGCGCCGUGCCAUUCCGCCAUGACCAGCUCGUCCUCCUGGGCAAGGAGGAGGCGGUGCUGCCGCGCAGUGUGCUCCGCACGGUCUUGUGCGGAGUUUAGACGAGGCUGGGGGGGGGGCGACGUCCAGUGCCUGCUGGAGCGUGUGGACGUCCUGGAAGUUCAUCUGGCGGCGCGGCCUACCUAGGCGCCACGCCGCCGCGUCGAACGCGCGGGCGGCCUCGUGCGCCGUGUCGUACGUGCCGAGGCUGAGACGGAGAUCGCCGGAGCGUAUGUCGGCGUAGAACCCGCCGUUGGGGCGCUGACGGACGCCGCGGUAGCCCGACGCAGAACGGCGGCGCGACGACAUAGUGGCGCGUCGGGGGCCCGUCGCUUGACCUAAUUCAGCGUCGCACGUGGUUGACCUCGCCGCCGCGGACGCCCCAUCACGAUCAGCUCGCCGCACCUCCUCCACAUCGCCGCCGACGUCGCCGCCCCGUUCCCGACCACCACAUCGUCGCUCCAUUGCCGAUCACCCCGCCGCUGGUNNNNNNNNNNNNNNNNNNNNNNNNNNNNNNNNNNNNNNNNNNNNNNNNNNNNNNNNNNNNNNNNNNNNNNNNNNNNNNNNNNNNNNNNNNNNNNNNNNNNAAGAAGUANAUUUGAUAUACAUGAUGUUGAUGUGUACUUUACUAGUACUCCUAGUAGCACGAGGGUAUUAGAUACCGGUUCGGUUGCUAAGUGAUUAGUGACACGAAAUGAAAGCUACAGCAUAAACGGAGACUAGCUAAAGGCGAGGUGACGAUACGUGUUGGAAGUGUUUCCAAGGUUGAUAUGAUCAAACCCACGUAACUGGGUGACUAUAAAGAUGCUCUACAGGUAUCUCCGAAGGUGUUAGUUGAGUUAGUAUGGAUCAAGACUGGGAUUUGUUACUCCGUGUGAUGGAGAGGUAUCUCGGGGCCCACUCGGUAAUACAGCAUCACACAUAAGCCUUGCAAGCAAUGUAACUUAAUGUAAAGUUGCGGGAUCUUGUAUUACGGAACGAGUAAAGAGACUUGCCGGUAAACGAGAUUGAAAUAGGUAUGCGGAUACUGACGAUCGAAUCUCGGGCAAGUAACAUACCGAAGGACAAAGGGAAUGACAUACGGGAUUAUACGAAUCCUUGGCACUGAGGUUCAAACGAUAAGAUCUUCGUAGAAUAUGUAGGAUCCAAUAUGGGCAUCCAGGUCCCGCUAUUGGAUAUUGACCGAGGAGUCUCUUGGGUCAUGUCUACAUAGUUCUCGAACCCGCAGGGUCUGCACACUUAAGGUUCGACGUUGUUUUAUGCGUAUUUGAGUUAUAUGGUUGGUUACCGAAUGUUGUUCGGAGUCCCGGAUGAGAUCACGGACGUCACGAGGGUUUCCGGAAUGGUCCGGAAACGAAGAUUGAUAUAUAGGAUGACCUCAUUUGAUUACCGGAAGGUUUUCGGAAUUACCGGGAAUGUACCGGGAAUGACGAAUGGGUUCCGGGAGUUCACCGGGGGGGAGGGGGCAACCCACCCCGGGGAAGCCCAUAGGCUUUGGGGAGACACACCAGCACUUAGUGGGCCUAUGCGCCAAGAAAAAGAAAUCAAAGGAAGAAAAAAAGAAAGGAGGAGUAGGGAAGGGAGGGRGACNNNNNNNNNNNNNNNNNNNNNNNNNNNNNNNNNNNNNNNNNNNNNNNNNNNNNNNNNNNNNNNNNNNNNNNNNNNNNNNNNNNNNNNNNNNNNNNNNNNNUCCUCCCUUGGUGGCACAGCCCUUGGGGCUCGUUGAGCCUCAAGGCAAGCCUCCCCCUCCCUCCUCCUAUAUAUAUGGAGCAAUUAGGGUUGAUUUGAGACAACUUUUUCAAGGCAGCCCGACCACAUACCUCCACGGUUUUACCUCUAGAUCGCGUCUCUGCGGAGCUCGGGCGGAGCCCUGCCGAGAUUAGAUCAUCACCAACCUCCGGAGCGCCGUCACGCUGCCGGAGAASUCWUCUACCUCUCCGUCUCUCUUGCUGGAUCAAGAAGGCCGAGAUCAUCGUCGAGCUGUACAUGUGCUGAACGCGGAGGUGCCGUCCGUUCGGCACUAGAUCGUGGGACUGAUCGCAGGAUAGUUCGCAGGGCGGAUCGAGGGACGUGAGGACGUUCCACUGCAUGAACCGCAUUCACUAACGCUUCUGCUGUACGGUCCACAAGGGUACGUAGAUCACUCAUCCCCUCUCAUAGAUGGACAUCACCAUGAUAGGUCUUCGUGCGCGUAGGAAAUUUUUUGUUUCCCAUGCGACGUUCCCCAACAGAGAGAACGGUGGGGGCGCGCGAGGGAGCGGUGGAGAGCGCUGCGUUUUAUAGGCGCGCGGGAAGCGGCGCGGCAAAGAUGGGCGAGAGCUGCCGCCUUUUCGCGCGCGCGCAAGCGAUUCCCGCACGCGUUUUCCCGCCGCCGCUGGNNNNNNNNNNNNNNNNNNNNNNNNNNNNNNNNNNNNNNNNNNNNNNNNNNNNNNNNNNNNNNNNNNNNNNNNNNNNNNNNNNNNNNNNNNNNNNNNNNNNUUGUAUCGCAUGUAGUUGCCUUACGAUAUUCCCAGUAAANGUUUCUUUCCCACUAGGUUCCCCAUACACUGCUGUUCAUUUGUGACGCNCCGUUUUCGACGCUGGUUUUUCGUCGUGAGAUCGUCGUAAUUAAAAACAGUGACGAUGUAGGGACGAAAAAAUAGCGUCGUGUAUUAGCAUAUUCCUUGUAGUGUGGGGCGGUGGCGGCGCGCGAGGUAGAGGAAGAGAGUGUUGGAAUUAUGCCCUAGAGGCAAUAAUAAAUAUAGUUAUUAUUAUAAUUCCUGUAUCAAGAUAAUCGUUUAUUAUCCAUGCUAUAAUUGUAUUGAAUGAAGACUCAUUUACAUGUGUGGAUACAUAGACAAAACACUGUCCCUAGCAAGCCUCUAGUUGGCUAGCCAGUUGAUCAAAGAUAGUCAGUGUCUUCUGAUUAUGAAUAAGGUGUUGUUGCUUGAUAACUGGAUCACGUCAUUAGGAGAAUCACGUGAUGGACUAGACCCAAACUAAUNNNNNNNNNNNNNNNNNNNNNNNNNNNNNNNNNNNNNNNNNNNNNNNNNNNNNNNNNNNNNNNNNNNNNNNNNNNNNNNNNNNNNNNNNNNNNNNNNNNNUUACGGAACGAGUAAAGAGACUUGCCGGUAAACGAGAUUGAAAUAGGUAUGCGGAUGCUGACGAUCGAAUCUCGGGCAAGUAACAUACCGAAGGACAAAGGGAAUGACAUACGGGAUUAUACGAAUCCUUGGCACUGAGGUUCAAACGAUAAGAUCUUCGUAGAAUAUGUAGGAUCCAAUAUGGGCAUCCAGGUCCCGCUAUUGGAUAUUGACCGAGGAGUCUCUCGGGUCAUGUCUACAUAGUUCUCGAACCCGCAGGGUCUGCACACUUAAGGUUCGACGUUGUUUUAUGCGUAUUUGAGUUAUAUGGUUGGUUACCGAAUGUUAUUCGGAGUCCCGGAUGAGAUCACGGACGUCACGAGGGUUUCCGGAAUGGUCCGGAAACGAAGAUUGAUAUAUAGGAUGACUUCAUUUGAUUUACCGGAAGGUUUUCGGAGUUACCGGUAAUGUACCGGGAAUGACGAAUGGGUUCCGGGGUUCGACCGGGAGGGGGGCGAACCCGACUCCGGGGAAGCCCNNNNNNNNNNNNNNNNNNNNNNNNNNNNNNNNNNNNNNNNNNNNNNNNNNNNNNNNNNNNNNNNNNNNNNNNNNNNNNNNNNNNNNNNNNNNNNNNNNNNGGUGACUAUAAGAAUGCUCUACAGGUAUCUCCGAAGGUGUUAGUUGAGUUAGUAUGGAUCAAGACUGGGAUUUGUCACUCCGUGUGACGGAGAGGUAUCUCCGGGGCCCACUCGGUAAUACAACAUCACACACAAGCCUUGCAAGCAAUGUAACUUAGUGUAAGUUGCGGGAUCUUGUAUUACGGAACGAGUAAAGAGACUUGACCGGUAAACGAGGUUGAAAUAGGUAUGCGGAUAGUGACGAUCGAAUCUCGGGCAAGUAACAUACCGAAGGACAAAGGGAAUGACAUACGGGAUUAUACGAAUCCUUGGCACUGAGGUUCAAACGAUAAGAUCUUCGUAGAAUAUGUAGGAUCCAAUAUGGGCAUCCAGGUCCCGCUAUUGGAUAUUGACCGAGGAGUCUCUCGGGUCAUGUCUACAUAGUUCUCGAACCCGCAGGGUCUGCACACUUAAGGUUCGACGUUGUUUUAUGCGUAUUUGAGUUAUAUGGUUGGUUACCGAAUGUUGUUCGGAGUCCCGGAUGAGAUCACGGACGUCACGAGGGUUUCCGGAAUAGUCCGGAAACGAAGAUUGAUAUAUAGGAUGACCUCAUUUGAUUACCGGAAGGUUUUCGGAGUUACCGGGAAUGUACCGGGAAUGACGAAUGGGUUCCGGGGGUUCACCGGAGGGGGGCAACCCACUCCGGGGAAGCCCAUAGGUAUUUGGNNNNNNNNNNNNNNNNNNNNNNNNNNNNNNNNNNNNNNNNNNNNNNNNNNNNNNNNNNNNNNNNNNNNNNNNNNNNNNNNNNNNNNNNNNNNNNNNNNNNAUUGCUUAAUUCCAAAAGAGUUGGUUACAUCGGUUUAUAUAAUCUCGAUAACUUGGACUCUAAGAUAACUUGGACACUGAGAUAACUAAGAUAACUUGGGCUAAGCCCGUAACUAAUCCUGCCCAUUGGGCCUCCUAACAUCUCUCCCGCCUGCGCAAACAGCUCGUCCUCGAGCUGGAAGUCUGGAUAGUGCCGACUGAAUUCGUUGAAAACCGCCCAUCCUACCGGUNNNNNNNNNNNNNNNNNNNNNNNNNNNNNNNNNNNNNNNNNNNNNNNNNNNNNNNNNNNNNNNNNNNNNNNNNNNNNNNNNNNNNNNNNNNNNNNNNNNNNNNNNNNNNNNNNNNNNNNNNNNNNNNNNNNNNNNNNNNNNNNNNNNNNNNNNNNNNNNNNNNNNNNNNNNNNNNNNNNNNNNNNNNNNNNNNNNNNNNNNNNNNNNNNNNNNNNNNNNNNNNNNNNNNNNNNNNNNNNNNNNNNNNNNNNNNNNNNNNNNNNNACCGGUAGGAUGGGCGGGGGCGGUCGGCCAUAGACCACCUCGAACUGCGUGGCGCGCAAGGCGAGGUGAUAAGAGGUGUUGUAGCAGUACUCCGCCCAGGCAAGCUAGUCCACCCAAGCACGAGGACGAUCACCUGUAACACAAUGCAAAUACAUGGCAAUCACCUUGUUGACCACCUCGGAUUGACUGUCCGUCUGAGGAUGGAACGCCGUGCUCAAGUCCGCUUCACGCCCGCCAUCCUGAAGAGAUCGCGCCAGACAUGCCCCGUGAACACCGGGUUCCGGUCGCUGACGAUCGAAGAGGGAAACCCGUGUAGGCGAACGAUGCUGUCGAAGAAGGCCCGGGCCAUGGAGGUGGCGGUGUAAGGAUGGCCAAGCGCGAUGNNNNNNNNNNNNNNNNNNNNNNNNNNNNNNNNNNNNNNNNNNNNNNNNNNNNNNNNNNNNNNNNNNNNNNNNNNNNNNNNNNNNNNNNNNNNNNNNNNNNUGUUGGAAUUAUGCCCUAGAGGCAAUAAUAAAUAUAGUUAUUAUUAUAAUUCCUGUAUCAAGAUAAUCGUUUAUUAUCCAUGCUAUAAUUGUAUUGAAUGAAGACUCAUUUACAUGUGUGGAUACAUAGACAAAACACUGUCCCUAGCAAGCCUCUAGUUGGCUAGCCAGUUGAUCAAAGAUAGUCAGUGUCUUCUGAUUAUAAACAAGGUGUUGUUUCUUGAUAACUGGAUCAUGUCAUUAGGAGAAUCACGUGAUGGACUAGACCCAAACUAAUAGACGUAGCAUGUUGAUCGUGCCAUUUUGUUGCUACUAUUUUCUGCGUCUCAAGUAUUUGUUCCUANNNNNNNNNNNNNNNNNNNNNNNNNNNNNNNNNNNNNNNNNNNNNNNNNNNNNNNNNNNNNNNNNNNNNNNNNNNNNNNNNNNNNNNNNNNNNNNNNNNNNNNNNNNNNNNNNNNNNNNNNNNNNNNNNNNNNNNNNNNNNNNNNNNNNNNNNNNNNNNNNNNNNNNNNNNNNNNNNNNNNNNNNNNNNNNNNNNNNNNNNNNNNNNNNNNNNNNNNNNNNNNNNNNNNNNNNNNNNNNNNNNNNNNNNNNNNNNNNNNNNNNNNNNNNNNNNNNNNNNNNNNNNNNNNNNNNNNNNNNUAUAACUCACUAACACCAGAGGAAUACUUUGUGUGUAUCAAACGUCGCAACGUAACUGGGUGACUAUAAAAAUGCUCUACAGGUAUAUCUGAAGGUGUUCGUUGAGUUAGUAUGGAUCAAGACUGGGAUUUGUCACUCCGUGUGACGGAGAGGUAUCUCGGGGCCCACUCGAUAAUACAACAUCACAUACAAGCCUUGCAAGCAAUGUAACUUAGUGUAAGUUACGGGAUCUUGUAUUACGNNNNNNNNNNNNNNNNNNNNNNNNNNNNNNNNNNNNNNNNNNNNNNNNNNNNNNNNNNNNNNNNNNNNNNNNNNNNNNNNNNNNNNNNNNNNNNNNNNNNAGGAUCAUAGUGUAAUACUACAACAGAGGAAGAAACCAGGGACUUGGAAGUUUGAGGCCCGGUGGCUAGCAGAGGAGAAUGUGGAGAACAUAGUGCAGACGGCAUGGAAUAAGAGAAAGGAGGAAGGUUUAGGCCCCUUGGCCGAUGUAAUUGCAGGGGUGCAUUCUGUCUUGCAUCACUGGGACAGGAAUACGCUGAAGGGGCCGAGGUCAAAAUUGCGACAGUUGCAAGCUGAGCGGAAUGCUGUACUGACUGGCCCAUUAUCUGAUGAGGCAAUAGUCCAGCAGCAAAAACUCCAUAUCGAAAUUGAGGAUAUUCUCGAGAAAGAGGAACUAUACUGGAUGCAACGAGGCAGAGCAGAUUGGCUUGCAAAAGGGGAUCAAAAUACAGGUUUUUUCCACCACGCAGCUAAUGGCAGAAAGAAGCGAAAUGCGAUCAUGAAAAUCAAAGAACCUAAUGGCGACUGGGUAGAGGAGCUCGAUGAUAUACAUGAGCAUAUUUCAGCUUAUUUCACCUCUCUCUUCAUGGCUGGAGCGCAAGGGGAUGACGACACUGUCAUUCAGAAAGUAAACCCUAGAGUCACACACGAGAUGAACACGGAGCUCAAUAAACCCUACACUAGAGAGGAGGUUAAAAAAAGCUCUGUACAACAUUGGCGAUUUCAAAGCCCCUGGCCCUGAUGGACUUCAUGCAGUUUUCUAUAAGCGCUUCUGGCACAUCAUAGGAGAAGAUCUGCUGGAUGAGGUGCUGCACGCAAUACAGACCAAGCAAAUUCCUAGGGGAUGGAAAAACACAACGAUAGUUCUUAUUCCCAAGGUGGACAACCCUGAAUUUGUUACACAAUUCAGACCUAUUAGCCUCUGCAAUGUUCUAUACAAGAUCAUAUCCAAAAUGCUGGCAGGGAGACUAAAAAUGGUGCUAUCAGAGAUCAUCUCACCCAACCAGAGCGCUUUUGUUCCAGGCCGGCUUAUUACCGACAACUUCCUCGUAGCUUUCGAGUCCUAUCAUGCCAUCAAGAGGAAGACAUCGAGGUAUGGCACUUGUGCUGUGAAACUAGACAUGCACAAGGCGUAUGAUCGGGUGGAAUGGAGAUUUCCCGAGAAGAUGAUGAUCAAGCUAGGAUUCAGCGUCGACUGGGUGGCCCUCAUCAUGGAAUGUGUUUCCUCAGUCCAGUAUCAGGUACGUAUUAACGAUGAUCUAUCGGCACCUUUUACUCCAACGAGGGGCCUGAGGCAAGGCGAUCCAUUGUCACCAUAUUUGUUCCUUAUAUGUGCGGAAGGCCUGUCUAGUAUGAUCGCAUUUGAAGAGACGGCUGGUAAUAUCACGGGGGUUAAAGUUUGCUGAGAUGCACCAGCGGUCUCCCACCUCCUCUUUGCAGACGAUUCCCUAAUCUUAAUGCGAGCGGACCAAGCAAAUGCAAUAUCCCUCCGAAAAGUUCUGGACGAGUACUGCAGGGCAUCAGGACAGUUAGUCAGUGAGGCCAAAUCAGCGCUGUUCUUUAGCCCUUGUACGUCAGUCCAAGCACGAGUGGAAAUUUGUACCACUCUUAACAUCAUGGCCGAAGCUAUCUCGGAGAAAUACCUAGGUCUGCCGCCAAUUGUAGGAGUGGAUCGAUCUGAUUGCUUCCAGCACCUUGUUGAGAGAAUUCUGAGUAAGAUCAGAGGAUGGAAAGAGAAGCUCCUCUCGGUGGGGGGGGGGAGAGAAAUAUUGUUCAAAGCAGUAAUACAAGCUAUCCCCUCUUAUGCCAUGUCUGUUUUCAAACUACCGAAGGAGAUAUGUAAUGAGAUCACAUCGGCAAUCUCAAAGUACUGGUGGGGUGAUGAAGAGCAGAAAAAAUACAUGCACUGGUUUGCAUGGUGGAAAAUGUGUGUGCCGAAAGAGAAAGGAGGAAUGGGUUUUAGAGACAUCCAAUGUUUUAACCUAGCUCUCCUAGCCAAACAAUCUUGGAGGCUUCUAAGCUACCCAGAUUCACUGUGUGCAAGGGUUCUCAAGGCAAAAUAUUACCCAGAUGGUGAUCUGCUUAACUGUACCCUAAAGAAGGGGAGCUCAUACACAUGGCAAAGUUUGUGGAGUGGGUUACAAACAUUCAGACAAGGCAUCAUAUGGCGUGUGGGAGAUGGAGCUUCAAUUAAAAUCUGGGAGGAUCCAUGGAUACCUAGCAGCCCCAACAAAAAACCUAUGACUCCACGGAGUAAUAUUGUGCUAACUAAAGUUUCUGAACUUAUAGAUGUGGACAGCAGAUCAUGGGAUGAGGAGCUCAUCACGGAUAUUUUCUGGCCAAUUGAUGCACAUCGCAUUUUAAAUAUCCCCCUUGCGGUGGGGAUGAUGGAUGACUUCGUUUCCUGGCAUCCUGAUAAGCGAGGUAUGUUCUCUGUGAGAUCGGCAUAUCACCAAGAAUGGGAUAACCAACAUGGGAGAAAGUUGAGGAAGACGAAUACAAAUCAUUCCUCAGGUAAUAACCCUAUUUGGAGAACCAUUUGGAAGUUGAGGCUGCCCGCAAAGAUCAAAAUCCACAUAUGGAAAUCAUUACUAGGAGCUAUACCAUGCUAUGGGGUUUUGGCAAAUCGACACAUCAUGACCAGCUCUCAAUGCCCGCUCUGCUCAAUGGAUUGUGAAAGUAUUAAGCAUGCCUUUUUCCAGUGCCCUAGAGUACAGGAAGUAUGGAGGGUCCUAGGUCUCCUGGAACUGGUGAACCAAAUUUGUGAUUUGGAGCAGGACGUGCGGUCCUAUCUGAACUAUUACUUUCUAAGAGCACCAUCAAAGCAAAUAUUUCGGAUGUUGACCUUGCUGAACUAAUUGCGACGACGGUCUGGUAUGUCUGGUGGGAAAGGAGGAGCUUUACUCAUGGGAAACAUGUAGCUGAACCACCAAGAUCUGCACAUGCAAUAUCGGCACUUGUGAAGAACUUUGUAAGGGCAAGGAAGAGGAGCCCAGGUGCGGUCCGACAUGGAUGGCAACGGCCACCUAAUGGUGUUUACAAGCUUAACGUGGAUGCCGGCUUCUCGGCAGAGUCGGGGAUAGGUAGCACCAGUGCGGUGUUGCGAUCAAACAAAGAGAUGUUCAUCGCUGGCUCCUGCAGUGAUAUACCUUUUGCCGAAGAUGCCAGUUCAGUGGAAGCGAGAGCGUUGCGAGAUGGACUCCUCUUGGCCAGCGAGGUCGGUGUGCAGCAGAUCAUUGUGGAAUGUGAUUGCCAGGAUGUGAUUGACACCAUGCUACUCGACGGUAAUUCACUAGGCCCAGCGGCGGCAGUAUAUGAAGAGUGCUCCUUCCUCGUCAAGAACUUUUCUCUGAUACAAUUUGUCUUCUGCCCAAGGGAAGCAAACAUAGUAGCUCAUACUCUAGCUAGGUUUGCUGAACCCACUAGAACUAUAAAGUGGAUGGAGGAGCCUCCCAACUUCCUCAUUGAUACAUUAGCUAAUGAUGUAACCGUGUUUUCCAAUGCAAUAUAAAAGCCGUCAGGCUUUCCCGGCUCAAAAAAAAAAUGAUCCAUCCAUGUAGUUGUACCUAGCUAGUCACGUACGUAGGAAUGUGCACUCCCUCCCUCAUGUCAUAUAUAUACUUCCUCGGUUUCUUAAAUAUAUAAGCUUUUCUAAAAGUUUCACUACAAAAUGCAAGUAUAUAUUACUUUCUUCGUGCCAUAAUAUUUGUUAUUGGUGAGAACUAGCUGUCUACAUGCAUCACCUACACUACAACCAUCCCUCCCGUGGAAGACUCAGAGGGAAGACCUAUUUAUGGAUUAAAUCAGUCAUGUAGUACGUGCCCGUUUAAAUCAGUAUCAGUAUGUAGCUAAUUCUGUCAAUGUCAUGCUAGUUAUCUAUUUAUGAAUUAAAUUAGUUAAAAAAUUGCCUAUUUACUCAGCAGAUUCUACUCCGUCUCAUUGUUAUAUUAUGGGACGGAGGAAGUAAUCUUUCUUUCUCCCAUUGCAACGCACGAGCCAUGUCCUAGUAUUUAUACAAGUGAUUGAGUAAGGGACAUCCGUCAUUUUAUGGAAGUACCAGUGUUUUAAAGGGGAAGAGAUUAUGCGCACAUAGUGAAACUGCGACCGGAAUAGAAAGAAUCAAUCAAUAUAGUUCAGACGAGUCGGCUAUGACAAAAUUCUUUGUCGACGCGAUGUACUGGUUGCAGUAAUCUCUAAGGUCCGAGAAUUGGAGAUCGCUGACAUGCUCUAGUGUGCGUAGUGCAUCUUCUUUUGAGUGGAUGAAUCCAGCCAGCAAAUUCUUGCACAUGGCCUUCAUCCUGUCUAGACCGAACCAAUGCGCCUCAACCAACAUAUCUUCAGCUAUCAUAACCUCAUCUUGGGCAGCACCAUCACGGGCUAGGUCUUGAAUAGGAGGCAGCUCGUCGGUGUAGAUGAAAUGUAGCACAGCCUUGAAGACCGCAACCAUCACGCCGUGAACGGUGAACCGGUAUGACGCCGCCAUCCUUGAUGCCCAUCAUCAUCAUUUUACAUAGGGUUGGUGAUGACCGUGCAGCGAUCAUGAGGCUGUGCGCGCGGAGCUCGAUGUCCUCGACGAGGAACCUUAUGUCUGACCUGUUGGAAUUAUGCCCUAGAGGCAAUAAUAAAUGUAUAGUUAUUAUUAUAAUUCCUGUAUCAAGAUAAUAGUUUAUUAUCCAUGCUAUAAUUGUAUUGAAUGAAGACUCAUUUACAUGUGUGGAUACAUAGACAAAACACCGUCCCUAGCAUGCCUCUAGUUGGCUAGCCAGUUGAUCGAUGAUAGUCAGUGUCUUCUGAUUAUGAACAAGGUGUUGUUGCUUGAUAACUGGAUCACGUCAUUAGGAGAAUCACGUGAUGGACUAGACCCAAACUAAUAGACGUAGCAUGUUGAUCGUGUCAUUUUGUUGCUACUGUUUUCUGCGUGUCAAGUAUUUAUUCCUAUGACCAUGAGAUCAUAUAACUCACUAACACCGGAGGAAUGCUUUGUGUGUAUCAAACGUCGCAACGUAACUGGGUGACUAUAAAGAUGCUCUACAGGUAUCUCCGAAGGUGUUAGUUGAGUUAGUAUGGAUCAAGACUGGGAUUUGUCACUCCGUGUGACGGAGAGGUAUCUCGGGGCCCACUCGGUAAUACAACAUCACACACAAGCCUUGCAAGCAAUGUAACUUAGUGUAAGUUGCGGGAUCUUGUAUUACGGAACGAGUAAAGAGACUUGCCGGUAAACGAGGUUGAAAUAGGUAUCCGGAUACUGACGAUCGAAUCUCGGGCAAGUAACAUACCGAAGGACAAAGGGAAUGACAUACGGGAUUAUACGAAUCCUUGGCACUGAGGUUCAAACGAUAAGAUCUUCGUAGAAUAUGUAGGAUCCAAUAUGGGCAUCCAGGUCCCGCUAUUGGAUAUUGACCGAGGAGUCUCUCGGGUCAUGUCUACAUAGUUCUCGAACCCGCAGGGUCUGCACACUUAAGGUUCGACGUUGUUUUAUGCGUAUUUGAGUUAUAUGGUUGGUUACCGAAUGUUGUUUGGAGUCCCGGAUGAGAUCACGGACAUCACGAGGGUUUCCGGAAUAGUCCGGAAACGAAGAUUGAUAUAUAGGAUGACCUCAUUUGAUUACCGGAAGGUUUUCGGAGUUACCGGGAAUGUACCGGGAAUGACGAAUGGGUUCCGGGGGUUCACCGGAGGGGGGCAACCCACUCCGGGGAAGCCCAUAGGUAUUUGGGGGGGUCACACCAGCCCUUGGUGGGCUGGUGGGACAGCCCACCAAAUCCUAUGCGCCAAGGAAGAAAAAUCAAAGGAAGAAAGAAAAAAAAAAGGGGAAGUGGGAAAGGGGAAGGACUCCCUCCCACCAAACCAAGUAGGACUCGGUUUGGGGGGGGGAGAGUCCUCCCCCCUGGCUCGGCCGACCCCUUGGGGUUCCCUUGGACCCCAAGGCAAGGUCCCCCUCCCUCCUCCUAUAUAUAUGGGGCUUUUAGGGCAGAUUUGAGACGACUUUCUCACGGCUGCCCGACCACAUACCUCCAUAGUUUUUCCUCUAGAUCGUGUUUCUGCGGAGCUCGGGCGGAGCCCUGCUGAGACAAGAUCAUCACCAACCUCCGGAGCGCCGUCACGCUGCCGGAGAACUCUUCUACCUCUCCGUCUCUCUUGCUGGAUCAAGAAGGCCGAGAUCAUCGUCGAGCUGUACGUGUGCUGAACGCGGAGGUGCCGUCCGUUCGGUACUAGAUCGUGGGACUGGUCGCGGGAUUGUUCGCGGGGCGGAUCGAGGGACGUGAGGACGUUCCACUACAUCAACCGCGAUCUCUAAUCGCUUCUGCUGUACGAUCUAUAAGGGUACGUAGAUCACUCAUCCCCUCUCGUAGAUGGACAUCACCAUGAUAGGUCUUCGUGCGCGUAGAAAAAUUUUUGUUUUCCAUGCGACGUUCCCCAACAUGACCCGUGCUCAGUCACCAACAACUGCUUCAGGUGCGAGGCGAUAUCGGACGGUGGCAUUAUGGCUCCGGUGCUGACGGAGGUGGUGCUAUUAGUACUGAUGUAGAUCUUCUUGUUCUUGGUGAUGGCAACAUCGCAACGUAUGGUAAGGGAGGCAUCACGUGCUAGGUGCCAUGACUUGGCGGAUUCAAUGGUGACGAACUUCGCAUAUCCCCAGUCUGACUUGGUUAUAAAGGUUUUCUCUAACCAUUUUAUCAAAUGCCGUGACUGGCCACUAUGAUCAUCCAACUUGAAGCCCAAUGUGACGUUGAUACCUUCGGUUCCAGGAUCAGUCAAUAGCUCGGCGUACACGGAGAUGUGCCCUUGUGCCUUCUCUGAUGAUGACGACGGGUAUACCUUUAUCUUCCAACUGUAACCACCGACCUGGAAAGCUUCCGAACUGAUUUCUUUGCCAACUCCAUGCCUCCUUUGCACAAAGAGAAAACACGGAAUUUUAAACUCGUGUGCGCCCUCGACCACCUCCAAUGAGGUAAGCGUGGACGCGUCCGUCUGCAGCCGGCUGCCGGAGGAGGAAGGAGCAUUGCAGCACAUGUUAUGAACCAUGUUGACGGCUGCUACUUUCUCGGCGACCUCGAGUAGGAAAGAGCAACAACUCUCCUUCAAUUCCUUGUAGUCAUCUGUCGCCUUCACGGCGGCAUAGACGGCAGGAUCUGAUGCCAUGUACUCGAUGCAUGAGGCCUCCACCGCCCGGCAGCUAUGCCGGCCUUGGACCUCCAUCAACGUUGACAUGACUGACGCGACACACAUGCUCUCGGACAAUAUGUUCUCACACAUGAGCCAUAGGCCCUGUUUAUUUCAUAAGUCCUAGGACUUUUUUAAGUCCCAACUUAUAAGUCAUAAGUCCCUACCUGUUUGUUUACCGGGACUUAUAAGUCCCGAGUCCCUACUUGUUUGUUUACACGGACUUAUAAGUCCAUGUUGCACCUAAUAAUACACUUGUUCACAUGGAUCGUCAUCAGCCAACGCGUACGGCACACAGGAUAAGCACCGCUGCAACGAGGCUCAGGAGAGAGCCUGUCCGGCGAUUGGAGGCACCGCUGCAACGAACCGAGGCAGAACGAACCGAGGCGGGACGGCGACGGGGCGGCGAACCGAGGCAGAACGAACCGAGGCGGGGUGGCGACGGGGCGGCGACCGGAGCGAGAGGCGGGGCGGCGACGGGGCGAGAGGCGGGGCGGCGACAGGGCGAGAGGCGGGGCGGCGACGGGGCGAGAGGCGGGGCGGCGGCGGCGAUUGGACCGAGAGGCGGGGCAGCGUGCAGGGAACGAGCCUGGAGCGACGCGGGGUAGGUCCGGCCCGGGAUAAGUCCCAAUAAGCUCCUCCCUUAGAGUCUUAUUUGAUAAGUCCCAAAUCACCACAAUAAGUCCCAAUAAGUCCCUUGUGUUUNUAUAAGUCCCACCUAAACCAAACAGAAGGAACUUAUUGGGACUUAUAGUAGUCAUUUGGGACUUAUCAAAAAAGACUCUCAGGGAGGAACUUAUUGGGACUUAUCGCGGCCCGCACCUAGCCCGCCUCGCUCCGCCUGGCUCUUUCCCCUCGUCGCCCCGCUUCGGUCCAAUCGCCGCCGCCCCGCGUCGCUCCAGUCGCCACCGCCCCGCGUCGAUCCAAUCGCCCGAAUCGCCGCCCCCGCGUCGCUCCUUCCAGCCGCCCCCGCCUCGGUCCGUUCCCCGUCGCUGCAGUCCCCACCUCGCUCCGUUCCAGCCGCCCUAGCCUCGCUCCGUUUCAGCCGCCCCAAUCGCCGCCCCCGCGUCACUCCUUCCAGUCGCCCCCGCCUCGGUCCGUUGCGCGUCACUGCAGUCCCCGCCUCGGCCCGCGUCCCAGGUCACCGUGCCAUGGCUGAUGACGAUCCCCGCGUCCAAGGUCACCGCACCAUGGCUGAUGAUGAGGAGGAGCAGAUGCCUUUUUUCUCCCAGUUCUCCUCACGUCAACAGGCAACCCAAGGCUCAUCCGCCGAUGGAAAUCUCGGGAGGGGAAUGGGUUUCUUGGAUCUCAACAGCAACGUCGACGACUUCCUGGAGUUGGGCUCGUACCAGCAACUCCUCUUCGACCAGGCGGCCGGUCAUGGCCUUCCUCCGGUUGGACCUUGUCGUGGUAGGCCCGUGCUCCAGGGCGGAGGUGGUCGCAGCCGGUCUCUGAACAUCGGAGGCCGAACCGUCCCUCACCUGCGUACGUUCGUCGCCCCCGGCGCAGCUGCCGUUGAGGGAGGCGUCAUAGGGCGUGGGAGGACCGUGUCCCAGGUCACCGGACGCGGCGUAGGUUGAGCCAAUGGGUCCUCAUCGGCCGACAGUAGAGGAAAAACUACGGGGAAGCAACGUGUGUCGUCAACUGCUGCGUCUUCAGAAGAUGUCGACGAGAAUGAAGGCUUUGAAGAUGAAGAUGACAACAAUGCUUUUCGAGAGGUAAAUUUUUGAAUUGUGUACAUAGUUCUGGGUGCAAAUUCAUCUUCUUUUUGUGCUAGCUAAUUGUGUGCAUUGUUAUUUUUUGUUGGAAAUGUCUACUUGUUAUUUUUGUUUGAAUUGUGUACUUGUUAUUUUUGUUUAGAAAAACAUUGCCAAGGCUGAUUGGACAGACGCGAAUAUUACUGUAUUUUGUAACAUCGUCUGUGAGGAAGCUAGGGAUGGACACUGUGUGAUGGGUUGUGGUCAUUGAAACAACAAUGAUAUGAAGAAGUGUUCUUCGCUUAUGUAAUUUCUGUUAUCUCGGUUGUUAUGUACUCUCUCUUAUUUUGGUUCUUAUGAACAAGUGUUAAUUCGUUUGUAUGAAUAAUUUUUAUUUUGGUUGUCACUAUUCUGUAAUUCGUUUGUAUGAACAAGAGUUAUGUGAACAAGUGUAUUAUUUAGGUGCAACAUGGACUUAUAAGUAGGGACUCGGGACUUAUAAGUCCCUGUAAAUAAACAGGUAGGGACUUAUGAUUUAUAAGUUGGGACUUAAAAAAGUCCUAGGACUUAUGAAACAAACAGGGUCUUAGGUAGGACUUAUAGGGACUUUUUUAAAUCCCUAAACCAAUAAGUCACUGGAAACAAACACCCUCAUAGUCUUUCGAUAUUGUACCGAUCUGCCGCCACAAGUAGGUCAAGCGCCAUAGCCACACGACCACCAUCAGCGCUCUUUAAUUCGAGCUGGUCUGUGUAGAUGAAAUGUAGCAUGCAUGGCCCUGAAAGUGGAGGCGCUCAUGUCGUGGACCCGCAGGGUGCACUCUGUCGCGUGCCACCGGAACUCUGCGGCAAAGACCGGUGACCGCAUGGCAAGCACGAGUUUGUGCGCCUGGAUCUCGGUCUGCUCGAUGAUGAAGGUCACGUCCGGCAACAUGCAGCGCCGUCGUGACAACUCCGACUUCGUCGUCUCGGGCUCCCUCUCCCGCUGAAUCAGAAGAAGCCUGCCAAGAUCUUUAGAGAUCGUGGGCGGCGGCACCAUGGAGAUCUGGCAUGCAUUUUUGGUUACGUCUGUGUCCACCCAGAGGACGGACACCUUGCAGUAGACGUCGAGAUGCGCUAAGCCAUGAAGCAGCGUGUCAGGGAGAGGCAGCUCCCAACAUCUGCUAGUAGGCAUGGCCGAUAGGGAGGGCCAAGCGGGGAAAACGUUGAUGUCGUCGCUCCGCCCCUCGACGGUCCUCCAGCUGCCCCCCGGGCUUUGGACCCAGAGGGUGGCCAUGGCGACGACGUCCGUGGCGGCGUCAGUACGGAGUAGCUCCAGGGAGACGGACACAAGUUGCUGGUCGUGGAAGCAGCAGGAAAGAGACCAGAUGUGGCCGCCAGCUUUGAAGUUGGCGGAUCUGAUGUUCUUCCGUCUGCUGUAUCCGCGGAUUCGCAUCCGGAGGGUGCCACAGUGUAGCGCCGCCCCGUACGUCGACGCCGUCGCCGUCGCCAUAGCCAUCGAUCCCGUGGAAGGCGGCCAGCCUGGUUAAUACUUAAUAGCUUACUCCAUAAACGAUCGAUGAUAUAUCCCAAUUGCCGAUCAAGGCUUGGUUUCUGGUGUUGACUUGUUUGUCAGCUCGAUCCAUUAUGUAUCUCCUUAUAUGAAAUUCCGAAUCAGUCCCAAAUUAAUAGGUAUUCUUAUAGGUCUCGAUCGACCAUCGCUUGUCAGCCAGCGGAUCAACCGGCUCGAUCGCCGUUCAGUCACCAGAAAGUUUUCUUUUCUCAGUUCAAAAAACAGCUUUUUUUCGGUCGAUACCAGUUUUUGUCCCCGUAGGACUGGUUUCAGGUUUUUGUGUCGGAAUAUUUAAACGGAUUUUAAUAUUUAAAAUUAUUAACAUCAAAAAAUAUUGGAUCUGACUAGGCAGCGGCACCAUGGUGUUUCCAUGCCGCGGCUGUUAUAGGCCUGCGCAUCCAUGGCAAAAAAGAGUGCAUAUUGCAUGCACGUGCACUCAAUAAUACUCCCCCUAGUACUAGCUAAGUACUGCCAUGCUGUUGGAGAUUCUUUCUCUCAUCACCGUGCGUGUAUGGAAUGACAUCAUCAAGUUUUUCCUAAUGUUUGAAAUUUAAAAAGUUUUUAUCUUCAAAACCGUUAAUUCGAUUGAUGAUCUGUUUUCAUCAUUGACUUUGUCGCAACGUGAUUUUCGAAACUAGAUCCCAUGUUGAUAUGUUUCGACAUUUUUUUUGUCCGUACUUGCCACAUUUUUUUUCAUUCACUUGUCAUAUUAUCAACCACUUACUUGUCUGACAAAAAGUAGCUUAACUGCCAUAUUUUUUUAUGUUGUUCCUGUACUAAGCUUGUCGGUGCUUAUAAAUCCAGUUGCCACAAUGUUUUGAUGUGCUUGUCAUUUUUAAUUCUGCCUAGAUGUCAUGUUGUCCCAUAAAACUUGUCAGUGGUUAUAUAAUCCUGUUGCCACAAAUGUUUUGUCGUGCUUGUCAUUUUUAUUCUACCUAGUUAUCAUAUUGUCUCACAAUGCUUGUCACUUAUGUAAAAAUUUGUGGCCGUGGUGUUUUGUUGUACUUACGAGUCUUAAUUCUACCUAGUUGUCAUGUUGUCUCAUGAAAAGCUUGUCGAUUGUUCUAAAACCUAGUUGUUAUGCUGUUUUGUUGUAUUUAUCAAUUUAUUUCUACUCAGUUGUUUCAUAUAAGCUUGUCACUUGUUGCAAAAAUUAGCUGUCAUAUUAUUUUGUAGCCCUUGCCAUUUAAAUUCUACCAGCGACCGGUUAUUUUGUAAAGCUAAAUUAGGAAGAUUUUGUAAAGGCUCCAUAGUCCACAGUGAAUUUUGUUUUCUUUAGUCUUCAUAGUCCAUAGUGGAGUGGGAGUGGGUGUGGGAUUUUUGUGGAAGUAUCGUGAUAGCUCGCAGAUAAUUCAAAGAUCACUCACAACUCUUCAUGCUACAACAAGUGACGCAUUGCAUGUCUAUCUUUUUUAAAAUUUGAACGUUUUCCUUUUCUUCAUUGAAUCGUUAUUUUUAAAAUUGUUUUAUCUUUUAAAUCGUGUGUCCCAAUUGAAAGUGCAUGUUAUGCCCCUAAUCGACUUUUGAUGUUAAUGACAACACUUACAUAGGAAACUAAUCCUAUUUGUUGAGUGUAUCUCAGGAUGGCAAGUACUUUAGUAGAUUGAGAAUUAUGUGCCAAGGUGGUCUGAGAAGAUCGGGAUUUAUAUGUCAAGAAGGCUCGGGAUUGAGAAAAGAUGAUGUAGACUAUCCUUUUGAGUUUACUAUUAUUGAGUAUAGGGAUCCCGCACUAUUAAGAGGGGAUCACAGGUUUUGCGAUGAAUUUGCUCAUACCACAUCUUCACUUUCUGCUCAAUACCACAUAUUCUCUACUCUGCUCCUAUCUCAAAACAGGUCUAAUGCCUCGGACUUCCGGCCCCCUCCGGACGUCCGAGGGCCGGUCGAGGGUCGAACAACCGACAAGCUUCGGAAAUCCGGAGCUCUGCACCAGAAGAACUUGAUCCAUAUAACUCGGACUUCCGGCUCCCUCCGGACGUCCGAGGGCCGGUCGACCGAGUAGCUUCGGAAAUCCGGAGCCCUGCACCAGAAGAACGUGAGCCAUGUAACUCGGACUUCCGGCUCCCUCCGGACGUCCGAGGGCCGGACGUCCGUCCCCUUUCGGAAAUCCGGAACCUUGCACCAGAAGAAGUUGAGUCGAAUAACUCGGACUUCCGGCCUUCUCCGGACGCCCGGUCCCUGUUCAACUCACUGUGUCUCCAGUCAUAUCUACAGCCCUCGGACGACCGACCCCUGUCGGACGUCCGGUCCCUGUUCAACUCACUGUGUUUCCAGUCAUAUCUACAACCCUCGGACGACCGACCCCUGUCGGACGUCCGACCCCUUGUGGACGCCCGGACUUCCGUAAACUGCCGGACGUUCGUACCCUGUGUGACUUAAAGUGUCCCCAACGGCUGUUUUACAGUCCCCACUAUAUAUACCCCCUCCCACUUCGUGAGAGGGUGUCCAACACAGCUAGAACACAUACAAGAACACCUUUCUUCUCACUCACUCUUGUCUACACCAAAUCUUAGAUCCCAAGAGAAUUUGUGAGUCCCUUUGAGUGUUGUUCCAAUCAAAAGAUAGAUCGUCUCCUUCUCCUCCUUCCCACCAAAGUGAUUUGUGAUUUGAGCAAGUUUUGAGCAAUCCCCGUGAUCUUGUUACUCUUGGAGGUUGGAGACUCCUAGGCGGUAGGAGUCUUCGGAGAGGAAUCAAACCAUUGUGAUUUCCCCCGGAAAGUUUGUGAAGGUUUGGAAGCCACCUCAAGGCUUACCAUUAGUGGUUGAGAAACGCCUUCGUGGAGUUAUCUCAAAGGGAGAAUAGGGUGAGCCUUCGUGGCGUUGGUGUGCCUUCGUGGUAACAUCCGCCCCUCUAACGGUGGCGUAGCUUCCCUCCAAGGAAGUGAACAUCGGGAUACAUCCUCGUCUCUCUUGGAGUUUCGGUUAUUCCUAACCCUAACUCUCUACUUGUGUUAAUCCUUAUUACGUACUUGUAUUUGAUUAUUGUUUAUCGCUUGCCUUACUUCACUCUAAAUAGCUUACUCCUUGUCAUAGCAAUUAUUAGGCCUACACUCAUAUUCCGCACAUUUGCCUAAAAUUGCUAAGUAAUUAUUAAAAUUUGGAACUGUACCUAUUCACCCCCCUCUAGGUCCAUCUCGAUCCUUUUCAAUUGGUAUCAGAGCCUCAUGCUCUAUUCUUGUGGCUUAACCUCCCUAGAGGGAGAUGGACGGGAUUCCCACUACUGUAGCUCGAGUGGAGAGGGACGGGACUUCCAUGGAAGUAAAGUCCUUCACCUCUGAGGACCUGGAACGGGCCCUUGCCAAGAAAAAAGAGGAGCAUGAUGCUUCUCUUGAGGCCUUGGUCCAAAUAAGACUCGCAUCAUUAACCAUGGGGAUAGCCACGUCCCCGAGGGCCUCAGGGCCACAUGUGCACGGUUCUUCAUUUGGCCAACAACCUCCGGAAAGGAACCAAACCAGUGUUCCAUGGCUUUAUGCUAGAUCUCAGAUUGAGAAACGUAAGUACAAUCCUGGAGGAAAACCUCCCUUGCUUGAUGACAAUUCCGAUUUUGCUUUGUGGAGAGUUGGUAUGCAGGAUCAUCUUAGGUACGCCAAUGAUGAGAUGUUGGACAUCCUCGAGCUGUUGGGGAACGUCGCAUGGGAAACAAAAAUUUUCCUACGCGCACGAAGACCUAUCAUGGUGAUGUCCAUCUACGAGAGGGGAUUUCCGAUCUACGUACCCUUGUAGAUCGCACAGCAGAAGCGUUAGUGAACGCGGUUGAUGUAGUGGAACGUUCUCACGUCCCUCGAUCCGCCCCGCAAACCGUCCCACGAUCUAGUGUCGAACGGACGACACCUCCGCGUUCAGCACACGUACAGCUCGACGAUGAUCUCGGCCUUCUUGAUCCAGCAAGAGAGACGGAGAGGUAGAUGACUUCUCCGGCAGCGUGACGGCGCUCCGGAGGUUGGUGAUGAUCUAAUCUCGGCAGGGCUCCGCCCGAGCUCCGCAGAGACGCGAUCUAGAGGUAAAACCGUGGAGGUAUGUGGUCGGGCUGCCUUGAAAAAGUUGUCUCAAAUCAACCCUAAUUGCUCCAUAUAUAUAGGAGGAGGGAGGGGAGGCUUGCCUUGAGGCUCAACGAGCCCCAAGGGCUGUGCCACCAAGGGGAGGAGGAUUCCUCCUCCAAUCCUAGUCCAACUAGGAUUGGAAGGUGGAGUCCUUCUCUCUUUUCCCACCUUUCCCUUUUUCUUUCUUUCUCUUCUUUUGGUUUUUCCUUUCUCUUGCGCAAGACAGCCUUGGGCUGACCCCACCUACUUGGUGCGCCACCCCCAAGGUCCUUGGUCCCUCCCGGGUGGGUGGUCCCCCCUCCCGGUGAAGAUCCGGAACCCAUUCGUCAUUCCUGGUACAUUACCGGUAAUGCCCGAAAACCUUCCGGUAACCAAAUGAAGUCAUCCUAUAUAUCAUUCUUCGUUUCCGGACCAUUCCGGAAACCCUCGUGACGUCCGUGAUCUCAUCCGGGACUCCGAACAACAUUCGGUAACCAACCAUAUAACUCAAAUACGCAUAAAACAACGUCGAACCUUAAGUGUGCAGACCCUGCGGGUUCGACAACUAUGUAGACAUGACCCGAGUGACUCCUCGGUCAAUAUCCAAUAGCGGGACCUGGAUGCCAUAUUGGAUCCCACAUAUUCUACGAAGAUCUUAUCGUUUGAACCUCAGUGCCAAGGAUUCAUAUAAUCCCGUAUGUCAUUCCCUUUGUCGUUCGGUAUGUUACUUGCCUGAGAUUCGAUCGUCAGUAUCCGCAUACAUAUUUCAAUCUCGUUUACCGGCACGUCUCUUUACUCGUUCCAUAAUACAAGAUCCCGCAACUUACACUAAGUCACAUUGCUUGCAAGGCUUGUGUGUGAUGUUGUAUUACCGAGUGGGCCCCGAGAUACCUCUCCGUCACACGGAGUGACAAAUCCCAGUCUCGAUCCAUACUAACUCAACGAACACCUUCGAAGAUACCUGUAGAGCAUCUUUAUAGUCACCCAAUUACGUUGCGACGUUUGAUACACACAAAGCAUUCCUCCGGUGUCAGUGAGUUAUAUGAUCUCAUGGUCAUAGGAACAAAUACUUGACACGCAGAAAACAGUAGCAACAAAAUGACACGAUCAACAUGCUACGUCUAUUAGUUUGGGUCUAGUCCAUCACGUGAUUCUUCUAAUGACGUGAUCCAGUUAUCAAGCAACAAAACCUUGUAUAUAAUCAGAAGACCCUAACUAUCUUUGAUCAACUGGCUAGCCAACUAGAGGCUUGCUAGGGACAGUGUUUUGUCUAUGUAUCCACACAUGUAUAUAAGUCUUCAUUCAAUACAAUUAUAGCAUGGAUAAUAAACGAUUAUCAUGAACAAAGAAAUAUAAUAAUAACUAAUUUAUUAUUGCCUCUAGGGCAUAUUUCCAACAGUCUCCCACUUGCACUAGAGUCAAUAAUCUAGUUCACAUCACCAUGUGAUUCCAAUGAAUCCAACACCCAUAUAAUUAUGGGGUCUGAUCACGUCUUGCUCGUGAGAGAGGUUUUAGUCAACGGUUCUGAAACUUUCAGAUCCGUGUGUUCUUUACAAAUCUUUAUGUCAUCUUAUAGAUGCUGCUACUAUGUGCUAUUCAGAAAUACUCCAAAUAUCUACUCUACUAUACGAAUCCGUUUCACUACUUAUAGUUAUUCGGAUUAGUGUCAAACUCUUUAACCCUUUACGACGAACUCUUUAACCACCUCCAUAAUUGAGAAAAAAUCCUUAGUCCAUCAGCUACUAAGGAUAAAUUUUGACCGUUGCUAGUGAUUCAAUCAUGGAUCACUCUCUGUACCUCUCAACAGACUUUGAGUCAAGGCACACAUCAGGUGCGGUACCGAGCAUGGCAUACUUCAGAUUCUACGGCCAAGGCAUAGAAGACGACCUUCGUCUAUUCUCUUUAUUCUGCCGGGGUCGGGUUUUGAGUCUUACUCAAAUUCACACCUCACAACGCAACCAAGAACUCCUUCUUUGCUGAUCUAUUUUGAACUCCUUCAAAAACUUGUCAAGGCAUGCAUCUUGUUGAAACUUCUAUUAAGCGCUUUCGAUCUAUCUCCAUAGAUAUUUGAUGCUCAACGUUCAAGUAGCGCAAUCCAGGUACUCCUUUGAAAACUCCUUUCAAACAACCUUGUAUGCUUUACAGAAAUUCUACAUUACUUCUGAUCCACAAUAUGUCAACCACAUAUACUUAUCAGAAAUUCUAUAGUGCUCCCACUCACUUCUUUGGAAAUACAAGUUUCUCAUAAACCUUGUACAAACCCAAAAUCUUUGAUCAUCUCAUCAAAGUGUAUAUUCCAACUCCGAGUUGCUUGCACCAGUCCAUUGAAGGAUCGCUGGAGCUUGCAUACUUGCUAGUAUCUUUAGGAUCGACAAAACCUCCUGGUUGUAUCACAUACAAUGUUUGCUCAAGGAAACCGUCGAGGAAACAAUGUUUUGACAUCCUAUGUGCAAUAUUUCAUAAAUAAUGCAGCAACUAAUAACAUAAUUCUAACAGACUUUUAGCAUCGCUAUGAGUGAGAAAGUCUCAUCAUAGUCAACUGUUUGAUCUUGUCGGAAACAUCUUUGCGACAAGUCGAGCUUUUCUUAAUAGUGACUUAUCACCAUCAUCGUCUGUCUUCCUUUUAAAGAUCCAUCUUUACUCAAUAGUCCUAUGACCAUCAAGUAGUUCUUCCAAAGUCUACACUUUGUUUUCAUACAUGGAUCCUCUCUCGGAUUUCAUGGCCUCCAGCCAUUUGUCAGAAUCCGGGCCCACCAUUGCUUUCUCCAUAACUCGUAGGUUCAUUGUUGCUCAACAACAUGACCUCCAAGACAGGGUUCCCGUACCACUCUGCAGUAGUACGCGACCUUGUCAACCUACGAGAUUUGUAGUAACUUGAUUCGAUGCUCGAUGAUCACCAUCAUCGGCCUUCACUUCAAUUGGUGUAGGCGCCACAGGAACAACUUCCUGCCCCCUGCUACACACUGGUUGAAGUGAUUGUUCAAUAACAUUAUCAAGUUCUACCACCCUCCCACUCAAUUCUUUCGAGAGAAACCUUUCCUCGAGAAAGGAUCCGUUUCUAGAAACAAACACUUUGCUUUCGGAUCUGAGAUAGGAGAUGUAUCCAACUGUUUUGGAUAUCCUAUGAAGAUGCAUUUGUCCGCUUUGGGUUCGAGCUUAUCAGACUGAAACUUUUUCACAUAAGUGUCGAAGCCCCAAACUUUCAAGAAACGACAGUUUAGAUUUCUCUAAACCUCAGUCUAUAUUGUGUCAUCUCAACGGAAAUACGUGGUGCCCUAUUGAAAGUGAAUGUGGUUGUCUCUAAUGCAUAACCCAUAAAUGAUAGUGGUAAUUCGAUAAGAGACAUCAUAGCAUGCACCAUACCAAAUAGUGUGUGGCUAUGACGUUCAGACACAUUAUCACACUAUGAUGUUGCAGGUGGCAUGAACUGCGAAACAAUUUCCAUAUUGUCUUAACUGCGUACCAAAACUCGUAACUCGGAUAUUCAUUUCUAUGAUCAUAUCGUAGACAGUUUAUCCUCUUGUUACGACGAACUUCACUCCGAAACAGAAUUGAACUUUUCAGUAUUUCAGACUUGUGAUUCAUUAAGUAAAUACUCUUGUAUCCACUCAAAUCGUCAUUCAACUAAGAACAUAAUACUAUCCAUUGCGUGCCUCACCACUCAUUGGACUGCAUACAUCAAAAUGUAUCACUUCCAACAAGUUACUAUCUUGUUUCAUCUCAAUGAAAACAAGGCCUUGCUCAUGUGGUAUGAUUUGCAUGUCACUGGUGAUUCAAAAUCAAGUGAGUAUAAAGAUCCAUCAGCAUGGAGCCUCUUCAUGCAAUUUAUACCAACAUGACUCAAGCGGCAGUGCCACAAGUAAGUGGUACUAUCAUCAUUACCUCGUAUCUUUUGGCACCAAUAUUAUGAACAUGUGUAACACUACGAUCGAGAUUCAAUAAACCAUUGAAGGUGAUUUAUUCAAGAAAAUAGAGUAACCAUUAUUCUCUUUAAAUGAAUAAUCGUAUUACAAUAAACACGAUCCAAUCAUGUUCAUGCUUAACGCAAGUACCAAAUAACAAUUAUUUAGGUUUAACACCAAUCCCGAUGGUACAUGGAGUGUGCGAUGUUUGAUCAUAUCAACCUUGGAAACACUUCCAACACGUAUCGUCACCUCGCCUUUAGCUAGUCUCCGUUUAUGCUGUAGCUUUCAUUUCGUGUCACUAAUCACUUAGCAACCGAACCGGUAUCUAAUACCCUCGUGCUACUAGGAGUACUAGUAAAGUACACAUCAACAUCAUGUAUAUCAAAUAUACUUCUUUCGACUUUUGCCAGCCUUCUUAUCUACCAAGUAUCUAGAGUUGCUCCGCCUCAGUGACUGUUCCCGUCAUUACAAAAGCACUUAGUCUCAGGUUUGGGUUUAAUCUUGGGUCUCUUCAUUAGUGCAUCAACUGUUUUGCCGUUUCACGAAGUAUCCCUUCUAGCCCUUGCCUUUCUGGAAACUUAGUGGUUUUACUAACCAUCAACUAUUGAUGCUCCUUCUUGAUUUCCACUUUCGCAGUGUCAAACAUCGCGAAUCGCUCAAGGAUCAUUGUAUCUAUCCUUGAUAUGUUAUAGUUCAUCACGAAGCUCUCACAGCUUGGAGGCAGUGACUUUGGAGAACCAUCACUAUCUCAUCUGGAAGAUUAACUCCCACUUGAUUCAAGCGAUUGUCGUACUCAGACAAUCUGAGCACAUGCUCAACGAUUGAGCUUUUCUCCUUUACUUUGUGGACAAAGAAUCUUGUCGGAGGUCUCGUACCUCUUAACAAGGGCACAAGCAUGAAAUCACAAUUUCAUCUCUUUAGAACAUCACUUAUGUUCCGUGAUGUUUCAAAACGUCUUCGGCGCCUUGCUUCUAAGCCAUUAAGUAUUUUGCACUGAACUAUCGUGUAGUCAUCAGAAACGUGUAUGUCGGAUGUUCACAGCAUCCACAGACGACGCUCGAGGUGCAGCACACCGAGUGGUGCAUUAAGGACAUAAGCCUUCUGCGCAGCAACGAGGACAAUCCUCUGCAAAGUUUGCUACUAUCAACUUUCAACUAAAUUUUCUCUAGGAACAUAUAAAAACAGUAGAGCUAUAGCGCAAGCUACAUCGUAAUUCGCAAAGACCAUUAGACUAUGUUCAUGACAAUUAGUUCAAUUAAUCAUAUUACUUAAGAACUCCCACUCAAAAAGUACAUCUCUCUAGUCAUUUGAGUGGUACAUGAUCCAAAUCCACUAUCUCAAGUCCGAUCAUCACGUGAGUCGAGAAUAGUUUCAGUGGUAAGCAUCUCUAUGCUAAUCAUAUCAACUAUACAAUUCAUGCUCGACCUUUCGGUCUCAUGUGUUCCGAGGCCAUGUCUGCACAUGCUAGGCUCGUCAAGCUUAACCCGAGUGUUCCGCGUGUGCAACUGUUUUGCACCCGUUGUAUGUGAACGUUGAGUCUAUCACACCCGAUCAUCACGUGGUGUCUCGAAACGAAGAACUAUCGCAACGGUGCACGGUCGGGGAGAACACAAUUUCGUCUUGAAAUUUUAGUGAGAGAUCACCUCAUAAUGCUACCGUCGUUCUAAGCAAGAUAAGGUGCAUAAAAGGAUUAACAUCACAUGCAAUUCAUAAGUGACAUGAUAUGGCCAUCGUCACGUGCUUCUUGAUCUCCAUCACCAAAGCACCGGCACGAUCUUCUUGUCACCGGCGCCACACCAUGAUCUCCAUCAUCAUGAUCUCCAUCAACGUGUCGCCAUCGGGGUUGUCGUGCUACUUAUGCUAUCACUACUAAAGCUACGUCCUAGCAAAAUAGUAAACGCAUCUGCAAGCACAUAUGUUAGUAUAAAGACAACCCUAUGGCUCCUGCCGGUUGCCGUACCAUCGACGUGCAAGUCGAUAUUAACUAUUACAACAUGAUCAUCUCAUACAUCCAAUAUAUCACAUCACAUCGUUGGCCAUAUCACAUCACAAUCAUACCCUGCAAAAACAAGUUAGACGUCCUCUAAUUUUGUUGUUGCAUGUUUUACGUGGUGACCAAGGGUAUCUAGUAGGAUCGCAUCUUACUUACGCAAACACCACAACGGAGAUAUAUGAAUUGCUAUUUAACCUUAUACAAGGACCUCCUCGGUCAAAUCCGAUUCAACUAAAGUUCGAGAAACCGUCACUUGCCAGUCAUCUUUGAGCAAAGGGGGUUACUCGUAACGAUGAAACCAGUCUCUCGUAAGCGUACGAGUAAUGUCGGUCCAAGCCGCUUCAAUCCAACAAUACCGCGGAAUCAAGAAAAGACUAAGGAGGGCAGCAAAACGCACAUCACCGCCCACAAAACCUUUUGUGUUCUACUCGAGAAGACAUCUACGCAUGAACCUAGCUCAUGAUGCCACUGUUGGGGAACGUCGCAUGGGAAACAAAAAAUUUCCUACGCGCACGAAGACCUAUCAUGGUGAUGUCCAUCUACGAGAGGGGAUGAGUGAUCUACGUACCCUUGUAGAUCGUACAGCAGAAGCGAUUAGAGAUCGCGGUUGAUGUAGUGGAACGUCCUCACGUCCCUCGAUCCGCCCCGCAAACAAUCCCGCGAUCAGUCCCACGAUCUAGUACCGAACGGACGGCACCUCCGCGUUCAGCACACGUACAGCUCGACGAUGAUCUCGGCCUUCUUGAUCCAGCAAGAGAGACGGAGAGGUAGAAGAGUUCUCCGGCAGCGUGACGGCGCUCCGGAGGUUGGUGAUGAUCUUGUCUCAGCAGGGCUCCGCCCGAGCUCCGCGGAAACACGAUCUAGAGGAAAAACUAUGGAGGUAUGUGGUCGGGCAGCCGUGAGAAAGUCGUCUCAAAUCUGCCCUAAAAGCCCCAUAUAUAUAGGAGGAGGGAGGGGGACCUUGCCUUGGGGUCCAAGGGAACCCCAAGGGGUCGGCCGAGCCAGGGGGGAGGACUCUCCCCCCCCCAAACCGAGUCCUACUUGGUUUGGUGGGAGGGAGUCCUUCCCCCUUCCCACUUCCUCUUUUUUUUUCUUUCCUUUGAUUUUUCCUUCCUUGGCGCAUAGGGGAUUGGUGGGCUGUCCCACCAGCCCACUAAGGGCUGGUGUGACCCCCCCAAAUACCUAUGGGCUUCCCCGGAGUGGGUUGCCCCCCUCCGGUGAACCCCCGGAACCCAUUCGUCAUUCCCGGUACAUUACCGGUAACUCCGAAAACCUUCCGGUAAUCAAAUGAAGUCAUCCUAUAUAUCAAUCUUCGUUUCCGGACCAUUCCGGAAACCCUCGUGACGUCCGUGAUCUCAUCCGGGACUCCGAAUAACAUUCGGUAACCAACCAUAUAACUCAAAUACGCAUAAAACAACGUCGAACCUUAAGUGUGCAGACCCUGCGGGUUCGAGAACUAUGUAGACAUGACCCGAGAGACUCCUCGGUCAAUAUCCAAUAGCGGGACCUGGAUGCCCAUAUUGGAUCCUACAUAUUCUACGAAGAUCUUAUCGUUUGAACCUCAGUGCCAAGGAUUCGUAUAAUCCCGUAUGUCAUUCCCUUUGUCCUUCGGUAUGUUACUUGCCCGAGAUUCGAUCGUCAGCAUCCGCAUACCUAUUUCAAUCUCGUUUACCGGCAAGUCUCUUUACUCGUUCCGUAAUACAAGAUCCCGCAACUUACACUAAGUUACAUUGCUUGCAAGGCUUAUGUGUGAUGUUGUAUUACCGAGUGGGCCCCGAGAUACCUCUCCGUCACACGGAGUGACAAAUCCCAGUCUUGAUCCAUACUAACUCAACUAACACCUUCGGAGAUACCUGUAGAGCAUCUUUAUAGUCACCCAGUUACGUUGCGACGUUUGAUACACACAAAGCAUUCCUCCGGAGUCAGUGAGUUAUAUGAUCUCAUGGUCAUAGGAAUAAAUACUUGACACGCAGAAAACAGUAGCAACAAAAUGACACGAUCAACAUGCUACGUCUAUUAGUUUGGGUCUAGUCCAUCACGUGAUUCUCCCAAUGACGUGAUCCAGUUAUCAAGCAACAACACCUUGUUCAUAAUCAGAAGACUCUGACUAUCAUCGAUCAACUGGCUAGCCAACUAGAGGCAUGCUAGGAACGGUGUUUUGUCUAUGUAUCCACACAUGUAAAUGAGUCUUCAUUCAAUACAAUUAUAGCAUGGAUAAUAAACUAUUAUCUUGAUACAGGAAUUAUAAUAAUAACUAUACAUUUAUUAUUGCCUCUAGGGCAUAAUUCCAACAAGAGGCCCCAUGAUGAAAUGGGCACCUCAAACCAAGUCUUAAUUCAUUGCAGUAUGUCUUCUCCGGAGGAGCCAAAUGGGUGAUCGACAGUGGAUGCACCAAUCAUAUGACCGAAGAUAGUAACUUGCUCUAUGACUUCAUGCAAGCCAUUCGACCAUACAUGAGCAUUGUAUUUGGUGGAGGGUCGAAAGGGCAGGUAAUUGGGUUGGGCAAGGUGGCAAUCACUAAUGACAUGUCUAUUGCAAAUGUCAUGCUUGUCCAAUCUCUUCAAUAUCAUUUACUUUCAGUUCGCCAAUUGGCUUCCGUUGGUUAUGACACACUAUUCGGACUAACGGAUGUGAAAGUCUUUAAGAGAGACACUCUCAAAGUGGCCUUUGUUGGAGAGUUGGAUGGCAACCUUUACACGGUUGAUUUCUCAAAAGAGAGCACCUUCCAUACAACUUGUCUAAUGGCCAAGGCCGACAUGGGAUGGUUGUGGCAUCGCCGGCUCGCCCAUGUCGGCAUGAGAAAUCUUCAAAAUCUCUUAAACGGAAAUCACAUCCUAGGACUAACAAAUGUAUCUUUUAAGAAAGAUCGUGUGUGCAGUGCAUGCAUAGCUGGGAAACAACAUCAAUCAAAACAUCCACCCAAGAACAUUGUAUCCACUUCGAGGCCGUUAGAGCUCCUUCAUGUGGAUCUGUUUGGGCCUCCUUCAUGGGCAGGUCUUGGAGGGAAAAAGUAUGGCCUAGUCAUUGUUGAUGAUUACUCAAGAUACACAUGGGUAUUCUUUCUCAAGUCCAAGGACGAGACGAAGAUCACCUUCAUUGAUUUUGCCAAACAAGCCCAGCGGAAGUUUGACAAGGACAUCAAGGCAAUAAGAAGUGAUAAUGGCUCCGAGUUCAAGAACUACACCCUAGAAGAAUUUCUUAGUGAUGAGGGAAUUGAACAUUAGUACUCCGCACCUUACACCCCUCAGCAAAAUGGUGUAGCAGAGAGGAAGAACCGGACACUUGUGGAAAUGGCAAGGUCCAUGUUAGACGAAUACAAGUCACCACAUAGUUUUUGGGCUCAGGCCGUCAACACAGCAUGUCAUGCAUCAAACCGGCUCUUCCUUUGAUCAAUAUUGGAGAAGACUCCAUAUGAGAUCCUAACUGGGAACAAGCCCAAUGUUAAGUACUUUCGUGUGUUUGGAUGCAAGUGUUUCAUCCUCAACAAACGAGAACGGUUAGGAAAAUUUCAAUCCAAAACAACUGAAGGGAUUUUUGUUGGCUAUGGAUCAAACUCUCACGCCUACAGAGUCUACAACAAAUCCACUGGAUGUGUUAUAGAAACCUGUGACGUGACGUUUGAUGAAUUUAACCGCUCCCAUGGGGAGCAAGUUGAUCUAAGUGAUGCAGGUGAAGAAGAUUCCUCGCAAGAUAUCUUGAACAUGGGUGUAGGUGCACUUCUUCCCAUGGAACAAAGACCCGAUGAUGAUGAUGAAGAUGAUGAGAGUACUUCUCAUCCUCAAGACAGUUCACUGCCCGUACCUCCACAAGAUACUAGCACACAUAUCAUGCCAGUUGUUGAGGAUCAAGUGGGAGAACAUGUCUCUCACUCUGAUCACACUCAAGAACAAGUUGAUCUUCAAGAGCUAGACCAAAGUAUGGAUAUGCUUGAUGAUGAACUUCAACAGGUGCAACGCGAAGAGGAAUAUCUUCCACCGCACAUAAAUGAUCCAUAUGUUGAGGACGUUGAUGAUGGAAACAAAGUCGAACCUCGUGAAACCCUGACCUCCAUCAUGCCACGUGUGGUCGGUCGUGUUGAUAUUGAUCAAAUCCUCACCGGCGUGUCGGAAGGUAGAGUGACUCGUAAACAAUUAACAAACUUUUGUGCUCACUUUUCGUUUGUCUCUAGUACCGUGCCACACAGGGUUCAGUAUGCAUUGUGUGAUAAUGACUGGCUCCUUGCUAUGCAAGAAGAGUUAAACCGUUUUACACGCAAUGAAGUAUGGUCAUUGGUAGAACGACCAACUGAGGAACACAAUGUCAUUGGAACUAAAUGGAUUUUCAAGAACAAGGAAGAUGAGAAUGGAACUGUCCUACGCAACAAGGCAAGGUUAGUAGCACAGGGGUACUCCCAAGUUGAAGGUUUGGACUUUGGUAAGACUUUCGCCCCUGUUGCUCGUCUUGAAUCCAUUCGCAUUUUAUUGGCCUAUGCUGCUUUCAAUGGUUUUACUUUGCAUCAAAUGGAUGUGAAAAGUGCUUUUCUUAAUGGUCCUCUACAAGAAGAGGUAUAUGUAUCACAACCACCUGGGUUUGUUGACCCUCACCACAAAUACCAUGUAUACAAACUUCACAAGGCUUUGUAUGGCCUCAAACAAGCACCCCGUGCUUGGUACGAUCAUCUUAAGAAGUUUCUACUCGAUGAUGGCUUUGUGGUGGGGGUGAUCGAUCCCACUCUUUUUACUAAGAGGGAAAAUGGUGAUUUGAUCUUAUGCCAAAUCUAUGUAGAUGACAUCAUUUUUGGUUCUCCUAACAUCCAUUUAUGCAAGAAGUUUGCGGCCUCCAUGACCAAGACCUUUCAGAUGUCACUCAACACGGACUUGAAGUUCUUUCUUGGGUUUCAAAUACAACAAUUUCAAGAAGGAAUUUUCUUGUCUCAAACUAAGUACCUCAAGGACAUUCUUGAAAAAUUUGAUAUGACAAAUGCUAAACCAAUGAAGACACCCAUGGCCACAGAUGUAGUUCUAAAUGAAGACACCAACGGUAUUCCUUUUGACCCAUCUACUUACCGCUCCAUGAUCGGUUCGUUACUUUAUCUUUGCGCAUCUAGACCGGACAUCAUGUUAAGUGUAGGCAUAUGUGCUAGAUUUCAAGCUUCCCCUAGGGAAAGCCAUCAUACGGCGGUUAAGCAUAUUCUUAGAUACCUUGUUCACACCCCAAAGUUAGGCUUAUGGUACCCUAAGGAUGCAAAGUUCGAUCUUAUAGGGUACUCCGAUGCGGAUUCGGCCGGUGACAAAGUGGGACAGAAAUCCACUUCCGGUGCAUGUCAGUUUCUUGGACGCUCCUUGGUAAGUUGGUCCUCGAAAAAGCAGAAUUGUGUUUCUCUCUCCACGGCCGAGGCCGAAUAUAUUGCAGCCGCAAGCUGUGCAACCCAACUGUUGUGAAUGAGGCAAACCCUAAAGGAUUAUGGUAUCACGUAUCGACACGUUCCUCUUCUCUGUGAUAAUGAAAGUGCCAUAAAGAUCUCCGAGAACUCCAUUGAUCACCCUCGCACAAAACAUAUUGAUAUUAGGUAUCAUUUCUUGAGAGACCAUGUGCAAAAGGGUGACAUUGAUAUUACCCAUGUGGAUACCGACAUGCAGCUCGCUGACAUUUUCACCAAGCCACUUAGCGUAGCAAGGUUCUGUCAACUUAGGCGUGAACUAGGUAUCUUGGAGCUUGAUAACAUAACUUGAAAUCUUGCACACAUACACACACUCACAUUAUGUUUGUGUCUUGAUGUGGGCAUGCAUUUAGGGGGAGUGGGUCAUAAUUCUGUGUUUUGAGCUUACAAAGUAUGCAUAAAUCAACUUCUGUCCACAAGUAUUAUAUGUAAUUCUUGUAGGCAACUAUGUUCGUAUUCUUUGUGAGAAACCAUGAAAAAUCAUCAUCUCAUCAUCAAAAAUUUCAGAAUCAGCCUCUGUCUCCUCCUCUCUCUCGGUCGUCCGACGUGUCUCGGACGUCCGGCGGCUAACCUCAUUCCGGACGUCCGGCCAGUGUCAGUCGUCCGACGGCAAAAUCCUCUCCGGACGUCCGACGCCUGUCAGACGUCCAACACCUCGGGGCCUAUAAAUAGAAGGGUGUGGGGCUGGGCCUUGCCCUAGCCCUCACGCGCCUCCUUUUUCCCCAGCAGCCGCCGCCGCCAGCACCAGGAGCGCUCACCCGCGCCCCCACCUCCGAGAUCUGCCUGAUCUCCUCCGCGGGAUCCAUCUCUUCUUCCUCCGCGGGAUCCAUCUGCAGGUAUCUCCUCCGUUCCCCUCGCGUUUGGUUCCCUUUCUCCCAAGUCCACAUGUUCGUUCAUAUGGUUUGACCAUGAUCGUUCCCAUUGGGUUUCCAUCCGUGUAGGCUUUUGUGCAUCAUGCCCAAGAUUAAGCACGCCGCCCGGAAGGACGCUGCUGGCUCAUCCGCUCGUGCCCCUACUGGCACGGGGUCGGACUCGGAAGGGCAACGUCGUCCCUUCAAACGGACUUCCCGACGUCCUCCGUCUCAACAGCUCCCCUCGUCGUCUGAUGGCUCUGACUUCGAGGAUGAGCUUGCCGCCGAGGACCGUGCUGACCAGCCCGCCGUUCGGAGGUCCAUGCCAAAGCCCGGGACUCGCAGGCCGUCCUAUAUGCCACCACCUCCUCCUGCUCAACCCGAAGGUGAAGCUCGUCGCAUCUCACUUGAACCCCCUGCUACCUUAGGUCAUGAAGUCACGAACUUCACCACGCUUGCCAAGUCUUCAUACCUCACUUUCCGCCACGACAUUGAUCAAUUCUCUGUCGUACGUGACUCUAUGGACUCACGUUUCCGCACAAACGUCCAGGCGGACAUCUUUACUAUAGUCAUAGUUCCUAAGGGUCUCUCUGUUCAUCACUUCAUAGAUCUUGAGCAUAUUCGCACGCACCCGGCGAAAUACCCGUGUGCCAUUGAGCUUAUUGAUUCAUCGGGGCUUGCUGCCCCAUUUGCUUUUCGUCGCAAUUUUAACGCUGCUGCCAUUCACCAGUUUUAUGCCACAUGCUUCUUUGGUCCAAACCACAUUGUUAGCUGGAUCACCUCUGACGUUCACUUCACAGCCUCUUAUGAUAUGUUUGUUGCCGCACUUGGUUUCCCCAACUCCGGCUUCAAAAUACAUAAGAAUGAUCCUAACCAUGCACAUAAGCCAAUUGAGGCGUGUGGGUAUCUCCUCAAACCACUCCGUGAACUUGAUGUGGAUGAACGCAUGAAGGAUCUUAACCAGGUAUCCAUCUGGCGCUCACCUUACUUUAUCAUCUUUCAGUGUCUUAUCCGCACCAUCUAUCCCAAGAUGGGUGAUAAGGGAUCUUGCAGUGGCUACUGUAUUGACAUCAUGUCACACUUGUACGAGCACCCCAAGAGCAAAAUUAAUGUGCCUCACUUUCUAUGGCAUGAGAUUCGGCUUGCUAGUUUUCAAUACAAGCGAGCCUUCCCUCAUGCCCCCUUCAUCCAGGCUCUUAUUAAUCAUGUUGCUGAUUUCUCUGUUGCUGUCACUCACACACAUCACAAGUGGGUCAUUCCCGCUCACAUGGCGGAUAACUAUGCUCCCAAGAAAACCCCAUCCUCCACAUCCACUCGUCGUACUGCUGCCCGGUCAGCAACCCCCUCAUCUAGCUCCGCUCCUCUCGGUCGCUUUGCCAAAUUCAUUGGCAAGGCACAUUCUGCUAUGAUGAAGGCCGUCUCAUUCCAGUGUGGUCAAACCCAUGAUGUGGUUUCUCGCCUAGUCUCCUCCAAGAAUGCCCUCAAGGCUCGUAUGAGAGACUCGGGCGCUCUUGAUGUGAGUGAUGAUGAGGCCCUUCCUGCUGCCCCUCCUUCUGACUUUGGCUUCCCAUCUCGUCCUGAGUGGGCUGAUUUUCUUGACGAGGCUGGUGGCAAUGGCUUGCCUAACGAUGAGGAUGAUGAUGAUGAUGAUGCUGAUGAGCUCUGAGCAUGGUUGAUGAUGUUGGUGCCUCCCUUUUUGGUACUUGGUGCCAAAGGGGGAGUAAUGUAUCGUAGUUUUUAGUCUUUGGAGAUUUAGUCUAAAUUUGCAUGGUUGUGUAAUGUAAUGGAUAAACUCAUGUAUGGCUACUUAUGAAUGUUGUGAUUGCUAUGGAUUGCUAUGAUAUCAUCAUAGGCUAUUAUGUUUUGCUCCACUACUUCUAUGAUGAUCUAUUGUCUUUCUAUGAUGAUCUAUUAUCUUUACAUGAUGAUCCAUUAUAUGUUCGAUACACACAUUAAAAGGGAGCUCCGAUAUUUUAUCAUGCACAUACUAAGGGGGAGCUCCGUACUAAACCUCUCCAAGGCUAUAAUGUAUGUUAAAUCUUUUUUGAGACCUAUGUAUAUGUUGUCAUCAACUACCAAAAAGGGGGAGAUUGAAAGUGCAUAUUAUGCCCCUAAUCGACUUUUGGUGUUAAUGACAACACUUACAUAGGAAACUAAUCCUAUUUGUUGAGUGUAUCUCGGGAUGGCAAGUACUUUAGUAGAUUGAGAAUUAUGUGCCAAGGUGGUCUGAGAAGAUCGGGAUUUAUAUGUCAAGAAGGCUCGGGAUUGAGAAAAGAUUGUGUAGACUAUCCUUUUGAGUUUACUAUUCUUGAGUAUAGGGAUCCCGCACUAUUAAGAGGGGAUCACAGGUUUUGCGAUGAAUUUGCUCAUACCACAUCUUCACUUUCUGCUCAAUACCACAUAUUCUCUACUCUGCUCCUAUCUCAAAACAGGUCUAAUGCCUCGGACUUCCGGCCCCCUCCGGACGUCCGAGGGCCGGUCGAGGGUCGGACGACCGACAAGCUUCGGAAAUCCGGAGCUCUGCACCAGAAGAACUUGAUCCAUAUAACUCGGAAUUCCGGCUCCCUCCGGGCGUCCGAGGGCCGGUCGACCGACCAGCUUUGGAAAUCCGGAGCCCUGCACCAGAAGAACGUGAGCCAUGUAACUCGGACUUCCGGCUCCCUCCGGGCGUCCGAGGGCUGGACGUCCGUCCCCUUUCGGAAAUCCGGAACCUUGCACCAGAAGAAGUUGAGUCGAAUAACUCGGACUUCCGGCCUUCUCCAGACGUCCGGUCCCUGUUCAACUCACUGUGUUUCCAGUCAUAUCUACAGCCCUCGGACGACCGACCCCUGUCGGACGUUCGACCCCUUGUGGACGACCGGACUUCCGUAAACUGCCGGACGUCCGUACCCUGUGUGACUUAAAGUGUCCCCAACGGCUGUUUUACACUCCCCACUAUAUAUACCCACUCCCACUUCGUCAGAGGGUGUCCAACACAGCUAGAACACAUACAAGAACACCCUUCUUCUCACUCACUCUUGUCUACACCAAAUCUUAGAUCCCAAGAGCAUUUGUGAGUCCCUUUGAGUGUUGUUCCAAUCAAAAUAUAGAUCGUCUCCUUCUCCUCCUUCCCACCAAAGUGAUUUGUGAUUUGAGCAAGUUUUGAGCAAUCCCCGUGAUCUUGUUAAUCUUGGAGGUUGGAGACUCCUAGGCGGUAGGAGUCUUCGGAGAGGAAUCAAACCAUUGUGAUUUCCCCCGGAAAGUUUGUGAAGGUUUGGAAGCCACCUCAAGGCUUACCACUAGUGGUUGAGAAACGCCUUCGUGAAGUUAUCUCAAAGGGAGGAUAGGGUGAGCCUUCGUGGCGUUGGUGUGCCUUCGUGGUAACAUCCGCCCCUCUAACGGUGACGUAGCUUCCCUCCAUGGAAGUGAACAUCGGGAUACAUCCUCGUCUCUCUUGGAGUUUCGGUUAUUCCUAACCCUAACUCUCUACUUGUGUUAAUCCUUAUUACGUACUUGUAUUUGAUUAUUGUUUACCGCUUGCCUUACUUCACUCUAAAUAGCUUACUCCUGGUCAUAGCAAUUACUAGGCCUACACUCAUAUUUCGCACAUUUGCCUAAAAUUGCUAAGUAAUUAUUAAAAUUUGGAAUUGUACCUAUUCCACCCCCCCCCCUCUAGGUCCAUCUCGAUCCUUUUCACCAAUCUCGAACCGUUUUACAGUUGAUUUCUCGCAUGGAGAUAUUCAAAACUAGACCCAUGUUGAUAAGUUUCACCAUACUUUUUUUCACCAAAAUACCGAACGAAAAAGCAUAUCUCUCUCAGAAAGAAAAAAUAUGUUUUUCCGGAAGCAAAAUCGUGCCUCUUACAAAAGAAAAAUAAACAUAAAACAUAAAUUUUUGGUUUCCGAGAGGCACGGUCACGUAAACAAAUCCGUGCCUCUCGCGAAAGAAAAAAUAGGAAAUGUGUUUUUCCAGUUUUCGAGAAGCACAGUCGUGCCUCUCGCGAAAGAAAAAAAAAUGAAAAAAACGUGUUUUUUCGUCGUGCCUCUCGCGGAAUCAAAACAACACCUCUCGUGAAAUUAAAAAAACGCAUUUUUUUUGUUUUCCAAAAGGUCGCAAAAGAAAGAAAAAUAUUUUAUUUCGUUUCCGGGAGGCAUGAUUGUGUCUUUCACAAAAUCAAAUCCCUGCCUCUCGCAAAAGUAAAAUCAUGCUUUUCUAGAAAGCAAAAAAGCACAAUUUUCAUGCAAAAUUGUUUUAAAUGUUUCACACAUUUGAAAAAAAGUGUUCAUUAAAAAAUAAAUCAUUUGUGCAUUUUAAUAAAAUGGUUAUGACAAUUAAAAAUAUAUUCAUGGUGUAUAAAUGUUUGUACCAUUCAAAAAUAACAAACAUACGUUUAAAAUAUUGGCCAUGAGAUCUAAGAAAAUGUUCAUGAAACUAAAAUUUUGUGAGUGCAGUCUUUAAACAAUGUUCAUGACAUAUAAGAAAUGUCCGUUCCAUUUAUAUAUGGUUCAUAACAUUUACAAAAUUAUAACGUGUUUGAAAUAAUGUUACUGAAAAUGUAAAAUUGUGUUCGUGCAAUUUCCAAAAAAUUUAAGUACUUAUUGGCUUACAAAAGAAACUUGAUUUUAUUUGGUAUGUUAUAUAACAAGUGGGACAGAUGAGUCUGUUUUCAGAGAAAAACAGGUGAACAAUCCUAGACGGGAAGAAAAAUAAAUCAAAACAAGAAGAGGAAGGAGAAACAUACAUAACGUUGGACAACAUACAAGUGAAUCCUGGAACCUUAUAUAUUUUUUGGUAUAGGAGAGAAAAGCGGUGGAAAAAUCAGAGAUGAAAGGAAAAAAAAAAGUGAGAAAACACAUGCAUAAGGUUGAAUGAACGAAGGACGAUGUGUGGACUCAACUAAAACAGAGUCCACACAUCUAUACUACUAAUAAAAGAUCAAACGUAAACUUUUCUAUGUACACACAAUUAUUACCCCCACAAAAACAAACACCAAUCACAACCACAUAAAUAGACAACAAAUUACAAUCUAACGGCCUUCCACCAUCCACGCAGCACCACCGUGUGCAUUUACCAAAUAAAAUAAGCUUGACCGUGCUCCACCUCAUCGCUCAACCCGCUCGCCUCGCGCCCCCGUCGCCCCCGCUCAAGCGGUAAACACCCCUCCCCACCCACGAUCGUAGCCUCUUCCUUCCCCCAAACUGUCGACGCAUCCUCCUCCCACCCCGCGCCCCGCCACCGCCGGUCCUCCGCCAUCGAUGCCUACUCCUCCUGCCCCAUGCCCCGCCACCUCGGCCUCCCCAUCCCACGAUCCCGCGGCCCUCCUCUCCCCGCGCCCCGCCACCGCGGCCUCCCCGCCCCAUGNCCCCGUGCCCCGCCACCGCGGCCUCCACGCCCUCGCGCCCCAGCGGCCCUCCUCUCCCCGCGCCCGGCCACCGUGGCCUCCCCAGCCACGCGCCCCGCCGGCCCUCCUCUCCCCGUGCCCCGCCAUCGCCGGUCCUCCUCUCCACGCGCCCCGCCUCCUUUGUGCCGUGGCGGCGGGGGAUGCGUCUAGCUCGGCCCCGGCGCCCCGGAGGCUGGUGCUCUACACCAAGCCGGGGUGCUGCCUCUGCGAAGGCCUCAAGGAGAAGCUGCACGCCGCCGUCCUGCUCGCCGGCACCCCCUACUCCCUCGCCUCCCUCGAGCUCCAGGCGAGCAAACCCAGAACCAGUCCGUAAUCUCUUUCUCGUCCUGAGAUGAAUGCUUACUUAGUUACUUUGGAUGCUGGAUGGACUAAUUCGAUCAGGAGAGGGACAUCACGACGAACUCGGAGUGGGAGCGGCUGUACCAGUACGAGAUCCCGGUGCUGGCCAAGGUGCUCCCCGACGGCACCGAGGUAUCCAUCGAUCCGCUCGCGAUUCACCCUUUCUUUGCCAUGUUUUCAGCUACGCAAUGUAAGCUUGCACAUAGCUAAAUUAUGAUACCAGCAUACAACAUCCAUCUGGUUGUAUAAAUGUCUCAAUUCGAUAAACGAAAGCAGACAGUGGCUAUGCUUCGCUGGUUCGCUGUAGUUGGUAUACUCGCCACAGAUGAUAAAAUCAUGGAGAACAUAAAAAGAAGAUGGUAUUGAUCGAAUCAUCUUAUUUUCAGGUAUAAUCAGGAUUCAUAAGAAAGAAGAAGAAUGACAUCUCUCUUCCCCUCAAUUACUUCUUUGUGUUGUUUGUUUCUUGUAUAUACUAUGAAGAAAUUGUAUGUUAUCCUGGAUAACUCAAUACUACAAUUUUUUAGUGUACAAAAAAUUUAGGUUUCACUUGGUUAAGCAACAUUUGAGACUAUUCUAACACUAUUAUGGAUUAUUUUCUAUAUUUCUUCUUUCCUAAUUAUCUUCCUUUUACUGAGGAUUGCAGCUAAAUGUGCUCUUUUUUACCGCAAGGGAAAUGAUCAUUUGAGUUAUAUUAUUUCAAUUAUAUUGUAAUAGAGCUUCCAGUGGUCCUCCUACAUGAUUGCAUCCGAUGUACUCUCAAAAUACCCGAUUAUCCUGAAAGAAAGCAUUAGAAAUUUAUAUAAAGAUAAAAAACAAAUGGGUGUAUUAUUUGAAGACGAAUACAAGUUUGACCUCUUUCCGUAAUAAACAAAUCCAGACACAUCAAUUGCAAAUGCUCAGGUUAGUGAAGUUUGUGAAGACGAUGUUCAUGGAGAAUCGAUGUUCAAAUCUGUUUGUAAUAUCAUCUACUUUCCAUACUUGUUUAUUGGCCUAGCGAAUCCAUAUGUACGGCUUGCAUUGCCAAUUAUUGUACUAUUUUUCUUGUUUAUGUAUGGUAUUUUCCGCAAAGAUUCACAUAUAUGCUGUGAGCUGAUUCUAAGUUUGGUAGAAAACCCAUAUAUAUGUUAAUGGUUAGAACUUCAGUCUAUUUUUCUACCUAUUCCUUUGUUUGUAGAGUUUAGUUCUGUUCGACCAUGUUUCGCUAGGAAUAAUGUUGAUUUGUAUUCCUUUUAGAGCCAACCUCCAGCCCUUCCACAUGACAAGAAGCCCAUAUCUUCCAUUACAUAAAUCAUUUAUUAAUGGUUUAGGAAGUUGAGACUCUCUCUUUAUUUUAUUUUAUUGGAAACUGCAUCAUAUCAUGUUCUGAGUAUUUAGUAUCAGGAUUAAGGUCUGAAUGACGAUACAUGCUCGUAAAUGAUAAGCUGGGUUGAAGUAUUAGGUUCUUUCCUUUGUUUCAUUCGUGGAAACAACACACACACACACACAUUCUAUUGUUCAUCGCCUUUGCGUGCAGAUUUUGUUGCAUAGUGCCUUUAGCUAUUUUUUUCCAUUUUUGUUCUUUGUGCAGCACAAGUGGUACUCAUCUCGAUGGCGAUUUUGUUCAUGCUCUUCUCGGUCCAGCGCUUUGGGGCCGACAAGGUCGGAUACACCUUUGUGCCAGUCAUCUCAGUGUGGUUCCUUCUAAUUGCCGGCAUCGAGAUCGGUGUUCUGCGGGCCUUCAGUCCGAUGUAUAUAGUGCAAUACUUCAUAAGGAAUGGGAAGAGUGGAUGGGUGUCACUUGGUGAGAUUAUCUUGUGUGUCACAGGUAACCUUAUUUGUACUUGAAAAUUUUGAAAUGACAAGCGGUUGCGUUGCAAACUAUAGCAUGUAGAACUGUAAUCUGAAUUAACUGACUGAUUGUCAUAUGUAACAGGCACAGAAGGUAUGUUUGCUGACCUAGGACAUUUCAACAUCAGGGUUGUUCAGGUAACCACAUUAAUUUUAGAUAUAAGCUUUCAGAAGUAACAUUUUUUUCCUGAGGCCCCCCUCAAGAGUUCGAAACAGAAGGAUCUCAUCUUACAAUAGUUUUUGUGCUUACAUUUGCAUCUCAACUUCAACGACAUCGUGUUCCCGUCGGUGGCACUGUGUUAUAUUGGGCAGGUGGUUUACCUGAGGAAAUUCCCACACAACGUUGCAAACACCUUCUACAGAUCCAUCCCAGGUACAAAGUUUUUUUUGUAAGACUGCACUUCUGCUGAAGAAGGGAGUAGAUGCAUGCAUUUGGUAAAUAUGGCAGAAGUAACUGAAUUGCUUCCUUGUGCAGCACCAAUGUUCUGGCCAGCCUUCAUCGUUACCAUUCUUGUUGGCAUCAUAGCAAGCCAAGCUAUGCUCUCCCGUGUGUUUGCCAUCCUCUCCAAGGCUCUCUCUCUCUCUCGGUUGCAUGCCAAGGGUUCGAGUGAUCUACACCUUGCACAAGUACGAGGGGCGGGUGUACAUUCCUGAAGUGAACUUCCUGAUGGGAUUGGCGAGCAUCCUCGUGACGGUCGCCUUCCGGAUGACCACCAGCAUCGGCCAUGCUUACGGUAAAUGGCUGGCCAAGGAUAAGGCGUUUGUGUUCCACUCAGGUUUUCACUUUUCAGUGGGAUGCUGUCAUGCUGAACAUAUUUAUUCAUCGAGCUGAUCGACCCGAUGUUGGUUAUGCGCAGGGAUCUGUGUGGUGACCACGUUGCUCUAUCAUGGAUGUUGAUUUCCAUUAAACAGUAUUCUGUAUUCACUCAGUUCGGCCUCACUUUCCUCACUAACUCGCUUAUGCUCCUGUCUGAUCAACGCCACUACUUCAUUUGUGCAGUUACUAGAGACACACAUGUUGUGCUGCAGCCGUGGUGCUCCAGUACACCCUAGGCCUCCGCUGAUCAAAUGCAUGAUGCUAAGGUUAAAUCCUAUACGCAGUUUAUUUCUACUUGCAGACAUCAAGUUCAGUUAAAUAUGUCAUGGUUAGCUGAAUGAAAAUAAAAUAAUUGAGAGAAGUGGUGUCCACGUGAACAAGCACUCUUUUGGCCGAGCCGGAAAUAUUGCCUGAACUUAUUGUUUCACUUGGUAUAAUGACUCUCCAAAAAGGUUAGGUAAAAUUAUGAAAGUAUAUGAUUAUGCUUUAACAACAUUACUUUAGAAUGAUACAUGGGCUGUAAUUUUACAAACCUCAAUAUGAUUGAUCCCACUUAAUAUCAAUCAUAGUUUGGACAACAUUCGGACAAUCAUAUUAGAUGAUUAAAUGGUUAUGUUUAUUGGUACGUACAAUAGUCUGACCGAUGCUCCUACUUAUAUUAAUUAAAUUCUGGAAAACAGACAAAUAAUGGAGGUAAUUAUAGGAUUAUGUGGCCAUUUACCCAUGAAACCACUAAUUUAUUACAAGCUAAUAUUAGACAUCUUCAACAAUAGUCAACAAUAAGAUGUGUGAAAAUCUGAUCCUAAAGAGGGGAUGGAAGAACAUGGGCUACAUUGAGUGGAUGAUAUCACUGCCAUUGCCUCACAAACACAAAUGUAUCACUGAACUUAUCCAAGAAAUAUUCUGUCCCAAAUUGCAUUUAUCUCAUUCACGGAUAAAUGAUGGAAGAUUUAUUUACCUUGCCAAAUGAGAAUAUAGCAGCUAAUAUGUACUAAAUAGUUUAUCUUAUUGACCAGAGGCUGUAGUAAAAUAGUUUAUCUCUUAAUAAAAGUAAAUAACUUUCAAUCUAUAGAAAAAGGUAAGUAGGUUUAGUAACCAGCAAUAAUCACAUUUUUGGACUCUUCUUAUGAAGUGUGAGCGUGCUGAGGAGACUUAACUACUCAAUCAUGGGUACUUCAAUCUGAGAAUUUUUUGCAUCCUUGUCGUUUCCUUUCUAUAUAUCCUCUGAAAUAACAAUCAAGAUGUACACCAUCAAAAUCAUGCUAAUCCAACUAUCCGGUGUGUAGGUCAUCAUUGUACGACUUCCAUUCUGCUCCAUACAAUAUUCAUUCUCCAUGAUUGAGUGGUAGUUUGUUACUGUUUCGAAGAGUCAAGGUAACUCAUGUGCUCGAAUCAUUCUCGCUCUCACAUAUAUGUUCAUGCUAUACUUUAUUGAUUUUUUGGGUCUAUUUUACAGGUUUGGAAUACAAUUUCAAUUGCCUUCAUUCAUGGUCAAGGCUUCGGAGUUAUUGCACACCUCCUUUAUAAUAUUGUAGUGAUUUAGUUAAUUUCAAUUGCAAUGCAUUCAGCAACAUUUAUAAUGGUUAUUCUAUGAAGUAUUGAAAAAUUAGACGCGAUCUUUUCUUCAAGAUGGUGCGGGUUAGUAUUGGUGUUGCGUUUCCAUCACAUGGGAAAAAUCAUUUUAAUAUAAUAUGAACAUUAUACCGAGUAACCAGUAUUGACGCGUAAGCCCUUAGCUGGUAUUGACACAGAUCGUCUGCCAAUAAAAGGCAUUAACAUUGAACCAUAUCCCUAUUACAACCAUGUAUUACAUAGAGCCUAGCAGGUGUCAGAUGCAUUAUCUGAAAUUCUAAAUACUUGCUUAAUACUAUGUGUAUGACCGCUAUCAUCAAGAUUAUAUUUUUCCUCUUAUAGAAUCCUUGUACAACACAAAUAUGAGAAAUUUCAUUUAUAUCUAACAUGAUACUUGUACUUCUGAUUUUGCACACACUUUAUUAUAUCACAGUCAACCAAGUAGUAGCAUGCCAGUAAGGCUCGGGGUGGUUCCGGACAAAGAGACCUCAUGUAUCCUUGGCCUAAAGAAAGAUUGGGUAUGUGGCAUUUUAGAAGAUCCAUAGUGGCGCUUAUCCCCGAUUUGUUGCUUUAGACUAAGGAAUGGUUGUGAGUGGUUGUACAGGUAACUUUUUCGCCAAUAAAUGCACCACCCAAGUAAGCUUUGAGAUUUGGAUGACACUCAUUUGUUCAGUUAGUUGGAUGGAGCGUAGCUUUCACCUGUUGUCCUGUCACUUUUUUAAUUGAUUAUUUCUUGAUAGUCUUCGCCUUUUUGUUUUGUUCUAUGGAAAUUCAUCACCAUACACAUGAAAAAAAAUUGUAUUGACACAUGGAGUUAUAUAGGUAACUUGAGUUAUUGUACCUUUUUUCCUUUAAUUCUUUUUGUUUGGAAUCAACAUUCAGUACAAAUGCUGCUGAAGUAUACCAAAUAGCACAACAACUUCUAAAGCAUUCAUCUAUUUCCCGUGCUUUAUCGGAUGUUCCAGCGAAACAAUGACAUGUAAUUAAUGUAUAUUGUUGUUCGGGAGAUUGUGUAUAUUUGAACAUUAUUGUUUUCUUGCAAUGAAGAUUAGCAAAAAAAUACACGUCAAGUUGUCAUCUUUGGAUAAGUUGUUGGACCACCGACAACAUGAAAUUAAUAAAGAUAGUGAUGAUCGCUUUAGUUUGUCCAUGUGGUCUUGUUUUUAUUUCAUCCCAACAAACGUUAUUAUUGGUUAUGAAACUUGUAUAAUAAUAAAAAAAACAUGUUUAAUAAUUAUUUGAUGUCGAUUAAGGCAAAUUUACUAGUCGUACCAAAUAAUUGAGUGAAGUUCAGCUAGCAGCAAUGCUCGUCGCCCAUUCCCUUUCUUUAUACUUCUGUUGACGAAACGACCGCGGUUGUUCCAUCAAACUAAUUUGUACUUGUACUCCCAAGAACAAUGCCACUAGAUUGUUACAGUACAAGUGGGAAAAGAAAAUACACAUGGUACAAGAUAUGGGUUUCAGCACAUAGGACCAGAUUCCUUUUGGCCUUUCAGCGGGGAUGGUUCUGGGACAUGCCAUGGGAAGUUCAGGUUCAGCUGUUUGAGGGCGUCAGUCAUGAAAAUCAUUUGUUGCCCGAGCGUGGGCGUGCAAGCCUGCCAUCCGUGGCUUGGAUUUCAGGUUUGAUGGCAAGAAGCUCUUGCCGAUUUUCCAAAAUAUCCUAAUUCAGAAACUGAAACCUUUUCUCUCGGUCCUCUGCUUCCACUGAAUUCUUUUUCAGGUUUGCAAAGAGUGAAAAUCAGACACAAACAUGAUCGUAACUACCACCAAAAAAAAAAUCCCGAUGAUUCUGGACAAGUUUAAAUCGCCUCUAAUAGAUUAUACACGCCACAUUAAAAUCUACAGUUCUCCAACACCAUGGCGGGCAGUGGCACGAAAUUGAACGGGGCACGAGUAAACAAAUAAACACCACUAGAGAAAUGGGACAGCUAAUCUGCAUUUGCAACAGCAACGAUUUAGGCAAGCAGACAGAAGGUCGGGACCUGAAACUGAGUCCAUACAACGAAAUAGACUUGCAAUGGCAUCACCAAAUCGCGUCCUGCAAGUUCAGAAUUCAUAAUCCAGCAGAGAAACUUUUCUGCCGGUUCAGAGUCGUUGUCUGCAGAGAAUUACAGAGAAGCACAAGCUUCCAUAACAGAUCGAACCAAGACAAAGUAACACGAACAGGAUCAUGGCAAGAACUGAAAGGGCUGUUGCUAUUUCUCCAGAUCAUAAGAUUUGAUCCCACAAACAAAGGUUACAUGACAACGGAGUCUGAACCAACAAUUACACAGCAACAUCGAUGCACCGGGAAGAAACUACUUAGGCAGAGGUGAACUUGGUGACGGCCUUGGUGCCCUCGGAGACGGCGUGCUUGGCGAGCUCGCCAGGGAGGACGAGGCGCACGGAGGUCUGGAUCUCCCGGGACGUGAUGGUGGGCUUCUUGUUGUACCGCGCCAGCUUGGCCGACUCGCCGGCGAGCUUCUCAAAGAUGU
This 329648-nucleotide long non-coding RNA is filed under the name Hordeum vulgare. RNAcentral's name for it is "long non-coding RNA (HVUL_LNC006367)". The record is from RNAcentral. Lineage: Eukaryota; Viridiplantae; Streptophyta; Magnoliopsida; Poales; Poaceae.